RNAcentral lists this long non-coding RNA (181903 nucleotides) under Triticum aestivum (bread wheat). Its description in RNAcentral is "long non-coding RNA (TAES_LNC028382)". The record is from RNAcentral. Lineage: Eukaryota; Viridiplantae; Streptophyta; Magnoliopsida; Poales; Poaceae.
AAAGACAAACUUAUGAACUUGCAAGCAUGGUAAUCAGAUCGACAUCCACACAAUGUCAAUAUGAACAUUGUCUUGAUACAACUUUAUUUGUAUUUUAUUUCAGAAUUUAAACAACUAGUUUGGGCGGGUCACACACGACGUUGUGUGACACUUUAUUUGUCACCGCUGCAUCGACAUAUCCAUCGACUAAACAACGGUGAUCCAACUAUAUAUUACUAGAGACCUUUCCUUAUCAGUAGGCACCAACUCCGGUGCCAACGCUGAAUGGCACACUAGUGGUGGUUCUAUACAAGGGCACAUUGACACGGCACAUCGUUGGCAGGGUACGGAGCGCAAUGGAAGUCAUCACCUCAAGCUGAGCUAUCUGGUGUGGAUGCAAAAAGGUACCCUGUGCCAAUUGUUGUUGUUGAGGUUGUUGCCCGAGUUGCUGCUGCGACUGCUGUUGGGGUUGGGAAACGCAUUGGCCCAACUAUUGCGGUUGCUGCUGCUGAGUUUGGAUGGAACCCUGAACCUGUUGUUGUUCUUGCAGGACGAUGGAGUAGAUGAUAGCACGGAUUGCCUCAUAGCGGGAUUGCUGGGGGAUUUGCGGCAACUGCUGGCAACAUUGUUGUUGCAUCACAUGGCAACUGCUCUGCUGCAACAUUUGCGACCUAGCAAGACUUUGUGGCAUUGCCACAGGGCUGCAUUGCUGCUGGAGGAAUACCUUGCAUGGGUUUAGUUGCUGCAAGAUAGAUGGAUGAACAAAUGGUAUUUGUUGUUGCGGUAGAACUGAUUGUUGUUGUUGCGAAAAUGGUGGUUGUUGCGGUAGUACUGGUUGUUGUUGUUGCGAAAAUGGUGGUUGUUGCUGUGAAAAUGGUGGUAGUUGUUGCUGCGAAAAUGAUGGUUGUUGCGGUAGAACUGGUUGUUGUUGCUGCAAAAAUGGUGGUUGUUGCUAUGAAAAUGGUGGUUGUUGCGAUAGAACUGGUUGUUGUUGCUGUGAAAAUGGUGGUUGUUGCUGUGAAAAUGGUGGUUGUUGUUGCUGUGAAUAUGGUGGUUGUUGUUGCUGCGAAAAUGGUGGUUGUUGUUGCUGCGAUAAUGGUGGUUGUUGUUGUUGCUGUGAACAUGGUUGCUGUUGUGGAAAUGGUUGUGGUUGUUGUUGGAUAGGUUGUUCUUGUUGUUGGUGCCAUAAUGUUUGUUGUGGUGGUAAUGGUUGUUGCUGCGAUGGUCUCUCCAAACCAGGGAUGUGGCUAUUCUCCAUUUGUGCAAUGGCACUUGUCGCCGCAACGGCGAGGAGGGCAAAGAUGAGGAAGGUCUUCAUGGUGGAUUGGUGUUAACUAGUGUUGCUUGGUUUUGAUGCUUGUGCUUGUGACGAUCUUUAUACUUCAUGCCUAUUUAUAGUAGCCCGGGCACCACCUUUUUCUUCUUUGCAUUAGCUUUAAUAAUUUUGUUUGGAUGCAAAAAUGAUUUUUGGUACAAUGUGUUAGGUUGCACUAGCUACACGCGUACUUUUGGAUUGAUCAUCAAAGUUGCUUUUUAGUUGUGCAUAUGAUCACACAUAAAGUACAGAAACCUUGAUGUUUGGUAUAUAUGACUCACCUUAUUCACUUUACAUGUCACACACUUAUCUGGAUAGUAUCACUUUUGCAACCGAGUUUGGAACCUUGUAUAGGCUGUCAUCCAUAAACAAGAAAGGCAAAACUUGUGUAGGACUAAGUGUAGAACUAACUUUGUAUUUUUCCUCUAAAAUGAUUAGAUGAACCGACGCCUAUAGAGCAUGACAUGACUCAUCGAAUUCCCUUUACAUGUAAAGGAUGGUAAUUGCUUACAAGCUACUCCUACUAGCAUAUAUCCGGUCCUAACUCUUGACACGUCAUCAUCAGUUUCGCCUAUUUUUUUAGAUAAAUCAUCAGUUUCAUCUAUUUGUGAAGGGUUUUUUUGGGGGAAAUGAUAGUUUUUUUAUGCUAGGGGGAUUUUUUUGGGGGGGGGGGAUGACGCUAGGGGGAAAUGAUAGAUGGGGCUGGAACAGAGGCCCCCAGCCUGGAGCGAGAGAUUAGGCCCAACAUAAGUGCCGUGUGUUAGGGCACCAAUUCGAUUUGGGCUAUAGUUCUCGUAGGCCCCAACGACACAAGCCCAGCCCACACUCCGCGGAUCUGCGUCCCUCCCUUCCUCGUCCUCCUCGCCGGCCGGACCGCUCGCCGUCGCAGCCUCUCCCGGACGCCCACCGCUCGCGGCCCCUCCACGUACCUCCGCGGCAGCGGAGACGUCAGCCUCCCUCCCACCCUCAACAUCCGGCCCCCCACCACCACCACCACCGCUCGACAAAAAAGGUCACUUUUGAAGCUCCUCCGUCGAUUGUGGGCCGUACGUCGACGGCAGCCACUCCGACCUCCCCAUCAACACAAGGUAUCGAUUUGUUUCGUCUGUCUCUUCCAACGAUUCAAUGCACAUAAAUCCGAGAGGCAGACCCAUCUCCAUGCUAGCUGCACGGAUUAGGAGGGUCAGGCAUCAGAAUUCAGCUGGGAAGCCUGACAGUAAUGUACAUUUGUGGCUUUAGUAGCUGAAUAUAACUAUGUGCUUUCUGAGAAUUUCACUUCAAAAGUUCCAAUAAUCAUCAAAUUUCCCCCUAUGCGCGCUAAGCAGGUGGACCAUAUAUUUCUCAUGUCGACGAACGAAAAAACAAAACUCCACAACUAGAAGUCUAUGAUAUUGACACGGAACCGUGCUGUAGGGUCGCAAGUAAAAAUAUGAAAAGCAUGCCUAAUAAGCGAGAUGACGCAGUUCCUGACCGCCCCGCUACGACUAUUGGUUCCAGCGUGGCGUUUGAAUUAUGCCGCGCUAGAUGUCUUUUGUCCGGCGAGGAACAAGUGGGGUCAAGCGUGCUUCGGCAAUUCCCGCCGUCAGAAGACUUCCUUGUAGUCCGGUGUAGAGGUGAGGUUGUGGGGAGAUACAUCGACUAGCACUACUAGGGAAAAGGCUAGCAGCAGCGCGGGUUUUAGAUGUAUCAGUAGUGCGGGUACCCGCGCUACUAAUACGGCGCUACAGCUAACUCAUAGCAGUAACGCGUGAGCACCCGCGCUACUGCUACACAAGUGUAGCAGCAGCGCGGUUAUGAGAAGCUCGCUACCGCUAGUAGCGCUAGCGCUCUUUGGCCGGACGCUCUACUGCUAUUGAGGCGCUGCUGCUAACUUUUGUACACUCGCUACUGGUAAUUUAAGUAGUUUUUUGGCAUAUUUGUUUUGUAUUUGAACCGGCUUUGUAGAAGAAUCUUUAGCACAUAGAAAUGUCAUCAUGAUACACAUACAAAUGCCUGCGAGACCACAAAUGUAAUCAUAGCAUGUACAUACAAAUAGUCUCUUCAUAAUCAUCAUCCAACACAAAGUGAUAUCUUGUCAUCAUCUCGAAAAUAGCAAUACAUGCAAGUCUCGAAUACUUGCAACUACAACAACGUCAUCCAUCUAAACAAAGGUAUACGCAAGAAGUGCUAUCACUAUGAGUGAGAGCGGAACCAUGCAGUACAUGAGGUGGCGGUUAUGAGUCCUCUCUUGCGCUAGCGUGAACCUCAAGUAACUAGCUUCUCCUUCUUGUCUGCUUUUGAAGCCUUUAUGGCUGGCGCCCGUGAACCCAUUCACUUGCGCCUGACACUCAUGCCACUCGUUGUACACCCCCGGAACCUUCCCUUUGUACACGACAUAGCAUUUCCAUCUCGCCAUCAAGAAACUAGGUACCUGUUAGAGAUGCAUGUUCAUGAAGAGGAUGUACAAUCAUAUAUAUGCAACAAAAUAUACUAGAGCAACACUAAGAAAGAAAGGUUAGCAACUAGAUGCAACAUAUACAUUACGCAAAUUAAUUAACUAGAGGUACGCAGGUCAUCGUACGCAAACUAACAAAGUAGCGUUACGCAAGUUUGGCAGGGACCAUGGACAUCACAAAGUUUCAUCGCUACAAAAAGUAUACAAGUUCAACCGACACAUAUCAUCAUCAUCGGCAUCAUAAAUCACUAGAAGUUCCAUCCUUCCAUAUCAUCGAGGACGAACCCUAGCUGCUUGAACGGCGUGAGGUCUAGACGUUGCAUGCCUAUGCGAGUUCGGACGUCAGCUCGCGAUAUAGGGCCGUGGUGGAACAUCCCCUUCUCAUCGACGACUUCUUUCAUGAUGAUCAUCGCAAUGUCGCUUUGGAUGCGAAAGAAGUCAUCUCUAAGUUUAUAAUUCGCUUCUCCAUGAGAUUCUAGCCACUUGUGGAUAUGAUCAUCAUUUCUGCUGUUAAUGCGAAGCUUUUGGUGAUCCGUGUUGAACUGAAUCAUGAGAUGGACGAUGUAGAAUCCAUCCUUCUUGCUUGGUUUUGGGACGUGGAUGCAGGAGAAGUUAGUUUUAUGCGCGAAACCCAUCUUCUUGUUCCUUUGUUUCCUGAUAUGCACGUGGCCACCUCUAAAGUUGAAGCCUUGGAGAGCAUCAUCUAGAAUAUUCAUUAUGUGGGUGUAGUCCUUUUUCUCGUAGUCUCUAGAAGGGUCAAAAUACACGGCGUGGGAGACUUGCGGGUAAAGAAUGAUAAGGACGGCGCGCCCGUUGCUGCGGGGAAAAGACACCUCAAAUUAUUCCCCAUAUGAGAGAGAAGGAAUGAUUGAAAUGUACGAAAGGGUUGUCCGGAACUGACUUACUUUGGAUGAUAAGGCACGAGGACAAUUUCCCGGUCCUUAUUCUGUACCAUGAAGUUUUGGAGGUACUCCCUAGCAGUUUCACGCUCAAAGUCGCCGAGACUCAAGAAAGACUCGUGCAUGUAGUACGGAUCCGCCACACAGAUUUGCGAGACUUCUUCACUCUUCACGACGGAGCUCAUAUGUAGCGCAAAAAGGCGGACGAUAGUAAAAUCAAGCCGCCUUGUUAGAAACAUCUCAAAGAUAUGGUCAAACCGCAGGAAGAACACCUCCGUGGGCCGUGUGUCGACGUAGCACUUCCCCUCAGGCACACGAGCUGCGUAUGUCGGAUAUCCUGGAUCCUUUGAGGCUAGUAGGCUUUUCUCAGUCGACAGCACGUGGUCGUGCAGUCUCCUGAGAUUCCCUGAUAGUGCCUCCAGCGGUUUCGGCGGUAGCAUCGGCUCGCCCGUGAGAUGGAACAUGACCGCACCUUUCACGGGUACACGCUCUUCAGAAUGCAUCGUCUGGCUGCUGUGUGCUCUGGCUUGUUUGGAGGCAGUUACCUUCCCCAAUCUCUUCCUCUCCUUUUUCUUGGGCACACCUUCCAGACCCUUCCUUAACCCCUGCCCAAGUGUUCCCGGGCUAAGUAUUGUACGACCCUCACGCCCGGCUAGUUGAGCCUGUGUUGAGGCGGCAUCUUCAGGCGUGUCCUGUGAGGAUUUCAUGAAGAGAGACUUUUUGCAUUCCAUGGUACGGCCCUGCCCGGGCAUAUCAUCCAUAUCCUCAUUAGCAAGCUGAUAGCCCGAUUCGUCAUAUGGUUGACUCAUCAUAUCUAUGUCACAGUCAUACGCGUUUGUAUUGAGGUAAUCCAUCGGGUCGACCUCCGUCUCAUCAUCCAUUCUCUGUUCUACAGGAGAAAUUACAUCAGCCAGUACUAUUGCACCCCCUUCAUCAUGUCGUCCGCCGCUCUCACACGGCACUACUACAGGAGCUGGUAAUUGCGUAGGUGGGGUGGUGGUCUCCGCACAUGCUUGCUGAUGUGUGGUAGUUAUUGGUGUGCUCUCGGCCGGCUCCAGACGAAUAAGAUUCUUCGGCCAUAGCAGCACCCAACCCUUGCAGCGUCCAAUCCGCGGCGGGGUCUCGUCGUCCGCUCCCACCUGCUGUACUGGAGGAGGCAAAUCCUCGUGCCCCGAUUUCACACUGGUCAAGCUAACCCUGAAGUGCCCAGCGGGGAUCGGCUGGUUGUGGAAUGUGCGUUGAGAGGGGUCCAUUAUCAUCCCCUUUCCCACGUCCACCUUCUGGCCUUUGAUCAAGUAGAGUAUGGUGCAUGGGGUUUCUUUCGCCUGCAAACACAUAUGUCUGUGGUGUAAAACAACCGAAAGGCAACAAAAAUGGAAUAUUAUAUAUAUAUAUAUGUUGGUGCGACAUGUAAUUACCGUGACGGCGUCGAGCUCAGCCAAAGACGAAGGCCCACCUAGCGCGCCUGAGACUGAGGACGGGCUGCUAUGAGCUGGAGCGGCUGCGAGAGGAGGCCCGGUUGCUUGAGCAAGUGAUGGUGCGAUGGUGUUGUUCAUGGAGUUGCUCGCGACGAAACUGGGCAUUGGGAAAUCAUGUACCGUCUUGUCUGGAUUUUCCUUCGCCCAGUUGAUGAUAACUGGAACCAAGUUAGUAGCGAAAUCAUUUCUGCAGGCAUUUACAGCUGCAUUGACUGCCUGCUGUAGCAACUCAUAUUUGUCCUUGGCUGCUUUUUUCGCGUCCUCGGCUGCUUUUUUCUCGACCGCAAGCUUCACCUUUGCGUCGAUGUCCGCCUAACUAAACUUCUUUUUCUGCUUCUUGGCCUCCGGGCCGUCGUUGUAAAACACCUUCCACGUGGCGCCGUCUCCAGCGCCGUGCACACGACCAUAUUGCGGCCGCUGGUCCAACGGGAGUCCCUUAAGUUCGUUCAAGGCCCAGUUGAGAGGUGUGUCCCACUUGGGCCUCAUCGGAGAAGUAGGGCUUUCGGCUGCAAGCCGGUGUUGCUUCUCCAGUAGUCUAAUCAAUUUCCUCGUGAUCUUGUCCGUGUAAAAAACCUUUUUCUCCUUGUCCCACUUGUAGCGGGCCCUGAUGAAGUCAUGCUCCAAGGGGUUGGUGAACUUCGCGAAGGGGUCUGGGAGACCCGCGGCUUCACGUUCCGCGUCCUCCUUAUCCCAUAUGGGCCUUUUACCGAGGUAGCCACGGCUUCCGAGGCGAUGCUUCCCCAUGUUCCGGAGCUGAAGGCUUUUGAAUUUCGCAGCCUUAGCCUUGGCUGCCUUGGUAGCGCAAGUGUCCUUGAACUUUUCGAACUCCUCUUCCGUAAGUGUCGGAUUUUCCUCCAGAAUCUUGGACAGGGGUUCAUCAGCCUCAAUAGCUCGUUUCACCCUCCCUUUCCAGGAGGCCAAAUCAUUGCUGAACAUGCCCAUGGCGUGAUUGUUAAUCUUUUUCAUCUUCGGAUCAUCCCACGGUUGUUCUAUGUUAUCAUCCCGGUCGGGGAACUUGAAUCUCUUCUGCAACUUCGUUAGGAGCAACUGCGUCAAAUGUUCUUUACUCCUUAAGUCAUCAUCGUUGAUGCUCGCGCAUUCCCGUAGGAUGCAUCCUACUUGGUUCCCAUAGCACUUGCGAGGUUCUUCCGGCUCUAACGGCUCAAACUUUCCAGGUGCCAUCUUUGUGAUCACAAGUCGUCCAAUCCCUAGUUUGUUAGGUUUUCGUAUCCUCUGCUUCUUAUGCUUCCUCUUUUCGGUAUCGGCAUCGGGGCCGGUACCUUCCCCGCCGGUCUCGGCGCCGCCAUCGGUGCCGGCGCCGUCGGUGCCGGCACCGUAGGUGUCGAUGUCGGCGUCAGUACCAUCAUCGAGGCCGACCUGCAAACCUUGCUUAGCAGUCAAAUAGUCGAGGUACUCUUGUUCACCCUCAUAAUCCAUCUCGUCUGCAUCUUGGUCAGAAGGCCCAGUUUCUUCGUUGUUCGACAUGUUUCCUAUGAUUAAGUGGCCUCAUUUAUUUCUAAAAGUAUGAAUAAAUGAGAAAUGACAUAAAAAGAAAUCUAUGUGCCAACACUCGAUAUGCCAACUAUGUAGCACAAAUCAUGCCUUUAUUCACGGGAAAUUUCGGCAUGACCUUUGCUAAAAAAUGGACAUAUCGAGCGCCUGAAAUUCACCGAAACGGAAAUGAAUCAACAUUCCUGCGCAACAUAGGCCACUCGGAUCAUUUUCCAAACAUGACAUGUCCAAAACAUGACAUAUGCACAUAUCACAUGUCCAGUUCAAAUUUCCAUAUAAAUUCAGCUAAUUCAUAACUAAAUAGAUAACCUAAUUAAUUAACAUGAAGANNNNNNNNNNNNNNNNNNNNNNNNNNNNNNNNNNNNNNNNNNNNNNNNNNNNNNNNNNNNNNNNNNNNNNNNNNNNNNNNNNNNNNNNNNNNNNNNNNNNNNNNNNNNNNNNNNNNNNNNNNNNNNNNNNNNNNNNNNNNNNNNNNNNNNNNNNNNNNNNNNNNNNNNNNNNNNNNNNNNNNNNNNNNNNNNNNNNNNNNNNNNNNNNNNNNNNNNNNNNNNNNNNNNNNNNNNGGGGGCGAGCGACAUGGUCGGGGGCGAGCACGCCGGAGUCGGGGUCGAGAGCGGGACAGGGGCGAGCGCCGGGGCUGGCACCGGCGCCGGCAGGGUCGGGGGCGAGCGCCGGGGCCGGGUCGGGCACGGCGGAGCGACGGGGGCCGGAGAGAGAGUGGGGAUUUGGGGGGAAAUGGCGGGAUGAAGCUGGGCGAGUGCGAAUUUUGGGUUAAGUGGACGUAGCAGUAGCGGGUUAUGUCAAAACGCGCUGCUACUAUAUUCUGUAGCGGCAGCGGUUUAUGAGAAACACGCUACUACUAUGGUGCGUAGCUGCAGCGCUUUAUGGGAAACUCGCUACUACUAUGGUGCGUAGCGGCAGCGGUUUAUGAGAAACACGCUACUACUAAGAUCUAGCAGCAGCGGUUUUGUGGAAACGCGCUGCUACUGCCGUCGCUACUGCCAGGUUUCCUUUUUCUUUUCCUUUAUUUUAUCCCACUUUUAUUUCCCGAGGGCAAUGAACGAAGGGAGGGCGAUAUAUAUUGCAUCAUUUGACGGUUAAAUAUGUAUGCAAAAUAGGAACAUAUAUAUUACACAUCAUUGGACCCAUGCAUAAUAAUGACUAAGUGUGUAUACAAAUUAAAUAGGAACAUAUAUAUAUUACACAUCAUUGGACCCAUAACAUACGUUUCCUCAGUGCUGACGUUUUCGUUUUUGAGUCAGCUUCUUUCCCUUCUUGUUCGUCGAAGAAUAAUUGAGCCCCUCAUUGUGACUUUGCCUUUUCCAUGGAGUACGAUUUUUCUUAGGUAAUGUAGUAUUGAUUCUUCUUUUGACGUAUACUUCAUCAUCAUCAUCAUCUUCCCUCAUUGGGUUGCUGUACUGAUCAUAGUCUUCCUCGUUGGCGACUCCAUCCAUUCCAAUGAUGUUCCUUUUGCCUCUCCUCACGACAACACGGCUGGGAUUGCGCGGGUCAGUUAUGAAGAAACAUUGUGUCACGUGCUUAGCGUGUACCCAUGGCUCGUUUUUUGCGAUAGCGUUCAUGGUAGCGCUCUUGGCGUCGGGUAUAGUCAUGGUAGUGAACAUCCGGCUUUCUCUUUCGACAUUCUUAGCCCAUCUGACACGGAACAUCAUCGUGCUGUGCAGUCCAGAGUAGUCAAGCUCCCAGAUCUCCUCGACCCUUCCAUAAAAUCGUUCAGUUGUGCCGUUGUCGCUGCCGGUCAUGCAUUCCAUCGUCACCCCUGAGUUCUGAUCAUCACUGUCCAUAUCUUUUGCCUCUGUGUAGAAUGUGUAUCCGUUGAUAUCAUAUGCCUGAUAGGUUACGAGGUUGGGCGAGGGGCCAUGUGCUAAGGCGUAUAUGAGCAAUCCGUCCUUAGAGCCCUCCUCCGGUGGAUUAGCAAUAAUAUGCUCUUUGAACCAAUGCAGGAAAGUGGAGUUGUGCUCUCUAGUAACUUCGGCGUCCGUCCUGCAUACCCCCCGGUCACGAUACUUCUUUGUGAUAAUUUCUUUGUGCAGUGCCACGAAAGGAUCUACCUCGUCUAGGUGUUGUAGCACUACCAAGUUUGCUCUGUCAAAGUCGCUGCGUCGAUCUGAGUAUGCCACGUGCAGUUCCCUGCGACCGUUGCAGUGACCAUCUCCUUUGAGCCUCCCAUCGUGCUUGUUAACGGGCAAACCAACACUAACACCAGGCGGCUGGUCUGCGCCAUAUAAAAAAUUCUCACAGAAAGAGAUGCACUCUUGUGCCAAAUAGCCCUGGACGAUGCUUCCAUCCGGACGGGACAUGUUACGAACGAAUCCUUUGAUGAUCCCAUUCAUCCACUCAAACGGGAUCAUGUUGUGCAGGAAUGACGGCCCCAGGUCUAUUAUGUCAUCCACAAUAUGGACACACAGAUGCACCAUCACGUCGAAGAACGCGGGCGGGAAGUACAUCUCAAGCUCAUUCAGUAUCACAACGAUCUCUUCCUGUAGCCUUUGGAGCUGCUUCACACUGAUCGACUUUCGAGAGAUGACAUCGAAAAAGUUGCAGAGACCAAUAAGCGUGUCACGGACGUGCUUGUCCAUUAUCCCUCUAAGGGCAACAGGUAGUAUCUGCGUCAUCAUCACAUGACAGUCAUGAGACUUCAUCCCGCUGAACCUUUUCUUGUCCGUGUCUAGAUAUCUGCUUAUCUUGCCACAGUAACCGGAACUAACUUUCACUCCGGUAAGGCACUUAAAGAAUUGAUUGAUCUCAGCCUGACUUAAGGUGAAGCAAGAGGGGGGGCAAUAAUCUUCUUUCUUUAAUUUCUUGCCCUUCUUCUCCCGUGCCUCUGUCUUCGUCUCUGUCUCGUCUGACAUUUUACGGGGCGGCAUCUGCAGAUCUUCCCUGAUUUUCAAAUCUUGCAAGUCUUUUCUUGCCUUCGGCCCAUCCUUGGUCUUAUCCGGCAUGUUCAUCAGUGUUGCGAGCAAGCUCUCAAGGACAUUCUUACAGAUAUGCAUUUGAUCAAGGCAAUGAGGUGUAUCGAGUUUGUGCCAGUACUCCAAGUCCCAGAACACGACCUCGUCUUCCAUACCUUCAGCAGCGGCUCCGGCGCCUUUCUCAUCGUCUUUCCCGGCGCGGGGCACUCAUUCCAGUUUUUCAAUAGCUCAUCGAUUUCGGCACCGCUCCGCUUACGUGGAGGUCCUCGAUGCUCAGCGUGACCAUUGAAUAGAUCUCCACGGUUUCUCCACGGGUCGUCCUGUUCAAGCCAUCUUCGAUGCCCCAUGUACAUGAUUUUCGCAGACCCGCCAUCUUUCCUUGACGUUAGCUGCUGAGACGUUGUAUCAUCCAUGCACCGCGUGCAUCCGCAAUAUCCAUGGCACACCUGGCCUGCCACAUAUCCGUAACCGAGAUAGUCCUGCACUGUCGUGAUCAGCGCGGCUCUCAUGUUGAAAUACUCACCUUUGCUGGCGUCCCAUGUCUUGGCCGGUGUUUUCCAUAACGUGUCUAACUCCUCUUGAAGUAGCCCCAGAUACAAAUUAAUAUUAUUUCCUGGUUGUUUCGGCCCUUGAAUAAGCAUGCUCAUGUGAAUGUACUUCGAUUUCAUACACAACCAGGGGGGGAGGUUGUACAUCCAUACAAACACGGGCCAUGUACUAUGGUUGGUGUUCUAGUUGCCAAAUGGAUUCAUGCCAUCGGUACACGCGCCGAGCACGAUGUUCCUUGCAUCACAUUCAAAAUACCGUUAGAAGCUGUUCAACGCUCUCCACUGGCUUCCAUCCUUCACGUGUCUCAGCUUCGGAUCAUCUCCAUCGUCGGGCUUCUUCCUCUCCGCGUGCCAGCGCAUUAGCUUUGCUUCCUUGGGAUCUACAAAAUACCUCUGAAGACGGGGAGUGAUCGGUAAGUACCAUACAACUUUCUGGGGACAUUUCUUCCCGGCCUUCUUGUAUCGAGAAGCAUUGCACACCGGACAGCUUGUUUUUUCCGCGUGCUCCUUCCGAUAAAUUAUGCAAUCGUUGAUGCAUGCAUGGUAUCUAACGUGUGGCAGAUCAAGAGGGCACACGAUCUUCUUGGCCUCAUCAACACUAGUAGGACAUAGAUUACCCGCGGGAAGAAUAUCCUUUAGGUACUUGAGAUGGUCAUCGAGGCUAGUGUCGGUCCAUUUGUUUUUAGCCUUCGUCUUCAGGAGUUGGAGCGUGAAACUCAACCGGGUCACCUCAGGAUUGCAACCAUCAUACAAUGGAGUGUUCGAGUCUACCACCAGUUGCUCCAGCUUAGCCUCCUCUCUAGAAGCAGCUCUCUCAGUACUCGUCUCCUUGCGAAGCAAUGCUUGAACAUGAGGGUCCCGCACAAUUGAACUUAGUACCGACGAACUCUGCUGCGUGGAGUCCAUGUCGUUCUCUCCGCCGCCAUGUCCGGCCCCUUCUCCUCCGCCAUGUCCGGCCACUUCUCCGCUGCCAUGUCCGGCCUCUUCCCCGCCGCCAUUAUCGAUCAUCUCUUCGUCUUGCCCCGUGUCAUCAUUGCCUGCCCCGUCGGCAUCCUCAACAUCUUCAUCCUCAUCUUCAAUUAUCCACCGAGUAUAGCCAUCCAUGAAACCAGUCAUGAGCAGGUGCGCUUCGACACGACCAUCGUCAUGGGGGUCGAGCCAAACUAUUCCUUUGCAUUUUCAACACGGACAUAAAACCUCUGUCCGGUUAUUUUCUUUCAUGUCUUGCACCGCCGACCGCAACCACCUGUCCACCAUUGUUCCACUGACCAUCGUCAACUCUGCACGGUAAUAAUAAAAAAAUUGAUUGUAAAAAUGCAUGCAUGCAUCAAAGUCAUAAAAAAAUUUGGCAUGACCUUCCCUAAAAAUAGGACAUAUAUGGAUCUAGAGUUUGCCCGAAAUUCGCCGAAACGAAAAUAAAUCGACAUUUCGGCAAAACAUAGGCAACUCAAAAGCACAAUUUGGCGGCGUCAACUCAUGCCACAGACACAAUUUCCACAAACAUAUCACACAUACACAUAAACACAUUUCCAUUUUGCAAAAGCAUGAAAUUUUCAUCACCUCUAUCUCGAUGGCCGGAGAUGAUGUUGUAGGGAGAUCAAAAGUGCACAAAGCUAUUCUUGACAAAGAUAGAUCUAGUUAGGGGGCAAAUAGGUCACUUAACUAAAUCCUACAUCUACCUAGCUACCUAAUUUGGAAGGAGACAACUUCAACUAGUGGAGGGGGAGGAAAAAGAGAAAGAAGAUGCAUUAAUUAAUGGAGGUGGUGUAGUUAUGUAGGAGUAAUGAAGAGAGAGAAGGUGGAUAGAGAANNNNNNNNNNNNNNNNNNNNNNNNNNNNNNNNNNNNNNNNNNNNNNNNNNNNNNNNNNNNNNNNNNNNNNNNNNNNNNNNNNNNNNNNNNNNNNNNNNNNNNNNNNNNNNNNNNNNNNNNNNNNNNNNNNNNNNNNNNNNNNNNNNNNNNNNNNNNNNNNNNNNNNNNNNNNNNNNNNNNNNNNNNNNNNNNNNNNNNNNNNNNNNNNNNNNNNNNNNNNNNNNNNNNNNNNNNNNNNNNNNNNNNNNNNNNNNNNNNNNNNNNNNNNNNNNNNNUGUGGUGGAGGGAAGAGAGGAGAGGGGGAGGUAGGGGGGAAGGGAAAAAAGGAAGGGGGAGGGGAGGGACGGGUUGGGGGUUGGUGGGGUUAGCAGUAGCGCGGGAGAUAAAACGCGCUGCUGCUAAGAACUUAGCAGCUGCGCGCUUUGCGGUAAGGCGCUACUGCUAACUGGGACAAAAAAUUGUGGCAAUUUGAAACUUACCAGCAGCGAUCUCGAGGAAACCGCGCUACUACUACGUACUUAGCAGUAGCGCUGUUAUUGCGACCGCGCUACUGCUACUUAGAGUUGGGGGAACACCGCCGGUCGAUAUUUGUAGCAGCGCGUUUCUUGUCGAGCGCGCUACUGCUAAAUCUUUAUCAGUAGCGAGUUUACGUAACCCGCGCUACAACUACUUAGCAGCAGCGCUCUAUUUUGAACCGCGCUGCUGCUAAGAUUCUGUGUAUAGGCUUUUCCCUAGUAGUGUAGGAAGGAAUGACCACAUGAAUGAGCAUACGUAUGAUGUGAUUAAGUCUCUCGAUUGGGUAUCUGGUGCCUUAUGUACGGUGUCUUCUUUUUGUCAAGCUAUGACAUCUUUCAGUUUGAGUGUCUGAUAUUAGGGUUGCAUACGUUUUGUUAUUCAGUUGCCUGUUGUGAACUCUACGGUUAUAUCAUCUCGAUGUGUGAGUCAAUGUGUUUGAACCAAUGUAGAGUUUCAUGUGAAUGUUACAAGUGUGAUUGAUAUGUUCAUGUUAUCCGCGGUUGCCUUGGUAAGAAACUGAAAGAGCAAACCGUUAUCGUGCUAGGACAAAAGUCAUCACUCAAUAUAAGUGCUUCUCUAGAACAGCCACACCUUGUGAAAGAAGAUGGCAAACACCCAAUCAUGUCUGGUUCGAUAUGGGCGUGGCUAUGGGUAGCUUAUAGCGACAUGGAAGCCAGCAUCGCUGGAAGAAACGCCCGGGUGGGCCGGCCUAGAGACAUUUCUUGAUAUCUACCCUUAGUUUUGUUUUUCUGCCCUUCUUUCUUUAUAUUUAUAUUUUUCCCGACAUGUUCACUACUUGAUGCUCAACUGGGAUCUCAUCCUUCACAAAUACGGAGAGCCAUUAUUGUUAGAGUUAAUCUUGACAUGUGUGUAUGUGCAUGUGUGCAUUGCAUGUUAGUGGUCUAGAGAUGGCCGGGUCGAUGCGUCUGUUCUGUGCUGGAGUGAGUCCAGCAGUUUGUUUUGGUCAGGUCGUGGUGGCUAGAGCCAUUCUAGGAGAGGAUCAAGUCAAGUUGUUAGCUGAACUCGGCUGGGUAGUGUUUGGCCGUUGAGGAUAGGCUGUACUAGUGGUGGGCAUGGCCGUGCAUAUAGCUAGCGAUUAGUUACACUAGUAGAAAACCACCCAUUAGUCCCGGUUCGUAAGGGCCUUUAGUCUCGGUUCAGGAACCGGGACUAAUGGGUCGUUACUAAUACCUCCACCCAUUAGCCCCGGUUCAAACACGAACCGGGACCAAUGUGCCUCCACGUGGCCCUGUGCGGCGAGCCCAGUCAGGGGGCCUUUGGUCCCGGCUGGUGGCUCCAACCGGGACCAAAAGGCAUCCACGCGUCUGCAUUCUAGUGGUUUCUGGUUUUUGUUUUUUUUUUGAAAGGAGGGGGGUUGGGGGUUUUGGGGAGUUAAUUUAGGUGUUUCGUAUAUUGUGUUAACUAGCUAAUUAAUAGAGAGAAGUGUCCUCUCUUAUGUCCGUGCUUGGUCGACGCUACGUAGUAUAUAUACAUAAGUAAUCGAGAGAACCAUUCAGUACAGAAGUUCGUCAUGCAUACCGAGAGAAGUGAUCGAUCGACCUCUCCUUCUCCGAGAGAUUGGUCGAACAACAAGUUUUUUACUGGCUACAUACAUGUACAAUAUGUAUAAGAUCUCUUAAUUACAAACCCAUAGCAUUUGAAAUCAACUUCCACAUGGUAUUCUCCGGCUUUACUGAUGACGUGUUCAAGAAAGAAUCCCGCUAAUUCCUCUUGAAUUGCUUUCAUGCGAUCUGGUUCUAGGAGUUCACCCCGCAUCUGCCACGUCUAAUUAAUUUGAAGAAGGGGGUUAAUUAAUACAUAUAUAUGAAUGAAACUCAACAGAAAAUGAUGGUGUAAUAAAAUGAAAUUGUGAAUAUUAUUGCUUACGCACUUCAUAUUGUCUUCUAGAGUAGCCCCGCUUGUUUCUCAAAGUUGCGUUGUGGAUGAACUCGCACACGUAGUAUCCACAAAAAUCAUUCCCUUCCUCCUGUCACAAGCACUUUACGAGAAACAGAGGUCAAUCAAACUGAUAAUGAAGCAUUAUAAAUGGCAUUGAUGAAAGUAUAGCUAUAGAAUCAACGGGAGAUGCACGCAACUAGCUAGCCAGUAGUACUUACUUUCGGGUAUACAUAUCGCAGCUCCUUCGGCAGUCCCGGAGCUUGUGCGGUGAACUGUUUCCGAACCCUGCAAGACAAAGAAAAUAAUUAUUAUUACUUGAGAUAUCAGGAAAUGAACAAAAAGUUGCCGAUAUGGUGCGAUAAUGAUCGAUUGAACUUACUUGCUGAGCAUUUCAGUCAUGUCCACAUAGGUGCUGGGAUCUUUCCGUCUCGAGUCUAAGACGGUUACUAGUCCACGCUCAAGCUUAAUCUCCAGAAGAAUAUAGUGGUACCUGCGCACGCGUGCAUAACUCAUCAAUUACAUUAACCUCGCUCGAGUAAUAAGGGAAACCGAAUAUGCACACGACAGUAACACUCACGGGCCGUUGUAAGGAAAGAGUAUGGUAUCUUUGUUUUGAUUUUUGAUCAACGAUUGUAGCAAGUUGUCCUCGGCCUCUUCGACGUUCUUUUCAACCAGAAAUACAUCUAUGAUAUUUGUGUUAAUGAACCCAAUAUCAUAAAUUUUUUGUUUUUUGCACUCGACGAUCUUCAAUCUGCAUAAUAUAUUGAGGAUAAUUAAUUAUAAAUACAUGCAAUGAAAGAUCCGAGCUAUAUAUAGAGACUUAAUGUCAGAAAUAGUACUUACAUGCAGUAGCAAAAGACCAUUAAUUUAUCGAGGGCCUUUUGAUUGAAGAACUCAAAGAACUCCUCAAAUGGAACACACAACAGAUCAUUUGAAAUGAGGUCGUGCUCCUCUUUAAUAUUCAAAUACAAACUGUUCGUCCCCUCAGACUCUCUGCAGGUUUUCAUGUACCAAUUAUGGAAUCUUCGCAUCAUUAUUGUCAGAGAUUUUUCAUCUUUGACGAGAGGCUUCCCGUACUCGUAUCUGAAUACGUCCACCUCCAUGAAAUCAGGAAGUGCAUCGUCAGGCAGGUAAUCUUCAAGAUUGCCAUAACCGGCCACCGUCCCCGGAGGAUUAGACACAUUGAGCGGGGGGCACGAUUGCUGUGCUUGUUCGCCGAGCUGGGCAAUUUUUUUCCCCUUUGCUCGUUGUUCUUUUGACCUUUUAUCAUUGACAGUAGUUCCCGACCGCUUGGCUUGGAGAUAUGUCUGUUCAGUAAUGCGCUCAUAGUUGGUUCUCGGCGGAGACUUUGGUGGUUUCCUCAGGGCAUCGAGAGUGCGCUUUGCUUUCACCGGAUCUACCUUCUCCUCCGGAGGUGGAUGUCUCUUUGCUUUCACCCCUUCAAAGAACUCCUUCACGUGGGCCUGCACGAUCGUAUUGUUUUCCUCCUUGGUCCUCUCGUACGGUAACUUCUCUAGAGGCUUUAGAGGUGGACCGUAUCUGUAUUGCCUCUCUCUUCUUGUGCUGCUAGACGCCGGAGCAGACGGAGCGGCUGUGGCGUCUGUCUUCUUCCGUGCUUGCUUAUGAGGCGGAGGAGAAGGACUACGACGCGCCGGAGCAGCCGGGGCGGCGGCGGGUCUCUUCCGCCCUUGCUGGCGAGGCGGAGAGGAGGAGGCGGAGUGCCGCCACAUGCCGGAGAAGGAGGCGGAGUGCCGCCAUGCGUGCCCUGAUCGUCACUCGCCGGAGGAGGAGGCGGUGGAGGAGGCGGAGUGCCGCCACGCGUGCCCUGAUCGUCACUCGCCGGAGGAGGACGCGGUGGAGGAGGCGGAGUGCCCUGACUCGCUGAAAGAGGAGGAGGAGGCGGAGGCGUCCAGUUCAGAAGGUUGAUGAGCUCCUUCUGCCAUAGGCAUGGAGUCUUCAGAGCAGAACCCAGCCUAGUCUCCCCUUCACCGGUAGUGUGCUCAAGCACGAGGUCCUCAAAUCCCUCCGUUAUUUCAUCCACCAUCACCUUAGCAAAUCCUUCUGGAAUUGGCUGGCAGUGAUAAGUUGUGCCGGGUCCACUAGGAUAAACUUGGCCAACAGCCGCCUUGACCUUCAAAUUCAUCCAUCACACAAUAAUGUGGCAAUUUUGAGACUCCGUGAUACCAUCCACGGGAUAGCUGGCAGGAGCCGUCAAGACAUGCUCCGGCUGAAGCAGCUCAGUGGAAGCCACGCUGCUUCUCUGCUGAGAUGGCGGGGUAGCUUCGGGGGAAGCUUCGGCAGGUCGUUUGUUGUGAUCUGCUGCUUCUUGUUCCUCUAGCCCCAUUACCCUUUCGUGCAGCGCCUGCAUUUGGUCCUGCUCCAGUUUCUUCCUCCUCUCGUAGGCUUUGUAAACGCCUGCGUCCAGAAAACCAACCUUCCACGGAAUGGAGCCUGGCGUGCCUCGUGUCCGUCCAGGGUGCUCGGGAUUCCCAAGGGCCAUUGUGAGCUCGUCCUUCUCCCUGUUUGGAAGGAACGUCCCUCGUUGUGCUGCAUCGAUAUAGUGUCGAAGGUUCUUGACUGGUGUUUGCAGUUGCUCGUCCGUCCACUGACGCUUCCCUGUUACAGGGUCCAAGGUUCCGCCAGCCCCGAAGACCCAAGUCCGGCAACGGUCUGGCCAGCGCAUUGUCUCUGGUUCGAUUCCUUUUUCAAGCAGAUCAUGCUCAGCCUUGGACCACUUAGGCCGGGCUUUGAGGUAGCCACCUGACUCCGUGCGAUGGUGAAGCUUCUUCUUCGCAGCAUUUUUCUUGUUUGUCUCCGACAUCGUCUUACUCUUUUCCGAUGUCUUGUGGGCCACAAAUGCGGGCCAGUGAUCUUUGAUCUUCUCAUAUUUGCUGAUGAAUUCUGGUGUCUUUUUUUUCUCGAGAAACUGGUUCAGCUCUUUCCUCCACCUCCUCAUUAGGCUUGCCAUCUUCUUAAGAGCACAAGACUUGAUUAAUUGCUCUUUAACUGGCUUCUCCGGAUCCUCCUCUGGCGGUAGGGUGAAAUUUGCCUUCAGCUCAGUCCAAAGAUCUUCUUUCUGCAUAUCAUUGACAUAAGACACCUCAGGGUCUUCAUCCUUAGCAGGCUUAUACCAUUGCUGGAUGCUGAUCGGGAUCUUGUCCCUAACAAGAACCCCGCACUGAGCAGAAAAUGCCUUCCUUGUCCGGAUGGGUUCAAUCGGUUCGCCGUCGGGCGCGAUUUCUAUGAUCUCAAACUUUUCAUCCGAGAUCAACUUUUUCUUCGGGCCUCGUCUCCUUACCGAAGUUGUGCUCGAUCCGGAGGGCUAGAAAUUAUAAGGAAGAAAGACGACAGUAAUUAAUAUGUGUACAUAUACCAAAACAAUGGAUGCAUCAAUUAACUAGUCAGCACGGGCUUAACUAAUAUAUAUAUACCUGGCCGGACUCGGUUCGGUGACCGGAGCAGUCAGCACGGUCUCCUUGUACCUCCAUUGUGUCACCGGAGCCAUCAUGAACAUAGUCCUCCUCUUGUACCGGCAUUAAUGGGUCGAAGCCAUCAUAAACAUAGCCCUCUUCUUCAUCCAGUCCUUCCAGCUGACCAUCGGUGUCGAUGAGAAAUGACGCAACAUCAUCACUUCCAUUUGCGAUUAUGUCCCCCAACAUCGCUUCUGUUUCUUCGUCUCGGGAGUGCUCCAUAGUUUCUGCAAAUAUUUACAACAUGUCAAUUAUUAUUCAAACAUGGUACAAAUGGAUAUAUAUAUAUAUAUAUAUAUAUAUAUAUAUAUAUAUAUAUGAAAAUGGAUUGGUACUCCUAGGAGUACAUACUCUCACCUACACCCGUCAUCGUUGGAAACAUUCAUCCCGCUAACUACUAAAAAAAGAGCUAACUAACUACGGAUAAAGCCUUUGGAUUUAAAAAUUAGUUGAACCGCUUCCUUUUUUUUCAGCUCUCGUAGGCGUGCCUUCCAGGGAUUCCAUUUGAAACGGCGUUCUCAUCUCUUGCCAGCACCCAUGAACAUAAAAAAACAGAGCAUCGGCUCGCCUCCGCCCCGCCGACUGACCGGAAGACUUGGUCGACAUGGCCGACGAUGAUCCCCGUGCUUCUUCCCUCGCAAACUAGGCUUCAACCACCACGUCCAUCAAUCAGAGGAAGAUUGAUUCAUCAUCUGUAGUUUGCGAGGGUACGUGCAAUUGAUGUUUCCCGAUUUUUCUGUUCGGCUACCACAACCGUGUUCAUGUUCCCGCUGACCCCUUGAUCCAUUCCUGUCCAGUAUGUCAUCGUCCGAGAAGAAAAUAGGACGGAGAUGAUUGAUCGGCCAGAUUGAUCGGCCAAGUCUACUAGUACCACUGGUGGAAAAAAGGCCUUUGGUCGCGGUUCGCAACUGCCAUUAGUCGCGGUUGCGCAACCGCGACCAAAUAAGCGCGACUAAAGCCCCCCACCUUUAGUCGCGGCUGCUUAAGAACCGCGACUAAAGGCCCGUCCAUGUGGGCGCCAGGCGGCCGUCGGGACGGAGGACCUUUAGUCGCGGUUCUUCUGGCCAACCGCGACUAAAGGCCGCCACAGGUUUAGGGUUUUAGCCCCCCCCCUAAACCUGUUUUCUGUUUAAUUUGUAUUGUUUUAUUUCUUUUGUGCUUUAUUUUAAUUUUGAAGGAGUUUCAUAUAUUCUACGGUACUACAUACAUGCAUAUGAAUGUACAAUUUCAAAUAAAUUUGAAAUUAGAACCAAAAAGAAUUCAAGAGGAAUAUACAAUAUAUAUUCAAUAUCAUCGGAUGACCAUAUACAAUUUUGAACAAGUUUCCAUACAUGAUUUAAUGCAUAUAAAGUUCUACGUCCUCGUAAUAGUGUUCUCCUUUAGGAUGGAGGACUUCCCUGCUGAACCAUCCAGCUAGUUCCUCUUGAAGUGGUCGGAAGCGAGCUUCUGGACUAAGCAUCCACCGGAGGUUAUUCCUCUGAGCAUUGGUAUCACUCGGAACCCGCUCAGAGGUGUAUCUCCGGAUCAUCUCACAGACAUAGUAUCCACAUAGAUUGGUCUCCGGUGGCUGAAUAUCCCCAGCAUUCUUAGCCACUGACCUUUUGAAUUCUAGCUCUUUUUUGAAUUCACCGACCUUUGUAUCUACGAACCGUCUCCAAACCCUACGAGGCAAAGAAAAUUAAAUGAACAAGAGAGUUAUUAGUUACUUGAUAUUAGGAAAUGAACGAAAUAGGCCGAUUGAUAUAGAGCGCAAAUGAAUGAAAAUAAUUACUUCUGCAGCAUUCUUCUCAUGCCGCCCCAAAGCUUUGGAUCCAUAUUCACAGAGUCGUGGACGAGACAUUCUGAGGUGUUAACUUUAAUUACUAGCAGAAUCCAGUGGAACCUGCGGACACGAUACAUGCACAGUACGUCAUGCAUAACUCAUCGAUUAGCCGGCCACAUACCAUGCAUGGAGUAAACAAAAGAGAAUGUGCUCAAGACACAAACACUCACCCAAAAUGGUAAGGAAAUAGAAUAUCACUUUUGAGUUCCUGCUUUGUAAGAAACUGCCACAGGUCUACCUCCACGUCGGCGGGGUGACGCUCCAACACAUGUCCAUUAACGAUGUGUGGGUCAAUGAACCCAACAUCAUGGAUGUUCCUUACUCUGCAUUCCUUAAUCUUCAUUCUGCAUGUAUAAUAGCGGACACAACAAUAUAGUUAGGACAUAUAUAUAGUGCAGGCAAUAUGAACGAGAUGGGGUAGAAAUUAAUAAAUCACUUACAGAACGUAGCAACUGAUGAUAGAUUUAUCGAGCUCGCGCAGAUUGAAAAGCUGGAACAAUUCACUCAGUUCAAUUUGUACAUAGUAAUGUUUGAAGUGAUGCUCAUGUCUAACUUCCGCAUAAAUAUAUUCUUUGGCGUUUUUAUUUUUUAUGUAACCCUUGUACCAUUUCAGCAGACCUUUCAUUUGUGGAGGUAGAUCCUUUUCCUGCGCAGGCUCGACGAGAGGCCCAUUCUUGACAUAUGUAAUUACUACCUCCUUCACUGGCGCCUCAUCAAGGCCUAACAGUUCACGAAGAGUAAUACCUAAGUUGGCCGCUUGUUCUAUGGCACUCGUUACAGUCAAUCCCUGUGCUGCCGCAGCUUGUAUGAUCUCGGGGGCAUCCGGACAGAAGGCUUCCACUAUAAGCGGGGCAAUCGAUUGUUUACUUUGUUCCCCGAGCUGGGCAACUUGUUUCCCGCUUUUUUUACUUUCGGCCUUCUCCCGCUCUUUGUUCUCCUUGAACAUGAGUGCCUGCCUGCGAAGUUCACGUGCAUAGUCGUUAGGCAGAUUCUUCGCGGCUUGGGACGGUGUGCUCAAAAAUGACUUAGCCCACUUGUUUUGCUCAUCAGAAAAUACUGGCUUGGGCUCGAGCUCUCUUUUCUUCUUGCAGUCCGCCUUCCAUUUCUCCAAAUCAGCAGCCGCGGCCGCGUCGACUUCCUCGGCACUACGUUCCCAAGGCCUUGUGGGGAGAGGCUUCAGUGAUGGCUCCGGUACCUUUGUGGUCUUAGGUACAUAAGGGUCCGGGUUAAUAAUCCAGGACUGCUUCUGCUUCUUUGCCGGAGGUGGAUUGGGGGGCGGCGUCUGAUCACCCGCCGGACGAGGACUGGGGGGCGGCGGCUGAUCACCCGCCGGACGUUGUGGACUGGGGGGCGGCGUCGGCUGACGUGACGGAGGUGUAGGUGAACCGCCACCACCACCACCACCACCACCACCGCCACCGCCACCACCACCACCGUAGGGGGGUGGACUUGUUGUCCUUGGCGCCUCGCCUGGAAACUUGAUAAACUUCUUUUGCCAUAGAAUGAAAUGGCGCUUGACAUCUCCAAGUCUUUUCUCCCCUUCAGGUGUAGCAAUGUCAAUCUCCAGGUCCUCAAACCCUUGGACUAUGUCCUCCACCGUGACACGAGCAUAGCCAUCUUGAAUGGGGUUGUUGUGGUGGAGUGCUCCAGGUAAACAUGGUAAAGCACUGCCGAUGGCUACCUUCAUGGACAUGUUCCCGAUAGGAUAAUACAGAUGACAUUCUUCUCCGCUGCUGGCUUCCGAGAUCUGCUGGAUGAUCUUCAUGCUGCACCCGAGCUGCAUCUCUUUCGGCUACUAGUACACUCAUGGUUUUCUUCAUCACAUCCAUUUCCGAUGCCAACCGCGCCACAACAUCUGCUUCCCGAUCCACCUUUCUCUUACGGCUUCUGUAACCGUACGGGUCAUCGUUCUGGGGGAACCCUAUUUUCCACGGAAUGUGCCCCAUGCCUCGUACACGUCCUCCGUGUUCAGGAUUCCCGAGGGAUUUUGUCAGCGCGUCGUUCUCUCUGUUGAACUUGAUCUUCCCCUGUUGAGCAUCCCUCAUUGCGUUAAUAAGGGCUUGGGUGGGUUUAAUUAAUUUGCCCCGGUAAACACACUCCCCUGUCUCCGGGUUCAGCGUUCCCCCAUGCCCGUACCACCAACUUUUGGCCCUUGGGUCCCAUCCCUCCGUACCUGCACGGAUUCCUCGCGCCCUCAGCUCGUUCUCCAUCUUCUCCAACCUAGGCACCCAAAUGCGAUACCCUCCUGGCCCCAUAACAUGAUUGUACUCCUUCUUAGCCGCAUUUUCCUUAUUUUUUCGAUAUUUGAAUGAACUGCUCCGAUUUCUUUUGCUUCACAAAUUCUGGCCAAUCAUGUUUCAGUUUCUCAUAUUGUCCUUUGAAAUCCGGAGUCUUGUUCUGCUUGACAAAGUCAUGGGCUAGAUUUUGCUUGAAUUUCCGGAAUGCGUCGGCCAUCUUAUGAAGAGCGAACUGUUUGACUAGCCUCCUCCUCUCCUUGUUUUCUUCAAUCUUGUUACCCUCCUCAUCGAAUUUGUUGUAUUCCGGAGGUAGAACGAAAUGUUCCAUAAGCUUCUUGAAGCAAUCUUUUUUUGUUCUCUUAUCGACAAAAGUGAAACCAUCAAUUCGUGCCUUCUUUGGCUCAUUCCACUCCUGGACGGUGAUCGAGACGUUGUCUCUAACAAUGGCUCCGCAUUGGCUGACAAACUUGGUGGCGUUCUUGCGGGGCUCCAGCGGCCUGCCGGUUGCACUGUCGACAACCUCGAUGGUGCAUGUUUCUCCUUGUUUCAUCGUCUUGGUUGCGCCACGCUUUGACGACGUACUCGAUUGUUUCGACGAUCCGGCCGAGGGCUAAAAUAAGAAAGAGUCGCGCGCGUUAGUACACACAUAUUUAUUCAAAUCAGUUAGUUUGUAUCACCAGAGGCUCAAUGUAUAUAUAUACCUCGGCGCCGGAGGUGGUUGCUACAUCCAUUUGAAGAUCGUCGUUUAUCGACGUUUGUUCGGCAUCAUCUUGCUGACGGCGCCCUUCAUCUUCACCGUCAAGGUUCAGAUAAGAAGAGAUAUCAUCUUCUUCUUCUCCGGUCGGCACAUAUAGAAUAUCGCCGUUUAUGAUGCCGAACAUAUGUGCUUCACCGUCCGGAUCAUAGUUGUCCAUAAUCGGGUCAGCUCUAUCGUCCGCCAUUAUGUCAGUCCUGAAAACAUGUAGUAAAAACAAAUUAAUUAAGUGAAGAAGGGGGGCGGUGGCGGUGGCGGUGGCGAAAGGGUGGUGGCAAAAGGAGGGGGCGAGGAAGGGGUGGGAGAGGGUGUCGCGGUAGAGCGCGAGACGGGGCGGCACGAACGUCAUUUUGUGAAGAAACUUUGCAAGCAAUUAAACAUUUGUCAAUGUUUGGUAAAAAAAAUACAGGUAGCGUCUGUUGCUCCUAAUGAUUGGAAACGGUUUCCAAUUGCCAACGAGGAUUUAGAUCGACUACUACUACUAGUUGCAUUGCUCCCCAUCGGGACGAUGUUGCUCCUAAUCCCCUCCUUUGGAAUCUAUAGUACUAGUGCAUACUAGCUGGCCGUUGACCGUUGUUGCUCAUCGCGUUUUCUCAAAGUCCACUGAUUUUGCUCAGGGCCAGUUCGGAGAUUUUGCUGGUCCACUGAUUUUGGAUCAACGCCGGGAUGGCAUGGGCGCUCGGCGAUGAUGCGAAGUAGACUUGCACAGGCAACGUGAUGUACAUGGAUGUGUCAGUACGGUACGCUCGGCGAUGCCACGGUAUGGAUGACUUCUCGAGUGGAGAUUGGAGAACCAAGUUCGCCGGUGAAACGUCGGCUCCUGAUCAGAUCUGGGGGUCGCGAACUAGCGAUUGGAUCUCGGAAGGGAGUUAGGAAAGCGAACAGACGUGCGUUCAAGGCUACAACUUUUUUUUUCAGGAUCUUGAAAACAGCUACGCGUUCAAGGCCCGGUCCUGAUUUUGCUCAUCUACCCGGGGCGGCGUUCGCACUGCGCGAGGGCCGACUCCGCGGGGUGCUGCCGCGUCGCCUCGUCGACGCUGAGCGAGUUGGCGAGGACCGUGUACAUGGUCGGCACGUCGCCGGCGGAGAGGGUCAUGCUGUCCCCGACCAGCGGCGGCCACGGACGGGGAGGGCGGCGGCGGUGACUGGGAAGGAAUGAUAGGAGAGGAAGGAAGGUCGCGUGGGGUUGAGGGCGGNNNNNNNNNNGGCGAGGAGGGACUCCUUGGCGGAGAGGCGCUCCGUCUCGCGGGCGUAGCUGGCAGCGGGCUCCCACGCCUGCGCGUACACGUCGUCCCGCCGUGCGUUCAAGGCUACAACUUUUUUUUUUAGGAUCUUGAAAACAACUACGCGUUCAAGGCCGGCCCGGUCCUGAUUUUGCUCAUCUACCCGGGGCGGCGUUCGCACUGCGCGAGGGCCGACUCCGCGGGGUGCUGCCGCGUCGCCUCGUCGACGCUGAGCGAGUUGGCGAGCACCGUGUACAUGGUCGGCACGUCGCCGGCGGAGAGGGUCAUGCUGUCCCCGACCAGCGGCGGCCACGGACGGGGAGGGCGGCGGCGGUGACUGGGAAGGAAUGAUCGGAGAGGAAGGAAGGUCGCGUGGGGUUGAGGGCGGGCGAGCGAGGCGGCAGUACCGAGGCUGGCCGGCGGCGCGCGCGCGGUGGGCGAGGGCGACGGCGGGCGGCGUCGAGGGCGAGGGCGACGGCGGGCGGCGUCGAGGGCGCGGCAGAGACGAACAGGCGAGAAACGGCGGGCGGCGUCGAGGGAGCCUUGUAUUUAUAGCCCCCCCNNNNNNNNNNNNNNNNNNNNNNNNNNNNNNNNNNNNNNNNNNNNNNNNNNNNNNNNNNNNNNNNNNNNNNNNNNNNNNNNNNNNNNNNNNNNNNNNNNNNNNNNNNNNNNNNNNNNNNNNNNNNNNNNNNNNNNNNNNNNNNNNNNNNNNNNNNNNNNNNNNNNNNNNNNNNNNNNNNNNNNNNNNNNNNNNNNNNNNNNNNNNNNNNNNNNNNNNNNNNNNNNNNNNNNNNNNNNNNNNNNNNNNNNNNNNNNNNNNNNNNNNNNNNNNNNNNNNNNNNNNNNNNNNNNNNNNNNNNNNNNNNNNNNNNNNNNNNNNNNNNNNNNNNNNNNNNNNNNNNNNNNNNNNNNNNNNNNNNNNNNNNNNNNNNNNNNNNNNNNNNNNNNNNNNNNNNNNNNNNNNNNNNNNNNNNNNNNNNNNNNNNNNNNNNNNNNNNNNNNNNNNNNNNNNNNNNNNNNNNNNNNNNNNNNNNNNNNNNNNNNNNNNNNNNNNNNNNNNNNNNNNNNNNNNNNNNNNNNNNNNNNNNNNNNNNNNNNNNNNNNNNNNNNNNNNNNNNNNNNNNNNNNNNNNNNNNNNNNNNNNNNNNNNNNNNNNNNNNNNNNNNNNNNNNNNNNNNNNNNNNNNNNNNNNNNNNNNNNNNNNNNNNNNNNNNNNNNNNNNNNNNNNNNNNNNNNNNNNNNNNNNNNNNNNNNNNNNNNNNNNNNNNNNNNNNNNNNNNNNNNNNNNNNNNNNNNNNNNNNNNNNNNNNNNNNNNNNNNNNNNNNNNNNNNNNNNNNNNNNNNNNNNNNNNNNNNNNNNNNNNNNNNNNNNNNNNNNNNNNNNNNNNNNNNNNNNNNNNNNNNNNNNNNNNNNNNNNNNNNNNNNNNNNNNNNNNNNNNNNNNNNNNNNNNNNNNNNNNNNNNNNNNNNNNNNNNNNNNNNNNNNNNNNNNNNNNNNNNNNNNNNNNNNNNNNNNNNNNNNNNNNNNNNNNNNNNNNNNNNNNNNNNNNNNNNNNNNNNNNNNNNNNNNNNNNNNNNNNNNNNNNNNNNNNNNNNNNNNNNNNNNNNNNNCGAGGAAGACCAAUCGGCUUAAGGUCAGGAACAAAGUCAACACAAAACUCAAUUACCUCCUCAUUUCCAUAGCCCUUGGCGAUGCUUCCUUCUGGCCUAGCACGGUUACGAACAUAUUUCUUUAAUACUCCCAUGAACCUCUCGAAGGGGAACAUAUUGUGUAGAAAUACAGGACCGAGAACGAAAAUCUCUUCGACUAGGUGAACCAGGAGGUGCGUCAUAAUAUUGAAGAAGGAUGGCGGGAACACCAACUCGAAACUGACAAGACAUUGGAUCACAUCGUUCUGUAACCAUGGUAGAACUUCUGGAUUGAUUACCUUCUGAGAGAUUGCAUUGAGGAAUGCACAUAGCUUCACAAUGGCUACUCGAACAUUUUCCGGCAGGAGCCCCCUCAAAGCAAUCGGAAGCAAUUGCGUCAUAAUCACGUGGCAGUCGUGAGACUUCAGGUUUUGGAACUUUUUCUCCGCCAUGUUUAUUAUUCCUUUUAUAUUGGACGAGAAUCCAGACGGGACCUUCAUACUGCUCAGGCAUUCAAAAAAGAUGACCUUCUCUUCUUUGGUCAGAGCGUAGCUGGCACGACCUUGAAACCAUUCCGGAUGCCGGUCAUCAGGGUCUUUCAAACGUUGCUGGUCCUGCCGUGCUUCCUUUGUAUCAUUUGUCUUCCCAUACACGCCCAAGAAGCUUAGGAGGUUCACGCAAAUAUUCUUCGUAACGUGCAUCACGUCGAUUGCAGAGCGGACAUCUAGGACUUUCCAAUAUUCUAGCUCCCAGAAUAUAGAUUUCUUCUUCCACAUGGCUGCGUUCCCGUCUGCUCCCUUCGGAACUGAUUGUCCGCCAGGACCCUUUCCAAAGAUGACUUUCAAAUCCUUGACCAUAUCAAAUACCUCAGCACCAGUGCAUUCCGCAGGCUUCGGCCGGUGAUCUGCCUUGCCGUUGUAAUGCUUGCCUUUCUUUCUUACUGGAUGAAUUUUCGGAAGAAAUCGAUGAUGCCCAAGGUACACGUUCUUCUUACAAUUUGGCAAAUGUACACUUUCAGUCUCAUGUAAGCAGUGCGUGCAUGCAUUGUAUCCCUUAUUUGACAGUCCCGAAAGGUUACUAAGAGCAGGCCAAUCGUUGAUGGUUACGAAAAGCAACGCUCGUAGGUCAAAUUCCUCUUGUUUGUGCUCAUCCCACACACGGACACCACCCCACAGCUGUAAAAGUUCAUCAACUAAUGGCCUUAGGUACACAUCGAUGUCGUUGCCGGGUUGCUUCGGACCUUGGAUGAGCACUGGCAUCAUAAUGAACUUCCGCUUCAUGCACAACCAAGAAGGAAGGUUGUAGAUGCAUAGAGUCACGGGCCAGGUGCUAUGGCUGGAGCUCUGCUCGCCAAAAGGAUUCAUGCCAUCCGUACUUAGAGCAAAUCUUAUGUUCCUUGCGUCAGCUGCAAAAUCUUUGAACCAUCUGUCGAUCUUUCUCCAUUGCGUUCCAUCUGCGGUGUGUCUCAACUCCCCGUCCGACUUACGGUCCUCUUUGUGCCAUCGCAACAACUUGGCAUGCUCUUUGUUCCUGAACAGACGUUUCAACCGUGGUAUUAUAGGAGCAUACCACAUCACCUUGGCGGGAACCCUCUUCCUGGGUUUCUGGCCCUCAACAUCGUCACCAGGGUCAUCGCCUCUGAUCUUAUAACGCAAUGCAGUGCAUAUCGGGCAUUCAUUCAAAUUCUCGUAUUCACCGCGGUAGAGGAUGCAGUCGUUGAUGCAUGCAUGUAUCUUCAGAACCUCUAAACCUAGAGGGCAGACAACCUUCUUUGCUUCGUACGUACUGGCGGGCAACUCGUUAUCCUUUGGAAACAUACUCUUCAACAUUUUCAGCAAGUUUUCAAAUGCCGAGUCAGCUACACCUGCCUCUGCCUUCCAUUUCAGCAAAUCCAGUGUGCAGCCCAGCUUUUUCAGACCAUCAUCGCAUCCGGGGUACAGCGCCUUUCUGUGAUCCUCUAACAUGCGAUCCAAAUUCUCCCUCUCCUUUUCAGUUUCGCAGCGUCUCCGUGCAUCAGCAAUGGUCCGACCAAGAUCAUCAACGGGAUCAUCACGUGCCUCUUCUUCACCUUCCCCUUCACCUUCAGCAUCCUCCAUGAAAGUAUCACCGAGAUGAGCAAGAUAGCUUUCAUCGAUGAAAUCAUCCCCUUCUUCAUCUUCUUCCAUUAUAACCCCUCUUUCUCCAUGCUUGGUCCAACAAUUAUAGCUUGGCAUGAAACCGUGCCGAAGCAGAUGCAUGUGAACAUCUCUUGAGGAAGAGUAACCCUUCUGAUUCUUACAGAUAACACAUGGACAGAUAACAAAAAACCCCUGCUUGUUCGCAUUAGCCACUACGAGGAAAUCUUUCAAACCCGUAGUGAACUCGCCGGAGAGUCGGUUACCGUACAUCCAUUGCCGAUUCAUCUGCAUUAUUAUAAUAUAAAAUAUAUAAUUAACCAUCAUGCAUUUGUUAAACUAACUAGCUACAAACAAUAUAAAUUAAACAAUGAACUGCACACAUGCAUAUUUUAUCAAUGACACAUCAAAGGUUCAUCAAGUUGCUAACCGCGAUCGAGGAGUGUGGCUCCAACACUUCAUGUCAUGUUUGUUUCAUGCUCUUGGGGCAUUUCAUCAAACACCUUAUGUGCAUAAGAGGAACCAAAAGCAAACCUACACCCACUUGUGAAGAGAAUGGCUCCAAAUGGCUAAGUGUUGGCUGCUGGAUGGGUAUAUAUAGGGGAGGGGCUUUAGUUGCGGUUGGCUUGGCAAACCGUGACUAAAGGUGCCCGAAGGCCUUUAGUCGCGGUUGUCCUGGCCAACCGCGACUAAAGACCCUCACGUGCGCCAGCUGGCCACCGAGCGCCCUGAGCCCAGGCCUUUGGUCGCGGUUCACCUCCAGAACCGCGACUAAAGGUCCCAUUAGUCGCGGUUCCUACAGCUUCGCGACUUAUGGGGCUGGACGGAAGCUUGUUUUUCCACCAGUGUACUAGGUAAGGUGUCGUUCCAGUCAAAUUGAUGAAUUCAUCUUUUGUUACCUUUGUUAUAGGAAUAUAGGCUGCAUUUAUUAGUCAUAUCGAGCUCUCAAGGAGUCAAGAUCUUGUUAACUUACUAAUAAUUUCUAUAUACCUGCAGCGUUAUGGCCUAUGGUGCAGGGCAAAGACAACAAGGACGACAUGCGGCGGCGACGUGGCCAUGGUGAAGCUACUUCGUCCGGCUACCCCAUGGUUGGCGUGUCUGCCGUCCUCUCAAUCUAUCACACGUACGUCCGGUGCAUGCAUGGUGUCGGGCCGAAGAGCACACAAAUCUACAUCCAGGCCCUGGGCACUAGCAACCGCUGAUGCACUUAGCCACUUACCAAUGUAUUCCUAUUGUACGUAUAUAAUAAAGUGGUUAGUACGUCGACGUAGAAAUAGUUAGUAGCUUGCUUUGCACUCACACAAUCGAGUCAUGAUUGUUACUGAUGAUCAAAAUUUUAUGUAUUUUUUAUGCCGGAUGGGUUUACUACUUCUUCUUCGGUUGUAUAUAAAGCUUCCAAAAAAUUAGUAUAUAAUCCUCCAGAAUAAAUCAGUAUAUAGUCCUCCAAAAAAAUGAGUAUAUACACUUUGUAACGCAGCAUAUACCCCAUAAAAAAUGUAGUAUAACGCUGCAGAAAUAAGACAUACUCCUUUUCUAGUUGCAUAUACCCAAUCACAAAACUACACUGAAAUAAUUAGUAGUACAUACUCCUUUUCUAUUUUGGAAAGGAACGUCCAUUUCCCUCUUCAACAAGUGCUUUAUUUUUCUAGGGGUAGCCUUGUGUUUUUACUGCCAUGCGACGACAUUACAAAAUGUAUUACACCCAUUAUUCAUCUAAUUUUUUAUAUACCCUUUUAUGCAUACUUUGAAUUUAUCACUCAUUUGGGCGACCAGCCCGCUCUCUCAUUGCAGCGACUCGACUCUCACAUAAAGCCAGUAUAUACUCACGUAAAAAAAAGCAGUAUAGACUCCCUUACUGAAAAAGAACUAUAUACUCCCCUACCAAAAAAAGUAGUAUAUGCUCCAUUACCAAAAAGGCAGUAUAUACUCAUAUACAAAAGGUGGUAUAUACUGUCUUCCCAAAGUAGUAUAUAUCUUUUUCCUUGCGUUAGAGAAGUAGUAUAACCAGAACAGAUAGUUCAUACUUGUGUGCUGAAAAAAGUAGUAUAUAAAUAUAUAUGUAAGAGUGAGUAUGGUAGAUAUGUAUCGGUCCUUACAAAAAAAAUCAACCACUGUUAUUGUUUAUUUGCACCGAACUAACCUUAUCUGUAUGCUAGGAUCCUUGAAUCUCUCAAUCUGUUGAUGCACAUGCAUGCGUCGGCCGGUGGAGCAAUUAGCAACUAGAUCUAAUAACUGCCAACCUGUUCAGUCCAUGGGAGUACAUACUCCUGGGAGUAUAAAAGAGGAGUCUAUAUAUAUAUAUAUAUAUAUAUAUAUAUACGGUGGCGCUAUUGUGUGCGUGAGCGCAGAUUUACUUAUCGUGCGCGCCGGUCAUUGCGUGCGCCACUCGUAUUCCUAAUGAUGGUAAAAUUCCUGGCAGAAAUAGUAAUAUAAUUUAAUUGGUUACUGCCUGCCACCACCACGGUAGCGAUUUAAUUGGUUAGGUCUACUAGUAAAAAUGCAUAGCAGAAAAAGUAAAAGAGCUAAAAGUAUUACUGUUGGAUGCAUCGGUCCCCGCUUCGACUGCCUACUAGUAAAACACCUCAUAAAAGUAGUAAUAGGAUUACCCUACACGCAUCAGCCCCUUGCCAUACUUGUGAACAGGUAAACUUCAUGUGAAGAAUAGUACUGGAUGGUAACUGUGUUACCAUAGAACGGACACUUGCUAUUAGCUAGCUACAUGGUAAUUUUAUUACCGCUAACUUUCAUCGGUUUAAUACCUAAUCAUGUUACCACUUAUUUUCUUAGUAGUAUUGGAUGGUAACUAUGUUACCACAUGACGAAAAAAUUGCUAUUAGCUAAUAGCUACACGGUAAUUGCAUUACCACUCAUGUGUAGAAGCAUGAUACACGGUCUUUUUUCCAAUUACGUUUGGUCGAAGACGCAAGGGUUUGCUAAUCGCUAAAGUGGGGUCGAAGCAGUAAUAAGUUUCCAACCGUUACCAUGUUUCUUAAGGUAUGUUACGUAUGGGCGCAAGACAUGUUCUUUAAUAGGAGCGGGACAACGGUUGCUUAGACGGAGAAUGGCGCGCAGUCUGGCCGGAGCGUAGAAUUAGACUUCUGCGCUCAGGCUUAGUUUAGCACGUCUAUAUAUAUAUAUAUAUAUAUAUAUAUAUAUAUACAUACAUGUUAGUGGCCUCGACGCUGCUUCUCUAGGGUUUGGGGUCGCCUCGACACAACGCUUCAAGGGUUUGGGGUGGCCUCGACGACAACGUUUUUUUAACUUGAUAAAUUUGGGUGGCCUCGAGAGAGUUAAUUUGUCGGGUAGGGGCGCGGCGGGAGGGGGUAGGAGACCAACAUCGUUUUCUCUCUAGGGUUUGGGUGUCCUCGAGAGUUAUCGGGGAGGGGGUAUCGGUACCACCCCCUAGCUCGUGUUGAAGUUUCUUCUUUCUCCUCUAUUCCUUUCUUUCUUCUUCUCCUCUUCUUUUUCUUCUUCUCCCUCGAGAAAGGAAAAUANNNNNNNNNNNNNNNNNNNNNNNNNNNNNNNNNNNNNNNNNNNNNNNNNNNNNNNNNNNNNNNNNNNNNNNNNNNNNNNNNNNNNNNNNNNNNNNNNNNNNNNNNNNNNNNNNNNNNNNNNNNNNNNNNNNNNNNNNNNNNNNNNNNNNNNNNNNNNNNNNNNNNNNNNNNNNNNNNNNNNNNNNNNNNNNNNNNNNNNNNNNNNNNNNNNNNNNNNNNNNNNNNNNNNNNNNNNNNNNNNNNNNNNNNNNNNNNNNNNNNNNNNNNNNNNNNNNNNNNNNNNNNNNNNNNNNNNNNNNNNNNNNNNNNNNNNNNNNNNNNNNNNNNNNNNNNNNNNNNNNNNNNNNNNNNNNNNNNNNNNNNNNNNNNNNNNNNNNNNNNNNNNNNNNNNNNNNNNNNNNNNNNNNNNNNNNNNNNNNNNNNNNNNNNNNNNNNNNNNNNNNNNNNNNNNNNNNNNNNNNNNNNNNNNNNNNNNNNNNNNNNNNNNNNNNNNNNNNNNNNNNNNNNNNNNNNNNNNNNNNNNNNNNNNNNNNNNNNNNNNNNNNNNNNNNNNNNNNNNNNNNNNNNNNNNNNNNNNNNNNNNNNNNNNNNNNNNNNNNNNNNNNNNNNNNNNNNNNNNNNNNNNNNNNNNNNNNNNNNNNNNNNNNNNNNNNNNNNNNNNNNNNNNNNNNNNNNNNNNNNNNNNNNNNNNNNNNNNNNNNNNNNNNNNNNNNNNNNNNNNNNNNNNNNNNNNNNNNNNNNNNNNNNNNNNNNNNNNNNNNNNNNNNNNNNNNNNNNNNNNNNNNNNNNNNNNNNNNNNNNNNNNNNNNNNNNNNNNNNNNNNNNNNNNNNNNNNNNNNNNNNNNNNNNNNNNNNNNNNNNNNNNNNNNNNNNNNNNNNNNNNNNNNNNNNNNNNNNNNNNNNNNNNNNNNNNNNNNNNNNNNNNNNNNNNNNNNNNNNNNNNNNNNNNNNNNNNNNNNNNNNNNNNNNNNNNNNNNNNNNNNNNNNNNNNNNNNNNNNNNNNNNNNNNNNNNNNNNNNNNNNNNNNNNNNNNNNNNNNNNNNNNNNNNNNNNNNNNNNNNNNNNNNNNNNNNNNUGAAAACACUUUUUUUUGUUUUCUUUCUUGCUUUAUUUAUUUUAUUUUGUUUCUACUUGCAAUAAAAUACUUAUUGUUGUUUUUUUGUUUUGUUUUCUGCAUUAUUUAUUUUCUUUUGUUUUUUGCUUUAUUUUUUAAUUCUUUUUGCUUUUAGUUUUAGGAAAAUUAUAAACUUUCUAUUAGUGCCAUUACUUUUCAAAUUUGAAAACACUUUUUUGUUUUUUAGUUUUCUUUCUUGCUUUAUUUAUUUUAUUUUGUUUCUACUUACAACAAAAUACUUAUUGUUGCUAUUUUUAAUUAUUACGAAGGCCAAACCAUAAGACAUUAAAGCAUUUCAAAUGAACUCUGAAAAAGUUGAAAGUUGGCAUGGUAUCAUAAAUUGACCCACACAUAGCAUGUGCAUGUACAAAACGGACAAUGUUAUCAUACUCGUCAGUUACAAAGUUGGCAUGGUAUCAUCAUAAUAGUUGCGGGAGAAAGUCUUCACUUUUUCUUCGCUUGUGUCAUUUGCUUAUUGCGCCGUAACCAUGGAUAAUCUUCAUCGUUUAUCAGGAUGCUGGGGUCAGCCUUGACUUUAAAGGGAGGAAUUUCAUGAAACUUUUCAUAAUCUUCAGACAUGUCUGUCUUGUCCUCCUCUCCCACGAUGUCCCUUUUUCCUGAAAGAACUAUGUGGCGCUUUGGCUCAUCGUAUGAUGUAUUCGCUUCCUUAUCUUUUCUCUUUCUUGGUCUGGUAGACAUGUCCAUCACAUAGAUAACCUGUGCCACAUCAUUGGCUAGGACGAACGGUUCGUCAGUGUACCCAAGAUUUUUCGGAUCCACUGUUGUCGUUCCGUACUGUGGGUCUACAUGUACCCCGCCUCCUGACAGAUUGACCCAUUUGCACUUAAACAAAGGGACCUUAAAAUCAUGUCCUUAGUCAAGUUCCCAUAUGUCCACUAUGUAACCAUAAUAUGUGUCCUUUCCCCUCUCGGUUGUUGCAUCAAAGCGGACACCGCUGUUUUGGUUGGUGCUCUUUUGAUCUUGGUUAAUCGUGUAAAAUGUCUUCCCAUUUAUCUCAUAUCCUUUCCAAAUCGUAACAGUCGAAGAUGGUCCCCUGGAUAACAAGUACAUCUCAUCACAAACAGCGUUGUCACCUCUGAUACGUGCUUCCAACCAACUGCUGAAAGUCCUGAUGUGUUCACAUGUAAUUCAGUCGUCGCACUGCUCCGGGUGUUUGGAGCGCAGACUGUUCUUGUGUUCAUCCACAUACGGGGUCACCAAGGUAGAGUUCUGUAGAACUGUGUAGUGUGCUUGAGACCAAGAAUAUCUGUCCCUGCAUAUUAUUGAGUCCCUUCCAAGCAUGCCUUUUCCAGUCAGUCUCCCCUCAUACCGCGAUUUAGGGAGACCUAUCUUCUUAUGGCCAGGAAUGAAGUCAACACAAAACCCGAUGACAUCCUCUGUUUGAUGGCCCAUGGAGAUGCUUCCUUCUGGCCUAGCGCGAUGAGGGACAUAUUUCUUUAGGACUCCCAUGAACCUCUCAAAGGGGUACAUAUUGUGUAGAAAUACGGGGCCCAAAAUGACAAUCUCGUCAACUAGAUGAACUAGGACGUGCGUCAUGAUAUUGAAGAAGGAUGGUGGGAACACCAGCUCGAAACUGACAAGACAUUGCACCACAUCACUCCUUAGCCUUGGUAUGAUUUCUGGAUCGAUCACCUUCUGAGAGAUUGCAUUGAGGAAUGCACAUAGCUUCACAAUGGCUAAUCGGACGUUUUCCGGUAGAAGCCCCCUCAAUGCAACCGGAAGCAGUUGUGUCAUAAUCACGUGGCAGUCAUGAGACUUUAGGUUCUGAAACUUUUUCUUUGCCAUAUUUAUUAUUCCUUUUAUAUUCGACGAGAAGCCAGUCGGGACCUUCAUACUAAGCAGGCAUUCAAAGAAGAUUUCCUUCUCUUCUUUGGUAAGAGCAUAGCUGGCAGGACCUUCAUACUGCUUUGGAGGCAUGCCGUCUUUUUCGUGCAAAUGUUGCAGGUCCUCCCGUGCCUCAGCUGUAUCUUUUGUCUUCCCAUACACGCCCAAGAAGCCUAGCAGGUUCACGCAAAGGUUCUUCGUCACGUGCAUCACGUCGAUCGAAGAGCGGACCUCUAGGUCUUUCUAGUAGGGUAGGUCCCAAAAUAUAGAUUUCUUCUUCCACAUGGGUGCGUGUCCCCCAACGUCACUCGGAACAGCUAGUCUGCCGGGACCCUUUCCAAAGAUUACGUGUAAAUCAUUGACCAUAGCAAGUACGUGACCACCGGUACGCAUGGCGGGCUUCUUCCGGUGAUCUGCCUCGCCUUUGAAAUGCUUGCCUUUCUUUCGACAUUGAUGGUUGGUCGGAAGAAAUCGACGAUGGCCCAGGUACACAUUCUUCCUACAGCUUGCCAGGUAUAUACUAACGGUGUCAAGUAAACAGUGCGUGCAUGCGUGGUAUCCCUUGUUUGUCUGUCCUAAAAGGUUACUGAGAGCAGGCCAAUCGUUGAUGGUCACGAACAGCAACGCCUUUAGGUUAAAUUUCUCCUGUUUGUGCUCAUCCCACGUACGUACACCGUUUCCAUUCCACAGCUGUAAAAGUUCUUCAACUAAUGGCCUUAGGUACACAUCAAUGUCAUUGCCGGGUUGCUUAGGGCCUUGGAUGAGAACUGGCAUCAUAAUGAACUUCCGCUUCAUGCACAUCCAAGGAGGAAGGUUAUACAUACAUAGAGUCACGGGCCAGGUGCUGUGAUUGCUGCUCUGCUCCCCGAAAGGAUUAAUGCCAUCCGCACUUAAAGCAAACCAUACGUUCCUUGGCUCACUUGCAAACUCAUCCCAGUACUUUCUCUCAUUUUUCUCCAUUGCGACCCGUCAGCGGGUGCUCUCAACUUCCCGUCUUUCUUACGGUCCUCACUAUGCCAUCGCAUCAACUUGGCAUGCUCUCCGUUUCUGAACAGACGUUUCAACCGUGGUAUUAUAGGAGCAUACCACAUCACCACUACUAGGGAAAAGCCUAUACAUAGAAUCUUACCAGCAGCGCUCUUCAAAAUACAACGCUACUGCUACUUAGCAGCAGCGCGUGUCUGCCAAACACGCUGCUGACUUGGAAGUAGCAGUAGCGGGUGCAUCGCAUACAGCGCUACUGCUAUAGUUGCCAUGACCUUGCCCCCCCCCCCCCNNNNNNNNNNNNNNNNNNNNNNNNNNNNNNNNNNNNNNNNNNNNNNNNNNNNNNNNNNNNNNNNNNNNNNNNNNNNNNNNNNNNNNNNNNNNNNNNNNNNNNNNNNNNNNNNNNNNNNNNNNNNNNNNNNNNNNNNNNNNNNNNNNNNNNNNNNNNNNNNNNNNNNNNNNNNNNNNNNNNNNNNNNNNNNNNNNNNNNNNNNNNNNNNNNNNNNNNNNNNNNNNNNNNNNNNNNNNGCAAACGCGCUACAACUAUCCCUACCUUAUCCCCAUGCGCACGACCGGCCCUCUCACUCACACUCUCACUCUCGCCCACGUCAACCGUCGUCGUCCGUCGCCGCCGCCGCCGCCUUCGUCCGUCCGCCGCCGAGGUACUCCCCUCCUUCCGUCCCUCCUCCAUCCUCCUUGCACAUCCUCCCUCCGCCUGUGGCCGCCCCUCCUUCCUCCGCCGCUGCCCUCCUCCCUCCGCCUGCGGCCGCCCCUCCUCCCUCCUCCGACGGCAGCCCUCCUCCCACCGCCCUCGACCUCGCUGCCCCUAGCUACCUCUCCGUCGCCCCCCACCCCUGCCACUAGUUAGUACUAGAUUUAGUAGUAGUAGAUGUUAAUUUAGGGUUAGCUAGUACUAGAUGUUGCUUAGUUAGUACUAGAUUUUUAGUAGUAGUAGUGGUAGUUGAACUACUUUAGUUGUAGUUGAACUAGUUUAGUAAGUAAAUUAAUAAACGAGUUGAACUAGUUGAAUUAAUAGAACUAAUCUAUUUUUAGUAAGAUAAUUAAUAUAACUAGUUGAACUACUUUAUUUUUAGAAAGAACUAAUUUUUUUCUAUUUAUAUUAAGUUUAUAUUUAGUAAGAACUAGUUGAAUUAAUAAAACUAGUUGAACAUGUCAUGUUUGUUGUUAGUGAUAACUUAUAUGGUUUCAGGUGACCUCCGUCGUCCCCGUCACCGACCCCCUCCGACAUCCCCGUCGUCGUCCCAGUCACCGACCCCCUCCGACAUCGAGGUGAGACCAGCCAAAUAUCCUUGUAUAUCUUGUGUUGUUGCUCAAAUUGGAUAUGUGGUUGCCCAAGUGGCCGUUCAUGUAGUUUACAUCUCCGAGUGGCCUAUGUUUUGCCGGAGUGUUGAUUAAUUUCCGUUCCGACAAAUUUCAGGCGCUCGAUAUGUCCUUUUUUAGCAAAGGUCAUGCCGGAUUUUGUCGUGAAUUCUGGUAUGACUUGUGCUAGAAUAUGUACAAGUUUAAUCUUUGAAUUAUGAUUGUAGGAAAUGUCGUACUCGGACGACGAAGGUCUCCCGGGGGAGUGUAGCUGGUGCCACGACGAUCGAGGUAUGUGCGAUAGGUUCGUUCGGCUGGACGAAGAUCGGCGCUUCAACAUUAAGCUCGAGGAGACCUUCGAUUGUGAAAUGGUACGCAACAACGACAAGUGUUUUUUCUCCAUUAAGCAUGACUUCAACUAUUUCAACGUCUAAUUUUCAUAUUUUACAAUUCGACUAGCUUAUCCCAUGCCAUGCAAGACGCUAUGUCUUGGAGAGGAUGGGUUUUGAAGACCAUGAAAAUUUCAAAACAAAGAAAAUACACCUAAGGACCCAUCAUGAUAUGGAUUUUGAAGUAAACCUGUGCAAUGCUCAGAGCGCAACCCAUUUUGGUUGCCAAAAUUGGGAAGCACUUUGCAAAAUGUAUGGUUUUUAUGAGGGUAUGAUUGUCACCAUGGAUCUUGGUGAUCCUGACAGUGAGGAAGACAAUAUGGACAUUUGGGUCCUUGUUGAUACGCUUCCGAUUGUACCGCUAUGUGACUUUCUCAAACAUAGUUAUUAACUAAUUUAUAUUGUUUAUUUCAAAAUAGUUGAUAGCUUAUUUCCAUUGACAGCUUAUUUUGAUUCUUCAAAGACUGUGCGGAAGAUGGUAGAUAAAACCCACUACACCGAAGGCACCCAAUUAACGUAUAAGGAGAAAAAUCAUCUGAUCGCAUUUUGUACUCUUCUUGAGAAUUACAAUGACUAUAAUCGAACUCCUCCAGAUUAUGGUGAAUAUGUGCCACUAGUGCAUGUGUUGAACAACGAUAACUUAUCUGGAGAUACCCUGGUAAGAUUUUUUACUAUUACGACAUCCGUGUAUUUUUUGCAUACUUCUAAAACUAGUACAUCAUUGCUAACUACGAAGUUAUUAUUAUGUUUUUCAACAGAAACUCCCGAUGGAUUGUGUGCCUCAUCUGAUGUCUCUGCAUGGUCGCCUCUCAGUUCUGAACAUACUGCCAGGUAAAUCUACAGAGCUCACCUAUGCAUAUCAGAUUUCUAAAACCCGUGAACACAUGAUCAUCAGAGAAUGGAAGAAAUGUAUGGACAUUCGCAAGGAGGUUCUUGGAAGUAACAUUCAGCGAAACGUAAGAAUGGGAGACAGGCUAAUCUCCAUUCUCCAUAAUGGAGAGUCAGGGGCUAUCUUGUUUUUUGUUAUUUUACCUUAGAAAAUGUAGUAGGUCUUAAUCGAAUGUAAUAGGUCCUAUGAGGUACAAUAUGUUUAUUAUGUGGUAAUGUGUUAGAGUUGAUAAUGAUGAUCUUGAGGAGGUGUUAUGUGAUGUCAAUGAUGAAAACGAUGAUAUUGAGGAGGUGUUAUAUGACAAUGAUGUAUUAUGAUGCUAAGUUGUUAAUGAUAUGAUGAUGAUGAUGAUAUUAUUAUAUCAUUGGGUGAAAGAACCGUGGAUUAGUUUCAAGUGGAUGGACAUCCACUUGAAACUAGUCCACGGUUCUUUCACCCCAUGAUGUAAUAACUCAUUAUGAUGUAAAAACAAUCUCUAAAUUCCUGUUGUAUGAAAACUUGUGUAAGGGUGUAUGAAUACAACAUGAAAAAGAAAAGAAAUAAAAUACUAAAUAAUAGUAGUAGCGCGGGUAAGGAGAAGCGCUACUACUAAUUACCAGUAGCGAUGUUCUAAAGAACCGCUGCUACUAAGUCAAUUUAGCAGUAGCGCGUGUCAAGACGCGCUAUUGCUAAGCAUUAGCUGUAGCGCCUUAUCAGUAGCGCUCCUGCCCGCGCUACUGAUAGGCCCAAAACCCGCGCUGCUGCUAGGCUUUUCCCUAGUAGUGCACCUUCGCAGGAACCCUCUUCCUGGGGGGCUCGCCGUCAACAUCACCAGGGUCAUCUCGUCUGAUCUUAUACCAUAAUGCACCGCAUACCAGGCAUGCGUUCAGAUCCUUAUAUGCACCGCGGUAGAGGAUGCAGUCAUUAGGGCAUGCAGGUAUCUUCUGCACCUCCAAUCCUAGAGGGCAUACGACCUUCUUUGCUGCGUAUGUACUGUCGGGCAAUUCGUUAUCCUUUGGAAGCUUCUUCUUCAAUAUUUUCAGUAGCUUCUCAAAUCCUUUGUCAGGCACAGCAUUCUCUUAAAGGAAAUAUGCCCUAGAGGCAAUAAUAAAGUUAUUAUUUAUUUCCUCAUAUCAUGAUAAAUGUUUAUUAUUCAUGCUAGAAUUGUAUUAACCGGAAACAUGAUACAUGUGUGAAUACAUAGACAAAACUAUAGUCACUAGUAUGCCUCUACUUGACUAGCUCAUUAAUCAAAGAUGGUUAUGUUUCCUGACCAUAGACAUGUGUUGUCAUUUGAUUAGUGGGAUCACAUCAUUAAGAGAAUGAUGUGAUUGACAUGACCCAUUCUGUUAGCCCAGCACUUGAUCGUUUAGUAUACUGCUAUUGCUUUCUUCAUGACUUAUACAAAGUUCCUGCAACUAUGAGAUUGUGCAACUCCCGUUUACCGGAAGAACACUUUGUGUGCUACCAAACAUCACAACGUAACUGGGUGAUUAUAAAGGUGCUCUACAGGUGUUUCCGAAGGUACAUGUUGGGUUGGCAUAAUUCGAGAUUAGGAUUUGUCACUCCGAUUGUCGGAGAGGUAUCUCUGGGCCCUCUCGGAAAUACUCAUCACAUAAGCCUUGCAAGCAUGUAACUAAUGAGUUAGUUAUGAGAUGACGUAUUACGAAACGAGUAAAGAGACUUGCCGGUAACGAGAUUGAACUAGGUAUUGGAUACCGACGAUCAAAUCUCGGGCAAGUAACAUACCGAUGACAAAGGGAACAAAGUAUGUUGUUAUGCGGUUUGACCGAUAAAGAUCUUCGUAGAAUAUGUAGGAACCAAUAUGGGCAUCCAGGUCCCGCUAUUGGUUAUUGACCGAGAAUGGUUUUAGGUCAUGACUACAUAGUUCUCAAACCCGUAGGGUCCGCACGCUUAACUUUUUGAUGAUAGUUUUAUUAUGAGUUUAUAAGUUUUGAUGUACCAAAGUUUGUUCGGAGUUCCGGAUGUGAUCACGGAUAUGAUGAGGAGUCUCGGAAUGCUUGAGCCAUAAAGAUUGAUAUAUUGGACGACUAUAUUCGGACACCGGAAAGGUUCCGGGAGUUUUCGGAGAAAACCGGAGUGCCCGGGGGGUUACCGAAACCCCCCGGGAGAGUUAAUGGGCCACAUGGGCCUAGGUGGGAAGAGAAAGGGGCGGCCAGGGUGAGCCGCGCGCCCCCUCUCCCUCUAGUCCGAAUUGGACUAGGAGGGGGGGCGGCGCCCCCUUUCCUUCCCCCCCUCUCUUCCUUCCUUCCCCCUCCUAGUAGGAGUAGGAAAGGAGGAAUCCUACUCCUACUAGGAGGAGGAUUCCUCCUCCCUUGCGCGCCCCAAGGGGCCGGCCGGCCUCCCCCUCCCUCCUUUAUAUACGGGGGCAGGGGGCACCCCAUAGACACACAAGUUGAUCUACGGAUCGUUCCUUAGCCGUGUGCGGUGCCCCCUUCCACCAUAUUCCACCUCGGUCAUAUCGUCGCGAAGCUUAGGCGAAGUCCUGCGCCGGUAGAACAUCAAGAUCGUCACCACGCCGUCGUGCUGACGGAACUCUCCCUCGACACUCGGCUGGAUCGGAGUUCGAGGGACGUCAUCGAGCUGAAUGUGUGCUGAACUCGGAGGCUCCGUACGUUCGGUUCUUGGAUCGGUCGGAUCGUGAAGACGUAUGACUACAUCAACCGCGUUGUCAUAACGCUUCCGCUUACGGUCUACGAGGGUACAUGGACAUACACUCUCCCCUCUCGUUGCUAUGUCAUCACCAUGAUCUUGCGUGUGCGUAGGAAAAUUUUGAAAUUACUACGUUCCCCGACAGUGGUAUCAGAGCCUAGGUUUUAUGCGUUGAUGUUAUAUGCACGAGUAGAACACAAGUGAGUUGUGGACGAUAUAAGUCAUACUGCCUACCAGUGUGUCAUACUUUGGUUCAGCGGUAUUGUGAGAUGAAGCGGCCCGGACCGACAUUACGGGUACGCUUACGCGAGACUAGUUUCACCGUUAUGAGCACUCGUGCUUAAAGGUGGCUGGCGGGUGUCUGUCUCUCUCACUUUAGUUGAACCGAGUGUGGCUACGCCCGGCCCUUGUGAAGGUUAAAACGGAGUCUAUUUGACAAACUAUCGUUGUGGUUUUGAUGCGUAGGUAAGAACGGUUCUUGCUAAGCCCGUAGCAUCCACGUAAAAUUUGCAACAACAAAGUAGAGGACGUCUAACUUGUUUUUGCAGGGCAUGUUGUGAUAUGAUAUGGUCAAGACGUGAUGCUAUAUUUUAUUGUAUGAGAUGAUCAUGUUUUGUAACCGAAGUUAUCGGCAACUGGCUGGAGCCAUAUGGUUGUCGCUUUAUUGUAUGAAAUGCAAACGCCCUGUAAUUGCUUUACUUUAUCUCUAAGCGGUAGCGAUAGUCGUAGAAGCAAUAGAUGGCGUAAACGACAACGAUGCUACGAUGGAGAUCAAGGUGUCGCGCCGGUGACGAUGGUGAUCAUGACGGUGCUUCGAAGAUGGAGAUCACAAGCACAAGAUGAUGAUGGCCAUAUCAUAUCACUUAUAUUGAUUGCAUGUGAUGUUUAUCCUUUAUGCAUCUUAUCUUGCUUUGAUUGACGGUAGCAUUUUAAGAUGAUCUCUCACUAAAAUUAUCAAGUAGUGUUCUCCCUGAGUAUGCACCGUUGCCAAAGUUCAUCGUGCCGAGACACCACGUGAUGAUCGGGUGUGAUAAGCUCUACGUCCAUCUACAACGGGUGCAAGCCAGUUUUGCACACGCAGAAUACUCAGGUUAAACUUGACGAGCCUAGCAUAUGCAGAUAUGGCCUCGGAACACAGAGACCGAAAGGUCGAGCGUGAAUCAUAUAGUAGAUAUGAUCAACAUAAUGAUGUUCACCAUUGAAAACUACUCCAUCUCACGUGAUGAUCGGUUAUGGUUUAGUUGAUUUGGAUCACGUGAUCACUUAGAUGACUAGAGAGAUGUCUGUCUAUGUGGGAGUUCUUAAGUAAUAUGAUUAAUUGAACUUAAAUUUAUCAUGAACUUAGUACCUGAUAGUAUCUUGCUUGUCUAUGUUUGUUUGUAGAUAGAUGGCUCGUGCUGUUGUUCCGUUGAAUUUUAAUGCGUUCCUUGAGAAAGCAAAGUUGAAAGAUGAUGGUAGCAAUUACACGGACUGGGUCCGUAACCUGAGGAUUAUCCUCAUUGUUGCACAGAAGAGUUACGUCCUGGAAGCACCGCUGGGUGCCAGGCCUGCUGCUGAUGCAACUGACGACGUUAAGAACGUCUGGCAGAGCAAAGCUGAUGACUACUCUAUAGUUCAGUGUGCCAUGCUUUACGGCUUAGAACCGGGUCUUCAACGACGUUUUGAACGUCAUGGAGCAUAUGAGAUGUUCCAGGAGUUGAAGUUAAUAUUUCAAGCAAAUGCCCGGAUUGAGAGAUAUGAAGUCUCCAAUAAGUUCUAUAGCUGCAAGAUGGAGGAGAAUAGUUCUGUCAGUGAACAUAUACUCAGAAUGUCUGGGUAUAACAAUCACUUGAUUCAACUGGGAGUUAAUCUUCCUGAUGAUAGUGUCAUUGACAGAAUUCUUCAAUCACUGCCACCAAGCUACAAGAGCUUUGUGAUGAACUAUAAUAUGCAAGGGAUGAACAAGACUAUUCCCGAGCUCUUCGCGAUGCUGAAAGCCGCAGAGGUAGAAAUCAAGAAGGAGCAUCAAGUGUUGAUGGUCAACAAGACCACUAGUUUCAAGAAGAAGGGCAAAGGAAAGAAGAAGGGGAACUUCAAAAAGAACGGCAAGCAAGUUGCUGCUCAAGAGAAGAAACCCAAGUCUGGACCUAAGCCUGAAACUGAGUGCUUCUACUGCAAGCAGACUGGUCACUGGAAGCGGAACUGCCCCAAGUAUUUGGCGGAUAAGAAGGAUGGCAAAGUAAACAAAGGUAUAUGUGAUAUACAUGUUAUUGAUGUGUACCUAACUAGAGCUCGUAGUAGCACCUGGGUAUUUGAUACUGGUUCUGUUGCUAAUAUUUGCAACUCGAAACAGGGACUACGGAAUAAGCGAGCACUGGCCAAGGACGAGGUGACGAUGCGCGUGGAAAACGGUUCCAAAGUCGAUGUGAUCGCGGUCGGCACGCUACCUCUACAUCUACCAUCGGGAUUAGUUUUAGACCUAAAUAAUUGUUAUUUGGUGCCAGCGUUGAGCAUGAACAUUAUAUCUGGAUCUUGUUUGAUGCAAGACGGUUAUUCAUUUAAAUCAGAGAAUAAUGGUUGUUCUAUUUAUAUGAGUAAUAUCUUUUAUGGUCAUGCACCCUUGAAGAGUGGUCUAUUUUUAUUGAAUCUCGAUAGUAGUGAUACACAUAUUCAUAUUGUAGAAGCCAAAAGAUGCAGAGUUGAUAAUGAUAGUGCAACUUAUUUGUGGCACUGCCGUUUGGGUCAUAUCGGUGUACAACGCAUGAAGAAACUCCAUACUGAUGGACUUCUGGAAUCACUUGAUUAUGAAUCACUUGGUACUUGCGAACCGUGCCUUAUGGGCAAGAUGACUAAAACACCGUUCUCCGGAACUAUGGAGAGAGCAACAGAUUUGUUGGAAAUCAUACAUACAGAUGUAUGUGGUCCGAUGAAUGUUGAGGCUCGUGGCGGAUAUCAUUAUUUUCUCACCUUCACUGAUGAUUUAAGCAGAUAUGGGUAUAUCUACUUAAUGAAGUACAAGUCUGAAACAUUUGAAAAGUUCAAAGAAUUUCAGAGUGAAGUAGAAAAUCAUCGUAACAAGAAAAUAAAGUUUCUACGAUCUGACCGUGGAGGAGAAUAUUUGAGUUACGAGUUUGGUUUACAUUUGAAACAAUGCGGAAUAGUUUCGCAACUCACGCCACCUGGAACACCACAACGAAAUGGUGUGUCCAAACGUCGUACUCGUACUUUACUUGAUAUGGUGCGAUCUAUGAUGUCUCUUACCGAUUUACCGCUAUCGUUUUGGGGUUAUGCUUUAGAGACGGCCGCAUUCACGUUAAAUAGGGCACCAUCAAAAUCCGUUGAGAUGACGCCUUAUGAACUGUGGUUUGGCAAGAAACCAAAGUUGUCGUUUCUUAAAGUUUGGGGCUGCGGUACUUAUGUGAAGAAACUUCAACCAGAUAAGCUCGAACCCAAAUCGGAGAAAUGUGUCUUCGUAGGAUACCCAAAGGAGACUAUUGGGUACACCUUCUAUCACAGAUCUGAAGGCAAGAUUUUCGUUGCUAAAUUCGGAUCCUUUCUAGAGAAGGAAUUUCUCUCGAAAGAAGUGAGUGGGAGGAAAGUAGAACUUGAUGAGAUAACUGUAUCUACUCCCUUAUUGGAAGGUAGUUCAUCACGAGAACUGGUUCCCAUGACAACUACACCAAUUAUUGAGGAAGCUAAUAAUAUUGAUCAUGAAACUUCAGAUCAAGUUUCUGCUGAACCUCGUAGGUCUACCAGAGUAAGAUCCGCACCAGAGUGGUACGGUAAUCCUAUUCUGGAAGUCAUGUUACUUGACCAUGAUGAACCUACGAACUAUGAGGAACCGAUGAUGAGCCCAGAUUCCGCAAAAUGGCUAGAGGCCAUGAAAUCUGAGAUGGGAUCCAUGGAUGAAAACAAAGUAUGGACUUUGGUUGACUUGCCCGAUGAUCGGCAAGCCAUUGAGAAUAAAUGGAUCUUUAAGAAGAAGACUGACGCUGAUGGUAAUGUUACUGUCUAUAAAGCUCGACUUGUUGCGAAAGGUUUUCGACAAGUUCAAGGGGUUGACUAUGAUGAGACUUUCUCACCCGUAGCGAUGCUUAAGUCUGUCCGAAUCAUGUUGGCUAUUGCUGCAUUUCAUGAUUAUGAAAUUUGGCAAAUGGAUGUCAAAACUGCAUUCUUGAAUGGAUUUCUAGAAGAAGAGUUGUAUAUGAUGCAGCCGGAAGGUUUUGUUGAUCCAAAAGGUGCUGACAAAGUGUGUAAGCUCCAAUGUUCCAUUUAUGGACUGGUGCAAGCAUCUCGGAGUUGGAAUAAACGUUUUGACAGUGUGAUCAAGGCAUAUGGUUUUAUACAGACUUUUGGAGAAGCCUGUAUUUACAAGAAAGUGAGUGGGAGCUCUGUAGCAUUUCUAGUUUUAUAUGUUGAUGACAUAUUAUUAAUUGGAAAUGAUAUAGAAUUUCUGGAGAGCAUAAAGGGAUACUUGAAUAAAAGUUUUUCAAUGAAAGACCUCGGUGAAGCUGCUUACAUAUUGGGCAUCAAGAUCUAUAGAGAUAGAUCAAGACGCUUAAUAGGACUUUCACAAAGCACAUACCUUGACAAAAUUUUGAAAAAGUUCAAAAUGGAUCAGGCAAAGAAAGGAUUCUUGCCUGUGCUACAAGGUGUGAAGUUGAGUCAAACUCAAUGCCCGACCACAUCAGAAGAUAGAGAGAAAAUGAAAAAUGUUCCCUAUGCUUCAGCCAUAGGCUCUAUCAUGUAUGCAAUGCUGUGUACCAGACUUGACGUAUGCUUAGCAAUAAGCUUGGCAGGAAGGUACCAAAGUAAUCCAGGAGUGGAUCACUGGACAGCGGUCAAGAACAUCCUUAAAUACCUGAAAAGGACUAAGGAUAUAUUUCUCGUAUAUGUAGGUGACAAAGAGCUCGUCGUAAAUGGUUACGUCGAUGCAAGCUUUGACACUGAUCCAGACGAUUCUAAAUCGCAAACCGGAUACGUGUUUAUAUUAAACGGUGGAGCUGUAAGUUGGUGCAGUUCUAAACAAAGCGUCGUGGCGGGAUCUACAUGUGAAGCGGAGUACAUAGCUGCUUCUGAAGCAGCAAAUGAAGGAGUCUGGAUGAAGGAGUUCAUUUCCGAUCUAGGUGUCAUACCUAGUGCAUCGGGACCAAUGAAGAUCUUCUGUGACAAUACAGGUGCAAUUGCUUUGGCAAAGGAAUCCAGAUUUCACAAGAGGACCAAGCACAUCACGAGACGCUUAAAUUCCAUUCGGGACCAAGUCCAAGUGGGAGACAUACAGAUUUGCAAGAUACAUACGGAUCUGAAUAUUGCAGACCCGUUGACUAAGCAUCUCUCACGAGCAAAACAUGAUCAGCACCAAGACUCCAUGGGUGUUAGAAUCAUUAUUGUGUAAUCUAGAUUAUUGACUCUAGUGCAAGUGGGAGACUAAAGGAAAUAUGCCCUAGAGGCAAUAAUAAAGUUAUUAUUUAUUUCCUCAUAUCAUGAUAAAUGUUUAUUAUUCAUGCUAGAAUUGUAUUAACCGGAAACAUGAUACAUGUGUGAAUACAUAGACAAAACUAUAGUCACUAGUAUGCCUCUACUUGACUAGCUCAUUAAUCAAAGAUGGUUAUGUUUCCUGACCAUAGACAUGUGUUGUCAUUUGAUUAGUGGGAUCACAUCAUUAAGAGAAUGAUGUGAUUGACAUGACCCAUUCUGUUAGCCUAGCACUUGAUCGUUUAGUAUACUGCUAUUGCUUUCUUCAUGACUUAUACAAAGUUCCUGCAACUAUGAGAUUGUGCAACUCCCGUUUACCAAAAGAACACUUUGUGUGCUACCAAACGUCACAACGUAACUGGGUGAUUAUAAAGGUUCUCUACAGGUGUUUCCGAAGGUACAUGUUGGGUUGGCAUAAUUCGAGAUUAGGAUUUGUCACUCCGAUUGUCGGAGAGGUAUCUUUGGGCCCUCUCGGUAAUACUCAUCACAUAAGCCUUGCAAGCAUGUAACUAAUGAGUUAGUUAUGAGAUGACGUAUUACGGAACGAGUAAAGAGACUUGCCGGUAACGAGAUUGAACUAGGUAUUGGAUACCAACGAUCAAAUCUCGGGCAAGUAACAUACCGAUGACAAAGGGAACAAAGUAUGUUGUUAUGCGGUUUGACCGAUAAAGAUCUUCAUAGAAUAUGUAGGAACCAAUAUGGGCAUCCAGGUCCCGCUAUUGGUUAUUGACCGAGAAUGGUUUUAGGUCAUGACUACAUAGUUCUCGAACCCGUAGGGUCCGCACGCUUAACGUUUCGAUGAUAGUUUUAUUAUGAGUUUAUAAGUUUUGAUGUACCGAAGUUUGUUCGGAGUCCCAGAUGUGAUCACAGACAUGACGAGGAGUCUUGGAAUGGUCGAGACAUAAAGAUUGAUAUAUUGGACGACUAUAUUCGGACACCGGAAAGGUUCCGGGAGUUUUCGGAGAAAACCGGAGUGCCGGGGGGGUUACCGGAACCCCCCGGGAGAGUUAAUGGGCCACAUGGGCCUAGGUGGGAAGAGAGAGGUGCGGCCAGGGUGGGCCGCGCGCCCCCUCUCCCUCUAGUUCGAAUUGGACUAGGAGGGGGGGCGGCGCCCCCCUUUCCUUCCCCCCCUCUCUUCCUUCCUUCCCCCUCCUAGUAGGAGUAGGAAAGGAGGAAUCCUACUCCUACUAGGAGGAGGAUUCCUCCUCCCUUGGAGCGCCCCAAGGGGCUGGCCGGCCUCCCCCUCCCUCCUUUAUAUACGAGGGCAGGGGGCACCCCAUAGACACACAAGUUGAACUACGGAUCGUUCCUUAGCCGUGUGCGGUGCCCCCUUCCACCAUAUUCCACCUCGGUCAUAUUGUCGCGAAGCUUAGGCGAAGCCCUGCGCCGGUAGAACAUCAAGAUCGUCACCACGCCGUCGUGCUGACGGAACUCUCCCUCGACACUCGGCUGGAUCGGAGUUCGAGGGACGUCAUCGAGCUGAACAUCUGCUGAACUCGGAGGCUCCGUACGUUAGGUGCUUGGAUCGGUCGGAUCGUGAAGACGUACGACUACAUCAACCGCGUUGUCAUAACGCUUCCGCUUACGGUCUACGAGGGUACGUGGACAUACACUCUCCCCUCUCGUUGCUAUUUCAUCACCAUGAUCUUGCUUGUGCGUAGGAAAAUUUUGAAAUUACUACGUUCCCCAACAUCUCUGCCUUCCACUGCAGCAAUUCCAGUACGGUACCGAGCUUUGUGUUGCCAUCUUCGCAAUUGGGGUACAACCCUUUUUUUUGGUCCUCUAGCAUGCGAUCGAACUUCAGCUUCUCCUUUUGACUUUUGCAUUGCGUCCUUGCAUCGACAAUGACCCGGCGGAGAUCAUCAUCAUCGGGCACAUCGUCUGGUUCCUCUUGAUCUUCAGCAGCUUCGCCUGUUGCAGCAUCAUCGUGCACAUCGUCUGGUUCCUCUUGAUCUUCAGGAGCAUCACCGUAUUCAGGGGCACAUAGUUGUCAUCGUACUCUUCUUCACCGUCUUCCAUCAUAACCCCUAUUUCUCCGUGCCUCAUCCAAACAUUAUAGUGUGGCAUGAAACCCUUGUAAAGCAGGUGGGUGUGGAGGAUUUUCCGGUCAGAGUAAGACUUCGUAUUCCCACAUAUAGGACAUGGACAACACAUAAAACCAUUCUGCUUGUUUGCCUCAGCCACUUCGAGAAAAUCAUGCACGCGCUUAAUGUACUCGGAGGUGUGUCUUGAACCGUACAUCCAUUGCCGGUUCAUCUGCGUGCAUUAUAUAAUGAAGUGACCAAAUUAAUAGAAGUUCAUCAUCACAUUAAAACCAAAGUACAUACAUAGUUCUCAUCUAACAACAUAAAGCUCUGCAGAGCAUCUAAAUUAAUUAAACCAUACACUGAAACUAUGUAAAACAUUUCAAUGCGAAAACAAAUGCAACCAUAAUCGCAACCAAUGUAACAACUGAUCCAACGGCAUAAUGAUACCAAGCCUCAGUAUGAAUGGCAUAUUUUCUAAUCUUUCUAAUCUUCAAGCGCAUUGCAUCCAUCUUGAUCUUGUGAUCAUCGACGACAUCCCCAACAUGCAACUCCAAUAUCAUCUUCUCCUCCUCAAUUUUUCUAAUUUUUUCCUUCAAGAAAUUGUUUUCUUCUUCAACUGAAUUUAACCUCUCGACAAUAGGGUCGGUUGGAAUUUCCGGUUCAACAACCUCCUAGAUAAAUAAAAUCUAUGUCACGUUGGUCGGCAUAAUUGUCAUAAACAAUAAAUGAACCAAUAGUUAUGAAAAGAUAAUAUAUACCACAUCCGAAUCAUAGACAGGACGAGGGCCGACGGGGGCGGAUACCAAAACCAUCGCACUAUAUAAGAUGCAAUAAUAAAAGUAAGAAAAUAAUACAAGUAUCUAUCUAAACAUACAAGUAAGAAUAUUUUUCCUUUCAGAAAGAAGAUAAGAACAAGAGGCUCACCACGGUGGUGCCGGCGAUGAGAUCGGCGCGGGUGAUCGACGACGAUGAAGACAAGGACGGGGCGUGACGGACCGCUAAACCUAGACAAAUAUUGAGGAAAAUGGAGCUUGGCGGUCGAGCUUGGAGGGGAGAAAGCUUAAGUAGUGUGGCUCGGGCAUUCCAUCGAACACCUCGUGUGCAUAGGAGGUGAGCUAGAGCACCACAAAGCUCUCCCCUCGCCGGCCACGAAAAACAGAGCACUGGGAGUGCUCUGCUCGCGAGCGGGGGGUAUAUAUAGGCACCACCAUUGGUCCCGGUUGGUCGCACGAACCGGGACUAAAGGUUGGCCUUUGGUCCCGGUUCGUGCCACCAACUGGGACCAAUGGUGGUGGGCCAGGAGCGAGGCCCAUUGGUCCCGGUUCGUCCCUCCAACCGGGACCAAAAGGUCCAGACAAACCGGGACCAAUGGCCCACGUGUUGGGUUUCGUAGUAAUUUCAAAAAAUUUCCUACGCACACGCAAGAUCAUGUGAUGCAUAGCAACGAGGGGAGAGUGUUGUCUACGUACCCAACGCAGACCGACUGCGGAAGCGAUGACACGACGUAGAGGAAGUAGUCGUACGUCUUCACGAUCCAACCGAUCAAGCACCGAAACUACGGCACCUCCGAGUUCGAGCACACGUUCAGCUCGAUGACGAUCCCCGGACUCCGAUCCAGCAAAGUGUCGGGGAAGAGUUCCGUCAGCACGACGGCGUGGUGACGAUCUUGAUGAACUACAGCAGCAGGGCUUCGCCUAAACUCCGCUACAGUAUUAUCGAGGUAUAUGGUGGCAGGGGCACCGCACACGGCUAAGGAAUAGAUCACGUGGAUCAACUUGUGUGUAUAGAGGUGCCCCCUGCCUCCGUAUAUAAAGGAGGAGAGGAGGGGAGGCUGGCCGGCCAAGGAGGGGAGGCGCAGGAGAGUCCUACUCCCUCUGGGAGUAGGAUUCCCCCCAAUCCUAGUCCAACUAGGAUUCCUCGGAGGGGAAGGGAGAGAGGGGGGCCGGCCACCUUCUCCUAGUCCUAAUAGGACUAGGGGAGGGGGAAGUGGCGCAGCCACCUUGGGCUGCCCCUUUCUCCUUUCCACUAAGGCCCAUGAAGGCCCAUAUGGCUCCCGGGGGGUUCCGGUAAUCCUCCCGGUACUCCGGUAAAAUCCCGAUUUCACCCGGAACACUUCCGAUGUCCAAACAUAGGCUUCCAAUAUAUCAAUCUUUAUGUCUCGACCGUUUCGAGACUCCUCGUCAUGUCCAUGAUCACAUCCGGGACUCCAAACAACCUUCGGUACAUCAAAAUGCAUAAACUCAUAAUGUAACUGUCAUCGUAACCUUAAGCGUGCGGACCCUACGGGUUCGAGAACAAUGUAGACAUGACCGAGACACGUCUCCGGUCAAUAACCAAUAGCGGGACCUGGAUGCCCAUAUUGGCUCCUACAUAUUCUACGAAGAUCUUUAUCGGUCAGACCGCAUAACAACAUACGUUGUUCCCUUUGUCAUCGGUACGUUACUUGCCCGAGAUUCGAUCGUCGGUAUCCAAUACCUAGUUCAAUCUCGUCACCGGCAAGUCUCUUUACUCGUUCUAUAAUGCAUCAUCCCGUAACCAACUCAUUGGUCACAUUGCUUGCAAGGCUUAUAAUGAUGUGCAUUACCGAGAGGGCCCAGAGAUACCUCUCCGACAAUCGGAGUGACAAAACCUAAUCUCGAAAUACGCCAACUCAACAUGUACCUUCGGAGACACCUGUAGUACUCCUUUAUAAUCACCCAGUUAAGUUGUGACGUUUGGUAGUACCCAAAGUGUUCCUCCGGUAAACGGGAGUUGCAUAAUCUCAUAGUUACAGGAACAUGUAUAAGUCAUGAAGAAAGCAAUAGCAACAUACUAAACGAUCAAGUGCUAAGCUAACGGAAUGGGUGAAGUCAAUCACAUCAUUCUCCUAAUGAUGUGACCCCGUUAAUCAAAUGACAACUCUUUUGUCCAUGGCUAGGAAACAUAACCAUCUUUGAUAAACGAGCUAGUCAAGUAGAGGCAUACUAGUGACACUAUGUUUGUCUAUGUAUUCACACAUGUAUUAUGUUUCUGGUUAAUACAAUUCUAGCAUGAAUAAUAAACAUUUAUCAUGAAAUAAGGAAAUAAAUAAUAACUUUAUUAUUGCCUCUAGGGCAUAUUUCCUUCAGUCUCCCACUUGCACUAGAGUCAAUAAUCUAGUUCACAUCGUCAUGUGAUUUAACAACAAUAUUCAUAUCUGUAUAUGAUUAACACCCAUAGUUCACAUUAUCAUGUGACCAACACCCAAAGGGUUUACUAGAGUAAAUAAUCUAGUUCACAUCUCUAUGUGAUUAACACCCAAAGAGUACUAAGGUGUGAUCAUGUUUUGCUCGUGAAAGAAGCUUAGUCAAUGGGUCUGUCACAUUCAGAGCCGUAUGCAUUUUGCAAAUAUUUUAUGUCUACAAUGCUCUGCACGGUGCUACUCUAGCAAUUGCUCCCACUUUCAAUAUGUAUCCAGAUUGAGACUUAGAGUCAUCUGGAUCGGUGUGAAAACUUGCACCGAGGUAACUUUUACGACGGGCUCUUUUAUCACCUCCAUAAUCGAGAAAUAUUUCCUUAGUCCUCACUAAGGAUAUUCUUGACCAAUGUCGAGUGAUCUACUCCUAGAUCACUAUUGUACUCCCUUGUCAAAUACUGAGCAAGGUAUACAAUAGUUCUGGUACAUAGCAUAGCAUACUUUAUAGAACCUAUGACUGAGGCAUAGGGAAUGACUUUUCAUUUUUUCUAUUUUCUGUUGUGGUCGGGAUUUGAGUCUUACUCAAUUUCAUACCUUUGCAACACAGGCAAGAACUCUUUCUUUGACUGUUCCAUUUUGAACUAUUUCAAAAUCUUGCCAAGGUAUGUACUCAUUGAAAAUCUUAUCAAGCGUCUUGAUCUAUCUCAAUAUAUCUUGAUGCUCAAUAUGUAAGUAGCUUUUACUGAGGUCUUUUCCUUUUAAAGAACUCCUUUAAAACACUCCUUUAUGCUUUGCAGAAAAAUUCUACAUCAUUUCUGAUCAACAAUAUGUCACUCGUAUAUACUAAUCAGAAAGGCUAUAGUGCUCCCACUCACUUUAUUGUAAAUACAGGCUUCUCAAAAAGUCUGUAUAAAACCAUAUGCUUUGAUCAACUCAUCAAAGCGUAUAUUCCAACUCCGAGAGGCUUGCACCAGUCCAUAGAUGGAUCGCUGGAGCUUGCACAUUUUUUUAGCACCUUUAGGAUUGACAAAACCUUCUGGUUGCAUCAUAUACAACUCUUCUUUAAUAAAUCCAUUAAGGAAUGCAGUUUUGAUAUCCAUUUGCCAGAUUUCAUAAAAUGUGGCAAUUGCUAACAUGAUUCAGACAGACUUAAGAAUCGAUACGAGUGAGAAAAUCUCAUCGUAUUCAACACCUUGAACUUGUUGAAAACCUUUCGCAACAAGUCGAGCUUGGUAGAUAGUAACACUACUAUCAGUGUCCGUCUUCCUCUUGAAGAUCCAUUCAUUUAACAUGGCUUGCUGAUCAUCGAGCAAGUCAAUCAAAGUCCAUACUUUGUUCUCAUACAUGGAUCAUAUCUCAGAUUUUAUGGCCUCGAGCCAUUUCGCGGAAUCUGGGCUCAUCAUCGCUUCUUCAUAGUUCGUAGGUUCAUCAUGAUCUAGUAUCAUGACUUCCAGAAUAGGAUUACCGUACCAUUCUGGUGCGGAUCUUACUCUGGUUGAUCUACGAGGUUCAUCAGUAUCUUGAUCUGAAGUUUCAUGAUCAUUAUCAUUGGCUUCCUCACUAACUGGUGUAGGUGUCACUGAAACAGUUUUCUGUGAUGAACUACUUUCCAGUAAGGGAGCAGGUACAGUUACCUCGUCAAGUUCUACUUUCCUCCCACUCACUUCUUUCGAGAGAAACUCCUUCUCUAGAAAGGAUCCAUUCUUAGCAACGAAUGUCUUGCCUUCGGAUCUGUGAUAGAAGGUGUACCCAAUAGUCUCCUUUGGGUAUCCUAUGAAGACACAUUUCUCCGAUUUGGGUUCGAGCUUAUCAGGUUGAAGCUUUUUCACAUAAGCAUCGCAGCCCCAAACUUUAAGAAACGACAACUUUGGUUUCUUGCCAAACCACAGUUCAUAAGGCGUCGUCUCAACGGAUUUUGAUGGUGCCCUAUUUAACGUGAAUGCGGCCGUCUCUAAAGCAUAUCCCCAAAAUGAUAGCGGUAAAUCAGUAAGAGACAUCAUAGAUCGCACCAUAUCUAGUAAAGUACGAUUACGAUGUUCGGACACACCAUUACGCUGUGGUGUUCCGGGUGGCGUGAGUUGCGAAACUAUUCCACAGUUUUUCAAAUGUACACCAAACUCGUAACUCAAAUAUUCUCCUCCACGAUCAGAUCGUAGAAACUUUAUUUUCUUGUUACGAUGAUUUUCAACUUCACUCUGAAAUUCUUUGAAAUUUUCAAAUGUUUCAGACUUAUGUUUCAUUAAGUAGAUAUACCCAUAUCUGCUUAAAUCAUCUGUGAAGGUGAGAAAAUAACGAUAUCCGCCACGAGCCUCAGUAUUCAUCGGGCCACAUACAUCGGUAUGUAUGAUUUCCAACAAAUCUGUUGCUCUCUCCAUAGUACCGGAGAACGGUGUUUUAGUCAUCUUGCCCAUGAGGCACGGUUCGCAAGUACCAAGUGAUUCAUAAUCAAGUGGUUCCAAAAGUCCAUCAGUAUGGAGUUUCUUCAUGCGCUUUAUACCGAUAUGACCUAAACGACAGUGCCACAAAUAAGUUGCACUUUCAUUAUCAACUCUGCAUCUUUUGGCUUCAACAUUAUGAAUAUGUGUAUUACUACUAUCGAGAUCCAACAAACCAUUUUCAUUGGGUGUAUGACCAUAGAAGGUUUUAUUCAUGUAAACAGAACAACAAUUAUUCUCUAACUUACAUGAAUAACCGUAUUGCAAUAAACAUGAUCAAAUCAUAUUCAUGCUCAACGCAAACACCAAAUAACACUUAUUUAGGUUUAACACUAAUCCCAAAAGUAUAGGGAGUGUGCGAUGAUGAUCAUAUCAAUCUUGGAACUAUUUCCAACACACAUCGUCACUUCACCCUUUAACUAGUCUCUGUUUAUUCUGCAACUCCCGUUUCGAGUUACUAAUCUUAGCAACUGAACUAAUAUCAAAUACUGAGGGGUUGCUAUAAACACUAGUAACGUACACAUCAAUAACAUGUAUAUCAAAUAUACUUAUGUUCACUUUGCCAUCCUUCUUAUCCGCCAAUCACUUGGGGUAGUACCUCUUCCAGUGACCAGUCUCUUUGAAGUAGAAGCACUUAGUCUCAGGCUUAGGACCAGACUUGGGUUUCUUCACUUGAGCAGCAACUUGCUUGCCGUUCUUCUUGAAGUUCCCUUUCUUUCCCUUUGCCCUUUUCUUGAAACUAGUGAUCUUGUUAACCAUCAACACUUGAUGCUCUUUCUUGAUUUCUACCUUCGUUGAUUUCAGCAUCAUGAAGAGCUUGGGAAUCGUUUUCGUCAUCCCUUGCAUACUAUAGUUCAUCACGAAGUUCUAGUAACUUAGUGAUGGUGACUAGAGAAUUCUGUCAAUCACUAUCUUACCUGGAAGAUUAACUCCCACUUGAUUCAAGCGAUUGAAAUACCCAGACAAUCUGAGCACAUGCUCACUAGUUGAGCGAUUCUCCUCCAUCUUUUAGCUAUAGAACUUGUUGGAGACUUCAUAUCUCUCAACUCGGGUAUUUGCUUGAAAUAUUAACUUCAAUUCCUGGAACAUCUCAUAUGGUCCAUGACGUUCAAAACGUCUUUGAAGUCCCGAUUCUAAGCCGUUAAGCAUGGUGCACUAAACUAUCAAGUAGUCAUCAUCUUGAGCUAGCCAGACGUUCAUAACUUCUGCAUCUGCUCCUGCAAUAGGUCUGUCACCUAGCGGUGCAUUAAGGACAUAAUUCUUCUGUGCAGCACUGAGGAUAAACCUCAGAUCACGGAUCGAAUCCGCAUCAUUGCUACUAACAUUUUUCAACACAAUAUUCUCUAGGAACAUAUCAAAAUAAACAUAUGAAAGCAACAACGCGAGCUAUUGAUCUACAACAUAAUUUGCAAAAUACUACUAGGACUAAGUUCAUGAUAAAUUAAAGUUCAAUUAAUCAUAUUACUUAAGAACUCCCACUUAGAUAGACAUCCCUCUAAUCCUCUAAGUGAUCACGUGAUCCAAAUCAACUAAACCAUGUCCGAUCAUCACGUGAGAUGGAGUAGUUUCAAUGGUGAACAUCACUAUGUUGAUCAUAUCUACUAUAUGAUUCACGCUCGACCUUUCGGUCUCUGUGUUCCGAGGCCAUAUCUGUAUAUGCUAGGCUCGUCAAGUAUAACCUGAGUAUUCCGCGCGUGCAACUGUUUUGCACCCGUUGUAUUUGAACGUAGAGCCUAUCACACCCGAUCAUCACGUGGUGUCUCAGCACGACGAACUUUGGCAACGGUGCAUACUCAGGGAGAACACUUCUUGAUAAUUUAGUGAGAGAUCAUCUUAUAAUGCUACCAUCAAUAAAAGCAAGAUAAGAUGCAUAAAAAGAUAAACAUCACAUGCAAUCAAUAUAAGUGAUAUGAUAUGGCCAUCAUCAUCGUGUGCUUGUGAUCUCCAUCUCCGAAGCACCGUCAUGAUCACCAUCGUCACCGGCGCGACACCUUGAUCUCCAUCGUAGCAUCGUUGUCGUCUCGCCAAUCUUAUGCUUCCACGACUAUCACUACUGUUUAGUAAUAAAGUAAAGCAUUACAUCGCGAUUGCAUUGCAUACAAUAAAGCGACAACCAUAUGGCUCCUGCCAGUUGCCGAUAACUCGGUUACAAAACAUGAUCAUCUCAUACAAUAAAAUUCAGCAUCAUGCCUUGACCAUAUCACAUCACAACAUGCCCUGCAAAAACAAGUUAGACGUCCUCUACUUUGUUGUUGCAUGUUUUACGUGGCUGCUACGGGCUUAAGUAAGAACCAAUCUCACCUACGCAUCAAAACCACAACGAUAGUUUGUCAAAUAGACUCCGUUUUAACCUUCUCAAGGACCGGGCGUAGCCAUACUCGGUUCAACUAAAGUUGGAGAGACAGUCGCCCGCAAGCCAUCCAUGUGCAAAGCACGUCGAGGGAACCGGUCUCGCGUAAGCGUACGCGUAAGGUUGGUCCAGGUCGUCUCGUCCAACAAUACCGCCGAACCAAAGUAUGACAUGCUGGUAGGCAGUAUGACUUGUAUCGUCCACAACUCACUUGUGUUCUACUCGUGCAUAUAACAUCAACAUAAAUAACCUAGGCUCGGAUGCCACUGUUGGGUUUCGUAGUAAUUUCAAAAAAUUUCCUACGCACACGCAAGAUCAUGUGAAGCAUAGCAACGAGGGGAGAGUGUUGUCUACGUACCCAACGCAGACCAACUGCGGAAGCGAUGACACGACGUAGAGGAAGUAGUCGUACGUCUUCACGAUCCAACCGAUCAAGCACCGAAACUACGGCACCUCCGAGUUCGAGCACACGUUCAGCUCGAUGACGAUCCCCGGACUCCGAUCCAGCAAAGUGUCGGGGAAGAGUUCCGUCAGCACGACGGCGUGGUGACGAUCUUGAUGAACUACAGCAGCAGGGCUUCGCCUAAACUCCACUACAGUAUUAUCGAGGUAUAUGGUGGCAGGGGGCACCGCACACGACUAAGGAAUAGAUCACGUGGAUCAACUUGUGUGUAUAGAGGUGCCCCCUGCCUCCGUAUAUAAAGGAGGAGAGGAGGGGAGGCUGGCCGGCCAAGGAGGGGAGGCGCAGGAGAGUCCUACUCCCUCUAGGAGUAGGAUUCCCCCCAAUCCUAGUCCAACUAGGAUUCCUCGGAGGGGAAGGGAGAGAGGGGGGCCCGCAGCCACCUUGGGCUGCCCCUUUCUCCUUUCCACUAAGGCCCAUGAAGGCCCAUAUGGCUCCCGGGGGGUUCCGGUAACCCUCCCGGUACUCCGGUAAAAUCCCGAUUUCACCCGGAACACUUCCGAUGUCCAAACAUAGGCUUCCAAUAUAUCAAUCUUUACGUCUUGACCAUUUUGAGACUCCUCGUCAUGUCCGUGAUCACAUCCGGGACUCCGAACAACCUUCGGUACAUCAAAAUGCAUAAACUCAUAAUGUAACUGUCAUCGUAACCUUAAGCGUGCGGACCCUACGGGUUCGAGAACAAUGUAGACAUGACCGAGACACGUCUCCGGUCAAUAACCAAUAGCGGGACCUGGAUGCCCAUAUUGGCUCCUACAUAUUCUACGAAGAUCUUUAUCGGUCAGACCGCAUAACAACAUACGUUGUUCCCUUUGUCAUCGGUAUGUUACUUGCCCGAGAUUCGAUCGUCGGUAUCCAAUACCUAGUUCAAUCUCGUCACCGGCAAGUCUCUUUACUCGUUCUAUAAUGCAUCAUCCCGUAACCAACUCAUUGGUCACAUUGCUUGCAAGGCUUAUAAUGAUGUGCAUUACCGAGAGGGCCCAGAGAUACCUCUCCGACAAUCGGAGUGACAAAACCUAAUCUCGAAAUACGCCAACUCAACAUGUACCUUCGGAGACACCUGUAGUACUCCUUUAUAAUCACCCAGUUACGUUGUGACGUUUGGUAGUACCCAAAGUGUUCCUCCGGUAAACGGGAGUUGCAUAAUCUCAUAGUUACAGAAACAUGUAUAAGUCAUGAAGAAAGCAAUAGCAACAUACUAAACGAUCAAGUGCUAAGCUAACGGAAUGGGUGAAGUCAAUCACAUCAUUCUCCUAAUGAUGCGACCCCGUUAAUCAAAUGACAACUCUUUUGUCCAUGGCUAGGAAACAUAACCAUCUUUGAUAAACGAGCUAGUCAAGUAGAGGCAUACUAGUGACACUAUGUUUGUCUAUGUAUUCACACAUGUAUUAUGUUUCCGGUUAAUACAAUUCUAGCAUGAAUAAUAAACAUUUAUCAUGAAAUAAGGAAAUAAAUAAUAACUUUAUUGUUGCCUCUAGGGCAUAUUUCCUUCACCACGUGGCCCGGCCGGCCCCCGGGGCUCAAGAACCAGGUCCAAUGCCCCCAUUGGUCCCGGUUUUGGAUUGAACCGGGACUAAUGGGCUGGACCGGCCUGGACCAUCGCCCCCUUUUCUACUAGUGUUAGUGCAUGGUGGUUAGUGAAGUUAGUGGAGCAUGGUGUGAGUGCGUGGGUCAUGGUUGAGUGCCAGACUUUGUAUAAAUUGUCAUUUGAGUCAAUGAGAAAAUGUAAGGCCGAGAGGGCCAGUGCAAAGAUGUAGCAUUUGUGGUAGCCAAGGGAGAUUAACUGGGCAAAGCUAUGUGUUCUUCCUUGGUCUAUGCGUGUGUGUGUUCUGUGUGUGUUCUCUCUCUGCGUCCUUGUGUUCAUGGGAGUGUUUUUGAGAGAAGCCAGAAGAGAGAGUUGUGAGAGGCAGCUCGAGGUAGAAGAAGGAGCGGUGCUGCUCCGAGAGGAGGCGGCGCCAACAAUUAUUGACGAAAGGGAUAUUAUAUUGCGCAAGGUAUAAUCAGACGCGUCGGGGAUGGAGCGACUACACACAUAUGGGAUCACAACUGGAUUAUGAGGGAAAGCUAUAAGAGGCCAAUAAAUAAGUUAGUGCAGAUCCCCCCUCAGAAACAUUUUAUGUAUACACGUUAACAUUUCCCAGAUAUAUGAUUAAUAUUUUUAGAAAACUUCUAUUUUUUAUGUGUACUUUUUAUACAUUUUGUAAUAUCAGAAAUAGUUUUUAUAGAAGGUUUAACAUUUUUCAAAUACAUGAUUACCUUUUUGUAAACUUAUAUUGUUUGACGUUUACUUUUUUCCAUAGACAUAGUGAGGGGUUAUAUCUAAGGAAUAGGCCCAAGUACAUGUAGGCACAACCAAAGGCCCAUGUUAAUCAAGGAUGUUCCACAAGACAAAUGGGAAAACACACCGGGGCUAAUGGAGCUACAAGGCCAAGGCAUCGGAUACAAGGGGAGAGUCAACUGUGUACAGUCAGAUUACACAACCCUUAACAGACAAGACUCAUCAGUUGGUCCACUAUAGGAAUCAGGUCAUUUGCCGUCAGCCGAGAACAGAUGCGAAGGCUUUGCCGUGAGCAAGUUGACGACAAACACAAUCAGCAAAGACUAUAUCAGCAAAGAGCUAAUUUGACGUCAACUUUUCAUCGCGCUGAUGACAAAGACUUUGCCGUCAAUUAAACUAUGUGUUUGUCGUCUGUAGAAAAAACACAAAUGGCAAAGAAAUUAAACAAAUGGUCAUUUUAUAAUAAUUUUUCGAAAUGUAUAUAGUGUAUUUUAAAAUGUUAAAUAUGUAUCAAGAAUUAUUUCAUAAAUAUACAGAAGAUGUACAACGUGUAUGAAAAUUAUGUAGACAUCAGAACAUAUUAUAGAAAUGUUAAUCUUGUAUUUAAAAAUGUUAAAUACACAUAAAUAAAAAUGUUUUUGAUGUACAUAAAAAAAUUGUACAUCGUGUGUGAACAAAGUAUGCAUUGAAAAAAAAAUCUUGUUGGAAAGAAAAUCUCGUGCUAUAUACGAAAAUGUAAAAGGUGUAUGAAAAUAAUUAGAUAUAUGCUUAACGAAAAAAAGGAAAGAAGGCGCAAAAAAAUCCGAUCAACACCAAGAUAGGAACAAGAAAACCUGAAGAAGACCAUUGAAAAAAAAGAAAAGAAUACAAGAAAGAGGAAAAAAAACAAAAAAAUGAAGAAGCUGAUGCAGAACAGGGAACUUGGUGAAAACGAAUAAAAAUUGAUGAAAACCGAGAAGAAAAACAAGAAAACUGAAGCAAAAAAAUAAUAAAAAUAUGUAAAAAAAUGAUGAAACAUUGCAAAACACUGAAAUACUAUGAAAACCAAAGGAAGAAAAGACUCAAAAAGAAGAACAUACAGCGAGCGAAUGAACAACAACUGAGUGAACGAGCGACCAUGCGAGAACACGUUAAUUGUCCGGCCCAUACUUGUGGACUCCAGAGGCGAGCCAGAAUAGGCGAGAUAUAGCUAUGACGAUUUGAUACCCUUCACAGCUUCACGAAUGCUAUAUCUCGCUCACAGCGAAAGUAUAUUUUGUCUGGCCUGAAGGUGCAAGAAUAGCAUCAGGUCGCUGUAAGGUUUGUGAUCCUACAAUGAGAGCUCCGAUAAGAUUAAAGUUCAUUUUUCUGACAACCUUUGGUCGUUCGUUCGCGCUCAGGUCGUCCGCUCACUCGAUUCCACGUACUAGUUUGGUUAUGUUGUUUUUUUCAUUUUGUUCUUUUUUUGUUUCUUCACUGGCUUUCUUUGGUUUUUAUAUCGGUUUUCUUUGUUUCCUUCACGUUUUAUUCCUGUUUUCCUUUUUACUGGUUUAUUUAUUCCUUUUUUUCUUUGUUUCUUUCUUGGUUUUCUUUGUUUUUCUUUCUUUUGAUGUCAAUCUUUUUACAUACGCAUUCAACAAUUUCCGUAUACAUCAGAAACAUUUUAUGUAUACACAUUAACAUUUCCCAGAUAUAUGAUUAAUAUUUUUGGAAAACCUCUAUUUUUUAUGUGUACUUUUUGAUACAUUUUGUAUAUAUCAGAAAUAUUUUUUUAGAAGGUUUAACAUUUUUUUAAAUACAUGAUUACCUUUUUGUAAACUUAUAUUGUUUGACGUUUAUUUUUUUCCAUAGACAUAGUGAGGGGUUAUAUCUAAGGAAUAGGCCCAAGUACAUAUAUGGCACAACCAAAGACCCAUGUUAAUCAAGGAUGUGGUCCACAAAACAAAUGGGGAAACACACGGGGGCCAAUGGAGCUACAAGGCCAAAGCAUCGGAUAUAAGGGGAGAAUAAGUGUGUACAGUCGGAUUACACAACACUUGACAGACAAGACUCAUUAGUUGGUCCACUAUAGGAAUCGAGUAAUUUGCCGUCAGCCGAGAACAGACUCGAAGUCUUUGCCGUCAGCAAGUUGAUGACAAACACAGUGAGCAAAGACUAUAUCGGCAAAGAGCUAAUUUGACGUUAACUUUUCAUCCGCUGAUGACAAAGACUUUGCCGUCAAUUAAACUAUGUGUUUGUCGUCUGUAGAAAAAACACAAAUGGCAAAGAAAAGCAUCUUUGCCAUCAGCAACUGAUUCACAUGUGUCGUCAGCCAGACUCGUCUUGUCACUAGCCUCAAACAUCACAGAUGGCAAAGAUUUUUUUUUAUUUUUAAAAUUCCGCGUCGACCACCCUAUCGCUCGUGCAGCCACCGCCUGGCCGCGCUCGCCUCCCUGCUCACAUGCCCUGCCAGCUUGCGCCGUUGCCAUCCGGCAGCGCUCGCCCGACCCUGCUCAUCGCCCGGCCGAGCUCGCCCGCCCUGCUCGGUCGCGUCGUCGGCAGCUGCCCUGCUUGCACACGUACCUGCCCAGCCUUGCUCAUACCGCCGGCCACCCUGCUCGCUAGAGAAAGGAAGGCGAGAGAGGAGGCUCGGGGGAGAAAGAAAAAACAAAGGAGAGAGAGAGGAUGCUACCACUGCCACAUCACCAAUACGCAUGAUCGAUCUGCAAGAUGUGCUCUCUCUUUUGCCGCCUCUGAUGGCAAAGUAUGUCUUUAUCGUCUAUAAUAAGAUUACAAACAGCAAAGUGAGCUCUUUGCCGUCUGUAAAAAAACGGACGACAAACAAACUUUGUUGUCAGCUGCCGACGGCAAAAAGUGCUCUUUACCGCAGCCUCGAUGAGAAGCUGAAGGCAAAGUGCCCCACAGACGGCAAAUUAGUUGAUUCCUGGGUGGUUAUGAGCAAGACAGGAGCAAUAACCCUAUCUACACUCGGUCAUCUGGAAGACAGGAGUAGUCGAACCAUCUAUAGUCGGCUACAUCUGAGGUUACCGUGACCCUUACGAUGCAUUCAUUAUCGCCGUUACUCAAUGGAGUAGUUAAAUACGUCAGUUAGCAAUAAUAAUAGCCACGAACAGUCAAUCAUGCAUGUGACCAUCAAUAGCAUUUAUACCAACCCAUUACGGCACUUCCUCCUAGCACACUCUAUAUAAGCCAGGAGUAGGACAUGAGAGUGAGGGAUGAACUCUCUCACAGUAUAACCUACGCCAAGAGCAGGAACACCACAUGAAUAGAGAUUACCUCCACCAACGUACUCCCAUCCGUUUUAUGUACCGAUCAAUGUAUAUAAUGGCUUCUACAUUCACAUCCCGUAGUAUUGUCAGGAUUAUAUCCACGACAGAAACUAUAUUUUGUUAUACAUCAAGAACAUUUUAUAUAUAAAUAUUUACAAUUUUUUAAAUACAUGAUUAAUAUUUUUUCAAACAUAUAUUUUGUAUGUCUCCUUUUCAUAAUCUUUGAUCCCUGGAAGUUUCAGAUUUUUUCCGAUUUGUUCUCAUUUUUUUAUGAAUUUACUGUUCAUGAGGGUGUAGGGGCACCCAGGAGCUGUUAGGCAUAAUAUUUCUGCUGUUGUUGUCAUCAUCAAGGGGAAUGAGAAGGGUUGAAGUUUUCGUUUUCUUUGAGGGGGAAAUCAGAGUUGGGGGCUGGAAGUGAGUGAUUAGGCCCAACAUAAGCGCUGUGUGUGUGUGUCUCGUCACGGGCACCAAAUUCGAACUGGGCUAUUGUUUUCUGAGAACCCAACGUCACAAGCCCAACCAACAGUCUGCCGAUCUGCAUCUUCCUCUCCUUGUCCAUCCUCCUCGUUGGCCGGACCGCCUCGAGCCACGGCCGCUCCCUGGCGCAGCGUCCUCCCCUUCCUCUCCACCCCCAAAUUCUCUUGUAUCCUCUUCUGAUCUCCUUCCUUACUUCCUCUCGCUGAUGGUCUCCACAAGAAGGUCUCCGAGCUCCUCGGAGGGUUCCGGCUGUACGUCGACGCAGCCUCUCCGACCUCCCCAUGAACAUGAGCUAUCGACCCUGAAAGCCUGUCUCUUCCAUGAUUCGAUUCACAUGAAUUCACGAGCCGCAUGAAUCAUGAAGGUCAUGGAGCAGAAUUCAGUCGUGUAGCCUGACAGUGAUGUACAUUUGUGGCUUUUCUGGCUAAAUAGCUCUGUACCCUAUGUGGAUGCCACUUCAAAUAAUCGUCAAAAUAAUUCUCCUGCACGCGUUAUACAAAUGGCGAAGAAGAAGUUCGCGUGGAACAUUUCGUUUCUUAUUGAUGUCCGAGAGAAAAGCUCCUAGGAAGUUCAUCCGCUCGGUGGAUUAUAAGUUUAAGUUUGUUACAACAUCCAAUCAUCCAUAUAAUCUCUGUGUUUCUUCUGUUUUCUACCAGUCAUAUAUCAUAUGUGCAUCAGAGGAAAAAUGCUUUCAGCAGUCAUGUUGGAGCGCGCAUACCAAGUUCCCACAUUGCAAAUAUGAUCCUAGCCAUUAAUAUGUUUCAUUCCACAUUUUCUUGAUCUAAUUUCUAAAUGAUUGGACAACCUGUUAUAGUCUUAUAGAAUUAUGAGCCGCCAAAUCCACAUUUCUCUUGGUCUAAUUUCUAAAUGAUAAUGUGCAGCAUCUAUCUCCUGGUGAACCUUUUUUUCUUGCGACUGUAUCUCCUGAUGAACCUAGUUUUCUCUAGGUAGCACAAUAAUUGUACUGGUUUGAUGUAAAGGACAUAAAUACAAGGGAAUAAAUUGGAAGCUUAUUUCAAAUUAACUAGCUAGUGGUGUUUGUGAAGUUCAAGAAAAAGCUGGUCUUUUUCUCGACAAAUAAUUUAACAUGCAAAGAAUCAAUAAAUGUAUUUGCAAGAAAGCAAACAUAAUUAACGAUAAAACUGGUUUAUUGUCACUGUAGACAACGGUAGUAGUUGGAACUAGAUACAAACCAAUAAAAAACAAGAUCUCAAAUCUCCAACCAAUAAAGAGUUCAACCCAAAUUUUACAGUAACACCAUUAUAUUCAAAUAGUGAUUAUUCCAACACAUGGAUAAUUAAUUAAGGCACCAGGUUGCCCUUGUGACUAGGAAAGACAAACUUAUGAACUUGCAAGCAUGGCAAUCAGAUCGACAUCCACACAAUGCCAAUAUGAACAUUGUCUUGAUACAACUUUAUUUUUAUUUUAUUUCAGAAUUUAAACAACUAGUAUGGGCGGGUCACACACGACAUUGUGUGACACUUUAUUUGUCACCGCUGCAUCGACAUAUCCAUCGACUAAACAACGGUGAUCCAACUAUAUAUUACUAGAGACCUUUCCUUAUUAGUAGGAACCAACUCCGGUGCCAACACCGAAUGGCACACUAGUGGUGGUUCUAUACAACGGCACAUUGACACGGCACAUCGUUGGCAGGGUACGGAGCGCAAUGGAAGUCAUCACCUCAAGCUGAGCUAUCUGGUGUGGCUGCAAAAAGGUACCUUGUGCCAAUUGUUGUUGUUGAGGUUGUUGCCCGAGUUGUUGUUGUGACUGCUGUUGGGGUUGGGAAACACAUUGGCCCAACUGUUGGGGUUGCUGCUGAGGAGUUUGGAUGGAACCCUGAACCUGUUGUUGUUCUUGCAGGAUGAUGGAGUAGAUGAUAGCACGGAUUGCCUCAUAGCGGGAUUGCUGGGGGAUUUGCGGCAACUGCUGGCAACAUUGUUGUUGCAUCACAUGGCAACUGCUCUGCUGCAACAUUUGCGACCUAGCAAGACUUUGUGGCAUUGCCACAGGGCUGCAUUGCUGCUGGAGGAAUACCUUGCAUGGGUUUAGCUGCUGCAAGAUAGAUGGAUGAACAAAUGGUAUUUGUUGUUGCGGUAGAACUAGUUGUUGUUGUUGCUGCGAAAAUGGUGGUUGUUGCGGUAGACUUGGUUGUUGUUGUUGCAAAAAUGGUGGUUGUUGCUGUAGUACUAUUUGUUGUUGUUGCGAAAACGGUGAUUGUUGCUGUGAAAAUGGUGGUAGUUGUUGCUGUGAAAAUGAUGGUUGUUGCGGUAGAACUGGUUGUUGUUGCUGCGAAAAUGGUGGUUGUUGUUGUGAAAAUGGUGGUUGUUGUUGCUGCGAAAAUGGUGGUUGUUGUUGUGAAAANNNNNNNNNNNNNNNNNNNNNNNNNNNNNNNNNNNNNNNNNNNNNNNNNNNNNNNNNNNNNNNNNNNNNNNNNNNNNNNNNNNNNNNNNNNNNNNNNNNNNNNNNNNNNNNNNNNNNNNNNNNNNNNNNNNNNNNNNNNNNNNNNNNNNNNNNNNNNNNNNNNNNNNNNNNNNNNNNNNNNNNNNNNNNNNNNNNNNNNNNNNNUGGUUGUUGUUGCUGCGAUAAUGGUUGUUGUUGUUGCUGCGAAAAUGGUGGUUGUUGUUGUGAAAAUGGUGGUUGUUGUUGCUGCGAUAAUGGUUGUUGUUGUUGUUGCUGUGAACAUGGUUGCUGUUGUGAAAAUGGUUGUGGUUGUUGUUGGAUGGGUUGUUGUUGUUGGUGGUGCGAUAAUGUUUGUUGUGGUGGUAAUGGUUGUUGCUGCGAUGGUCUCUCCAAACCAGGGAUGUGGCUAUUCUCCAUUUGUGCAAUGGCACUUGUCGCCACAAUGGCGAGGAGAGCAAAGAUGAGGAAGGUCUUCAUGGUGGAUUGGUGUUAACCAGUGUUGCUUGGUUUUGAUGCUUGUGCUUGUGAUGAUCUUUAUACUUCAUGCCUAUUUAUAGUAGCCCGGGCACCACCUCUUUUCUUCUUUGCAUUAGCUUUAAUAAUUCUGUUUGGAUGCAUCUAAAAUGAUUUUUGGUACAAUGUGUUAGGUUGCACUAGCUACACGCGUACUUUUGGAUUGAUCAUCAAAGUUGCUUUUUAGUUGUGCAUAUGAUCACACACAAAGUACAGAAACCUUGAUGUUUGGUACAUAUGACUCACCUUAUUCACUUUACAUGUCACACACUUAUCUGGAUAGUAUCACUUUUGCAACCGAGUUUGGAACCUUGUAUAGGCUGUCAUCCAUAAACAAGAAAGGCAAAACUUGUGUAGGACUAAGUUUGCAAUCGGAGGGUUCUUCUAGACUCGAUUUCUUUUCGUAAAACUAACUUUGUAUUUUUCCUCUAAGAUGAUAAGAUGAACCGACGCCUAUAGAGCAUGACAUGACUCAUCGAAUUCCCUUUACAUGUAAAGGAUGGUAAUUGCUUACAAGCUACUCCUACUAGCAUAUAUCCGGUUCCAAGCCUAGACACGUCAUCAUCAGUUUCGUCUAUUUUUUUAGAUAAAUCAUCAGUUCUAUCUAUUUGUGAAGGGUUUUUUUGGGGGGAAAUGAUAGUUUUUUUAUGCUAGGGGGGUUUUUUNNNNNNNNNNNNNNNNNNNNNNNNNNNNNNNNNNNNNNNNNNNNNNNNNNNNNNNNNNNNNNNNNNNNNNNNNNNNNNNNNNNNNNNNNNNNNNNNNNNNNNNNNNNNNNNNNNNNNNNNNNNNNNNNNNNNNNNNNNNNNNNNNNNNNNNNNNNNNNNNNNNNNNNNNNNNNNNNNNNNNNNNNNNNNNNNNNNNNNNNNNNNNNNNNNNNNNNNNNNNNNNNNNNNNNNNNNNNNNNNNNNNNNNNNNNNNNNNNNNNNNNNNNNNNNNNNNNNNNNNNNNNNNNNNNNNNNNNNNNNNNNNNNNNNNNNNNNNNNNNNNNNNNNNNNNNNNNNNNNNNNNNNNNNNNNNNNNNNNNNNNNNNNNNNNNNNNNNNNNNNNNNNNNNNNNNNNNNNNNNNNNNNNNNNNNNNNNNNNNNNNNNNNNNNNNNNNNNNNNNNNNNNNNNNNNNNNNNNNNNNNNNNNNNNNNNNNNNNNNNNNNNNNNNNNNNNNNNNNNNNNNNNNNNNNNNNNNNNNNNNNNNNNNNNNNNNNNNNNNNNNNNNNNNNNNNNNNNNNNNNNNNNNNNNNNNNNNNNNNNNNNNNNNNNNNNNNNNNNNNNNNNNNNNNNNNNNNGCCGCCACCGCUCGACAAAAAAGGUCACUUUUGUAGCUCCCCCGUCGAUUGCGGGCCGUACGUCGACGGCAGCCACUCCGACCUCCCCGUCAACACAAGGUAUCGAUCUGUUUCGUCUGUCUCUUCCAGCGAUUCAAUGCACAUAAAUCCGAGAGGCAGACCCAUCUCCAUGCUAGCUGCACGGAUCAGGAGGGUCAGGCAUCAGAAUUCAGCUGGGAAGCCUGACACUAAUGUACAUUUGUGGCUUUAGUAGCUGAAUAUAACUAUGUGUUUUCUGAGAAUUUCACUUCAAAAGUUCCAAUAAUCAUCAAAUUUCCGCCUAUGCGCGCUAAGCAGGUGGACCAUAUAUUUCUCAUGUCGACGAACGAAAAAACAAAACUCCACAACUAGAAGUCUAUGAUAUUGACACGGAACCGUGCUGUAGGGUCGCAAGUAAAAAUAUGAAAAGCAUGCCUAACACUACUAGGAAAAGGGCUAUAGAUGGAAUUGACACUAAUGACGCACCAGACAUGUGGUGCGCCAUUAGUAUAUACUAAUGGCGCACCAUCUUCUGAUGCGCCAUUAGUGUUGAAAUUACUAAUGGCGCACCCUGCCCACGGUGCGCCAUUAGUACCAAUUUUUUUUUGAACUAGUGCGCCUGUCCAAACAUACUAAUGGCGCAUCCGCUGGUGGUGCGCCAUUACUAGUUGUAACUAGUAAUGGUGCACCAGCCAGAGGGUGCGCCACUAAAGUUAUUUUUUUUAUUAUUGUUUUUAUUCCUUUUUUUGCAAAAGUACUAAUGGCGCACUCACACGCGGUGCGCCAUUACUAGUUCAAACUAGUAAUGGCGCACCGUGGCAGAGUGCGCCAUUAGUAUGUUUUUUUUUCAAAACUACUAAUGGCGCACCACCUGGUGGUGCGCCAUUAGUAACCUGGAUUACUAAUGGCGCAUUUGUUGCUGGUGCGCCAUUAGUAAGUGGGCAGCAACAAGAUAUUUUGGACAGCCUCUCCUCCCACACUCACUUUCUCCCCAUUUCAUUCUCUCCACCGCCUCCUCAUGUCUCGGGUGCCUCCUCUUUUUCACCUCAUUUCCACCAUAGAUUCAUUCAAAUUAAGUGGUUAAGUUACCUUGUUUUGCUAGGUAAGUAAGGGGGGAAGCUAUAUUUAUGUUGUUCUCCCUACAACAGUGUGCACAUGCACUUUUUAUGGCCUAGCUAGAUCUAUGUAUGUUCGUGGUGUUGCAUAUGUUUGUGGUGUUGCAUAUGUGUUUGUGUUUGAAGGUGUACCGGUAUUUGAAAUGCGAUAGUUGCCAAUAUUUUGCCGGAAUGUUGAUUCAUUUCCGUUUCGGCGAGAAUUUUGGCAUUAAGCAUUCUUUUUGGUCCUAUUUUUAGGGAAAGUCAUGCCAAAUUUUUUCUUGGUUCUAAAAUAUCGUUUUGCUCUACCCCGCAGGCGACCAUGGUCCGCACGAUGACCGAAGGCAUCGUGAAUAGGUUUUUGAGGUCCACGAAGGCCGAGAUGCUUCAAAAGAACGAGACGGAGAUAAGAUGUCCGUGUCGAAGAUGCAAGCUGAAUAGCCUUAUUGCGGACCCGGAUUCCGGGCAGGUGCGGGACCACCUGCUCUUGCGUGGUUUCAUGGAUGGCUGUCGGUGGCAAGGUGAUGAAGAUGACUACGAAGUCGUCCAUGGGGGCCGGGCAAGAAAUGAGGAAGGGCAGCAAGACAACCACCGCGGCUCGGGGGGGCGAGAAGAAGAAGAAUCCCCAGGAGAUGAUCACGACGGUGAUGUUGUACACAGUCAUCAUGUAGAAGAUGCAGGACAUGAUGAUGAUGCCGGCGGAGCAGACGACGCUGGACCAUCGAUGGGCUGGGUGCAGGACCCUCAUAUUCAAGAGCUGCUUCUCAAGCAGACGGAUAACGCAAGAGCUGCCGCCCGAGAGAAAGCCAAGAUGGAUCAACUUGAGUUAGACGCGGUUACUCCAUUGUAUGAAGGAUGCAGGCCCGAGGAUACCCGCCUGAAAGUAACACUCAUGGCUCUGGAGAUGAAGGUAAAACACAAAAUGACCGACGCAUGCUUCGACGAGAACAUGUCAUUCUGGCACGAACGUCUUCCCAAAGGGAACAAGUGCCCGACCAGUUUGGAGGAGGCGAAGAAAAUCGUGUGUCCUCUGGAUUUACCGCACGUGAAAUACCAUGUGUGCAUGAACAAUUGCAUCAUUUAUCGGGACGAGCACGCGGAGUCUACCAUAUGUCCGGUGUGCGGUGUCACUCGAUACAAGAAGGGGAAGAAAGCUCCUCGAAAAGUGGUGUGGUACUUUCCGAUCACUCCUCGUCUGCAGCGGUAUUUCGCGGACCCUAAGGUAGCAAAGCUCCUGCGUUGGCACGCGGAUAGGGAGGAGAAGAAGCGAGAAGAUGACGCAAAUGAUACGGAGAUAGAUAAAAAAGACAAGAUGCUGAGUCACCCUAAGGAUGCGAGCCAGUGGCAAGCGUUGAACUUCGAAUAACCAGAAUUUGGGAACGAUCCAAGGAACAUCGUGCUGGGCGCGAGCACCGGUGGAGUCAAUCCGUUUGGCAGCCAGAGAAGCACACAUAGCACCUGGCCUGUGUUUGUGUGGAUGUACAACCUUCCCCCCUGGUUGUGCAUGAAGAGGAAGUACAUUCACAUGAGUAUGCUAAUUGAAGGGCCGAAACAACCAGGGAACGACAUCAAUCUGUAUCUGGGGCUGCUGAAAGAGGAGCUUGACACGCUGUGGAAAACGCCCACCAAUACGUGGGACGCCGCAGAGAAAGAAUAUUUCCCUAUGAGAGCCGCACUGCUCACGACGGUGCACGACUAUCUCGGUUACGGAUAUCUUGCGGGGCAGGUAGUCCACGGAUUUUCUGGAUGCGUAAGGUGCAUGGAUGACACAACGUAUCGCCAGCUAGAUAGAGACGAUGACCCGUGGAGGAAACGCAAGGAUCUGUUCGAUGGUGAAACCAAACCCCGAAAACGCCCGUGUACGAGGAGCGGCGAGGAAAUAGACAAGCUGUUGAAAAAUCGGAAAGACUGCCCACUGCCGGGAAAGAAGCAAAAGGUGCCAGAGCCGGGAAAGAAGCGAAAGGCGCCAGAGCCGCUGCUGAAGCUAUGGAAAACGAGGUCUGUUUUCUGGGACUUGCCGUACUGGAAGAUCCACCGUGUGCCUCACAGCCUUGAUGUCAUGCAUAUCACGAAGAACGUGUGCGAGAGUCUGCUUGGUACCCUGCUCAACAUGCCAGAGAGGACCAAAGAUGGGCCGAAAGCGAGGGCAGACUUGAAAUCAAUGGGCAUCAGGCAGGAGCUUCACGCUAUAUAUGAUGAUGAUGAUGAUGAUGAUGAUGAUGAUGAGGCGAAGCAGGACACAGAAAGUCGUCGCAAAGGCAAAAAGGCCAAGAAGACCGGAAAUGACUACCCUCCCGCGUGCUUCACUCUAAGUCAGGAGGAGAUCGAGCAGUUUUUCACCUGCCUCCUAGGAGUAAAACUUCCUUACGGUUACGCGGGGAAGAUAAGCAGAUACCUAGACCCAGCGAAGCAGAAGUUCAGCGGGAUGAAGUCUCACGAUUGUCACAUGCUGAUGACGCAGAUACUUCCAGUUGCAAUCCGUGGGAUCAUGGACGCGCACGUCCGUGAAACGCUAUUUGGCCUAUGCAACUUCUUCGACGUCAUCUCUCAGAAGUCGAUUGGCAUGAGGCAACUCAGAAGGCUACAGGAAGAGAUCGUGGUGAUACUAUGCGAGCUUGAGAUGUACUUCCCGCCCGCAUUCUUCGAUGUUAUGGUGCAUCUGCUGGUCCAUAUAGUGGGGGAUAUCAUCCAACUCGGGCCGAUGUUCCUGCACAGCAUGAUGCCGUUCGAAAGGAUGAAUGGUGUCAUCAAAGGAUACGUUCGCAACAUGUCACGUCCAGAAGGAAGCAUAGCCAGGGGCUUUCUGACCGAAGAGUGCAUCUACUAGUGCGCGAAUUAUCUAGGCAUCGAGAACCCCGUUGGUCUGCCCGUCAACAGGCACCUCGGCAGGCUCGCUGGAUGGGGUCACCGUGAGGGUCGCCGCGAAAUGCAUGUCGACUUCGAGGGUCGACUCGCCGACUUUGAAAGAGCAAACCUAGUCGCGCUACAACACAUAGACGUGGUCGAUGCUUGGGUGGUAGAGCACAAAACCUUUAUUAAGAAGACGUACAAUGACCGAGGCCAACAGAGGACGGACGGAGAUAUACUCAAAGAGCACAACUCAUGUUUCACGCGUUGGUUCAAGCAGAAGCUUCUGUCGUACCCUUUACAUGAGGAUUCUUCCGCGGAAGAACAACUCAUAUUCGCCUUGUCACAGGGCGCCGAGCACAACCUGAUGACCUAUGAGGCGUACGAUAUCAACGGCUACACAUUCUACACCGAGGCCAAGGACAUGAAGAGCGAUGGUUAUCAGAACUCCGGGGUAACGAUGGAAUCCUACACCGGUAACGACAAGGACAGAUACUACGGAAGGAUCGAGGAGAUCUGGGAGCUGAGCUAUGCUGGAGAGAAGGUCCCGAUGUUCCGUGUCAGAUGGGCCAAGAACGUCAUAAAAGAAGACCGGUAUUUCACCACCAUGGUUAUACCCGGAGCCAAAUCCAAGACCGCGAGCGCAAACGUCACCGCGAAAAAUGAGCCAUGGGUACUGGCUUCCCAAGUGGACCAAUGCUUCUUCAUUACCGACCCGCCAAAGCCCAGUCGUGUUGUCGUGAGGAGAGGCAAAAGGAAGAUCAUCGGAAUGGAUGGAGUAGCCAAUGAGCAAGACUUCGACAAGUACGGCGACCCGAGGAUCGAACAUGACGACGAUGAUGAAGUAGCAGCAUACACCACAAGAAGAAGCAGGACCACCCUACCUAAAGGACGUCCGUUCCACAGAAGAACUCCAUUUGCGAAAAAGAAGGGCAAGAAGAUUGUGAACAGAUAGCUAGCUAAGAUCGAUUGUAUUUAAAUCGUAGCCUUCAUUUCUCGAUUGUAUUUCAUGGGUACUUUUUGAACUAUCAUGAAUAUUUUUAAAUUUAAUGGACACUCGAUCUCGAUCCCCCUCCAUCUCGAUCGCUAUCCCACCUCGCCAGAUCCGGUCCCCCUCGCCGCCAAGCACCCCCCCAGCCCACCGGCCGCCGCCGCCGACCCCCCGCACCCUCGAUUCCCCUACCCAACCGCCGCCGCCGACCCACCGCACCCCGCGCACCCUCCCCUGCUCCACCAGCAUUACUGUUUGAUGAUAUUUUUAAAAAAAUUAUUAUUGUCUUAUAAAAAAAUAUUACUGUUAUGAUUUAAACAAGUUUGAACAUAUUUAAACACAAAUAAGUAUCAAACAGGUUUUUAAAUGCUAAAAAAAAUUUGUGGAGCCUGGGAGUCGAACCCAGGACCUCCUGGUGUGAGAACUGGCUGCUGACCAGUCGAGCUAGUAGAGGGGACUUGAUGUGGAUCAAUUCUGGUGGUACAUAACCUGUUGGCUCGAGUUGAAAUAAAAAAAAUACUAAUGGCGCACCACGGUGAGGUGCGCCAUUAGUAUGGAUGUACUUAUGGCGCACCGAGGGGUGGUGCGCCAUUAGUAUUGUGCCCGAUCCCUUCCCUCUCCCCCUUCGCCCGAUCCCCCCUUCCCUCUCCCCCUUGCCAGUUCCCUCUCCCUCGAUCCACCGCCGCCGCCGCCGCUGCCCUGACCCACUGCGCCGCAGCCGCCCACGCGCCCCCGCCGCCUCCCUCUCCCCUUCCUCCCCCUCGAGCCCGCGCCGUCCGCCCAAACCUAACCCGACGCCGUCCGCCGCGCCCGCUCCACCGCCGCCGCCCUGCCUCUCCGCCCUCUCCCUCCCUCNNNNNNNNNNNNNNNNNNNNNNNNNNNNNNNNNNNNNNNNNNNNNNNNNNNNNNNNNNNNNNNNNNNNNNNNNNNNNNNNNNNNNNNNNNNNNNNNNNNNNNNNNNNNNNNNNNNNNNNNNNNNNNNNNNNNNNNNNNNNNNNNNNNNNNCGUCGCCCCGCCGCCCCGACACCACCGUCCGUCGCCCCGCCGCCCCGCCGCCCCUCUCGCAGCAAGGUAUGCGGCUGGUUCGUCCCCUGUCAUGGUUCUCUCUUCGUUUAUUUUCCUGAAAUCUCUGCUGUUCAUUGGCCGAUGAUGUCUUACAAGUAAAAUAUCUGGCAAACUUGUGCUGUAAACUGUACAUUGCUGAGGCUGUGGGCAACCUGUUCUUCUCUUUGCCAUACUAGUGCUUUUGUUCAUUGGCCGAUGAUGUCUCUGUUGGUUUACGUCCCCGGCAAAUUAGGUACCCGUGAACCAUUUAUAGGCCCAACUUUCUUACUCUCAAUGACCACAAUGUGCUUAUUUUGUUAGGAUUGUGCAUUUGCGCGAUUUGUGCAGUGCUUAUUUGUUGGCACCUCACCAGCUUUCAAAUUCAGCAUUUGUAACACAGUUCAAUUUGAUCUAAGGGCCUAUCUUGUCUCAUUUCCAACAUGUAAUAAACUUCCCCCGAGGCCAUAGAUGAGAAUACUUCUUUCAGUACAUUUUGCUGAUUUCUCACUGUUGAAUACUUCAUUUCUGUUUGCCUUUGGCCAAAGAUGCAUUCAGUUCUUUCUGCCCUUAGCGGUUUGAUUCAAGUUUGUCAGGUUCUGUUAACUAAAAAGGUUCAGAUUCAGAAACAUUGUUGGACUACUAGGAAGUUGGACUACUAGGAACAUGUUUAGAUUCAGGUUCUGUUAACUAAAAAAGUUCAGGUUCUGUUAACUAAAAAAGUUCAGAUUCAGAAACCUGUAAUUUCUACUUUUAUGCCUCUGUUACUCCAGUCAAAAUUUUAUGUUUGAUGCCCAUGGUAGUUGAGCUCUCACCUCACCUCACGCAACAUGCAUGAUGCCACAAUGUCUAGUAUGUACUGCCAAGCAACUGGCAAAUAAUUAUAACUUAGAAUAAAUAAAUCUGAUGUAAGAUAAGCAUGGCAUGAGCUUUAAUUAAAUAGCAUAAUACACGUUGGUAGUCCAUCUCUCUCAAAAAAAAUACAUGUUGGUAGCAGAAAAAAAUACAUGUUGGUAGCAGAAAUUUUUUUGAGCCCUUAUUAGCUACUCACACUAUUUGCCCCGCAGUUUCUCUGUCAUGGCUACCAAGUGAUUGACGGUGGGCUAGAAAAAUAAAACCACCAAACUAUCAGUAAAAGAUGUGAACCAACAUCUUUCAUUGUUAUGCAUAUCAAACACCAAGGGUUAUUUUCACUUAAAGUUUUAGAAUGGGUGCAUUACAAUUCAGUCUGAUAUCUAAUAAGACACUCUGGGCUGAUAUAAUUAUGGAACAGAACCAACCAUGAUAAAUAAAAGGUGAUGUUGUCUAUGCAUUACCAAAAAUGUAUCUUUGUGAACAAAUAAAUUGGUACCAACAGCAAUGCCAUCUUACUGUAGAAUUAGAAUACAUGGACAUGAUCAGCUCAGCUCCCAAACUGCCAUUCAUCACAUCAAUUUCCCCUUAUGUAACUCCAGUCAAAAUUUUAUGUUGGUCUACCUAGUAGAUGCCCAUGGUUUGAUUUUAUGUUUGUUCCUAUCAAUACAAAUGCUGAGCUAUGUUCCAUUUUUACUGUUCUUUGUGAUAGUUUUUGCAACUUUACUUCCCAUCUUAAGGCAAGCCCCAUUUUUACUGUUCUUUGUUAGCAGAGCUGCUUGUUUCUAAGAACUUUGAUACUAUUUGGAUCAAAGUUAAAUGAGCACAUAGAUGACAAAAAAAAGUUCAGAUUGUAAAAUGUUCAUUUUGCUGCUAGUGCCCAUUUUGAGUAAUUGCUUAGAGGGAUGAUCCUGUGUGAGCUGGUGGAGUGAUUUGUUUUCUACAUAAAGCUCUUUAGUCAGGCUGGUUUUCGUGAAAUACACAUGAAGCUUCACCAGCUCCUGUGGGUGUGGGAUCCAUGUGACAUGUGACAUUGCAUCCAUGUCCACCUGGGAUAAUGAUUUUGCAUGUACCCCGAGAGGCCCUUAAGUUUGCCGGAAUGUCGAUUAACUUCCGUUCCGGCAAAUUCGGGUACUCCAUAUGUCCUAUUUUCAGCAAAGGUCAUGCUGAAAUUUUCCGUGAAUUUUAGCAUGACUUUGCAAAAAAUAGGACAUAUGGGGUACUUGUGACUAAUGCAUGGGCCGGGGUAUCAUAGUAGUUAAUUAAGUAGGAUCAAGUGCCCCGGCGUACUUGUGACUGAUGCAUGGCUUUUAGGGUGCCUCGGUGUUGAUAAAAACCGAAAUGAUGAAAGCUUAGGCUUUUAGGGUGCCUCGGCGUCGAAAAACCCUCAAUGAUAAAAGCUUAGGUCUUAGGAUGCCUCGGUGUCGACAAACCCUAAAUGAUGAGACCAUGUCUUGUUCCUUGACAAUAACCAACUUUUUGACCAAACUUUGUUUCUAUUUAGAGAGAAACAUGGCCCACAACGAUGAGGCCGGGGGUUCGGGCGGCAAGGCAUUCUGGGAGCUGUCCCAGGAGAUGGAGGAACAACCUCACUUGUAUGAGGCCGCCGCCUUCCCCACCGAUCCUGAGACCACUGAUGGUGCCGCCGAGGAUGACCACACUGAUGCCACCACUGAUGGUGCCGCCGAGGAUGCCACCACUGAUGAUGGCAGCGCCCGCACAGAUGGCAGCCAACCGAAGAGGCAACGGAAGGACCGACGCCCGAUCGUGCUCCUCACCCUCAAGGAGGAAGUUACUGAAGUGGACUCCAACGGGUAUCCAACGGCGCCCGAACGAAUAGUCAAGGGGUACUCGCUUCAGCUCGGGUGCAUUGUCCGGAGCACCGUCUCGAUCAACACCGAGAACCUGAGGCAUCCUGACCGAGGGAAUUUGUGCCACCUCCUCUUCACGAAGCUGCACGAAUGAUACAAGUUCCCCGCUGAAUUUGCAAACAGAAGCCUCAAAGGGAAUAAAGUGAACAAUGCUGCCCUCACGAAGAUGAGCAAGGCCCUGUCUACUUGGAAAAGCAAUGUGAAGAAAAUGAUCGAUAAAGGUGAGAGUUAUCAGAAGAUCAAGGAGAAAAAUCCUUCGAUCACCAAAGAUGACUACAAUGACUUCAAGAUCAAUUGCUCGAGCACCGCAAGCUCCCAAUCAAGUGAGUGGGGGAAACAAAUGCGGGAGCUGAACAUAGGGGAACACACACUCGGUCCCGACGGUUACAGAGUGGCGGAGCCUAUAUGGGACAAGGAGGAGGCGGACCGUGCCGAGCAAGGCCUACCGCCCCUCUUCGAGAAAUACAGCGGUAACAAGCAGACCAGGAACUUUGUCAGGGCCCGGUACAAGAAGGACCCGAAAACAAAGGAGCUUACCACGGAUCCGAAGACCAGGCAGCUUGAGCUUGUUCUGGUAAGGAAUACACCCCCGCGUAAUUAGCUCCAUAUGGUUGCAUUCUAAUUAAUGAAGCCAAAUUUCUAAAUGGUUCACAUUCCUUCCGCAGGCGACUGAAAGCAGUAGCGCGGGGUCGACUAAGAGCAACCCUUGGGACACCACUCUAAAUAGGGCGAUGAAUGUAAUGAAGAAGAAGGAUAAGCUCAGUAAGCCGACGUCAGCUGGUCGUGUGGCCGGCAAAGGCUUGUCGACAAAAUGGGGGUCAUACUAUACCGCUGGUGUGCGGAAGGAGAAAAAGACCAGCUCGGAAAGCCAGGCGCGAGAGGAUCAAGAACUCAAGGAACAGGUGACGCGGAUUCCGGAGAUUGUCCAAGAGCAAGUGGAACAAUGACUCGGAGCGACGAUCACCGCCAUUGUGCCUACCUUGAUCUCGGGGUUGAGUGCGUGGAUUGCGGGCGGCCAACAGGGGCCGCCCCCGAUUCCUAGCUUCACGGCCAGCAACUCGCAUAAUGCGAUGGCGGGGCCAUUGGUGCCUCCGGCGGAGGCGGCAUUGGUGUCUCCGACGCCGGCACGGGAGCUUAAUGCACCCGGGUGUACGCCGGCCGGCACCUCUGCAGCAAGCGGCCCCUCCGUCAACUGCACGCCCGCCGUUGGCGGUGCGUCGACAUUAGCCGAGCUCGACGCCAUCAACACGGUAACUAAUUAAGCCUCUCUCGGCCGAGGACUUCAUCUCCUUGCCUUUGACUAGGCAUCCCUGACGCCCUACAUGUUUUCGCAGGGCGCCGCCGACGUUCCGUGCACUCUCCUCCACUUCGUGAACAACGAGUUGGUCGAUGUCGCCAAGGGCAAAAUCGUUCAACCGGCAACCCCUUGUUCCACGGUACCCAGAUGCCACCCAACUUGUUUAGGGUUCAACUGGUUCGGGUGUUGCCAGGCUGCGACGACUUGUUACCUCUGAUUCGACCCGUUGGGGCCGACGAUGAAGACGUGAUGACCCUCAGCGCCUGCCUGAGCUGGCCCCUAGUUUGGCCGAAGAGCCAGAUUCGUUUGGGGGCGGGGGACACCACCCCAAAGACAACACCGCCAGUCGUGCUGGUGCCAAGUCGGCCCCAUGGCAAGACCGCCGUAACGGUGCCGGACAUCCCUAUGCCACUGGAUCCAAACAUGCAUAUGGCACAGGAUCAGAAUGACGACGACAACGACGAUGAUACAUUUGGCAACGUCGAUCAGUACUUUGCCGAUCAUGGGUACGAUGGCGACUUCAUGGGGCCUCCUUCUCAAGAACCAAACCCAACAAAAGACGUGUGCGAUCUAGCUGGUACCGCAGAGAAGCCAAGUUGCAACAGGCGCCGUCUGGCGUUCAGCUCUCAGGAGACGCCUCCAGCUGCCGACUUCACCGAUCCUCAGAUAGGCGAGGUGCGAAAUAUUAUCAGCCCCAACACACUCAAGAAGGCGGUCUGUGAGCAGAACUCGGUCCCAUUACAGGAGAAGAAGAAGGCACGCAAAAGAAAGACUAAGAAGGGUGCGAGCCAGCCGGCACCGAGUACGAUCCGUGCUCAGGACGGGCCACCUUCACCGCAGGAUAUCUCGAGGAGGGUGCAUGUGGCGGGUAGGGCGAUGCUACCGACAAAUAUGCUCAAUGCUGCAACCGGUGCUAUGCGGAGUCUGCAUGACAGUGUUCUUGCUUUGGAGAAGCGGCGUCUCAGAGAGAAGGAUGUGGCAUACCCGGUUUUCGCGGCCAAGGUGCCAAAGGGCAAGGGCUUUGUGGAUAACUCCAUCGGGCGUACGAUCGUCCUGCGUUUUGAUGACAUCCACGCUAUGUUGAACCUUCAUCCGCUGCACUACACCUUCGUUCGGCUAUUUUCGCUGAGUAUGGAGAUGCGGAUCAUUCGCGACAAGACCCCGGACAUCGUGAUAGUCGACCCCUUCUACAUGCGUGCCAAGAUCUUGGGCAGCGCUGGGGACCGGCAAGUCGCGAGUUCUUACCUCGAAGGCAUCAUUCUGGCAAACCAAGAUAAGGAUAACUUCCUCGUGCCUUACUUUCCCGAGUAAGUCCUCCCCUCAACCGGCCCGUAACAUAUGAAUUCUUACAUUUCGAUCGUUUUUCUUUUAACAUUCCGUGUUUUUUGCAGUGACACACGUUGCACGCUCAUCCUCCUAAGCCCCAAAUAUUCCAUGGCCACAUAUUUCGACCCGGACUGUUAGUCGAACGUAGACUACACAAAUGUCAAGAAGGUUCUUGAUGAUGUUCUCCCCGGCUAUGCCAAAUCUGGAGGCACCUUCACCAGGCCUAAUCGUAAGUACGGCAAGCAUGUUUUCUCCCACAAUACGAUGUUCUACUGCGUCAAGCAGCCGCCUGGUGGUCAGAAGGGUGCCUACUACGCCAUCCAUCACAUGCGGGCGAUCGUACGGGACCAUCAUCAACUUCUGCUACCGAGUAAACUCAAAGAUUGGGCAAAGAGCGUGUCGGCAAUCGAGGACGCGGACCUCCGACAAGAAUUCUUUCGCAUCCAGUCGGAGUUUGCGGAAAUCAUCCAUCAAGAUGUCCUUCGUACCUCGGGGCAGUUCUACCUCAACAAUCAACCGUCCAAUAGUGACAUCGACAUAAUGCUACAAAUGCAGGCUGACAACGACCGUUAUUUCAUGACUCCCACGAUAGACGGCGGCUUCAUCCACGCUCCGGUCCCUUGAGUCGAGUCGAAAGCAGUGAUGCUGUGUCUAGUUCUGAAACAUCGAUUGGCUCAUGUUGUAAUUAAACUUUAAUGAACUUGUAGUAUGUCUCUUUGGUUUCGAGAGUCGUUCAACUUAGAUGUAAUCGAUGCUAUUAAUGUCUUGCUUUUCUCUUCCGAUUGUUCUGUUGCAUACUUAUAUAUUGCUUAUGUAUUGUCUGUGAAUUGGUACUAACGUUUCGUUUGGCUAGUGCAUAGCGAUGCCGACGUAUGUCGUGUACAAGGGUAAGGUUCCCGUAGUCUACGAUGACUGGGAGGAGUGUCGGAGACAGGUUCACCGAUUCAGCGGUAACAGUUACAAAGGGUACACCACUAGGGCCGAGGCCGAAUCUAGAUACGCCCGCUAUCUAGCGGGAGAGGGGAGGGAGCGUUGGAGGAACCGGAUGAAGACGAGUUUCAUCGUGAUGAUGCUCAUCGUGAUGACCGCAGCUCUCUUCUAUGUGAUGGUAGUUUAGAUGAUCGAUAUCGACUUGUAAUGUGAAGACAAACUCGCUACUCGCGGUCUCGAGACUUGUAAUAUAAUGUUCUAUCUUUGUUCGGUCUUUUUAAUUCGGAGACUAAUAUGAUGAAUUGUAUUCGGAGACUAAUAUGAUGAAUUGUAUUCAAAGACUAAUCUUCUAUUGUAUUCGAUGAAUCUGUUGUUGAUGUGUGCUGUCUAUAUUUUGUCAAAUUAUACAUUUUGUAACCUGUGCAAAAAACAGAAAAUAAAAAAUAAAAAAAACCUAAUAUUCAUACUAAUGACGCAUCACAUGAUAGUGCGCCAUUAGUAUGACAGUGCAUACUAAUGGCGCAUCACUGGGCAGUGCGCCAUUAGUAUGCCGCGGUUACUAAUGGCGCAUCCAGCGGUGGUGCGCCAUUAGUAUGCCAAAGCACCUGGGUAUACAUGGCCCCUGGGAGGCAUACUAAUGGCGCACCCUUGCCUAUACUAAUGGCGCACGCGCGGUGCGCCAUUAGUAUACCAGAUACUAAUGGCGCACCAGGUGGUGCGCCAUUAGUAAAAAUUACUAAUGGCGUGCUAUUAAUGGCGCACCACAGAUGCGCCAUUAAUGGCCAUUUUAGGUGCGCCAUUAGUAGGGGUUUUUCUAGUAGUGUAAUAAGCGAGAUGACGCAGUUCCUGACCGCCCCGCUACCACUACUGGUUCCAGCGUGGCGUUUGAAUUAUGCCGCGCUAGAUGCCUUUUGUCCAGCGAGGAACAAGUGGGGUCAAGCGUGCUUUGGCAAUUCCCGCCGUCAGAAGACUUCCUUGUAGUCCGGUGUAGAGGUGAGGUUGUAGGGAGAUGCAUCGACUAGGAAGGAGUGGCCACAUGAACGAGCAUAUGUAUGAUGUGAUUAAGUCUCUCGAUCGGGUAUCUGGUGCCUUACGUACGGUGUCUUAUUUUUGUCAAGCUAUGACAUCUUUCAGUUUGAGUGUCUGAUAUUAGGGUUGCAUACGUUUUGUUAUUCAGUUGCCUGUUGUCAACUCUAUGGUUAUAUCACCUCGAUGUGUGAGUCAAUGUGUUUGAACCAAUGUAGAGUUUCAUGUGAAUGUUACAAGUGUGAUUGAUAUCUUCAUGUUAUAACCGCAGUUGCCUUGGUAAGAAAUUGAAAGAGCAAACCGUUAUCGUGUUAGGAAAAAAGUCAUCGCUCAAUAUAAGUUGCUUCUCUAGAACAACCACACCUUUCCCUCAAAAAAAAGAACAACCACACCUUGUGAAAGAAGAUGGCAAACACCCAAUUAUGUCUGGUUAGAUAUGGGCAUGGCUAUGGGUAGCUUAUAGCGACACGGAAGCUAGCAUCGCCUGAAGAAACACCCGGAUGGGCCGGCCUAGAGACAAAUUUCUUCAUUUCUACCCUUAGUUUUGUUUUUCUGCCCUUUUUUCUUUAUAUUUUAUAUUUUUCCCGACAUGUUCACUACUUGAUGCUCAACUGGGAUCUCAUCUGAUGCGGAGCAUCCUAUGGACAUCACCAUGUCAAGAGUCCGUUCGGCAAGUGACACGUGUGACAUCUACUUCUCAUACAUAAAGGUGAAUCUUCUCCUUUACACGUGUUUACUUGACCCCUUCGAGGAUGGUAUACUACUUGACACUUCUCCCGUGUGCAUGCAUAGGUAUUGUCGGAGCUUCAUGGAUGUCGAGGAGGAGUGCAAGCGCCAAGGAAUGACUACACCGUCCGCGAGGGAAGCAUGGAAGAGAAGGAGGAAGAGAACCUGGCUACUCCAGAACGAGCGGUACUACUGCCCACUCCAAGCGGUACUACCGCCGAGGCCACCCAAGCGGCACUACCGCCCAGCAUCCGCCCUUCUACUGCUCAACCCGACAAACUCCAGUGAUCGAGCGGUGUAAGUCCGGUACUACUGCCCCUCCAAGCGGUACUACCGCUCAAGCGGUACUACCACCCAUGAGUCCGGUACUACCGCCCUGCCUCUGCCCAGCCGUGGGCCUUUGGCCUUGUAUCCCUCUCCCACUUACCCCUUCGUGGCUUAGACUAUAAAUAGGCCACCUCCACCUCCUUUCUAGGGUUAGCACAGAUUUAGCUCAUUUUGAGAUAGAGCUUUGCUCAUCCAUACGGAUCUACUCCUCGUGAGAGACCGCGACCUCUUCGGAGAAGAUCCAUCUUGGAUUCAAGACCCCCUCGUGGGAAGAUCCGUCUAGGAUACCAACAAGACCUCCUCUUGGAGAUGAACCUUACCUUGUAUCUUUCCCUUUGUUGUUCAUGUACCCUUGUGGAUCUUGUGUGUUUGAUUGUCUAGUGGAUGUGUGAUUGGACUUGUACUUGAGUGUUUCCCCUUGUGAUUUCUCUCCGUUCUUCCACGUGUUCUUCAUAGGGAUCCGCUCCAAACGUGAAAGAUCGGCCUCUAGGGUUCUAGCCUACAUCAUCUUGGAUCAGAGCAAGGUUGAUCACGGAUUUGGAGCCCCUACCCCUCUUUUUCUAGCCUUCUUUUGCUUGCUUUCGUCCUAAAAUCCCCACAAAAAAUAGCCCCAAUUUUUUUGUGAUUUGUUCGUUUGAUGAUUUUUUGUUGAUUUUGAUCCAUGGAUUUGCUUGGUUUUGAGUGGAUCUAGCAUCUCUCCAAGUUUCCCCACCUUCCAUCCACGAAAUCCAUCCAAUUUUGCCCCUGAAAUCAUCCUUUUCCGCCCCAAAUUCGCCCCGAUUUCGAUCUGUGAAUUUUCCCGACACGAGCGGUACUACCGCCCUCGAAGCGGUACUACCGCCCUCGAAGCGGUACUACCGCUGAGCACCACAAGCGGUACUACCACCCUCCCAAGCUAUGACGCCCGGAUAAUUAAGCUACAGUAAUCCCCUUCUAAUGGUGCCAUGUCAUCACAUUACUGUUGCUAAUCCUCGCUUGAUCCAAAUCUUAGUUCAAACUCAAAUUCAAAUUAAAGACCAAAAUUCAAAUUUCUCAAGCAUGCAAAAUAAAAUGUUCAAAGUGUGGCAAAUAAUCGCUGGAUAUUUGUCAUGUUGCAAACAACCUCUUUUGAAUUCUCAAAAUGCCCCUGGGAAUUAAUUUUUGGUCCAGUAGUAAAUUAAAUGGCAUUUGCAAAAUAAAGAAUUGUUUAUUUAACUCCAAUUGCCUCCAAACUUUAUGUGCCACUCCAAAAUAUUUGUGGCUCUGUCUAAGAUCGCCAAGGAAUUAAAAGGGCACUUCCCAUAUUUUCCCUAAGUAAAUAGUGUGCCCAAAAUAUUCUCUUAACCAUCUCUAUUUUUUUAAAUAAAAAAAGGCGAAGAAGAACUCCCCCGGGCCUCGGGCCACUCCCACUUACCAGCCCACCUAAGCCGGCCCACUCCCCCGCUCCCCUAGCCUAUAGGCCACGGCCGACCGAACCCUAACCCCGCAUGAUCCCCCCACUCCCCACUCCUCUCCCCUCUCGAUCCGAUCUGGAUCGGACCGAAACCGGCGCAAUUGGUCGAUCCAUGUAUAAAGUAAAAAUAACUAGGCCCAAUUGGUCGAUCCAUGACAGUUUUCGUGACGGUACUUCCACGUCUGUCAUGAGGGGGCUACCCUACUUGGCCCCAAAUGGAUCUUGCUAAUUGGUGACGGUUUCCGUGAUAGAUUUCUGGAACGUCACCAGAAAUCCGUCAUUGAUUAACAGAUUUCCGCACAAUCCCCCCACUCCCCACUCCUCUUCCCUCCUGAUCCGAUCUGGAUCGGACCGAAAUCGGCGCCGCGACGCCAACCGCCGUCGCUGGAGGCGUCCCCGACUCCACGCCGGGCCGCCCCGUCACUGGACCUCCUCCCCGUCGCCACUCGUCACUCGCUGGACCGCCUCGUCCCCACCAAUGCCGCCCCCACCCCAACGUCCCCGACGCCUUCGCCGUCGGCACCGCCCCAAUGUCGCCGCCACCCGACGCCGGCGCCCUCGACAUCGCCACCCCGAGCCCACUGCCACCCCUACGCUCCGCUAUGAGCCCCUCGCUGAUUCCCCCUCCUUCCCGUCGUCGUAGGUGGCUGCGCGCGUCGUUGGCCAUCGUGGCCGCGCUCCGGCCGUUCCCCAUCCGUGCGCUGGCCUCGCCUUCCUCGGAUUGCAAACAUUGAACUUUUCCCCUCGGGUUCAUCUAUCUGACAGACGUUCGGGACCAGAAAAACUUUCCCGGAUGUUUCCCCCUUCGCCAGUAUCACCUAGCACCGCGUUAGAACACUUCUAGCCCCGCUUAUUGUCUUGUUAUGCAUAUGUUUGCGUGUAUUUACUGUUUCUUCCCCCUCUUCUUCUCCGGUAGACCUCGAGACCGUUGCUGAUGCCCCUGUGGUCGACUACGUCGACGGCGACCCUCCUUGUCUGAGCAACGAGGCAAGCCCCCCCUUUGAUCAUCCCGAUAUCGCCCAUUCCAUUCUCUAAUGCUUGCACUAGAUUUUCUACUGUAUUUGAUUGCUCCUAUUCUGAUGCAUAGCAUGCUUUUCUACCUGCUGUUGUACCUUACCUGCUUAUCCUAAACUGCUUAGUAUAGGUUGGCUAGUGAUCCAUCAGUGACCCCCACCUUGUCUUUGUUGCCCCUGCUUCAUCAUUGACGACUCGAUCAACGUGAUCGACGACCGGAGCCUGACACCUCACAUCACAUCACGCCCCUUUUUGUUGCUCGACUCUGCAGAGUUACCAUCGAGUGCCGAGGGUGGAACCUCAUACAUCACUCCUUAUGAGAUCUCUGUAGUGUAGCUAUUCGGUCGUGGUCAUCGAGGGUGGUUCCUCCUUCACCAUUCCUAAUACGGCUCUGUCGUGCAACACCUCAAGUGUGAACCUCGAGGGUGGUUCCUCUUACGUUCACCUUGAUGAUUACAUCGAGUGGAAUCCACCGGGGGUGAUUCCUCGGAUUUUCCCCUUUAUGUCUGGACACACAGUUACCUUGACUUCACUUGAGACCGUUUUGAAAGCCGGGCAGGCCCGGAGAGCACCCGUGCGGUGUGACGGUGGCGGCUGGCUGUUUAGCGGUAUCACCCGGGAGGGGGUGAUAGCUCCGGACUUGUCCCGACAGCCGUCACUUCUUUUAAUAAUGCACUAACAGGUUUGGGUAUUUUUUCUAAGUUCACUAACCACGACGCUAGAAUAGUUAUGGGUCUCGAUGUUGCAGUAUCAGCCGAAGCUUUCUCAGACGUCCAGUUCAGCAUUGUGGCCGGGCCGAAUCAUGCCAUCCACUUCACGGGUGGUGCUGGUAUCCCCUUGCGCACAACGACCCAGAGUGCAACGGGCGAUGGGCCCAGACCCCGGAGUGCUUAGGAUGUAGACCGGCAGGGACCUCUCUGCUGAGCCUAGGUAGGGCAGCUACGUGUUGAUCUUCCGAGGCCGGGCAUUGACCCCAGAAAGGUGUGUCCUUCCAGAGUGAUCGAGCGUGUUGGGUAACGUGGUGCCCCCCUGCAGGGAAGAUUAUCUAUUAAUAGCCGUGUCCACGGUAACGGACGUUCAAACUUAUAUCUUGAUCUUAUACAACUACAAAUGGAUACUUGAGAUAUGUGGCUCCGGGAUUGCUUUCUCGCAGGGAGUCGAGGAAGGAUCUCUGGGCGUUGUUGUCACAACAUGCUUGUUAAUUAAACUGCUAUUCUUUACUCUUCUACAUGCUGCAAGAUGCUUGGAGCUACUUGAAGAUGCUAGUCUUCAUGAGGCUAGGCCUUCCCCUCUAUUCUGGCAUUCUGCAGUUCAGUCCACAGAUACAACCCUUCCAUUUGAUACCAAUGCAUACUUAGUAUAGAUCUGAUGCUUGCGAGUACUUUGGAUGAGUACUCACGGUUGCUUUGCUACCCCAUUUCCCCCUUCUUUCUUCUUUCCGGUUGACGCAACCAAAUGGUGGAUCCCUGGAGCCAGAUGCCAGCGCUGAUAGAUGCUACUAUGUGAAGAUCGCCGACGACCAGGAGUAGUUAGGAGGUCCCAAGCAGGAGGCCUUGCCUCUUCGAUCAUUGUUGCUUUUGUGCUAGCCUUCUUAAGGCAUCUUUGUUUAACUUAUGUCUGUACUCAGAUAUUGUUGCUUCCGCUGACUCUUGUGUAUCGAGCUAUGUAUUCAAGCCCUCGAGGCCCCUGGCUUGUAAUAUAAAGCUUGUAUUAUUUUGAUUUGUGUCUAUAGUUGUGUUGUGAUAUCUUCCCGUGAGUCCCUGAUCUUGAUCAUACACAUUUGCGUGCAUGAUUAGUGUACGAUUGAAUCGGGGACGUCACAAGUUGGUAUCAGAGCCGACUGUUUGUAGGAUCCCCCUUUCCAACUCCUUGGCUGAAGUUGAGUCUAGUCUUUGAAAAAAAUUGUUUUACUAACAUGGUUGUGUGGCUUACGGGCCCAUGUCGCCAUUGGGUGGUAUUAGGAUCUUUUACUCCUCGACCUUUACUCUGGGACUCUAAUCGCUCUUCUAUUCGGGUUAAAUGGUCUCGCAAACUAUAACUCUAGGUUCUCGUAAAUACUUUCUCCCGGAGAGCCCCUUCAUUCCAGAUGAUGGCCUGCUUCACCAGAUGAUUUCGAAGAUACCCUUCUGUAAUUUCCUGAGACUUUUGUACUCAUUGCUUUUGCAGUUCCCUACCUCUGAUAUAUCCUUACGGAUAACUUCAUACACUUGUCAUUCAUACAAUCAUUCCUAGUUGCUCUUGUUUUUACAAGAUACAUUGAAUUAUUCUCCGACUUUUAAGAAUCCCUUGCUUACUGCCCUGCAGUUCCUUGCCGCAUGAAUACCCCUACGGAUAAUUACUCGCACUUGCCGAGUAUCCGUUCGUCCAUAGUUGUUCAUGUGUUUCACAACAUUCUUUGGAAAGCUAUUUGAUCUUUUCAAAAAUCCUCAGUAGCCUAUUACUCUUGUUCCUCCUUACCUACUUACAGUAUGGUUACUUCCAUUUGUCUAGCAAUAUUCUUUAAAAUCCUUUGCGAUUGACAUCCUUACCCUAUUGUUUCAACAUGUGUGUGAAUGCACGCAAUCAUCAAUUGUUCCCUGGAAUUGUCCUUCUGGCUCAGACGUUACCCCGGACACGAGCUGGUGUUCGACAAAACAAACCUUGAUUGAUUUUGAAUCUAUGUCUAUACAACUUAAUUGUCUUUGAUCAGAGCCUCUGCUUUUGAUCCCCCAUUUUGAAAAUCAUAAUCCCCUUUGCAUUCGAGCAUAGAAUUAGUCAGUUGUUUCUAUAACCUGACCUCCUUGAAUUCUUUCUUCUUCUGGUUGAGUAUCGAUACUCACAUCAGAUCCAUUGUGGACCUCCAGGUCCUUUGUUGGUUUUUAUCCGACAGCAUCCUUCAUAUUCAGUAACCUUGUGAGCCUUUCCUCGAAUACACAAUGCCUUUGGUAAAUUGUAUCCCCCACUCUCGUCAACCAUACUCUGCUUCCGGGCUUGAGUUAUUUACUCGUGAAGUUUGUGGUAUAUGUUCCUAAUAUGUCCCUAUGGGUUGAAUCUAUGUCUUCCCUAAAUCUGUGUGAACCCUACGACUCAUACUCUACUGGUGUUAUGCCAGAUAAAAUCUCAACAGUACGGCUUCGUUGAAAAUGAGAAGUGAAUGAAAGGUUAUGCAUCGAAGAAGUGGGAGUCGACCUUGAGCCUUGUGUUCAUGCCCAUGGACACGAUGUGGAACUUAACAUGGAAGCUUCUUUUUAUAAUAAUAGCCCCCUAGCGAUAAGUACAUCUUGUAUCCAUGUGUGGUCCAUUGCAAUCGUGGUUCCGACCAUAUUGUUCUUGUUUGAUCCAUUUAUCGGACAAGUUAAAGUACUUGUCUUCUUCAAAUUGUUUCACAUGUUCAACCUCUACAUUGAUAUACCUUCGAGCAUUAUCCUCUGGUAUCUCGAGAAUAUCACGGAACUACAUAACUUCUUAUGAGUUCUUGAUCAACUAUUAUUUCUCACUGAUUCAAAUUUUUCACUAGUUGGGAGUUGUUAGACACUCGAGAAUACAGUUAACUGAUUCAAGUCUACGCUUUCCUUUCCAUUGUUCUGUUUAAUCUUUCUGGUAACCUAUCUUAUCUGAGAACUGAUAAUUCCCUGCUUAUGUAAACACCUCGGUGUACAAGCUCUGUCUGUAAGACCUUGUUACUAUUGUUGAGGACAUUCCGAUAGCUACCGAUGGACGAGAACUUUGCCUAUUGGUCCGCCUCAUCUUAACGAGCAGGAAAAUGGUUCUCUUUGUCCCUCUCCCUUGGUACCAACGUUGUUGCCAACAUAACUGACAAGUUGUCCUCUGACCUGCCUUGCUAUCAUGACCAUGCAAAAUGCUAGCGCCCUUCCUGCUUUUAACCCACAAGGUGGGCCUGAGGGAGUCCUGGACUAGGCGGUGUCCGGACAGCCGGACUAUCAUCGUCCGCCGGACUCCAAGACUACGAAGAUACAAGAUUGAAGACUCCGUCCCGUGUCUGGAUGGGACUUUCCUUGGCGUGGAAGGCAAGCUUGGAAAUACGGAUAUGUAGAUCUCCUACCAUUGUAACCGACUCUGUGUAACCCUAGCCUCCUCCGGUGUCUAUAUAAACCGGAGGGCUUUAGUCCGUAGGACACAACAUACAUUACAACAAUCAUACCAUAGGCUAGCUUUAGGGUUUAGCCUCCUUGAUCUCGUGGUAGAUCCACUCUUGUACUACCCAUAUCAUCAAUAUUAAUCAAGCAGGAUGUAGGGUUUUACCUCCAUCGAGAGGGCCCGAACCUGGGUAAAACAUCGUGUCCCUCGUCUCCGGUUACCAUCCGCCUAGACGCACAGUUCGGGACCCCCUACCUGAGAUCCGCCGAUUUUGACACCGACAUUGGUGCUUUUAUUGAGAGUUCCUCUGUGUCGUCACCAAUAGGCUCGAUGGCAUCUUCAACCAACAACGCUGUCCAGGGUGAGACUUUUCUCCCCGGACAGAUCUUUGUAUUCGGCGGCUUCGCACUGCGGGCUAAUUCGUUUGGCCAUCGGAGCAGAUCGAAAGCUACGCCCCUGGCCGUCAGGUCAGAUUCGGAAGUCUCAACUUCACGGCCGACGUCCGCGGAGACUUGAUCUUCGACGGGCUCGAGCCACAGCCAAGCGCGCCGCACUGUUACGAUGGGCAUGAUCUAGCUCUGUCGCCGAACAGUGCCUUGGUGGCCGCCCACGAAUCCGCUUCGGCCUUUAGUCCGGGGCCGAUCGCCCAGACCGAGGAACGGUGGAUGGACACCGCCUCGGGGGCUUCAACUUCCACGGCGAUGGAGCCGAACACUAAUCUUGUCCCUCGCAAAACUCGUGAUUCCGAGGUGCCGGACUCCUUGCCGGACUCCGAAGCUCCCACGCCCCUACCAACCGAAUCGGAUUGGGCGCCGGUUAUGGAAUUCACCGCCGCGGACAUCUUCCAAUACUCGCCUUUUGGCGACAUCCUGAAUUCGCUAAAGCAUCUCUCGUUAUCAGGAGAGCCCUGGCCGGACUAUGGCCAGGAUGGUUGGGAUACGGACGACGAAGAAAUUCAGAGCCCACCCACCACCCACUUUGUAGCCACUGUCGACGAUCUAACCGACAUGCUAGACUACGACUCCGAAGACAUCAACGCUAUGGACGACAAUGCCAGAGACGAACAGGAACCAGCGCCUACAGGGCACUGGAAGACCACCUCGUCAUAUGACAUAUACAUGGUGGAUACCCCAAAAGACGGGGACGGCGAAGAAACAGCGGAGGCAUAUUCUUUAAAGAAACAGCCCAAGCGCCGGCAUCAGCGGCGCUGCUCUAAAUCCCGCCACGGCAAGAAUGGAGAUUCCAGCACAGGAGAUAAUAAUACCCCAGAAAGUGCCGAAGAUAACCCCCUCCAGCAAGACUCAGCGCAGGAGGAUGCAGAAGCAAGCCCUCACGAGAAGGCGGCAGACAAAGAGGUUGAGGAUUACAACUAUAUGCCUCCCUCCGAAGACGAGGCAAGCCUCAACGAUGACGAAUUCGUCGUGCCCGAGGAUCCCGUCGAACAAGAGCGUUUUAAACGCAGGCUUAUGACCACGGCAAAUAGCCUAAAGAAAAAGCAGCAGCAGCUUCAAGCUGAUCAGGACCUGCUGGCCGAUCGAUGGACCGAGGUCCUCGCGGCCGAAGAGUAUAAACUCGAAUGCCCCUCCAAAAGCUAUCCAGGACGCAAGCUGCUCCCCCGAUUAGAGGAGGAAGCAUACAUACCUCCAUCACCAGCGCACGAUACGGCUGACCGACCACCCCGUGGUCGUGACAGAGAGGCAUCCAGGCCCCCAACCAAGACCGUACCCCGGCAUCGCUCGAAAAGUAUGAAGCCAAGAGGGAACGCGCCGGACUUGCGAGAUAUAUUGGAGGACAAAGCAAGGCAAUCCAGAUCCAUCUACGGAUCACGGGGGUGCCCCACGACCCAUGACGAAUACCGUCGCGCCGGAUACAAUAACCCCGGCCGGGCCGAACACAGCAGACAACGCUCUCUCGAGUUGCAUCGUGAUAUUGCUCAAUAUAGAGGCGCCGCACACCCGCUAUGCUUCACAGACGAAGUAAUGGAUCAUCAAAUCCCUGAAGGGUUUAAACCCGUAAACAUCGAAUCCUACGAUGGCACAACAGACCCUGCGGUUUGGAUCGAAGAUUACCUUCUCCACAUCCAUAUGGCCCGCGGCGACGAUCUACAUACCAUCAAGUACCUCCCACUCAAGCUUAAAGGACCAGCUCGGCAUUGGCUCAACAGCUUGCUCGCAGAGUCAAUUGGGUGUUGGGAAGACCUAGAAGCCGCAUUCCUUGAUAACUUCCAGGGCACGUAUGUGCGACCACCAGACGCCGAUGACCUAAGUCACAUCAUUCAGCAGCCAGACGAAUCGGCCAGACAAUUCUGGACACGGUUCUUGACAAAGAAAAAUCAAAUCGUCGACUGUCCGGAUGCAGAGGCCCUUGCAGCCUUCAAACAUAACACCCGCGACGAAUGGCUAGCCCGGCACCUGGGGCGGGAAAAGCCGAAAUCCAUGGCAGCCCUCACAUCAUUAAUGACCCGCUUUUGCGUGGGAGAGGAUAGCUGGCUAGCUCGCAGCAACAAUCUCCGUAAAAAUUCUGGCAGUCCAGACACCAAGAACAAUAAUGGCAGGUCACGUCGAAACAAAAACAAACGCCGCAUCAACGGCAAUGAUAAGGAGGAUACGGCAGUCAACGCCGGAUUCCGAGGCUCUAAACCCGGUCAACGGAAGAAGCCAUUCAAAAGAACCACUCCGGGUCCGUCUAAUUUGGACCGAAUACUCGACCGCUUAUGCCAGAUACAUGGCACCCCUGAAAAGCCAGCUAAUCACACUAAUAGAGACUGCUGGGUGUUCAAGCAGGCAGGUAAGUUAAUUGCCGAAAACAAUGACAAGGGGCUAAACAGCGAGGACGAGGAGGAGACCCGACCGCCGAACAAUAGAGGACAAAAGGGUUUUCCCCCACAAGUGCGGACGGUGAACAUGAUCUACGCGACCCAUAUACCCAAUUGGGAGAGGAAGCGUGCACUAAGGGACGUCUAUGCGAUGGAGCCAGUCGCCCCGAAGUACAAUCCAUGGUCCUCUUGUCCGAUCACUUUCGAUCGAAGAGACCAUCCGACCAGCAUACGCCAUGGCGGAUUCGCCGCAUUGGUUCUAGACACAAUCGUCGAUGGAUUUCACCUCACGAGAGUCCUGAUGGACGGCGGUAGUAGCCUGAACCUGCUUUAUCAGGACACAGUGUGCAAAAUGGGCAUAGACCCCUCAAGGAUUAAACCUACAAAGACAACCUUUAACAGUGUCAUACCAGGUGUGGAAGCCAACUGUACAGGCUCAGUCACACUGGAAGUGGUCUUCGGAUCCCCGGACAAUUUCCGGAGCGAGGAGUUAAUCUUCGACAUAGUCCCGUUUCGCAGCGGCUAUCACGCUCUGCUCGGACGAAUCGCGUUCGCAAAAUUCAACGCGGUGCCGCAUUGUGCAUACCUCAAGCUCAAGAUGCCAGGCCCUCAUGGAGUCAUCACGGUCAAUGGGAAUACGGAACGCUCCCUCCGAACGGAGGAACAUACAGCGGCUCUCACGGCAGAAGUACAGAGCAGCCUUUUAAGGCAAUUCUCGAGUCCGGCCAUUAAACGGCCGGAUACAUCAAAGCGCGCCCGAAGCAAUACCAACCAAGACCACCUGGCGUGAUCAGAGCACGCGUAGCAAUGCGGCCCCAACCCCCGCCCGCGCGUGAUUGCAAGAAUAACCCUCCGCGUACAUCAUUACGCUUUGGAGAUACCAUGGGCGCAGGGGAAGGGGCACGAUCACAACGGACCCAGAGUGCAGUUCGACCGCACCAGGGGCUCGCAAGUGUGCCCCCUUUUUUUUAUUGUUAUUUUCCCUCUUUGUGUACACAGGACUCCGUUAGCCAGAGGCCCUAUCCGGCGGUGAACCUGCCGAACUCAUGAUGCAAUAACCAGGGAAGAAAGAACGCUGCGACGAACACUCAGGUGGUCUCAAUUACAAGCAUUAAAUUCGAUUAUAUACACCAAGUCCGCAGCUUACCCUUGGAGGGGGACAUGUUUAAUUAGUCCAAAUCCCUUGCUUACCACACUAUUUGUAUCAGUCCGCACUCAUAGCAGACUUUCUUUCAUAAAUAAUGCAGCACCUUUUUGACUGCAAUUACAUUACCUUUUAUAUAUAUAUGCUCAUUACAUGACAUCUUGCACCCGUAUAUUUUGGUACGGCCUAAUACACCAGGGGCUUAUGUUCCCCACAUUAUGGUGUGAUAAGUCCGAACACUUUCGUAAGUGCAGCACCCCGAACUUAUAGCACUAUAUGAAUCGGCUCCGAAUCAUGUCUUGGGUCAAUAGUUGGGUUUGCCCGGCUCCCACGUUUUGGUGCCUUACGUUCCGUUCUGUCGGCUAAGGUGGCACUGGGAGAACCACUGCGAUUGCGCCCCGGUUGAGCCGGGCGAGCACCUCAGUGGAGAAAGCUAAAACUGACCGGCAUGAUAAGGCGAGAGACUGGUCGCUGUUCGAGAGGUUUUUUCGGGUCCUUAAAGACUCACGCCACUUCGAGCGAAGUUCCGGACCAUGUCUGACGAAGGCGUGGAUAGCGCCCCGGAUUCGGCCUUUCGGAUACCAGGGGCUUCGCCGAAAUUUAAAAUUAUAGAAUUCUAUGGCUAAGUGAGAGUGUUCAAGCAUUAUAAGUCCGGUCGCCUUGUUCGUUGUGUUGAGCACCUCCCUAGAUGGACCCAAAAAUGGGAAUAAGAGUGCUCAAGUUUAUCCCGAACACCCCAGCACUCGUGGCUCGGGGGCUGAAGCCAAUGACUUUCCAUCUCUCAGAUUUUAUAAACGGCCGCACAGAAGGUAAUAUUUUAAAUUAAAACAAGCGUUGCUCAUGGCGCAUCUGAACGAAGUUUUCAGCGCACAGGAUAAUACAUAGCGAGUUCACUCAAAGAUUACAUUUCUAGGGCACUCAUCCGCAAUAUCGCGGGCUCCCUUCAGGACAGUUUUAUAAUACAUUUCAGGCGUGCGAUACUCCUUGCCCGGCGGCGGUGGGUCUGUGAGAAGCUUCUCCGCAUCCAACCUGCCCCAAUGCACCUUUGUGCGGGCAAGGGCCCGACGAGCACCUUCAAUACAGGCGGAGCGCUUGAUGACCUCCACCCAGGGGCAUGCAUCCACCAGCCGCCGCACGAGGCCGAAGUAGCUACCAAGCAUGACCUGUUCAGGCCACAGCCGGACUAUAAGGCCCUUCAUGGCCUCUUCAGCUACCUUGUGGAGUUCGACCAGCUGCUUCAGCUGGUCGCUUGGGGGCACCGGAUGGCCUGCCUCAGCGUACUAAGACCAGAAGACCUUCUCCGUUGAGCUCCCCUCCUCGCCACGAUAGAAUGCGGCGGCAUCGGAGGCACUACACGGCAGAUCUGCAAACACCCCUGGAGAGCUCCGAAUGCGGGUAAUUGUCAGGUAGUUUACAUUAACAUGCUUGCUUUGCAUGAAAAAUGCCUUACCCGCCGCUAUCUUCUUUACAUCUUCAACCUCCUGAAGGGCCUUACGGGCCUCGGCCUUGGCGGACUUGGCACUUUCGAGAGCCGAGGCAAGCUCGGACUCUCGAGUCUUGGAGCCUCCUGCUUUUCUCGCUCCGCCCGUUCCGCGACCGCACUGCGUUCAGCCGCGGACACAGCCUCCUUCAGGGCUGCCACCUCGUUCGUGGCCCCUGCAAUACCCAUAUUAUCCUUGUUAAUUUUAUUGCAACCAAAAUCCUUUUCCGUAAGGUGACUAUUCAAAGCGGUGUUACUCACCUUCUUUGUCCUCGAGCUGCUUCUUGGCAGUGCCGAGCUCUUGCUCGGACCGCUCGAGAUCCUGCUUCAACACAUCGACCUCCGCCGUCAGUGCGGCAGAGGUCAGUAGCGCAGCCUGCAAACCCAUAUUGACAUAUUUUAAGCAACCCUGCGUAUAUCUUGUUAGAUCCUCAGUCCGGCUUUUCUUUCCGAACACCGAACUGAGCAUCAAGGGCUACUGUCUAUGCGGUAUUACAUUACAUAAUUUUAACUUCUUACCUCAAAGCCUGUUAGAAGGCUGCUGCAGGCUUCGGUCAGCCCGCUCUUGGCGAGCUAAACCUUUUGAAUCACCGCACUCAUGUUAGUGCGAUGUUUUUCCUCGAUGGAAGCGCCUUCAAGCGCCUCCAACAAGUUAUCCGGCGCCUCCGGUUGGACGGAGGUCGCCGGUGUCAAGGUCUUGCCCUUCUUUCGAAGGGGCCGCCCGCCGGACUCUAGAACCACUGCGGGUUCCGAUGUAGAGUCCGGCACAAAGUCUGGGAGGCAGCCUGACGACGCCUCCGGAGCCUCCUCCUGAUGGGUCCCUCUCUGGGAUCCCACCUCGGCGUCCCCGUCGGCGCGGGGGGUAGAGGCGGUCGGAAGUGAAUCCACAUCUAACGGGGCCAACGACCCGCUCGAUGAAGCGGGGAGAUCAUCAUCGGCCGGACUACGGACAGAACGCGGCAUUAGAAGGACACUACGCGACACGAAAGAAAUUGCAUAUCAUGGAUCCGGAUACUUACGAUCUUGUCGGACGCCUGGCCCUUGGAGGCCACUCAUCCUCGCCAACGGUGGUGUUGGCGAAACUGUCCGGGGGGAUAGUCCUCCCCCUCUUGGACCCUUCGGCCUCCCCUAUUGGGAAAGCCUUCCACUUCUUCUCUCCCUCCUCCGAGAGAGAGUCCUCUUCCUCCUCCUCGUCUUUGGGGGAGGAGUCCGCCUCGUCGUCGGACGCCUAAUUGCGGGAACUCUUUCGAGUCCCCGCGGCCACCUUCUUGGCCUUCUUCUCCGGCACCACGUGCGGUGCCGGAACCAGCAGCCCUGCUAAACGGGCGUUCUCUGGGUCUUCAGGCAUGGGAGCCGGGCUGAUGAGCUGCUUGGCCUUCUCCAUCCAUUCCUAUCAAAGGAAAAGAGAGAUUGAAACCCUCUUAGAAUCAGUUUAAUUACCACAAGUGUCCCGUAACGUGGUUGAAUCACUUACCUCGUCAGCCGGAUGCUGCGAGCGAAAUCCGUGAUCUUCCGUCGCGGAUGCGGGGGCUUCGGCGCCCUUAAACAGCACCCUCCAGGCGCCUUCGUAUGUCGUAUCGAAGAGCCCGCUCAGCGCCUGGUGCUGUUCCGGAUUGAACUCCCACAGAUUGAAUACCCGUUCUUGGCAUGGGAGAAUCCGGCGGAUGAGCAUGACUUGGACCACGUCGACGAGCCUGAGCUUAUUGCUCACCAGCUUCUGGAUGCAGGCUCGGAGUCCCGUCACCUCCUUCGGAUUUCCCCACAGCAAGCCCUUCUCUUUCCAGGAGGUGAACUGCGUGGGGACGCCAGAUCUAAACUCGGGGGCCGCCGCCCAUGUGGGCUUGCGCAGCUCGGUGAUGUAGAACCAACCCGAUUGCCACCCCUUGACGGAGUCCACGAAGGCCCCUUCGAGCCAAAGGACGUUGGGCAACUUACCCAACAUGGCGCCUCCGCAUUCCGCUUGCGUGCCCUUCACAACCUUCGGCCUCCCCUAUUGGGGAAGCCUUCCUCUUCUUCUCUCCCUCCUCCGGGAGAGAGUCCUCUUCCUCCUCCUCGUCUUCGGGGGAGGAGUCCGCCUCGUCGUCAGACGCCUGAUUGCGGGAACUCUUUCGAGUCCCCGCGGCCACCUUCUUGGACUUCUUCUCCGGCACCACGUGCGGUGCCGGAACCAGCAGCCCUGCUAAACGGGCGUUCUCUGGGUCUUCAGGCAUGGGAGCCGGGCUGAUGAGCUGCUUGGCCUUCUCCAUCCAUUCCUGUCAAAGGAAAAGAGAGAUUGAAACCCUCUUAGAAUCAGUUUAAUUACCACAAGUGUCCCAUAACGGGGUUGAAUCACUUACCUCGUCAACCGGAUGCUGCGAGCGAAAUCCGUGAUCUUCCGUCGCGGAUGCGGGUGCUUCGGCGCCCUUAAACAGCACCCUCCAGGCGCCUUCGUAUGUCGUAUCGAAGAGCCCGCUCAGCGCCUGGUGCUGUUCCGGAUUGAACUCCCACAGAUUGAAUGCCCGUUCUUGGCAUGGGAGAAUCCGGCGGAUGAGCAUGACUUGGACCACGUCGACGAGCCUGAGCUUAUUGCUCACCAGCUUCUGGAUGCAGGCUCGGAGUCCCGUCACCUCCUUCGGAUUGCCCCACAGCAAGCCCUUCUCUUUCCAGGAGGUGAACUGCGUGGGGACGCCAGAUCUAAACUCGGGGGCCGCCGCCCAUGUGGGCUUGCGCAGCUCGGUGAUGUAGAACCAACCCGAUUGCCACCCCUUGACGGAGUCCACGAAGGCCCCUUCGAGCCAAAGGACGUUGGGCAACUUACCCAACAUGGCGCCUCCGCAUUCCGCUUGCGUGCCCUUCACAACCUUCGGCUUGACGUUGAAGGUCUUGAGCCACAGGCCGAAGUGGGGCCGGAUGCAGAGGAAGGCCUUGCACACGACGAUAAACGCCGAGAUGUUGAGGAUGAAGUUCGGCGCCAGAUCGUGGAAAUCCAGGCCGUAGUAAAACAUGAUCCCCCGGACGAAUGGGUGGAGUGGAAAGCCCAGUCCGCGGAGGAAGUGGGGAAGGAAGACGACCCUCUCAUGGGGCCCAGGGGUAGGGAUGAGCUGCCCCUCGUCGGGCAGCCGAUGCGCGAUAUCGCCGGAAAGGUAUCCGGCGCUGCGAAGCUUGGUGAUAUGCUCCUCCUUAACGGUGGAGUCCAACCAUUUGCCUCCCGCUCCGGACAUAUUCGGAGAAGGUCGGGGCGAGAUGCGCGAGCUUGGGCGUUGGAGCUUGAGUGCACGGAGAUGGAUAAGCAAAGGAGGAAGAAGGCGUAGGUGAGAAGGUAAAUCCUUAUCCCUUAUAUAUAGGCGGACGAAAACUAUGCGUCCCCACCGGCCUGAUAAAACUCGCUUAUCUCCCAAGCGCCACCAUCAAUGGCGCGGUUGGGUUACCCACGUCCGUAUUGAUGGGAAUCCCGGAAUAAGGGGAACACAAUCUCUGCUUCGACAAGACGUGCCAAGGAAACCGCUUCGCUAAACGUGCUGAGGUGGUAUAGUAAAAAACGAUUCAAACAAAGGCUUGGUAGCGGUGUGAUGUCACGCCGCAUAAUACGUCAGCAGAUUGGACUGGUGUACAUUUUAUUCUCUCUACGGUGGAAUGUGGAAUUUAUUUUGCAGAGCCGGACACUAUCCUGGUGUUCAUGAUCUUCUCUGGAUUAUUCAAGGGAGGAACCCGCCUUGCAAUGCCGAACAUUAUGCGCGCCGGACUUAUCGUCAUUGAAGCCUGGUUCAGGGGCUACUGAGGGAGUCCUGGACUAGGGGGUGUCCGGACAGCCGGACUAUCAUCGUCCGCCGGACUCCAAGACUACGAAGAUACAAGAUUGAAGACUCCGUCCCGUGUCCAGAUGAGAUUUUCCUUGGCGUGGAAGGCAAGCUUGGCAAUACGGAUAUGUAGAUCUCCUACCAUUGUAACCGACUCUGUGUAACCCUAGCCUCCUCCGGUGUCUAUAUAAACCGGAGGGCUUUAGUCCGUAGGACACAACAUACAUUACAACAAUCAUACCAUAGGCUAGCUUUAGGGUUUAGCCUCCUUGAUCUCGUGGUAGAUCCACUCUUGUACUACCCAUAUCAUCAAUAUUAAUCAAGCAGGACGUAGGGUUUUACCUCCAUCGAGAGGGCCCGAACCUAGGUAAAACAUCGUGUCCCUCGUCUCCUGUUACCAUCCGCCUAGAUGCACAGUUCGGGACCCCCUACCCGAGAUCCGCCGGUUUUGACACCGACAGGGCCCAUAACCCACAGUUCCACAGGAUCGAAACCUGACUCAUGUACAUCCCUGUUUUUCAAAGUUGUUCCUCGCGCUUGGAUUCGUAUGUAAUUCACGAGCCACCUUCCUUGUGAUCUGUUCUGGUAUCAGAUGCAAUACUUAUUCCCAUUGCUCUAAACCCCUUUCACCUUCUUACCUUGCUCUCGAUGACUAUCCUGAAUUCCAACUCAAGAGAUGCCUCUAUGCCAUGUUGAGGUACCUAUCUUGUGUUGAGCUCCAUCCCUCCCGAGUCUUUCCCCCUUACUCACCCCUUAAAUCUCGAGACGAUAUUUCUUGUAGUGGAGGAGAAUUGUGACGCCCAAAUAAUUAAGCUACAGUAAUCCCCUUUUAAUGGUUCCAUGUCAUCACAUUACUAUUGCUAAUCCUCGCUUGAUCCAAAUCUUAGUUCAAACUAAUAUUCAAAUUAAAGACCAAAAUUCAAAUUUCUCAAGCAUGCAUAAUAAAAUGUUCAAAGUGUGGCAAAUAAUCCCUGGAUAUUUGUCAUGUUGGAAACAACCUCCUUAGAAUUUUCAAAAUGCCCCUGGGAGUUAAUUUUUGGUCAAGUAGUAAAUUAAAUGGCAUUUGCAAAACAAAUAAUUAUUUAUUUAACUCCAAUUGCCUCCUGUCGUGGGAAACGAACACCUAUGGGGCAGGGCCCCUUUUCGGUCUGGCAAGGGAGCGGAGGGCACACGAAGAGCAGAUCGAGGCGAAGCACGCGGGGGAAUUUUACCCAGCUUCGGAGCUCUCCGGAGAGAUAAAACUCCUACUGCUGCUUUGUGUUUCUAUUCUGUUCUUGCUCAAGAGUGUGGGUGUGUUGUAGUUUCGAAUGAGUCGAACCCCUUCUACGUGCGCAUGGGCCUCCUUUUUAUAGUCUAAAGGGGUCACCGACAGGUGGCAGCAUAGAGAGAGGGGUAAAAAAGUAAAAACGCGGGUUGGUACAACCGCUAUCAACAGUGCCCCCUACCUAACUCUGACAGCAGGGGACAAGGGCAUUUAAUGCCCAUCCGGUCGCCCAAACAGUGCAGGAAGUGACCGUUAGGGGCGCCACCAAUCGCCACGAUGGCCUCCUAGUCAUCUUCACUUGCCACCUCGCACCGCUUGGCUGCACAGCUACCCGCCACGUGCACCGGGAGCGAUCCUGCGGCGACACGUCAUCGGAUGCGCUGGAGCAUGGGCGCAGAGUUGUGGCUUUGCCGCGGCAAGCGCCUUGCCGCGGUCACUAUCUUGUUGCACCCGCAAGCUUGCCGCUCGCCGGGUCUUGGUUGGCCUUCCCGGCAAGAUCCUCCUGCCGGGGUCUUGUCCUUCCCGGCAAGCUUCUCUUGCCGGGGCUUCGUCUUCACAGUUAACACUUUGUUCUUGAAUGGCAGUAAAUAGGAAUGACGAAGGAUCUUGGCGGACGCCCGGCAAGCCUUGCCGCAGGACGCUGCGCCUGCCCGUGCACAAGUUCGGGGUACUAAGGUACCCCUACUUUAGUACACCGACUGGAGCCCCCGGGCCUGGGCCAUACACGGUGCUGAGCGCUGUUGGGCCAGGCCCAAAACAGGACACGGGCACGCGCGGCCUGGGUCCUAACUAAAUCCACUCCGUAUCCACCGCGUCCUCCCGUAACGGCACGCGUCAAUCGCGGCGUCGUGGGAGAGAUCGUGGGUGGAAGACGUUCGCGCGUAUCCACAGCCUGAUGGAGGGGUUUACCCUCCAUUUUAAGUUAAUGGAGGGCGAUCUCCUCUCCGUCAAGGUCUUCGGGUGCUUCGACACUCGGGCGAAGUGCUGCGUGGACAGCUCCUCCGAUAGCAAAGGCUCCCCCUCGAGCGAGAGCGACAAGGAGGAGAGCAACAGCGAUGAUGAGGGUAGCGGGCGGCGGGAUGGCGGGCCCGACUAGGUGUCGGGCGCCGCUUCGUGCGUCACCGGUGACCCCAUCAUCCGUGUCGCCGGCUCCUUGAACUCCCCGGGGUCGUCUCCUUGGGCGGCUGGCGUAGGGAGGCUGCGGAAGGGGAAGAGGGCUGGCGACAAGGCCGUCAAAUCGGAGUACGAGGGCGUAGUGCCCUCGACAGCGUGCUGACGUCCUGCCGCCCCAUCUUCGAGCCCCGCUUCCAGCGCCGCCAUCACCGUCCGGCCUUCGGACGGCCCCCGGGAUGUUCUCUUGGUGUCUUCGCCUAGGCGCCUCUUUUGCCCUUUUCGCCUCCUUGACCUACAUCCUGAAGAGAGGGACAGGAAAGGGAUUACGGGCAUCUUAUCUUUUUAAUUUGUAAGCCUUCGGGCCCUAGUCGCAUCUAAAACUUGUAACCCUCUCUUUCAUGUUUUUCAUCCUCUAUGGACUGUACCUGAGUGUGAUGUUUUUUUAAUGAAAAAGGGAUGCUUGCCGGGUUAUUUGUCUCAUGGGUUGAACCCACGCCAAGGAGCAAAUCCUUGGUAUCCCUCGGACAGGCAUUUCAUCUCCCGCCAACAGGCCCUGCCGCCUUCCCACGUCGCUCGACCUUUCUCACGCCUUUGACGGAGGCGGGAACGAGGUGGGUGCGGCCUCCUCAUUUCAUCCCUUUGCUGCUGUGACUACGACCAAACUUGGCCCCGGGAACGAGCCCCAGGGCCUAGAGUUGAGGGAGCACGGCAGUUUUCGGGAAGAAACGCGGUUUCGCAUUCCCCAGUCCAUAAGAGGAUGCAUGAUGAGGGACGAAAGACUUAUCUGAUAUCGCAGCCCCCGGCAACUCUGGCUUGCCGUGGAUGAAUCUUGGUACUCGCAGCCCCCAGCAACACUGGCUUGCCGGGGCCCAGGUGCCGGCGCGCCCUUCUUCUCCUUUCCUUGUCGCUGUUAUUUCAGUUAUGAGAACAAUUUAGUCAGUGCCGCAAUAAGUUACUCUUGUAAUAUAACUUUAUUCUGGGCAAUGCUUGUUAUGUUACAUCCUUUAUUUGAUUCCAUUCCUUGUAUGUUUGUACCCUUACGCUUUUACGGAACUUGCCGGUGCAAACACGCUUGCCACGAGCGCUGAGUGCAAAACAUCAGCAGCCUUCUAGCGGUGUUGCCUCCGGCAAGAAACCUUGUCGGGGCUAGUCGCAGCACACUUUCAUUGUUGAGCGGACUCAAAACAAAGUAAGGGUGCAACUUAACCACGAGCCGGUUCCUCUGCGCACAGGUUUUCCAUACAAGGCAUGGUCGUUCAAGGAAUAUAACUUAAAAAUUUAAAACUGACUGUGCUUAAACUUCGGCAACUUAGCUUUUUUGUUGUUUGUGUCCNNNNNNNNNNNNNNNNNNNNNNNNNNNNNNNNNNNNNNNNNNNNNNNNNNNNNNNNNNNNNNNNNNNNNNNNNNNNNNNNNNNNNNNNNNNNNNNNNNNNNNNNNNNNNNNNNNNNNNNNNNNNNNNNNNNNNNNNNNNNNNNNNNNNNNNNNNNNNNNNNNNNNNNNNNNNNNNNNNNNNNNNNNNNNNNNNNNNNNNNNNNNNNNNNNNNNNNNNNNNNNNNNNNNNNNNNNNNNNNNNNNNNNNNNNNNNNNNNNNNNNNNNNNNNNNNNNNNNNNNNNNNNNNNNNNNNNNNNNNUGUGGGCGCAGGAAUCUUCUCUUUGAGAAAAAGGAAGAAGAGAAAAUAAAGUUAUGGAGCCUUAAGGCUUGUUAUUGCUUACCGGGGGCAAGUUCUGCACAAAGUGUCAGUGUAUACAUGCUAAAAAGAAAAAGGCAUGAAUUUUGACAAUAUGUACUAAACAUAUGAUCUUUAUUUAUGCACGGGAUCUGCGCCCGGCUUUGUACAAAGGGUUACAUGCAACAACGGCAAGGCUUGUACAAAAGGUGGUUGCCAGGACAGCAGGUUCCGGCAACCGCGCCUUAUGGGUAAAACUUACGAAGAUGAUCUAUGUUCUAGGAGUUGCUCACCGGAAUGCCAUCUUCGGUCUCAAGGCGGACAGCGCCAGGCCUAGUGACUCGCUUUACCCGAUAAGGGCCUUCCCACUUCGGCGUCAACUUGUUGGAAUUCUUGGCAGAUUGAACGCGCCGAAGAACAAGGUCACCUUCCUCGAAGCUUCUGGCAUUAACUUCGCGGCUAUGGUAGCGGCGCAAAGCUUGCUGGUAGCGAGCAGCUCGUACAGCAGCCUGAAGACGAUCCUCCUCGAGGAGCAGCGCGUCAUCUUGCCGCAGCUGCUCUUGCUCAAGCUCAUCAUAAGCGAGCACUCGAGGCGAUCCGUAUACGAGUUCUGUGGGGAGAACUGCCUCUGCUCCAUAGACAAGAGCAAAAGGUGUCUGGCCAGUGGCUCGAUUUGGCGUCGUCCUGAUCGACCAAAGAACCACCUGUAGCUCCUCGAUCCAAUUUCUUCCGCACUUGUGCAGCCUGUCGAAAGUUCUGGUCUUGAGCCCACGCAGCACUUCAGCGUUUGCCCUCUCCGCUUGACCGUUGCUUCUCGGGUGAGCAACAGAAGCGAAGCAGAUCUUGGCGCCAAGAUCUUGGACGUACUGCAUGAAGGUGCAGCUCGUGAAUUGUGUGUUGUUGUCGGUGAUGAUCCUAUUAGGGACUCCGGAACGGCAAACAAUUGACCUGAAGAACUUGACUGUUGACUGUGCUGUCACCUUCCUCACUGGCUCCACCUCCGGCCACUUCGUGAACUUGUCGAUGGCCACGUACAAGUACUCGAAGCCCCCGACAGCUCGGGGAAAAGGGCCAAGGAUAUCAAGCCCCCAGACUGAAAAUGGCCAGGAUAAAGGGAUUGUUUGGAGAGCUUGAGCUGGUUGAUGAAUCUGUUUGGAGUGGAACUGGCACGCUUCACACUUGGUUACUUGUGCAGUCGCAUCCUGGAGGGCUGUUGGCCAAAAGCAACCUUGCCGGAAGGCUUUACUGGCAAGUGCUCUUGCGCCAAUGUGGUGGCCACAUAUGCCUCCAUGUAUCUCCGCCAACAGCUCUUGUCCUUCUUCCCGGGAAAUGCACUUCAAUUUCACUCCGUUGAAUCUUCUUCUGUACAGUAUGUCAUCGACAAACUGAUACAUACUUGAUUGUCGGGCUACUUUCUCUGCUUCUUCUUGCUCUUCGGGAAGUUCUCCUGUUUGAAGGAAAUGGACGAUCUGCUGUGCCCAUGCCGGAGCUUGUGGCUCGACGACAAGGACUAAAGGCGCAAAUGCUGCUGCGGGAACAUCCGCUUCUACGGCAAGAAUAUGAGAUCCUGCCGGAGCGUGAUGCUCCCCGGCAAGCGUGCCGGGGCACAGCUUGUCGGGAGCGUCUGCUUCAACGAAACAAACCCUAGGGCUUGUCGGAGCAGACUGCUCCUCAGCACUUUCUAUGUUGAUCCUGGGGACCUUCUUGGCGGCGGCUUCGGGGAGCUCUGCCGGAAAGUAGUCGCCAGUAACCAACUUUCUCUUCUUGCUCUGUCCAGUUGAUGGUGUUACAGAUGGCUGAGUCAGCUUGAGCACAAAAAUACCUGGUUCCACAGGUAACUUGAGUGCGGUGCACUUUGACAGGCCGUCUGCAAUGUCAUUCUGAGCUCUUGGAACAUGUUCCAUCUGCAGGCCGUCAAAAUGCUCUUCCAGCUUCCUCACUUCAUCAAUGUAGGCCUCCAUCAGCGGACUCUGAUAAUCUGUGUUAACUUGGCGGACGACAAGCUGUGAGUCACCCCUGACAAUAAGCUUCUUGAUCCCAAGUUCUGUCGUGAUCCUGAGUCCGGCAAGCAGGCCCUCAUAUUCUGCAGUAUUGUUUGUUGCUUGCUCCUUGGGAAAGUGCAUUUGGAUCAUGUACUUGAGGUGCUCUCCGGUGGGUGCGACAAGUAACACACCCGCACCGGCGCCUUGCAGCGAGAAAGCACCAUCAAAGUACAUGAUCCAUUCCCUGUUUGCUUCCUUGACGGGGAUCCUCGUCUCCGGAGUUUCUUCAUCUGGUGUUGGCGUCCACUCCACUAUGAAUUCUGCCAAUGCUCGGCUCUGGAUAGUUGAAGUACUUUCAAACUUGAGGCCAAAGCUUGACAGUUCCAGUGCCCACUCGACAAUCCUGCCUGUUGCUUCUGGAUUUUGCAAUAUCCUCUUCAACGGAAAGCGAGUGACAACUGUGAUCUGAUGUGCUUGAAAAUAAUGGCGCAGCUUCCUCGAGGCCAUGAGAAGGCCGAAAAGCAACUUUUGCACUCCAGAGUAUCUUGAUCUAGCCACCUGCAGAAGGGAGCUGACAAAAUAAACUGGGUGCUGCACCAUCUUCUUUUGUUUCUCUGCCUGCGGCUGCACAGACUCAUCCUUGUCGGGACCAGAGCUUGACGGAGAAGCCCCCUGCUUGUCGCUGGACUCGCUUGCCGCGGCCGCUGGCUCAUCAUCUGCCUCCCUCUCUGCUACUAACGCAGCACUAACCACUUGAUUGGUUGCUGCUAGAUACAGCAGCAACUUCUCUUGCGGCUUAGGUGCGACAAGUACUGGAGUGGAGGAUAGGUAUCUCUUCAAGUCCUGUAGCGCAGCCUCCGCUUCUGGAGUCCAUUUCAUUGGACCUGCCUUUUUCAAAAUUUUGAAAAACGGCAGGGCGCGCUCAGCAGACUUAGAGAUGAACCUACUGAGAGCAGCAACGCAGCCGGCAAGCCUUCGCACAUCCUUGAGGCGCUUCGGGGCUUCAAUCUGCUCGAUGGCCUUGAUCUUGUCGGGGUUGGCUUCGAUCCCCCUCUGGGACACGAAGAACCCGAGAAGCUUGCCGGAAGGAACUCCAAACACGCACUUCUCAGGGUUCAACUUGAGAUUGAUCUUGCGCAGAUUUGCAAAAGUCUCAUCCAAAUCUUGGAUCAAAGUUUCUCUAUCUUUGCUCUUGACCACUAUAUCAUCCAUGUAUGCUUCUACAUUCCUGUGCAGCUGUGGCUCAAAAGCAUGACUGACUAGUCUUGCAAACGUUGAACCAGCAUUCUUUAGUCUGAAAGGCAUUCAUACAAAGCAGUACGUGCCACAUGGAGUAAUGAAUGCGGUGUUCUCUUCAUCCUCUUUUGCCAUGAAAAUCUGAUGGUAUCCUGAGUAUGCAUCAAGAAAUGAAAGCAGAUCACAUCCUGCCGUGGAGUCGACAAUCCGGUCAAUGCGCGGCAAGGGAAAUGGAUCUUUGGGACAAGCUUUAUUAACAUCCGUGAAGUCAAUACAAAGCCUCCACUUCCCAUUCACCUUGCGCACAAUUACUGGAUUGGCUAACCACGUUGGAUGGAGUACUCCUCGGACGAGGCCUGUUGCUUCCAACUUCUUGAUCUCUUCUGCUAUGAACUCUUGGCGUUCCGCCGCUUGCUUCUUGACUCUCUACUUGACGGGCCGCGCGUGAGGACAGACGGCAAGGUGGUGCUCAAUUACUUUCCUGGGAACACCGGGGAUGUCAGAUGGUUGCCAUGCAAACACAUUGACAUUCGCCCGCAGGAAAGCAACGAGCGCGCUUUCCUAUUUAGGGUCAAGCGUGGCACUGAUGGUGAAGGUACCACUAGUGCCGUCCUCCUUGGCGGCCACUUUCUUGGUAUCAGGUGUCGCUAUCUUUGCCCUCUUGCACUUGCCGGUGGAGCUCGAUGGUGCGUCCUCGACGGUAGCACAGCACUCCGAAGAGGUGCGCUUGCCGGAGUGGGCAUCAGAGCUACUCUUGCCGGACUUGGUCUUCUUCUUCUUCCCCCCGGGAGCUUCAGCGGCAAGUGGUUUGUGCUCUGCUGCGGCUGCUGCUUCCUGGUAGAUCUUGUCGGUGCAGAUAAGCGCAUCCUUCUUGUCGCCUUGGACAGAAAUGACGCUUAUCGGACCGGGCAUCUUGACCACGUUGUAAGCAUAAUGAGAGGCUGCCAUGAACUUGGAAAGCGCUGGACGGCCGAGUAUCCCAUUGUAGGGCAACGGGAAAUCAGCAACAUCAAAUGUGACUCUCUCUGUCCUGAAGUUCAGUUUGCUGCCAAAUGUCACUGGUAGUGUAAUCUUCCCCUUGGGCUUGCUCCUUCCCGGGUUGAUUCCUUGAAAGGUACCAGUUUCUUCGAGCUCGCUGUCGGGGAUCUGGAGCUUGUUGAGCACCGCGGAAGAGAUCAGAUUUAGGCCGGCCCCACCGUCAACCAACAUCUUCGUGACCUUGAGGUUGCGGAUGGUUGGCGAAACCAACAUCGGCAAGCACCCGACCGCAGUGAUGCGAUCAGGGUGAUCCUCAACAUCAAAGACGAUGGGCGUACUGGACCACUUCAGGGGCUUGCGCGAUUCGACUGAUGGUUCAGCUGCAUUUACCUCCCGCACCCACUGCUUGAGUUGGCGGUGCGAGGUGUGCAGAGAAGCACCGCCGUCAACGCACAAAACCUCUGUUGCCUUCUGAAACUCUUGCUCGUCGGUCUCAUCCUCGUCCAUCUCAUCAUCCUCAUCUUCAUCUUCGUCCUUGUCACGGCCACGGGGAGGUCUGUCUCCUUGCCGCUGCUUGGCCUUGCCGCGGCGCCCUCCCCGGGCGGGACGCUUCUUGCCGGAUCCUCCGCCACCUUCCUGGGCCUUCUCCUUGUCGCGACGCUCGUAUUCAGCUUUCUGUAGUUCUGCCAUUUGCUCAACCUUCUUGCAUGCUUGGAGGUCAUGGCCCUUGGUGCGAUGGAUCUUGCAGUACUGCUUGCCGGAACAAUCCUGCUUGUCGGCGGCCACCACAGCCUCGCCGGAGUCACCAGCUUUGGCCUUGUCGGCGCCGCCUCCGUUGCCGGACUGCUCAACAACUAGCACAUCCUUAGCCUUUCUCUUUCUAUUAUUCCGCCUCCGGUUCUUCUUUGCCGGAGGGACGUCCUCAUUGUCCGAUCCUUCUGCUCCUGCAUUCUCUCCGGGAAGUUUCCUCCCCUCUUCAGCUCGUGCACACUUGUCAGCCAGAGCAUAUAGCUCGCUGACAUCUCUAAUCUUGCACAUCGCCAUCUCCUCCCUCAUCCUGCGGUUACGCACGUUCUGAUGGAAUGCGCUGAUAACCGCGGCAGGGUGGACGUCUGGGAUGUUGCGCUGCACCUGGCUGAAUCUCUGUAUGUACUUGCGCAGGGGUUCUCCUUCUUUCUGGGCGAGCAGAUGAAGAUUGCUCUCCUGACCAUGGGGUUUGUGGCCGCCUGUGAAGGCGCCGACAAACUGAUGGCACAGGUCCGCCCACGAAGAGAUGGAGUUGUCCGGCAAGUGCAUGAGCCAAGAUCUGACGUUGGGCUUGAGCACCAGCGGGAAGUAGUUGGCGAGGAUCUUCUCGUCGCGCCCCCCGGCAGCCUGCACCGCGAUGGUGUAGACGCUGAGGAACUCUGAUGGAUGUAUCCUGCCAUCGUACUUCUCGGGUAUGUCCGGCUUGAAGUUCUUGGUACUGGGCCACUGGACUUGCCGCAGCUCACGGGUGAACGCAGGGUAACCUGCCGCGUACGGCAAGUCGCCUGGUUCCCCUGGCGCAUGCAUAUCGACAGUGGGCCCAGCGCACUGGUCAGAUUAAUGUCGCGCUUCUCUUCUGCGCUCGAUGCGAGUACGAGCGUCUCUGUGUCGUCGUUCUUGGAGAACUUGGCGUUGAUCGCGGCGAGCUCGCGGGUCCGACGACGCGGUGGAGUCGGUGUCGAGGUUGGAACGGCGAGUUGGCGAUCAUGGCCUUCGGGGCGGGGAGUGCACGGUGGUGGCACCCCCAGCGGUCUUGUCGGUGUCGGCUUGCGCCCGGGCGUCUUGCCGGGGCUUUCGAUGUGCUCGGUUGCCGGGGCUUGUCGCCGUUGGCGAAGCCGAUGAGGCUUUGGAUGGUGAUCCUCCAGUCGUCGAUCUUGUCUGGCGCUGGAGGGUAAUCUAGAAGCAGCUGGGCUCGGGCCAGCGCUUCCUCUGGAGUCUUGGGCGGCGGUGGCGAGCGACGCGAGGUGCGGGAUAUGCUCAAACUUCUAACAGUGUUAGAAGGAGCAACAUCUCGCCCAGGCGACCGUACUUCGCUCGUGCCAGCGUGUUGACGUGUAUGUUGGCCUUGAGCGUCCCGCGAUCCGCCGGCUUGGCCUUGUUCCAACACGAGCACGGUGCUAGGAGUACCGUGGCAUUGCCGAUCUUGCACCUCCUGGGAGGGGUACGGUGGAUGUACAGACGCUGAAGCUUGCGGGGCCUUGUCCUCGGACCUGGUGACGAUGUGAGUCCCCCCGUCGGCGCCCGCUCCUCCGCCGGCGUCCACCCCACCACCCGUUUGCUCCGGUGGCGGUAGGAUAGUCGCAAACGGAGUGGCCACCUCCGAAGCCUUCUUCUUCGGUGGCAUGUCGAUGAAGAUGUUGAUGUAGCGCGCAGAUGCCGGAUCAGGUACGCACAACCUCGACGCCCACCUACCUGGCGCGCCAAAGAUGUCGUGGGAAACGAACACCUAUGGGGCAGGGCCCCUUUUCGGUCCAGCAAGGGAGCGGAGGGCGCACGAAGAGCAGAUCGAGGCGGAGCACGCGGGGGAAUUUUACCCAGCUUCGGAGCUCUCCGGAGAGAUAAAACUCCUACUGCUGCUUUGUGUUUCUAUUCUGUUCUUGCUCAAGAGCGUGGGUGUGUUGUAGUUUUGAAUGUGUCGAACCCCUUCUACGUGUGCAUGGGCCUCCUUUUUAUAGUCUAAAGGGGUCAGCGACAGGUGGCAGCGUAGAGAGAGGGGUAAAAAAGUAAAAACGCGGGUUGGUACAACCGCUAUCAACAGUGGCCCCUACCUAACUCUGACGGCAGGGGACAAGGGCAUUUAAUGCCCGUCCGGUCGCCCAAACAGUGCAGGAAGCGACCGUUAGGGGCGCCACCGAUCGCCAUGAUGGCCUCCUAGUCAUCUUCACUUGCCACCUCGCACCGCUUGGCUGCACAGCUACCCGCCACGUGCACCGGGAGCGAUCCUGCGGCGACACGUCGUCGGAUGCGCUGGAGCGUGGGCGCAGAGUUGUGGCUUCGCUGUAGCAAGCGCCUUGCCGCGGUCACUAUCUUGUCGCACCCGCAAGCUUGCCGCUCGCCGGGUCUUGGUUGGCCUUCCCGGCAAGCUCCUCUUGCCGGGGUCUUGUCCUUCCCGGCAAGCUUCUCUUGUCGGGGCUUCGUCUUCACAGUUAACACUUUGUUCUUGAAUGGCAGUAAAUAGGAAUGACGAAGGAUCUUGGCGGACGCCCGGCAAGCCUUGCCGCAGGACGCUGCGACUGCCCGUGCACAAGUUCGGGGUACUAAGGUACCCCUACUUUAGUACACCGACACCUCCAAACUUUAUGUGGCACUGCAAAAUAUUUGUGGCUCUGUCUAAGAUUGCCAAGGAAUUAAAAGGGGAACUUAACAUAUUUUUCCUAAGUAAAUAGUGUGCCCAAAAUAUUCUCUUAACCAUCUCUGUUUUUUUUAAUAAAAAAAGGCGAAUAAGAACUCGCCCGGGCCUCGGCCUACUCCCACUUACCAGCCCACCUAAGCCGGCCCACUCCCCCGCUCCCAUGGCCUAUAGGCCAUGCUCAACCGAACCCUAACCCCGCACGAUCCCCCCACUCCCCACUUCUCUCCCCUCCCGAUCCAAUCUGGAUCGGACCGAAACUGGCGCCCCGACGCCAACCGCCGUCGCUGGAGGCAUCCCCGACUCCACGCUGGGCCACCCCAUCACCUGACCUCCUCCCCGUCGUCGCUCGUCACUCGCUGGACCGCCUCGUCCCCACCAACGCCGCCCCGAGCCCAACGUCCCUGUCGUCGUCGCCGUCGGCAUCGCCCCGAUGUCGCCACCACCCGACGCCGGCGCCCUCGACAUCGCCACCCCGAGCCCACUGCCACCCCUACGCUCCACUGUGAGCCCCUCGCCGAUUCCCCCUCCUUCCUGUCAUCGUAGGUGGCCGCAUGCGCUGUUGGCCACCGUGGCCGCGCUCCGGCCGUUCCCCAUCCGUGUGCUAGCCUCGCCUUCCCCGGCUGCGGCCACCAGCCUCCUCGUCGCGCUCCCGCCUUCGCCCACACCUGCCCCUGUACGCCCAGCCGCUGCUGCUCGCCGGAUCCGCAUGUUCGCCCCCUAGCUUCGUCUCCGGCCGUCGAGUCCGCACCCGAUGCCGGCGCCCCAGCGCGUCCAUGCGCCCGUACGGGCGGGCGCCCACGCCCAUGCCCCUCCGCCCGUUAGCCCGCCCCGCUAAGGCCUGGGCACCUAACCAAGGGGCCCCACGCCCCUGUGUAAUAAAAAAGAUUUAAAAAAAAUAAAUAUAAAUAUAAUUAGUUAAUUAGUUAAUUAAUUGUAUAGUUAAUUAACUAACUUAAUUAACCUUGCUUAGUUAGCCUAAUGAACUAGUUUAGUUAAUUUAAAUCUGUUAGAUAGGUCUAUGAGAGAACGACCCCACAUGUCAGUUUAACCAGUCAACACUCUUUUGACUGCUGACAUCAUGAUGACGUCAGGCUGACAUCAUAAUUCCAAUUUUGAAUUAAUAAUAAUUUCAGAAUAUUAUUAAAACUUUGAAAAAUCAUAGAAAAUAAACCGUAUCUCGGAUGGAAGUUGCUUGGAACGACGAGACAAAUCCGAAUGCGCAGUUCGUUCAUCUGUCACGCGUCCCUAGCAUAGCAAACGUUGAACUUUUCCCCUCCGGUUCAUCUGUCUGAUAGACGUCCGGAACCGGGAAAACUUUCCCGGAUGUUUCCCCCUUCGCCAGUAUCACCUAGCACCUCGUUAGAACACUUCUAGCCCCGCUUAUUGUCUUGUUAUGCAUAUGUUUGCGUGUAUUUACUGUUUCUUCCCCCUCUUCUUCUCCGGUAGACCUCGAGACCGCUGAUGAUGCCCCUGUGAUCGACUACGUCGACGACGACCCUCCUUGUUUGAGCAACCAGGCAAGCCCACCCUUUGAUCAUCCCGAUAUCGCCCAUUCCAUUCUCUCAUGCUUGCACUAGAUUUUGCUACUGUAUUUGACUGCUCCUAUUCUGAUGCAUAGCCUGCUUUUGUACCUGCUAUUGUAACUUACCUGCUUAUCCUAAAUUUCUUAGUACAGGUUGGCUAGUGAUCCAUCAGUGACCCCCACCUUGUCUUUGUUGCCCCUGCUUCAUCAUCGACGACUCGAUCAACGUGAUCGACGACCGGAGCCUGACACCUCACAUCACAUCACGCCCCUUUUUCUUGCUCGACUCUGCAGAGUUACCAUCGAGUGCCGAGGGUGGAACCUCAUACAUCGCUCCUGAUGAGAUCUCUGUAGUGUAGCUAUUCGGUCGUGGUCAUCGAGGGUGGUUCCUCCUUCACCAUUCCUAAUACGGCUCUGUCGUGCAACACCUCAAGUGUGAACCUCGAGGGUGGUUCCUCUUACGUUCACCUUGAUGAUUACAUCAACUGGAAUCCACCGGGGGUGAUUCCUCGGAUUUUCCCCUUGAUGUCUGGACACAUAGUUACCUUGAUACUUGAGACCGUUGUGAAAGCCGGGCGAGCCCGGAGAGCACCCGUGCGAUGUGACGGUGGCGGCUGGCUGUUUAGCGGUAUCACCCGGGAGGGGUGAUAGCUCCGGACUUGUCCCGACAUCCGUCACUUCUUUUAAUAAUGCACUAACACGUUUGUGUAUUUGUUCUGAGUUGGCCUCUGGCCUUUACGCACUAACCACCACGCGAGAAUAGUUAUGGGCCUCGACGUUGCAGUAUCUUUCGAAGCUUUGUCAGACGUCCAGUUCAGCAUUGUGGCCGGGCCGGAUCGUGCCAUCCACUUCACCGGUGGUGCUGGUAUCCCCUUGUGCACAACGACCCGGAGUGCAAUGGGCGAUGGGCCCAGACCCCGGAGUGCUUAGGAUGUAGACCGGCGGGGACCUCUCUACUGAGCCUAGGUAGGGCUGCGACGUGUUGAUCUUCCGAGGCUGGGCAUUGACCCCAGAAAGGUGUGUCCGGCCAGAGUGAUCGAGCGUGUUGGGUAACGUGGUGCGCCCCUGCAGGGAAGAUUAUCUAUUAAUAGCCGUGUCCAUGGUAACGUACCUUCAGACUUAUAUCUUGAUCUUAUACAACUACAAAUGGAUACUUGAGAUAUGUGGCUCCGGGAUUGCUUUCUCGCAGGGAGUCGAGGAAGGAUCUCUGGGCGUUGUUGUUAAAACAUGCUUGUUAAUUAAACUGCUAUUCUUUACUCUUCUACAUGCUGCAAGAUGCUUGGAGCUGCUUGAAGAUGCUAGUCUUUGUUUGGCUAGGCCUUCCCCUCUAUUCUGGCAUUCUGCAAUUCAGUCCACAGAUACAACCCUUCCAUUUGAUACCAAUGCAUACUUAGUAUAGAUCUGAUGCUUGCGAGUACUUUGGAUGUGUACUCGCGGUUGCUUUGCUACCCCUUUUCCCCCUUCUUUCUUCUUUCCGGUUGACGCAACCAUAUGGUGGAUCCUUGGAGCCAGAUGCCACCGCCGAUGGAUGCUAGUACGUGAAGAUCGCCGACGACCAGGAGUAGUUAGGAGGUCCUAGGCAGGAGGCCUUGCCUCUUCGAUCGUUGUUGCUUUUGUGCUAGCCUUCUUAAGGCAUCCUUAUUUAACUUAUGUCUGUACUCAGCUAUUGUUGCUUCCGCUAACUCUUGUGUAUCGAGCUAUGUAUUCGAGCUCUCGAGGCCCCUGGCUUGUAAUAUAAAGCUUGUAUUAUUUUGAUUUGUGUCUAGAGUUGUGUUGUGAUAUCUUCCCGUGAGUCCCUGAUCUUGAUCGUACAUAUUGGCGUGCAUGAUUAGUGUACGAUUGAAUCAGGGGCGUCACACAAGCGGUACUACUGCCCCACCCAGUUUCAGCAUUUCGAGUUUCACCGUUUUGCCCAUAACUUCCACAUCCGGAGUCCGAUUUUUGCAUUUUUUAGCUCGUUGAGUAGCUAUUGACAUCCCCCAUCCAUCUAUAUAGGUUCCAACACCAUUUGACUCCAUCAAAUUUUCCAAAAUUUGGAAAGUUUGCCUAGGCCGUCCACCAUAUCAUCUGCAUAGCCACCACCGACCACCGCAACCUAACCCAUUUUGUUCCCCUUAGCAUUUGAGGUUGUUUGAGUUGUGGCUUGUGUCUCCUAAGGUGUUUCGGCUACUUAGGGAUGGUAACUUCAACUCCAACACGUGUAUAGCCCAUCAUUCCACUUCCGCAUUGCCGAGUGCAAACCACCACCUCUUUCCACUACCACCAUUUGACAUUUACCUUUGUAGAUUUUGAGUUUGCGAUUUUUCCGUUUCCUAGGGUGUUUUGGCUAACUAGGAAUGGGUCGACAUCAGCAACAUCGCCUCUCAUCAUCGCCAAGGACGGUAACCUCGAUGACACCAUUGUAUAUUCCCUUGCCAUUGCAUUGAUAACCCCUAGCCCAUUUUGCGUCACUUGCCUAUCGAGACUAGCCGUUUGAGUAUUGCCGGCAACGUGACUUGUGCACAUUAGUGAUCAUACUUCCCAUAGCAUCAUACCAUAUCAUCGUGGUGCAUAUAUUGGUAGCAUAUCUUGCGUCACAAGUUUGUUGCCGCAUAUACACAAUUGCUAUCUUGGUUUGUGCAUUAUGCAGAAGUGGCCAUACAAAAAAGAGAAAUAAAGCUUUUAAGCAAAAGAAAGAGAGAAAAGAAGCUUGUAAGCAAGUGCCAUAGCAUCAUACCAUAUUGCACAUAAGAUUGUCAUAUCCGAUCAUCUUGGAUCAUCUUGAGAGAACAUCGGGAACCAUACAUACAUAGCAUACUUGGGAUAGAAAGUAUAUCCAUUUGGCAUCUUGUAGGUUGUGCACAAGUGUCCUAUCCGCCUAUUGAGCAAUCGUGCUAGCGUCUCUCUUGAGUUGUGCAACACGAGCGUUUUCUGUGGAUUCCACAUUUUGUGCUCAUUGCUUGGUUGCACGACCCCAUUUAUCUAUCCGUGUGUGUGUUUCCGUGUGUCAUUCUUUGCUAUUGGUCUACUUGUUUCACUUGCAAAUUUGUGAAUCUCUUUCAACAUUAUUGACUCUUGCUAACAUUUUGCAUCAAAUUUUUGUGCCACUAUCCUCACCGAGCUCCACCAUAAGCUUUACUUGAUAGGUGUGAGUGAACAAGUCCGGUACCAAUUCCACUAUUCUUUCAUUUCACAUUGAGUUAAACGGGAUACAUCCUCAACUUUGGGAAAGGUAACUUCCUAUUGUUUAUCUCAUUUCCUACUGGCAUUUCACCUUCGGUCUACAACAACAACGACGAGUUCGAUGCCACGAACAACUCCAACGACGCCAAGAUGCAAGCUCAAAUGGAGGAGAUCAAAGCCCUCAUCAAGUCCUACAAGCAAUCUUCCUCAUCUUCGAGAAGACACUCACGUGCACAUGUUUCCGAGCUACCAUCUCCGGUAAGAUCACAUCAGCAUCGACACCAUCACCAACAAGAACGUGAAGGUCAAGAGCUCAACACCAACUACCGCUCAACGACUUCACCAUCUCCCUUGGCAUCUUCGCCAAGCGACUUCAAGGCAUCUUUGAGUACGGAUAUACGGCAUCUUCGCCAACAAGAACCUCAAGGCUACGCUCAAGAGAAGCUCCCCAAGCUCAAGUCCACGACUUCCAUGAGCUACUACGACCUCGACACCGACCACAAGAUUCCUUUCUAUGGAACUCAAGAACCCGAGGAGUACCUCGAGUGGGAGCGUUUGAUGGACGACUACCUCAAGCUACAUCAAGUCCCUUCCGAAGAUCAAGUGAAGUGCGCCACAAGAAACUUCCACGACUACGCCUCGACAUGGUGGCUUCACACACCUUCGGAGAGCUACGAGAUGAGUUAGCCCAAGACGAAGAGAGCUUUGCAGCGAGAGCUCGUGCCUCCAACCUACAUGGAACAACUUCGACGCCAAUUGGAGAACACCAUCCAAGGAUCCAAGUCCAUCGACGCGUACUUCAAGGAGAUGAAGAAUGCCUUGCGACGAGACGGCGUGGAUGACCCCAUUUCGAUGAAGUUCCACUUCAUGAUGCGAUUGAACAACGACAUCUCCAAGACUAUCUUCCUCGAGAACUACAAGUCCCUGGACAACUACUACAUUGGUGCUCUCAAGGCGGAACAAGAACUCAUGAAAGCCAAGGCUUCUCCACCCCAAGCACACUUCGCGGCGACCAAGCUGUACGACAAGCAUGAGGCUAGUACCACCAUGAUGUCCAAGCCCGACGAGCUCCAAGACAAUGCUCCCAAGUUCGACUUCACCGCCAUCCCUCUUUGUGGCAUUGAUGACGCCGAGUCUACCUUGACUCUUUUUCAAGACGGUGCGGCGACGAGUACGACUACGGAGACCUUCAAGGACCAAGCUUUGGAGGCGAGCGACAAGGUGGCGAGCAAGGAUGGUGUUUCCAUCUUUGGAGGCGAGAGUGAUGAUGUGCCAUCUUCGUCCUUCAUCCACGGCGACGAUGACGAGAUGAUCGAGCAUGGGAUUUUCCCUUCGGUCAUGGAGGAGAGUGAUGAUGUGCCAUCUUCGGCCUUCAUCCACGGAGACGACGACGAGAUGGUUGAGCAUGGGAUUCUCCCUUCGACCACGGUGACGUAUGAUGACUUGAGUGACUUUUGCCACCAUAUUGAGAGUGAGAGUGACUUCACCACUAGCCCCAUAUAUGACGAGUUGCCCCAAUUCCUAUGUGAGGAGAGCCACAACCCCCACCACUUGAGUGAGAUGAGUGACUCCACCAUAUGCGACUUUGAGUGCACCUAUUUUGAGGGAGUGAGUGAACCACCACAUAGAGAGAGUGUGAUAGUUGAUAGGUCUCGUGAGGCCAUUUGCAUUUCUAACAACUUGACCUCUACCUCUAUUGUGUCUUCUCAUUUGGUGCUAGGUCCCAUUUAUGAUGACGCGCCGAUCCUCGACGACUUCGUCCUCCCUUUGGACAAGACGAUGGCCAUGGUGGAAUAUGAUGCACCCCCCACAUGGUUCCAUCAAGAUGAAGAUGACCACCAUUUGGUCUUUCCCACCUCACCUACACCACUUGAGUGGAAUGAAAAAGGUAACAUAGGUGAAGGUGAUGCUCUAGUCCCACUAGUGGACAUUCUUGACAUUGAUUGCUUGCAUGAUGUUGAUCCACCUAGUACCAUGCUUCAUGCUAGUAUGAUUUCCCCAUGUGAUGAUUUGGCCAUUUAUGAUGAGUAUGAUGAUUCUCAUGUGGAGUCUCUUAGUUGUGAUGUCAUGUUACAUAGGAUUUCUUGUGACAAUUCUUUAGGUCACAUCAUGUUUGAUAAUCCGCUUGACUUGUCGUAUGCUAUGCAUGACAUUCACCAUAUGUCAUAUUUGCAAUCUCAUUGUAGUGACUAUGCAUAUGCCAUUCAAAUUAACCCAAUUUGCACUUAUGGCAUAGAUGACAAGCCCAUGGUUAUUGGGAUUUGUUUUUCUUGUGAUGAUAUUGAUAUGGUCCCUUUGCAUCAUUUAUCUCAUAUGCCAUGUCAUGCCCACCUAGCUUCGGAUAUGCAUUGUUUUGGAUGUUGUCCAUUUUCUCCAUAUGAUGUUUCCAAUCUUGCUCAUGAGGAGACCCCCAUAGUUCCCUCAUACAUGUUAGGAGAUUUUGAUCCAUCCCAUCCAUUGCAUGAUCCCAACAAUUGUGUGCACCAUAUGCUCCCCAUGAAUAAACAUGCUAUUGAUGUGCCAUAUACUUGCAUUCUCAAUUUGUGUCCCCAUCGUGUCAUACAUAAUAACUAUUCUUUCAUGAUGGAUGACAUGUUCUUAUACCAUGCAUCAAAUUUCGUUGAGCGAUGCUUAUCUUGUGCUAACUCACACGUGCACAUACACAUCAUGAUGGAUGAUGUGUACAUUUACCACACACACAAUUUAUUUGGUUUGUGUCUCUUUUGUGUAGGUACCCAGGAAUACUUGUCAACCUCGCAAUCCCACGAGUUGACAAAACGAGCUCUAGAGAGCAACGAUGAUUUGGGAUCCCAUGGAUUGUCUUUCCCACCGCUCUCUUCGCGCAAAGACUUAGCGCAUUUCUUCUACAUGGCCCUCACUUGGCUAUGGGUUGUUUUCCAUUACAUAUUAUAUGCCCAUCUUGCCAUGUUCACUUUGCAUGAUAUGCCCAUUCCCAUGCAUUUGUGACCCAUACUUUGCUUUACACAUGAUGAUUGACUCUCAUACUUUUAUGUGUAUUUGCAAGCUUGGUGGAGAUAUUGCUUGUUGUUUCCCUAUUCCAUUUUUGACCCACCCCUAUGAUGAUACUAUGAUCUUGCUUUGUGUUCGUGCUUGUGAUAUGUCAUGUGCAUUGUCUAUCCCUAUUAUUUGCUCACAUGACAUGAUUGCCAUGAUUUACUCUGGUGUGUUGCAUCUUCGCUCCACUAGUUUGCACCACAUGAUUGAUAUGCUUGCUUGUAUUGCAUCCCCCAUGAUUCAUACUUGCUCAUUUCAUGCGAUUGAUGACAACCAUUUCCAUACUUUGCACGUGAUUGCUAUAGCUUCUUGUCACAUAUCUACAUAUGUUGCCUCUCUCAUGCUAGAUCACUUGCCAUGUAUUUAGUGCAACAAUGCUCUUAUUCUUGCUCAUGAGAUUGCCCCCAUAGCAUUCUCACAUAUGAUUGGAGUUGACAUAAUUCUUGUGAAGCAUGCUUGCCUUCCUUCUUUGCACCAUAUGCCUAGUGCCAUGAAUAUUGCCAUUGUUGCAUCAUAUUGUUCAUGCACUUGUGCUACUAAAGGUUAUGUGCAAGAGAUGAGAACCAUCAUGAUGGAUGAUGUGUUUCUCUACCAUGCGCAUAUACUCUUUGUUUUGUUGUGUGCAUGUGUAGGAUACUUGGACUUCGUCUCGACUUCCACUUCAUGUGAGUUGACCAUUCAAGCUCUUAAGAGCGAGCCUCACACAUUCUACCACUACUCGCUUCUACACCGCAUUUGCUUGCGCUUCGGCAUUGUGAAGAAUGCACAAGGACAUGCCUUCAAGGUGACAUCUUUCUUGAGCAUGGAUAUUGCGGAUCAUACUACUUGUGUAGCUUGCACUGUGAGACUUAUUGGUCAUCUUGGACCACUUGAUUGCGCACUUGCUAGAGAUCUUGCUUUGACUUGCCAUUUUCACAUUCCCAUGCAUCAUGAUAUAUAUGCCUUGUGUGUUGCAUCCAAUUCUUGGAUUACUAUCACAACCUAGCUAGUCCAUGCAUUAGAGUGUUGCAUCAUGUCUACCUUUUAUCAGAAACUUGAAUUGGGGAAGACAGAACCCCCCAGAACCCCUCUGAAUUCAACUAGUGCUUACUAAAAAUAUUUUCAAUGAACCUGAAAUGCCCUUCUAAAAAGUUCACCCUCUUUGUCUUGGGUUAGAACCUCUGGCAAAAUUGGUGCACAAUUUUCUAGGUCAACAAAAGGCCAUUGAAUUAAAUCAUAUCUACUUUGAGUUUGGGCAUUUAAACUAUAUAAAAUAUUUCAAAUGCUCAAAUAACUCCAAACUAAAAUGUUCCAUACUGGAUAUAUUCCAACUAGGGACCAUGUGCAGUUUGGUGAUUUUUGGAGUUGCCUAAGUAUUUUUAGAAAUGCAACAAACUUACAGAAACAAUUAAAAACAGAAACAAAUGGGAAAAACCCUUACCUGGCCGAACCAAGCCCCAGCCCAGCUGGCCGGCCCAGCACUGUGCUGGCCCAUGCCAGCCAGCUGCUUCGCCGUCGCCACGCAGGCACAGAGCUGACGCCGGCAAGCGUGAGCUCGCAACGGCGCCAGCUGCUUGCCGCCCGCGCCCCCGAGCACCUGGGUGAGCUCCACGUCGCCGCCCCGACCCCGUGGACACCUCAUUCGCCCCCUGCCUCUCUCCCUCGCUCUCCCGCACCAUGGCCGACGCACCCGCCGCCGCACCCCCGACGUAGUCGCGCCCUCCGUCGUCCUCGUGCUGCACCACCGUGUCCCUUCGCUCCGCCGUCAUCGACUACAUCGAGUAGGCCGAGCCCCGAGCGCUCGCUGGCCCUGUUUCAUCUUCUUCGAGCUCGUCUUCACCGAGCACCGCCACAGAUCCCCUUCGCCGUCGCCGCCGUACCAGCUCGUCCCCGACCUUGCCGACCACUCCGUUGUGACCGCCGUGAGCUCAGCCACCUCCCCAUCCUCCCCGUUUGCCUUCUCGUGCACCGUAGCAACCGCAUGGAGCUUCAUCGCACGCACCACCGACGAGCUCGUCGCCGACGUGCCUCCGGCCAUCCACCGUCCACACCACGGUGUCUAACAUGCUCACCGCAUCGUGUAGAGUCUAACGCCCCACUCCACGCGCCUCGCCGUGCCCCGUAGCCAUGGGUCCAUUUUCAUCCGACUCCGGCGACCGCCGUGGUCGUCGCCGGCGACGUUCCUGGCCACCUCGACCUCAACCACCACCACCAAACGCCGCGACUUGUUCCCGGCUACACGUAGAUGGUCUCCGUCGUCCAUUUGGUCGCCAGAACAUGCUAACCCACUUCCUCCGCCGCGUCUGGCCUCGCCGGCGGCUAGACACCGGCAUGUUUGACCCGUUGACAUUCACUGGGUGGGCCAGGUUGACUCCCCUGAGUCUAUGACAAGUGCCCCCCCCUCUGCUAAUUAACCUAGUUUAGCUCUUACUAAAAUCAGUUAGUUUAAAUAAGUGCUGACAUGCGGGACCCACUGGUCAGUUUGACCUGAACGACCCCUUUGACCACUGACGUCACCCUGAUGCACUGCUGACGCAAUAACCAAUUUCUGGAUUUAUUGUUAUAUAGGAAAUUCCAGAAAUUGUUGCAAACUUCAAAAAUUCAUAGAAAUUAAUCUGUAACUCCAAAUGCAAAGAUUUAUAUAUGAAUUUUGAUCAGAAAAAUUCAAUCUAUCCAUUGGUAAUGGUUUCAUGCAUGUCAGAACAAGUUAACCUUGCUGUUUAAUCAAAACAAGUUAAUGCACUAAUAUGACUAUGUUAAAUGAACUACCAUUUGCAUCUUUGAUUCAAAUGAGUUCAUACCUUUCUGUUCUAGCUUGCAUUAGGCCAGGACACAUUCAUGUUGCCAUGUCAUAGCAUGCAUCAUAUUGUUGUAUAUCGUCAUGUGUUGUUCAUGUUCGGUGUGUUUUCGUGAUAGGUUCUGCCUCCGAGGAUAACCCCGAAUAUCCGUCUGAAGGGCUGUAUCCUACUACCACUACAUCAGGCAAGCAACCCAUUGAUCAUUCCGAUACAAACCCAUGUUCUUGCCUCUGCUCUUGUUUACUGCAUUAAGACAAUGCGAUUCAAACUUUUGUGUGUUGUGGUAGUUGAACCCACUUCCUUUGCAUGACCUGUCAUUGCCACAGUAACUAGAUGAAACUCAGUAGCAUGUGUAGGAGUUGAUUGAGCCAUAUCUGUGUUACCUACCAUGCUAUGCUUGCUAUGCUUAGAGUUGUGUCAGGUCUGGCUCAUUGGGAUGAUGAACUAGAGUGAAAGGUUGUGUCGGUAAUGAAGUGUUGAACACGAUUUGGUAAAGGUAUCGAUGAGAGGCCAUGUAGGAGUACAUGGUGGGUUGUUUCAUUGAGGCCGUCCUUAAGCACUGAGAUCUGUGUGUGUGAUUUAAGAUUCAGCUACUACCACGCAUUGGGCCCGAAACCAAUGGACCCUCUCGACUUAUUAACCACUCUUGUCCUCUGUCCGGGAGUUGCAAGUAGUUUUUGGUGUUUGUAGCAUGAUGGGGGCCGCACGCAGUGCUGACCUUAGGGGUGGGUUGGGUUGCGGUAGGCAUGUGGCACGGUGUAUCGAUUCGCCCGUUUGGUGUCUCGGGAACCAUGUUCACAUCAUUCGGGGCCGUUAGUGGAAACCUCGGCCGGACUCCCUGCGGAUGGAACCCGAAUAGGCGAUAAACCUGGACUAGGGACUCGUGUGUUUAGUCAGGCCGUGGCCGACACCCUCGCUGGGCUUCCGCUUGAGGCUUGCCGAGUACACGUCAUGUAGCGGUGAUAAGUGGUGAGAGCGUGUGUGAAGAAGUACACCCCUGCAGGGUAUAAAACUAUUCGAAUAGCCGCGUCCGCGGUAAAGGACUACUUGGUCACCUAUGCAGUUCAUAGACAAGUAAAUGGAUACUUCUAAAAGCCUCAAGUUAAGUGUGAGUACCGAGGAUGGCCCUCUCGUAGGUUGACAAGAGAGGAUCCUCGGUGGAGUAUUGUGUUGGUGAGUAGUGGACUCGUGUGCGACAAAUGUUUUGCAAGUUGUGUCUAUCGUAGAAUAGCUUAGCCAAGAGUCAAAGCUGGCUUGCUGCAAUAACUCCACUACCUUCUUGAGAAUGUGCAUGUAUGAUAGGAUUCUGUUGUAAGACUUGCUGAGUACCUCUGUACUCAUGUUUGCUUAAAUGUUUUCAGACGACAACACCAACCCCUCCGAUGGGUUCUACGUAGACCUCGACGUUGACGAGUGACUAACCACCCAAGUGGUGAUCCGAGACUUGUGAAGGGCCGAUGUAGAUAGAAAGGCUUCGUCAAGCCCUCUUUCUUUCUAGUGUCUGUACUCAGACUAGUUGCUUCCGCAUGUGCUUGUAUGCUUGUAUGACUUGAGUCUCAGGUCAUGUGACCCCUAUCUGUAUGAACAUGUUAUGUAUGGCUCCUUGGAGCCACUUAAAUAAAGUACUUUGAGUUGUAGAGUUUUGUUGUGAUGCCAUGUUGUAUGUACUCAUAUCGGGCAUAUUGUGUGUAUGUUUGAAAUGCUUGGUAUGAGUGGGAUCCGACAAUCUAGUUGUUUAUCCUUGGCAGCCUCUCAUAUGGGGAAAUGUAGUCUAGUGCUUCCUGAGCGAUAGUAGUCCGCUACAGCCCGGUUCACCGGAGUCCUGCUAGCCCAGUACUACAGCUCUGGACACUUGACUGGACAGCAUGUGUUUCACUUCGUUCCUGUGUCUGUCCCUUUGCGGAAAUGUCACGCGGUGGCAUUCGGAGUCCUGCCUAGCCUGCUACAGCCCGGGUUACUGUUGGGAAACGUAGUAAUUUCAAAAUUUUCCUACGCACACACAAGAUCAUGGUGAUGGCAUAGCAACGAGAGGGGAGAGUGUUCGUCCACGUACCCUCGUAGACCGUAAGCGGAAGCGUUAGCACAACGCGGUUGAUGUAGUCGUACGUCUUCACGAUCCGACUAAUCCAAGCACUGAACGUACGUGGCCUCCGAGUUCAGCACACGUUCAGCUCGAUGAUGAUCUCCGGCCUCCAAUCCAGCGAAGCUCCGGAGAUGAGUUCCGUCAGCACGACAGCAUGGUGACGAUGAUGAUGUUCUACCUGCGCAGGGCUUCGCCUAAAAUCCGCGACGAUAUGACUGAGGUGGAAUAUGGUGGAGGGGGGCACCGCACACGGCUAAGGAACGAUCCAUAGAUCAACUUGUGUGUCUAUGGGGUGCCCCCCCCCCCCCGCCCCUGUAUAUAAAGGAGAAAGGGGGAGGCCGGCCGGCCCCUUGGGCGCGCCAAGGGAGGAGGAAUNNNNNNNNNNNNNNNNNNNNNNNNNNNNNNNNNNNNNNNNNNNNNNNNNNNNNNNNNNNNNNNNNNNNNNNNNNNNNNNNNNNNNNNNNNNNNNNNNNNNNNNNNNNNNNNNNNNNNNNNNNNNNNNNNNNNNNNNNNNNNNNNNNNNNNNNNNNNNNNNNNNNNNNNNNNNNNNNNNNNNNNNNNNNNNNNNNNNNNNNNNNNNNNNNNNNNNNNNNNNNNNNNNNNNNNNNNNNNNNNNNNNNNNNNNNNNNNNNNNNNNNNNNNNNNNNNNNNNNNNNNNNNNNNNNNNNNNNNNNNNNNNNNNNNNNNNNNNNNNNNNNNNNNNNNNNNNNNNNNNNNNNNNNNNNNNNNNNNNUCCGGUUUUCUCCGAAAUCACCCGGAACAAUUUCGGUGUCCGAAUAUAGUCGUCCAAUAUAUCAAUCUUUAUGACUCGACCAUUUCGAGAUUCCUCGUCAUGUCCGUGAUGACAUCCGGGACUCCGAACAAACUUCGGUACAUCAAAACUUAUAAACUCAUAAUAAAACUGUCAUCGUAACGUUAAGCGUGCGGACCCUACGGGUUCGAGAACUAUGUAGACAUGACCUAGAACCAUUCUUGGUCAAUAACCAAUAGCGGGACCUAGAUGCCCAUAUUGGUUCCUACAUAUUCUACGAAGAUCUUUAUCGGUCAAACCGCAUAACAACAUACGUUGUUCCCUUUGUCAUCGAUAUGUUACUUGCCCGAGAUUUGAUCGUCGGUAUCCAAUACCUAGUGCAAUCUCGUUACUGGCAAGUCUCUUUACUCGUUCCGUAAUACAUCAUCUCAUAACUAACUUAUUAGUUACAAUGCUUGCAAGGCUUAGGUGAUGAGUAUUACCAAGAGGACCCAGAGAUACCUCUCCGACAAUCGGAGUGACAAAACCUAAUCCCGAAUUAUGCCAACUCAACAUGUACCUUCGGAAACACCUAUAGAGCACCUUUAUAAUCACCCAGUUACGUUGUGACGUUUGGUAGCACACAAAGUGUUCUUCCGGUAAACGGGAGUUGCACAAUCUCAUAGUUGCAGGAACUUGUAUAAGUCAUGAAGAAAGCAAUAGCAGUAUACUAAACGAUCAAGUGCUAGGCUAACGGAAUGGGUCAUGUCAAUCACAUCAUUCUCCUAAUGAUGUGAUCCCGUCAAUCAAAUGACAACUCUUUUGUCCAUGGUUAGGAAACAUAACCAUCUUUGAUAAACGAGCUAGUCAAGUAGAGGCAUACUAGUGACACUAUGUUUGUCUAUGUAUUCACACAUGUAUCAUGUUUCCGGUUAAUAUAAUUCUAGCAUGAAUAAUAAACAUUUAUCAUGAUAUGAGGAAAUAAAUAAUAACUUUAUUAUUGCCUCUAUGGCAUAUUUCCUUCAGUCUCCCACUUGCACUAGAGUCAAUAAUCUAGAUUACAUGGUAAUGAUUUUGACACCCAUGGAGUCUUGGUGCUGAUCAUGUUUUGCUCGUGAGAGAGGCUUAGUCAACGGGUCUGCAACAUUCAGAUCCGUAUGUAUCUUGCAAAUCUCUAUGUCUCCCACUUGGACUUGGUCCCGAAUGGAAUUGAAGCGUCUCUUGAUGUGUUUGGUCCUCUUGUGAAAUUUGGAUUCCUUUGCCAAGGCAAUUGCACCAGUAUUGUCACAGAAGAUGUUCAUUGGUCCCGAUGCACUAGGUAUGACACCUAGAUCGGAAAUGAGAUCCUUCAUCCAGACUCCUUCAUUUGCUGCUUCUGAAGCAGCUAUGUACUCCGCUUCACAUGUAGAUCCCGCCACGAUGCUUUGUUUAGAACUGCACCAACUUACAGCUCCACCGUUUAAUAAAAACACGUAUCUGGUUUGCGAUUUAGAAUCGUCCGGAUCAGUGUCAAAGCUUGCAUCGACGUAACCGUUUACGACUAGCUCUUUGUCACCUCCAUAUAUGAGAAACAUAUCCUUAGUCCUUUUCAGGUAUUUCAGGAUGUUCUUGACCGCUGUCCAGUGAUCCACUCCUGGAUUACUUUGGUACCUUCCUGCCAAGCUUAUUGCUAAGCAUACGUCAGGCCUGGUACACAGCAUUGCAUACAUGAUAGAGCCUAUGGCUGAAGCAUAGGGAACAUUUUUCAUUUUCUCUCUAUCUUCUGCUGUGGUCGGGCAUUGAGUUUGACUCAACUUCACACCUUGUAGCACAGGUAAGAAUCCUUUCUUUGCCUGAUCCAUUUUGAACUUUUUCAAAAAAAAUUCAAGGUAUGUGCUUUGUGAAAGUCCUAUUAAGCGUCUUGAUCUAUCUCUAUAGAUCUUGAUGAGUAAUAUGUAAGCAGCUUCACCGAGGUCUUUCAUUGAAAAACUUUUAUUCAAGUAUCCCUUUAUGCUAUGCAGAAAUUCUAUAUCAUUUCCAAUUAAUAAUAUGGCAUCUACAUAUAAAAUUAGAAAUGCUACAGAGCUCCCACUCACUUUCUUGUAAAUACAGGCUUCUCCAAAUGUCUGUAUAAAACCAUAUGCUUUGAUCACACUAUCAAAGCGUUUAUUCCAACUCCGAAAUGCUUGCACCAGUCCAUAAAUGGAACGCUGGAGCUUGCAUACUUUGUCAGCACCUUUUGGAUCAACAAAACCUUCCGGCUGCAUCAUAUACAACUCUUCUUCUAGAAAUCCAUUCAAGAAUGCAGUCUUGACAUCCAUAUGCCAAAUUUCAUAAUCAUGAAAUGCAGCAAUAGCUAACAUGAUUCGGACAGACUUAAGCAUCGCUACGGGUGAGAAAGUCUCAUCGUAGUCAACCCCUUGAACUUGUCGAAAACCUUUUGCAACAAGUCGAGCUUUAUAGACAGUUACAUUACCAUCAGCGUCAGUCUUCUUCUUAAAGAUCCAUUUAUUCUCAAUGGCUUGCCAAUCAUCGGGCAAGUCAACCAAAGUCCAUACUUUGUUUUCAUACAUGGAUCCCAUCUCAGAUUUCAUGGCUUCUAGCCAUUUUGCGGAAUCUGGGCUCAUCAUCGCUUCCUCAUAGUUCGUAGGUUCACCAUGGUCAAGUAACAUGACUUCCAGAAUAGGAUUACCAUACAACUCUAGUGCGGAUCUUACUCUGGUAGACCUACGAGGUUCAGUAGAAACUUGAACUCCUCACUAAUUGGUGUAGUUGUCACAGGAACCGGUUCUCGUGAUGAACUACUUUCCAAUAAGGGAGUAGAUACAGUUAUCUCAUCAAGUUCUACUUUCCUCCCACUCACUUCUUUCGAGAGAAACUCCUUCUCUAGAAAGGAUCCAUUCUUAGCAACGAAUGUCUUGCCUUCAGAUCUGUGAUAGAAGGUGUACCCAACAGUCUCUUUUGGGUAUCCUAUGAAAACACAUUUCUCCGAUUUGGGUUCGAGCUUAUCUGGUUGAAGUUUCUUCACAUAAGCAUCGCAGCCCCAAACUUUAAGAAACGACAACUUUGGUUUCUUGCCAAACCACAGUUCAUAAGGCGUCGUCUCAACGGAUUUUGAUGGUGCCCUAUUUAACGUGAAUGCGGCCGUCUCUAAAGCAUAACCCCAAAACGAUAGCAGUAAAUCAGUAAGAGACAUCAUAGAUCGCACCAUAUCAAGUAAAGUACGAUUAUGACGUUCGGACACACCAUUUCGUUGUGGUGUUCCGGGUGGCGUGAGUUGCGAAACUAUUCCACAUUGUUUCAAGUGUAGGCCAAACUCGUAACUCAAAUAUUCUCCUCCACGAUCAGAUCGUAGAAACUUUAUUUUCUUGUUACGAUGAUUUUCCACUUCACUCUGAAAUUCUUUGAACUUUUCAAAUGUUUCAGACUUGUGUUUCAUCAAGUAGAUAUACCCAUAUCUGCUCAAAUCAUCUGUGAAGGUGAGAAAAUAACGAUACCCGCCGCGAGCCUCAACAUUCAUUGGGCCACAAACAUCAGUAUGUAUGAUUUCCAACAAAUUAGUUGCUCGCUCCAUAGUUCCGGAGAAUGGCGUUUUAGUCAUCUUGCCCAUAAGGCACAGUUCGCAAGUACCAAGUGAUUCAUAAUCAAGUGAUUCCAAAAGUCCAUCAGUAUGGAGUUUCUUCAUGCGUUUUACACCGAUAUGACCCAAAAGGCAGUGCCACAAGUAAGUUGCACUAUCGUUAUCAACUCUGCAUCUUUUGGUUUCAACACUAUGAACAUGUGUAUCACUACUAUCGAGAUUUAAUAAAAAUAAACCACUCUUCAAGGGUGCAUGACCAUAAAAGAUAUUACUCAUAUAAAUAGAACAACCAUUAUUCUUUGAUUUAAAUGAAUAACCGUCUCGCAUCAAACAAGAUCCAGAUAUAAUGUUCAUGCUUAACGCUGGCACCAAAUAACAAUUAUUCAGGUCUAAAACUAAUCCCGAAGGUAGAUGUAGAGGUAGCGUGCCGACCGCGAUCACAUCGACUUUGGAACCGUUUCCCACGCGCAUCGUCACCUCGUCCUUGGCCAGUGCUCGCUUAUUCCGUAGUCCCUAUUUCGAGUUGCAAAUAUUAGCAACAGAACCAGUAUCAAAUUCCCAGGUGCUACUACGAGCUCUAGUUAGGUACACAUCAAUAACAUGUAUAUCACAUGUAGCUUUGUUUACUUUGCCAUCCUUCUUAUCCGCCAAAUACUUGGGGCAGUUCCGCUUCCAGUGACCAGUCUGCUUGCAGUAGAAGCACUCAGUUUCAGGCUUAGGUCCAGACUUGGGUUUCUUCUCUUGAGCAGCAACUUGCUUGCUGUUCUUCUUGAAGUUCCCCUUCUUCUUCCCUUUGCCCUUUUUCUUGAAACUAGUGGUCUUGUUGACCAUCAACACUUGAUGCUCCUUCUUGAUUUCUACCUCCGCAGCUUUUAGCAUUGCGAAGAGCUCGGGAAUAGUCUUGUUCAUCCCUUGCAUAUUAUAGUUCAUCACAAAGCUCUUGUAUCUUGGUGGCAGUGAUUGGAGAACUCUGUCAAUGACGCUAUCAUCCGGAAGAUUAACUCCCAGUUGAAUCAAGUGAUUAUUAUACCCAGACAUUUUGAGUAUAUGCUCACUGACAGAACUAUUCUCCUCCAUCUUGCAGCUGUAGAACUUAUUGGAGACUUCAUAUCUCUCAAUCCGGGCAUUUGCUUGAAAUAUUAACUUCAACUCCUGGAACAUCUCAUAUGCUCCAUGACGUUCAAAACGUCGUUGAAGGCCCGGUUCUAAGCCGUAAAGCAUGGCACACUGAACUAUAGAGUAGUCAUCAGCUUUGCUCUGCCAGACGUUCUUAACGUCGUCAGUUGCAUCAGCAGCAAGCCUGGCACCCAGCGGUGCUUCCAGGACGUAACUUUUCUGUGCAGCAAUGAGGAUAAUCCUCAGGUUACGGACCCAGUCCGUGUAAUUGCUACCAUCAUCUUUCAACUUUUCUUUCUCAAGGAACGCAUUAAAAUUCAACGGAACAACAGCACGAGCCAUCUAUCUACAAACAAACAUAGACAAGCAAAAUACUAUCAGGUACUAAGUUCAUGAUAAAUUUUAAGUUCAAUUAAUCAUAUUACUUAAGAACUCCCACUUAGACAGACAUCUCUCUAGUCAUCUAAGUGAUUACGUGAUCCAAAUCAACUAAACCAUAACCGAUCAUCAUGUGAGAUGGAGUAGUUUUCACUGGUGAACAUCACUAUGUUGAUCAUAUCUACUAUAUGAUUCAUGCUCGACCUUUCGGUCUCCGUGUUCCGAGGCCAUAUCUGCAUAUGCUAGGCUCGUCAAGUUUAACCUGAGUAUUCUGCGUGUGCAAAACUGGCUUGUACCCGUUGUAGAUGGACGUAGAGCUUAUCACACCCUAUCAUCACGUGGUGUCUGGGCACGACAAACUUUGGCAAUGGUGCAUACUCAGGGAGAACACUUCUUGAUAAUUUUUGUGAGAGAUCAUCUUAAAAUGCUACCGUCAAUCAAAGCAAGAUAAGAUGCAUAAAGGAUAAACAUCACAUGCAAUCAAUAUAAGUGAUAUGAUAUGGCCCUCAUCAUCUUGUGCUUGUGAUCUCCAUCUUUGAAGCACCAUCGUGAUCACCAUCGUCACCGGCGCGACACCUUGAUCUCCAUCGUAGCAUCGUUGUCGUUACGCCAUCUAUUGCUUCUACGACUAUCUAUACCGCUUAGUGAUAAAGUAAAGCAAUUACAGGGUGUUUGCAUUUCAUACAAUAAAGCGACAACCAUAUGGCUCCUGCCAGUUGCCGAUAACUUCGGUUACAAAACAUGAUCAUCUCAUACAAUAAAAUAUAUCAUCACGUCUUGACCAUAUCACAUCACAACAUGCCCUGAAAAACAAGUUAGACGUCCUCUACUUUGUUGUUGCAAGUUUUACGUGGCUGCUAUGGGCUUAGCAAGAACUGUUCUUACCUACGCAUCAAAACCACAACGAUAGUUCGUCAAGUUGGUGCUGUUUUAACCUUCGCAAGGACCGGGCGUAGCCACACUCGAUUCAGCUAAAGUGAGAGAGACAGACACCCGCCAGCCACCUUUAAGCACGAGUGCUCGUAACGGUGAAACCAGUCUCACGUAAGCGUACGCGUAAUGUCGGUCCGGGCCGCUUCAUCUCACAAUACCGCCGAACCAAAGUAUGAAAUGCUGGUAAGCAGUAUGACUUGUAUCGCCCACAACUCACUUGUGUUCUACUCGUGCAUAUAACAUCAACGCAUAAAACCUAGGCUCGGAUGCCACUGUUGGGAAACGUAGUAAUUUCAAAAUUUUCCUACGCACACGCAAGAUCAUGGUGAUGGCAUAGCAACGAGAGAGGAGAGUGUUCGUCCAUGUACCCUCGUAGACCGUAAGCGGAAGCGUUAGCACAACGCGGUUGAUGUAGUUGUACGUCUUCACGAUCCGACCGAUCCAAGCACCGAACGUACGGGGCCUCCGAGUUCAGCACACGUUCAGCUCGAUGACGAUCUCCGGCCUCCGAUCCAGUGAAGCUCCGGAGAUGAGUUCCGUCAGCACGACGGCGUGGUGACGAUGAUGAUGUUCUACCGGCACAGGGCUUCGCCUAAACUCCGCGACAAUAUGACCGAGGUGGAAUAUGGUGGAGGGGGGGCACCGCACACGGCUAAGGAACGAUCCGUAGAUCAACUUGUGUGUCUAUGGGGUGCCCCCCGCCCCUGUAUAUAAAGGAGCAAGGGGGAGAGGCCGGCCGGCCCCUUGGGCGCGCCAAGGGAGGAGGAAUCCUCCUCCUAGUAGGAGUAGGACUCCUCCUUUCCUACUCCUACUAGGAGGGGGAAGGAAGGAGGAGAGGGGGAAGGAAAGGGGGGGCGCCGCCCCCCUCGUAGUCCAAUUCGGACCAGAGGGGGGGAGGGGGCGUGCGGCCCAUGCUGGCCGCCCCUCUCUCCUUUCCCCUAAGGCCCAUAAGGCCCAAUACUCUCCCGGGGGGUUCCGGUAACCCCCGGCACUCCGGUUUUCUCCGAAAUCACCCGGAACAAUUCCGGUGUCCGAAUAUAGUCGUCCAAUAUAUCAAUCUUUAUGUCUCGACCAUUUCGAGAUUCCUCGUCAUGUCCGUGAUGACAUCCGGGACUCCGAACAAACUUCGGUACAUCAAAAGAUAUAAACUCAUAAUAAAACUGUCAUCGUAACGUUAAGCGUGCGGACCCUACAGGUUCGAGAACUAUGUAGACAUGACCUAGAACCAUUCUCGGUCAAUAACCAAUAGCGGGACCUGGAUGCCCAUAUUGGUUCCUACAUAUUCUACGAAGAUCUUUAUCGGUCAAACCGCAUAACAACAUACGUUGUUCCCUUUGUCAUGGGUACGUUACUUGCCCGAGAUUUGAUCGUCGGUAUCCAAUACCUAGUUCAAUCUCGUUACUGGCAAGUCUCUUUACUCGUUCCGUAAUAUAUCAUCUCAUAACUAACUUAUUAGUUACAAUGCUUGCAAGGCUUAGGUGAUGAGUAUUACCGAGAGGGCCCAGAGAUACCUCUCCGACAAUCGGAGUGACAAAACCUAAUCUCGAAUUAUGCCAACUCAACAUGUACCUUCGGAAACACCUGUAGAGCACCUUUAUAAUCACCCAGUUACGUUGUGACGUUUGGUAGCACACAAAGUGUUCUUCCGGUAAACGGGAGUUGCACAAUCUCAUAGUUGCAGGAACUUGUAUAAGUCAUGAAGAAAGCAAUAGCAGUAUACUAAACGAUCAAGUGCUAGGCUAACGGAAUGGGUCAUGUCAAUCACAUCAUUCUCCUAAUGAUGUGAUCCCGUCAAUCAAAUGACAACUCUUUUGUCCAUGGUUAGGAAACAUAACCAUCUUUGAUAAACGAGCUAGUCAAGUAGAGGCAUACUACUGACACUAUGUUUGUCUAUGUAUUCACACAUGUAUCAUGUUUCCGGUUAAUAUAAUUCUAGCAUGAAUAAUAAACAUUUAUCAUGAUAUGAGGAAAUAAAUAAUAACUUUAUUAUUGCCUCUAGGGCAUAUUUCCUUCAGUUACCGGAGUCCUGUUAGCCCAGUGUUACAGCCCGGAUGUAUACGUUGAUGACCGACAUGCUCGAUGUGACUCAUGUAUGCCUGUCCCCAUAGGUUAGCGCCGCUUUGGGUUCAUGACUAGCCAUGUCAGCCCGGGUUCUCUGUCAUAUGGAUGCUAGCGACACUAUCAUAUACGUGAGCCAAAAGGCGCAAACAGUCCCGGCCAUGGUAAGGCGACACCCGUGGGAUUACCGUGCGUGAGGCCGCAAAGUGAUAUGAGGUGUUACCGGCUAGAUCAAUGUGACUUGGAAUCAUGGUCCAGACAGCAUUGGCAUCAGAGCCGGACUGCCUGUAGGUUCCUAAGCCAAACUGGUCGAUGUCGAGUCUAGAAAUGCUUUAGUUAUAUGUAGGGGAAUUUAUUGUGGGAGGAAACGUAAGGCUCUUUUUACCCCUUUACCUUAUGCCCUCUGAUCUGUGUCAUCCUCUUCUCAUUCUACGUGGGUUAAGGACUAGGCUCUCUUCUCUCUAUCAGGUUCACGUGUUACUAAUCCGUAGUAACUUAUAGGAUUGUUGGUUACCAGUCUCAGUACAGUUCCUACUACUUUAGUAUGUUAUCAGUUGAACCUGAACCUUGAUAUGAUGUUGUUGAGUGGUUUUGCAAUCCGUUGUGAAUGUCUCAAAUCUGCUCCUGAGCAUUUACAGCUGUUAUGUUGUCCAAUUUUCCCUAGGAAUUCUAAUGUCUUUGCAUUGUGGUUGUGCUUUCAGAUGGCCACUCGCGCUCAGAACCAAGUGGUUCGCCUGACGCGGUGCCUCAAUGUGCCCGGUCAUACUGCUAUGUUAGUCCGGGUCAUGAUCGAGACAGGUUACCGUUGGUAUCCCGAAUACAUUGCCGAAGAGCAAUUCCAAGACUUUAAUCAAAGCCAAUACUUCUGCACUGUCAGGAUAUUUCCUUCAUAUCCUGGAUCCACCGAGCCCCUUCACUGCUCCUAUGGACUCGGGGUCACCAUUGAGAUGGCUGUACAGGAUGCGGCCUAUUCUAUGAUGACCAUCAUGCGAGUCAGGACUGGUCUGCUUCGGAACACCGACUUCCGUUAUAUGCCAGCAUCGCUCCCAGGAGCGCAAGGGUAUCUCCAGGCUAUCUAUGCUGAUUCCACCCAUGAGGACUCACUAACUCGCACCAUUGCGGAGAUGCUCGAGGAUAAGGACCGAGAGAAUCAGGCCUUGAGGUUGGAGCUUUUCAACACCUGCGCCGAUCAUUGGGCCACUUUGACUCGGUUUGCACCGGCUGUGCAAGCUGGAUGUAUGGAUAUGAGGGAUCUGUUUCCUGUGAGAUCUGCUCUGCCAGACAUGGUGGAUUGGCGUGAUGUGGGAGGCAUCAUCCCACCCCGUGGUCCCCGUAGGCCAUCGUUUGUUGGUCCAAGACCUCAUCCUAGCCCCUAUGGUCCACAGGCUCCUCAGGACCGUCUGUUCCCGGAUGAUCACGUUGAGCUUCCAAGCUAUGGAGGGGACUUCUAUGAGGACUACUACGGAGCUGUCUGAGUUAGUAGUAGUAUCUUUAGUAUUGUAAUAGUUGUAAUUCCAUCGUCCUGCGUGACCUGUGGAAUAUGACUUAGUGUGUAUCAGUUCCGGAGGUGUAGAAAAAUAAUGUAUCGGAGCUUGGAAUGCCUCCGAUGAGAUGUAACUUCUUCCACCGUAGUUGUACUAUAGUCGGGCUUGUACUAAACUAUGUAUGGUGUGUAUGACUGUUGGUGCAUAUAUGGCAGUUUCUGUAUUACCAUGUCAUACAGAUGAACAUCUCUGCAUUCCUUGUUAUCCAUUACAUUCUGCACUUCCUUGUCCAGAUUUGCCAUCCUUGUCUAAAGCGAUGUCUUGUUUUCCUAGGAUGGUCAACACCCGUAACAACCCUGCUACUCCGGAGCAGGGUGAAGCCAGUGCAGCUAGGAAUGAAAAUCUGCCUCAACCACCUUCUCUGGUCGAAGUUAUGCUGGAGGCAGAGCGAAAUAAGCGUGAGACCAAUCGCUUGCUGGAGCGGAUUGAGCAGAAUACCGCACGCCAGCCGAGGAACGACCUGGUGUCACUUAAUGACUUUGUCAAGCUGUAUCCACCGAAGUUUAAACAUUCCGUCGAGCCCCUUGAUGCGGAUGAAUGGCUUCGCAGCAUUACCCACAAGCUACGUUCUGUCAAUGUGGCCGAAGCUGAUAAGGUUAACUUUGCUACCUAUCACCUCGAAGGCCCUGCUAGCCUUUGGUGGGAAAACUUUGAGGCUAUGCGCCCGGUCGGCCAAAUUACUACUUGGGCUGAAUUCAGUAUGGAGCAUCACAUUCCGGAAGGUCUUAUGGAUCGCAAGCGUGAAGAGUUCUGCAACUUCACCCAGGGUAGACUGACUGUGGAUGCAUACAGUCGCGAGUUUGGAUAUCUAGCACGAUAUGCUCCUAAAGAGGUAUCCACCGACGCCAAGAAGCAGGCAAGGUUCCGCAAGGGACUUAGCCCCGAGCUUCGUCGUGAUCUUCGUCUGCACGAGUGCACCUCCUUCCAGAAGUUAGUCAACAAGGCCAUCAGUGCUGAGACAGGGCAGUCGGACUUUGAAGCUUCACGCAAGCACUCCCGUGACUUUGGACUUCAUCCGGCUGUGCAUCUCAGAAGCGCCGGGUCUGGAUUCCAAGCACUGCUCUGCCACCCAGGUUCACCCCGAGGCCAUCCUUUGACGCGCCUCGCCCCAACCAAUAGUAUACACCGCCCAAGGCCUAUGGUGGCCCCACUGCUAAUGCUACUCCAUGCCCCAAUGUGAUAACUUGUUUCAAGUGUGGGGAGACGGGUCACUACAUUCGUGAGUGUCCCCAAAACAACCCCAACCAGAUUGGAAAGUCUGUUGGCCGUGGCAAGCCAGCAGGAAAGGUGCUCUACGCCAAGCCAGCCACCACUGCCCGUGGCCAUGUCAACUAUGUCUCAGCAGAGGAGACUCAUGAGGAUCCCAACGUCGUUCUCGGUACGCUUCUUGUUAAUUGCCACCCGGCAACCAUUCUCUUUGAUACUGGAGCAUCUCAUUCAUUUAUAUCUGAAAGCUAUGCUCGAUUGCACAACACCACAUUUUGUGACAUGCCCACCUCCAUGGUAAUUCAAACCCCUGGUUCUAAGUGGCAAACCUCUAAAAUCAGCCAUGGAAAUGAAAUCCUUGUCGACAGAUUAGUCUUCCUUGCAUCACUAAUAGCUCUCAAGUCCUCGGACAUAAACAUCAUCUUGGGUAUGGACUGGAUGUCAGCCCAUUACGCUAAGAUCGAUUGCUCCACUAGAACUGUUCAACUCACCCACCCUUCGGGCAAGACAGCCAAUGUUUUGACCCGAGUGUCUAAGCGUCAGCUUUACUCUUUAAAUGCCAACCCCCUUCCAGACCUUGAAGAUAUUCCGGUAGUCCGUGACUUCCCGGAUGUCUUUCCAGAGGAACUGUCAGGUGUUCCACCUAACAGAGAUGUCAAGUUCGUGAUAGACCUUGUUCCAGGAACCAUGCCAACAUCUAGGAGACCUUAUAAGAUGGCACCCCUAGAACUAGCUGAGCUUAAGAAACAACUCGAUGAGUCCUUGCAAAAGGGUUUCAUCCAUCCUAGCUCUUCUCCAUGGGCUUGCCCCGUCCUUUUCGUCAAGAAGAAGGAUGGAACGGAUCGGAUGGUUGUAGAUUACCGGCCAGUCAACUUGGUCACUAUCAAGAACAAGUAUCCGCUCCCCAAGAUCAACGACCUGUAUGAUCAGCUCGCUGGAUCCUCAGUCUUUUCUAAAAUGGAUUUGAGGUUGGGCUACCAUCAAAUCAAAAUUAAGAACGGGGACAUUCCUAAAACGGCCUUUGUUACUCGAUAUGGCCAAUACGAGUACACCGUCAUGUCCUUCGGUCUAACCAAUGCCCCAGCCACCUUCUCUCGGUUAUUGAACUCGAUCUUCAUGGAGUAUUUUGAUAAAUUCGUCGUGGUUUACCUUGAUGAUAUACUCAUCUACUCCAAGAAUGAAGAAGAACAUGCCGAACAUCUAAGGCUAGUGUUGAUGAAACUUUGAGAGCAUUGUCUUUAUGCCAAAUUCUCUAGGUGUGAGUUUUGGUUGCCAGAAGUAACCUAUCUAGGACAUGUAAUCUCUGGUAAGGGCAUUGCUGUCAAUCCCAAGCGAGUUCAAGCCAUCCUUGACUGGACUCCACCUGAAACGGUCAAGCAAGUUCAGAGUUUUGUUGGUUUAGCGAGCUAUUGCCGCUGCUUCAUCGAGAAUUUCUCCAAGGUUGCUAAGCCUCUAACCGAACUCCUCAAGAAAGAUAAAAAGUUCGAAUGGACGCCAUAGUGCGAGUUCAGUUUUCAGGAACUGAAAAGACGCCUGACAUCUGCUCCUGUACUUGUUCCACCAGAUUUCUCUAAGGACUUCGUUAUCUACUGCGACGCCUCGCGACAAGGACUAGGUUGCAUACUCAUGCAAGAUCGUCAUGUGAUUGCCUACGCUUCUCGACAGCUGCGUCCACAUGAGGAUAACUAUCCCACACAUGAUCUACAGCUUGCAGCAGUGGUCCAUGCACUCAAAACCUGGCGACAUUACCUUCUCGGUAAUCGUUGCGAGAUUUACACCGAUCACCAAAGUCUGAAAUACAUCUUCACCAAACCGGAUUUGAAUCUCAGACAAAGACGUUGGGUCGAGUUGAUUACGGAUUACGAUCUAGGAAUAACCUACACCCCAGGAAAAGCCAAUGUCAUGGCUGAUGCAUUAAGCCGUAAAUCUUAUUGUAACAACCUGAUGUUACAACAAAGCCAACCAUUUCUCCACGAGGAAUUUCGUAAGCUUAACCUUCACAUCGUUCCUCGAGGUUUUCUUUCCACCCUGGUGGCGAAACCUACCCUUACGGAUCAGAUCAUCAAGGCACAGAAGGUAGAUCCGGGAAUAUCCCGUAUCAAGAGAAACAUCAAAAGGGAGUUGGACUGUUUCUCCAUAGAUGAUCAAGGUGUUGUGUUCUUUGGAGGCCAUCUAGUGGUUCCCAAGGUAUGCAACCUGAGGCGAUUGAUCCUUAAGGAAGCUCAUGAAUCCCCUCUCACUAUUCAUCCCAGUAGUACUAAAAUGUAUCAAGACCUACGCCAGAGGUUUUGGUGGACUAGGAUGAAGAGAGAAAUCGCUCAAUACAUUACCAAUUGCGACGUCUGUCGUCGAGUUAAAGAAGAGCAUCAACGACCUGCUGGCACCCUGCAACCUUUGGAAAUUCCCGAAUGGAAAUGGGAUAAAAUCGGUAUGGAUUUCAUUACCGGGUUUCCCAGGACCAAGAGGGGGAAUAAUGCUAUCUUCGUUGUUGUCGAUCGUCUUUCCAAAGUAGCCCACUUCCUACACGUUCGUGAGAGUUUAACCGCUAGCCAGCUAGCUGACUUAUACAUCUCCCGAAUAGUGUCUCUUCAUGGUGUUCCAUUGGAGACUAACUCAGACCGUGGAAGUCUCUUCACCUCUCGAUUUCGGGAAAGUUUCCAAAAUGCGAUGGGAACUCGUCUUUCUUUUAGCACCGCUUUCCAUCCUCAAUCAAGUGGUCAAGUAGAACGAGUCAAUCAAAUUCUAGAGGAUAUGCUUCGAGCUUCUGUCAUCUCUUUUGGUAUGAAUUGGGAGAAGUGCCUUCCAUUCGCUGAGUUCGCUUAUAACAAUAGUUAUCAAGCUAGCUUGGACAAAGCUCCUUUCAAAGUUCUCUAUGGAUGAAAAUGUCGAACACCUCUUAACUGGUCAGAAACCGGGUAAAGACAACUCUUUGGCCCGGAUAUGAUCCAGGAAGCAGAGGAGCAGGUUCACGUUAUUCGUGAGAAAUUGAAAACAGCCCAAUCUCAUCAAAAGAGCCAAUAUGACCGCAAACAUACACUAGUAGAAAAGGGGCCAAUGGUCCAGGCCGGUCCAGCCCAUUAGUCCCGGUUCAAUCCAGAACCGGGACCAAUGGGGGCAUUGGACCCGGUUCGUGAGCCCUGGGGGCCGGCCGGGCCACGUGGGCCAUUGGUCCCGGUUCGUCCUGACCUUUCGGUCCCGGUUGGUGGGACGAACCGGGACCAAUGGGCCUCGCUCCUGGCCCACCAACAUUGGUCCCGGUUGGUGGCUUGAACCGGGACCAAAGGCGUCCCUUUAGUCCCGGUUCAAGUCACCAACCGGGACCAAUUAGUUGCCUAUAUAUACCCCUCGCCUGCGAGCAGAGCACUCCCAGUGCUCUGUUUUUCGUGGCUGGCGAGGGGAGAGCUUUGUGGUGCUCUAGCUCACGUCCUAUGCACACAAGGUGUUCGAUGGAAUGCCCGAGCCACACUACUUAAGCUUUCUCCUCUCCAAGCUCGACCUCCAAGCUCCAUUUUCCUUCAUAUUUGUCUAGGUUUAGCGGUUCGUCACGUCCCGUCCCCAUCUUCACCACCGUUGAUCGCCCGCGCCGAUCUCGUCGCCGGCACCACCGUGGUGAGCCUCUUGUUCUUAUCUUCUUUCUGAAAGGAAAAAAAAUUCUUACUUGUAUGUUUAUAUAGAUACUUGUAUAAUUUUCUUACUUUUAUUAUUGCAUCUUAUAUAGUGCGAUGGUUUUGGUAUCCGCCCCCGUCGGCCCUCGUCCUGUCUAUGAUUCAGAUGUGGUAUAUAUAUAUUAUCUUUUCAUAACUAGUGGUUCAUUUAUUGUUUAUGACAAUUAUGCCGACCAACGUGACAUAGAUUUUAUUUAUCUAGGAGGUUGUUGAACCGGAAAUUCCAACCGACCCUAUUGUCGAGAGGUUAAAUUUAGUUGAAGAAAACAAUUUGUUGAAGGGAAAAAUUAGAAAAAUUGAGGAGGAGAAGAUGAUAUUGGAGUUGCAUGUUGCGGAUGUCAUCGAUGAUCACAAGAUCAAGAUGGAUGCAAUGCGCUUGAAGAUUAGAAAGAUUAGAAAAUAUGCCAUUCAUACCGAGGCUUGGUAUCAUUAUGUCGUUGGAUCAGUUGUUACAUUGGUUGCGAUUAUGAUCGUAUUUGUUUUCGCAUUGAAAUGUUUUACAUAGUUUCAGUGUAUGGUUUAAUUAAUUUAGAUGCCCUGCAGAGCUUUAUGUUGUUAGAUGAGAACUAUGUAUGUACUUUGGUUUUAAUGUGAUGAUGAACUUCUAUUAAUUUCGUCACUUAAUUAUCUAUUCAUGAUGUUCUGUAAUGAUUUUUGACACACUUAAUUAUAUAUAAUGCACGCAGAUGAACCGGCAAUGGAUGUACGGUUCAAGACACACCUCCGAGUACAUUAAGGGCGUGCAUGAUUUUCUCGAAGUGCCUGAGGCAACAAGAAGAAUGGUUUUAUGUGUUGUCCAUGCCCUAUAUGUGGGAAUACGAAGUCUUACUCUGACUGGAAAAUCCUCCACACCCACCUUCUUUACAAGGGUUUCAUGCCACACUAUAAUGUUUGGACGAGGCACGGAGAAAUAGGGGUUAUGAUGGAAGACGGCGAAGAAGAAGAGUACGAUGACAACUAUGUGCCCCCUGAAUACGGUGAUGCUACUGAAGAUCAAGAGGAACCAGACGAUGUGCCCGAUGAUGAUGAUCUCCGCCGGGUCAUUGUCGAUGCAAGGACGCAAUGCGAAAGUCAAAAGGAGAAGCUGAAGUUCGAUCGCAUGUUAGAGGACCACAAAAAAGGGUUGUACCCCAAUUGUGAAGAUGGCAACACAAAGCUCGGUACCGUACUGGAAUUGCUGCAGUGGAAGGCAGAGAAUGUUGUGCCUGACAAAGGAUUUGAGAAGCUACUGAAAAUAUUGAAGAAGAAGCUUCCAAAGGAUAACGAAUUGCCCGACAGUACAUACACAGCAAAGAAGUUCGUAUGCCCUCUAGGAUUGGAGGUGCAGAAGAUACAUGCAUGCCCUAAUGACUGCAUCCUCUACCGCGGUGCGUACAAGGAUCUGAACGCAUGCCCGGUAUGCGGUGCAUUACGGUAUAAGAUCAGACGAGAUGACCCUGGUGAUGUUGACGGCGAGCCCCCCAGGAAGAGGGUUCCUGCGAAGGUGAUGUGGUAUGCUCCCAUAAUACCACGGUUGAAACGUCUGUUCAGAAACGGAGAGCAUGCCAAGUUGAUGCGAUGGCACAGUGAGGACCGUAAGAAAGACGGGAAGUUGAGAGCACCCGCUGACGGGUCGCAGUGGAGAAAAAUCGAGGGAAAGUACUGGGAUGAGUUUGCAAGUGAGCCAAGGAACGUAUGGUUUGCUUUAAGCGCGGAUGGCAUUAAUCCUUUCGGGGAGCAGAGCAGCAAUCACAGCACCUGGCCCGUGACUCUAUGUAUGUAUAACCUUCCUCCUUUGAUGUGCAUGAAGCAGAAGUUCAUUAUGAUGCCAGUUCUCAUCCAAGGCCCUAAGCAACCCGGCGACGACAUUGAUGUGUACCUAAGGCCAUUAGUUGAAGAACUUUUAUAGCUGUGGAAUGGAAAUAGUGUACGUACGUGGGAUGAGCACAAACAGGAGGAAUUUAACCUAAAGGCGUUGCUGUUCGUGACCAUCAACAAUUGGCCCGCUCUCAGUAACCUUUCAGGACAGACAAACAAGGGAUACCACGCAUGCACGCACUGUUUACUUGACACCGAUAGUAUAUACCUAGCAAGUUGUAGGAAGAAUGUGUACCUGGGCCAUCAUCGAUUUCUUUCGACCAACCAUCAAUGUUGAAAGAAAGGCAAGCAUUUCAAAGGCGAGGCAGAUCACCGGAAGAAGCCCUCCAUGCGUACUGGUAUCACGUACUUGCUAUGGUAGUGAUUUACACGUAAUCUUUGGAAAGUGUCCCGGCGGACUAGCUGUUCCGAAUGACGCUGAGAAUCACGCACCCAUGUGGAAGAAGAAAUCUAUAUUUUGGGACCUACCCUACUAGAAAGACCUAGAGGUCCGCUCUUCGAUCGACGUGAUGCACGUGACGAAGAACCUUUGCGUGAACCUGCUAGGCUUCUUGGGCAUGUAUGGGAAGACAAAAGAUACAACUGAGGCACGGGAGGACCUGCAACGCUUGCACGAAAAAGUGGGCAUGCCUCCGAAGCAGUAUGAAGGUCCUGCCAGCUACGCUCUUACGAAAGAAGAGAAAUAAAUCUUCUUUGAAUGCCUGCUCAGUAUGAAGGUCCCGACUGGCUUCUCUUCGAAUAUAAAGGGAAUAAUAAAUAUGCCAGACAAAAAGUUCUAGAACCUAAAGUCUCAUGACUGCCACGUGAUUAUGACGCAACUGCUUCCGGUUGCAUUGAGGGGGCUUCUACCGGAAAACGUCCGAUUAGCCAUUGUGAACCUAUGUGCAUUCCUCAAUGCAAUCUCUCAGAAGGUGAUCGAUCCAGAAAUCAUACCAAGGCUAAGGACUGAUGUGGUGCAAUGUCUUGUCAGUUUCGAGCUGGUGUUCCCACCAUCCUUCUUCAAUAUCAUGACGCACGUCCUAGUUCAUCUAGUUGACGAGAUUGUCAUUCUGGGCCCCGUAUUUCUACACAAUAUGUACUUCUUUGAGAGGUUCAUGGGAGUCCUAAAGAAAUAUGUCUGUAACCGCGCUAGGCCAAAAGGAAGCAUCUCCAUGGGCUAUCAAACAGAGGAUGUCAUCGGGUUUUGUGUUGACUUCAUUCCUGGCCUUAAGAAUAUAGGUCUCCCUAAAUCGCGGUAUGAGGGGAGACUGACUGGAAAAGGCACGCUUGGAAGGGACUCAAUUAUAUGCAGGGACGGAUAUUCUUGGUCUCAAGCACACUACACAGUUCUACAGAACUCUACCUUGGUGACCCCGUAUGUCGAUGAACACAAGAACAGUCUGCGCUCCAAACACCCGGAGCAGUGCGACGACUAGAUUACAUGUGAACACAUCAGGACUUUCAGUAGUUGGUUGGAAGCACAUAUCAGAGGUGACAACACUGUUUGUGAUGAGUUGUACUUGUUGUCCAGGGGACCAUCUUUGACUGUAUUGAUUUGGAAAGGAUACGAGAUAAAUGGGAAUACAUUUUACACGAUUGACCAAGAUCAAAAGAGCACCAACCAAAACAGCGGUGUCCGCUUUGAUGAAACAACCGAGAGGGGAAAGGACACAUAUUGUGGUUACAUAGUGGACAUAUGGGAACUUGACUACGGACACGAUUUUAAGGUCCCUUUGUUUAAGUGCAAAUGGGUCAAUCUGUCAGGUGGCAGGGUACAGGUAGACCCACAGUACGGAAUGACAAUAGUGGAUCUGGAAAAUCUUGGAUACACUGACGAACUGUUCGUCCUAGCCAAUGAUGUGGCACAGGUUAUCUAUGUGAAGGACAUGUCUACCAGACCAAGAAAGAGAAAAGAUAAGGAAGCGAAUACAUCAUACGAUGAGCCAAAGUGCCACAUAGUUCUUUCAGGAAAAAGGGACAUCGUGGGAGUGGAGGACAAGACAGACAUGUCUGAAGAUUAUGAAAAGUUUCAUGAAAUUCCUCCCUUUAAUGUCAAGGCUGACCCCAGCAUCCUGAUAGACGAUGAAGAUUAUCCAUGGUUACGGCGCAAUAAGCAAAUGACACAAGCGAAGAAAAAGUGAAGACUUUCUCCCGCAACUAUUAUGAUGAUACCAUGCCAAAUUUGUAACUGACGAGUAUGAUACCAUUGUCCGUUUUGUACAUGCACAUGCUAUGUGGGUCAAUUUAUGAUACCAUGCCAACUUUCAACUUUUUCAGAGUUCAUUUGAAAUGCUUUAAUGUCUUAUGGUUCGGCCCUCGUAAUGAUUAAAAAUAGCAACAAUAAGUAUUUUGUUGUAAGUAGAAACAAAAUAAAAUAAAUAAAGCAAGAAAGAAAACAAAAAAAACAAAAAAAGUGUUUUCAAAUUUGAAAACUAAUGGUACUAACAGAAAGUUUAUAAUUUUCCUAAAACUAAAAGCAAAAAGAAUUGAAAAAUAAAGCAAAAAACAAAAGACAAUAAAUAAUGCAGAAAUCAAAACAAAAAACAACAAUAAGUAUUUUGUUGUAUGUAGAAACAAAACAAAAUAAAUAAAGCAAGAAAGAAAACAAAAAAACAAAAAAAGUGUUUUCAAAUUUGAAAACUAGGGCACUAACAGAAAGUUUAUAAUUUUCCUAAAACUAAAAGCAAAAAGAAUUAAAAAAUAAAGCAAAAAACAAAAGAAAAUAAAUAAUGCGGAAAACAAAACAAAAAAACUGGAAAAAAAAUAAAAUAGCAAAAAUAAGUAAAGAAAACAAAAAAAUGCCUCCUACUGGGCCCCCACGGCCUGAAUACGACUAGAAACCCUACUAUGGGCCAGGAUUCAGGCCCGCAGUAGGCCCAGAAGGCCCAUCAGGCAAAGCAAUAGCAAGUAGGCCCGAAAGCCUGCGGUGGAGAGGAGCUCGAGAGGGGUGCGGCAGUGGGGCUUAUAAACCACUGCACGCCCCUCUCAACUAGCGAGGUGGGACUAAACUUUGGCCCCGACGCGGGAAGCACAGGGGCCUUUGGUCCCGGUUGGUGGCACCAACCGGGACUAAAGGGGGGGGCAUUGGUACCGGUUCGUGGCACCAACCGGUACCAAAGGCCGCCGCUUCCCGCCCUUUGGGCUGCCGAAAAGGAGGCCUUUGGUCCUAGUUGGUGGCACUAACCGGGACUAAAGGGUGCAUUAGUCCCGGUUGAUUUCACGAACCGGGACCAAUGCCUUUGCUAUAUAAGCAAACACUUUGCAAAAUUUCAGAAUCCCAUCGCCAGUUGCCCCCGACGACGCCGACCCUCCUCGACGCUGCCAGGCUGCUCCACCUCGCCGUCGUCGCCGCCACCGCCAAGCCGUCGCCUCCCCGAGCCCGCGCCAUCCUCGUCGCCGGCCUCCCUGAGCCCGCGCCGUCCUCGUCGCCGGUCUCCUCGAGCCCGCUCCCCGUCCCGCCCCCGCGCGCCGCCGCCCCGAGCCCCUGCCCCGUCCUGCCCCCAUGCGCNNNNNNNNNNNNNNNNNNNNNNNNNNNNNNNNNNNNNNNNNNNNNNNNNNNNNNNNNNNNNNNNNNNNNNNNNNNNNNNNNNNNNNNNNNNNNNNNNNNNNNNNNNNNNNNNNNNNNNNNNNNNNNNNNNNNNNNNNNNNNNNNNNNNNNNNNNNNNNNNNNNNNNNNNNNNNNNNNNNNNNNNNNNNNNNNNNNNNNNNNNNNNNNNNNNNNNNNNNNNNNNNNNNNNNNNNNNNNNNNNNNNNNNNNNNNNNNNNNNNNNNNNNNNNNNNNNNNNNNNNNNNNNNNNNNNNNNNNNNNNNNNNNNNNNNNNNNNNNNNNNNNNNNNNNNNNNNNNNNNNNNNNNNNNNNNNNNNNNNNNNNNNNNNNNNNNNNNNNNNNNNNNNNNNNNNNNNNNNNNNNNNNNNNNNNNNNNNNNNNNNNNNNNNNNNNNNNNNNNNNNNNNNNNNNNNNNNNNNNNNNNNNNNNNNNNNNNNNNNNNNNNNNNNNNNNNNNNNNNNNNNNNNNNNNNNNNNNNNNNNNNNNNNNNNNNNNNNNNNNNNNNNNNNNNNNNNNNNNNNNNNNNNNNNNNNNNNNNNNNNNNNNNNNNNNNNNNNNNNNNNNNNNNNNNNNNNNNNNNNNNNNNNNNNNNNNNNNNNNNNNNNNNNNNNNNNNNNNNNNNNNNNNNNNNNNNNNNNNNNNNNNNNNNNNNNNNNNNNNNNNNNNNNNNNCGCUGCAUUGGCUCUGUUUUUUUUUCAUUUUUAUUAGUUUAAUUAUUUUUUUGUUCAUAUAUAUAUAUAUAUAUAUAAUGUAUAUGUGUAUGUAUGUGGCUAUAUAUGUGUAUGUAGAUGUUCAAAAAUUAUUCAGAGCACGUUUUUAUUCAUAUAUGUAUUUUUUGUUCAUAUGUGUAUUAAUGUUUUCAUAUAUGCAAAAGAUAGAUUUUUAGAAAAGUUAGGGUUUUUUUUUCUAUUCAUAGAUUUUUUUGGUGAUAUUAAUUAUUGUAGAAUAUGCAAAUGUUUGUAUAUUCAUAUGAACAAUGCAUUAGGCAAAACCUUUGUUUUUUUUGAAAUUUUUUAUUUGAACAUUUUUUAAAAACAAGCAAUACUAAAAGAAUGAGAGGAAAAAGGAAAAUAAGAAGAGGAAGAAAGGAGAAGAAGAGGAGAGGAAGAAGAGGAGAAAUAAAUAAGAAGAGGAAAAAAGAAGAGGGGAAGAAGAAAGGAAUAGAGGAGAAGAAGAAAAAUAGAAAUUUUCUAUUUUUCUUCUUCUCCUCUAUUCCUUUCUUCUUCUCCUCUUUAUUUUCUUCUUUUUUUUCUUCUUCCUUCUUCCUCUUUUCUUCCUUUUCCUUAUUUUCCUUUCUCGAGGGAGAAGAAGAAAAAGAAGAGUAAAAGAAGAAGAAAGGAAUAGAGGAGAAAGAAGAAACUUCAACACAAGGGGGGGUUACCGAUACCCCCUCCCCGAUAACAUUAUUUUCCCAUGUAUAUGUAUGUCGCGUCAUUGUCGAUAUAACCCCCUCGAGAUAACUUCGACAUGAGGGGCGGUCGAUAUAUAUACCCCCUCUCGACCGUGAUAACUUAUACAACGGCAGCACCCCCCUCGGCCCUCUCGCUCGACCAAAACUCUUGAGGACACCCAAACCCUAGAGAGAAAACGAUGUUGGUCUCCUACCCCCUCCCGCCGCGCCCCUACCCGACAUAUUAACUCUCUCGAGGCCACCCAAAUUUACCAAGUUAAAAGAGCGUUGUCGUCGAGGCCACCCCAAACCCUUGAAGCGUUGUGUCGAGGAGACCCCAAACCCUAGAGAAGCAGCGUCGAGGCCACUAACAUGGAUCGAUCCAUCUGUAAUAAUAAUUGACAUGGUGUAAAUAUUUGCAGAAACUAUGGAGCACUCCCGAGACGAAGAAACAGAAGCGAUGUUGGGGGACAUUAUCGCACAAGGAAGUGAUGAAGUUGCGUCAUUUCUCAACGACACCGAUGGUCAGGAACGACUGGGUGAAGAAGAGGGCUAUGUUCAUGAUGGCUUCGACCCAUUAAUGCCGGUACAAGAAGAGGACUAUGUUCAUGAUGGCUCUGGUGACACAAUGGAGGUACAAGAAGGAGACCGUGCUGACUGCUCCGGUGACCGAACCGAGUCCGGCCAGGUAUAUAUAUAUAUAUUAGUUAAGCCCGUGCUGACUAGUUAAUUGAUGCAUCCAUUGUUUUGGUAUAUGUACACAUAUUAAUUACUCUCGUCUUUCUUCCUUAUAAUUUCUAGCCCUCCGGAUCGAGCACAACUUCGGUAAGAAGACGAAGCCCGAAGAAAAAGUUGAGCUCGGAUGAAAAGUUUGAGAUCAUAGAAAUCGCGCCCGACGGCGAACCGAUUGAACCCAUCCGGACAAGGAAGGCAUUUUCUGCUCAGUGCGGGGUUCUUGUUAGGGACAAGAUCCCGAUCAGCAUCCAUCAAUGGUAUAAGCCUAAGGAGGAAGACCCCGAGGUGUCUUAUGUCAAUGAUAUGCAGAAAGAAGAUCUUUGGACUGAGCUAAAGGCAAAUUUCACCCUACCGCUAGAGGAGGAUCCGGAGAAGCCAGUUAUAGAGCAAUUAAUCAAUUCUUGUGCUCUUAAGAAGAUGGCAACCCUAAUGAGGAGGUGGAGGAAAGAGGUGAACCAGUUUGUCGAGAAAGAUAAGACACCAGAAUUCAUCGGCAAAUAUGAGAAGAUCAAAGAUCACUGGCCCGCAUUUGUGGCCCACAAGACAUCGGAAAAGAGUAAGAAGAUGUCGGCAACAAACAAGAAAAAUUCUGCAAAGAAGAAGCUUCACCAUCGCACGGGGUCAGGUGGCUACCUCAAAGCCCGGCCUAAGUGGUCCAAGGCUGAGCAUGAUCUGCUUGAAAAAGGGAUCGAACCAGAGACAAUGUACUGGCCAGACCGUUGUCGGACUUGGUUCUUCGGGGCUGGCGGAACCUUGGACCCUGUAACAGGGAAGUGCCAGUGGACGGAUGAGCAACUACAAAUACCAGUCAAGAAACUUCGACACUAUAUCGAUGCAGCGUAGCGAGGGACGCUCCUUCCAAACAGGGAGAAGGACGAGCUCACAAUGGCCCUUGGGAAUCCUGAGCACCCUGGAUGGACACGAGGCACGCCAGGCUCCAUUCCAUGGAAGGUUGGUCUUCCGCACACAGGGGGUUACAAAACCCACGAGAGGAGGAAGAAACUGGAGCAGGACCAAAUGCAGGCGCUGCACGAAAGGGUAAUGGGGCUAGAGGAACGAGAAGCAGCAGAUCGCAGCAAACGACAUGCCGAAGCUUCCCCCGAAGCUACCUCGCCAUCUCAGCGGAGAAGCAGCGUGGCUUCCACCGAGCUGCUUCAGCCGGAGCAUGUCUUGACGUCUCCUGCCAGCUAUCCCGUGGAUGGUAUCACGGAGUCUCAAAGUUGCCACAUUAUGACGCAAUGUAUGAAUUUGAAGGUCAAGGCGGCUGUUGGCCAAGUUUAUCCUAGUGGACCCGGCACAACUUAUCACUGCCAGCCGAUUCCAGAAGGAUUUGCUAAGGUGAUGGUGGAUGAAAUAACGGAGGGAUUUGAGGACCUCCUGCUUGAGCACCCUACCGGUGAAGGGGAGACUAGGCUGGGUUCUGCUCUGAAGACUCCAUGCCUAUGGCGGAAGGAGCUCAUCAACCUUCCGAACUGGACGCCUCCGCCUCCUCCUCCUCCUCCGGCGAGUCAGGGCACUCCGCCUCCUCCACCGCCUCCUCCUCCGGCGAGUGAUGAUCAGGGCACACGUGGCAGCACUCCGCCUCCUUCUCCGCCUGCGCCGGCGCGCCCGAGCAGCCAGCCUCCUCCUUCUCCGCCUCGUCAGCAAGGGCGAAAGAGACCCGCCGCUGCUCCGGCUGCUCCGGCGCGUCGUAAUCCUUCUCCUCCGCCUCACAAAAAGCAAGCAAAGAAGACAUCCACUCCGUCUGCUCUGUCGGUGUCUAGCAGUACAGCCAAAGGCGGGAAGAAAUACAGAUUUGGUCCUUCUCCGAAGACUCCAGAGAAGUUACCGUACGAGAGGACCGAGGAGGAAAACGCGGAGAUCACGCAGAACGAACUGGAUGGCUGGUUUGCAGGGUUGAAAGCAAAGAGACAUCCACCUCCGGAGGAGAAGGUAGAUCCGGUGAAAGUGAAGCGCACUCUGGCUGCCCUGAGGAAACCGGCAAAGUCUCCGCCGAGAACCAACUAUGAGCGCAUUACUGAACAGACAUAUCUCCAAGCGGAGCAGUCGGGAAGUACUGUCAGACAUCAAAGAGCAAAAGAACGAGCAGCUGCGAAAAAAGUUGACCAGCUCGGCGAACAACCAAACCAAUCGUGCCCCCCGCUCAAUGUGUCUAGCGGCAACAUCGUCGCUAAUGUUCCGGGGAUCAUGGACGGUUAUGGCAAUCCACAAUAUUACCUGCCUGACGAUGCACUUCCUGAAUUCAUGAUGGUGGAAGAACGCAGAUACGAGUACGGGAAGCCUCUCAUCAAAGAUGUAAAAUCUCUAACAACGAUGAUGCGAAGAUUCCAUACUUGGUACAUGAAAACCUGCAGAGAGUCUGGGGGGACGAAUAGUUUGUAUCUACACAUUAAAGAGGAGCACGACCUCGUUGGAACUGAUCUGUUGUGUGUUCCAUUUGAGGAGUUCUUCGCGUUCUUCAAUCAAAUAGCCCUCGAUAAAUUAACGGUCUUUUGCUACUGCCUGUAAGUACUAUUUCUGUCAUUAAGUCUCUAUAUAUAGCUUGGCUUUCAUUACAUGUAUUUAUAAUUAAUUAUCCUCAAUAUAUUAUGCAGAUUGAAGAUCGUCGAGUGCAAAAAAAUGAAAUCUAUGAUAUUGGGUUCAUUAACACAAAUAUCAUAGAUGUAUUUCUGGUUGAAAAGCACAUCGAAGAGGCCGAGGACAACUUGCUACGAUCAUUGAUCAAAAAUCAAAACAAAGAUACCAUACUCUUUCCUUACAACACCAAGUGAGUGUUACUGAUCAUUUGCAUAUUCGGUUUCCCUUAUUACUCGAGCGAGGUUAUAGUAAUGUAAUUGAUGAGUUAUGCAUGUGUGCGCAGGUACCACUAUAUUCUUCUGGAGAUUAAGCUUGAGCGUGGACUAGUAACCGUCUUAGACUCGAGACGGAAAGAUCCCAGCACCUAUGCGGACAUGACUGAAAUGCUCAGCAAGUAAGUUCAAUCGAUCAUUAUCGCACCAUAGCGGCAACUUUUUGUUCAUUUCCUGAUAUCUCAAGUAAUAAUAAUUAUUUUCUUUGUCUUGCAGGGUUUGGAAACAGUUCACCACAGUAGCUCGGGGACUGCCGAAGGAGCUGCGAUAUAUAUACCCGAAAGUAAGUACUACUGGCUAGCUAGUUGUGUGCAUCUCCUGUUGAUUCUAUAGCUAUACUUUCAUCACAUUUAUAAUGCUUCAUUAUCAGUUUGAUAGACCUCUAUUUCUCGUAAAGUGCUUGUGGUAGGAACAAGGGAAUGAUUUCUAUAGAUACUACGUGUGCGAGUUCAUCUACAACGCGACUUUGAAAAAUAAGCGGGGCUACUCUCAAAGACAAUAUGAAGUGCGUAAGCAAUUAAUAAUAUUCACAAUUUCUGUUGAGUUUCAUUCAUAUAUAUAUAUAUAUAUAUAUAUAUAUAUAUAUAUGUAUUAAUUAACCCCCUUCUUCAAAUUAGACGUGGCAGAUGCGGAAUGAACUCCUAGAACCAGAUCGCAUGAAAGGAAUUCAAGAGGAAUUGGCGGGAUUCUUUCUUGACCACGUCAUCAAUAAAGCCGGAGAAUACCAUGUGGAACUUGAUUUCAAAUGCUAGGGGACUGUAAUUGAGAGAUCUUAUAUAUUGUACAUGUUGUAUGUAGCCAGUAGCGUCGGACAUACAUGAUACAAAAACUUGUUGUUUGACCAAUCUCUCGGAGAAGGAGACGUCGAUCGAUCACUUCUCUCGGUAUGCAUGACGAACUUCUGUACUUAAUGGUUUCCUUCAUUUUCUUACUAGCUAGCGUGUCGAGAGCCUCUCUAUGUAUAGUACGUAGCGUCGACCAAGCACGGACAUAAGAGAGGACACUUCUCUCUAUUAAUUAGCUAGCUAACACAAUAUAUGAAACACCUAAAUUAACCCCCAAAACCNNNNNNNNNNNNNNNNNNNNNNNNNNNNNNNNNNNNNNNNNNNNNNNNNNNNNNNNNNNNNNNNNNNNNNNNNNNNNNNNNNNNNNNNNNNNNNNNNNNNNNNNNNNNNNNNNNNNNNNNNNNNNNNNNNNNNNNNNNNNNNNNNNNNNNNNNNNNNNNNNNNNNNNNNNNNNNNNNNNNNNNNNNNNNNNNNNNNNNNNNNNNNNNNNNNNNNNNNNNNNNNNNNNNNNNNNNNNNNNNNNNNNNNNNNNNNNNNNNNNNNNNNNNNNNNNNNNNNNNNNNNNNNNNNNNNNNNNNNNNNNNNNNNNNNNNNNNNNNNNNNNNNNNNNNNNNNNNNNNNNNNNNNNNNNNNNNNNNNNNNNNNNNNNNNNNNNNNNNNNNNNNNNNNNNNNNNNNNNNNNNNNCCCCCUGCCUGGGCUCGGCGCGUGGAUGCCUUUUGGUCCCGGUUGGUGCCACCAACCGGGACCAAAGGCCCCCCUGCCUGGGCUCGGCGCACAGGCCACGUGGAGGACCAUCUAUCCCGGUUCGUGUUACAACCGGGACUAAAGGGGGGAGGUAUUAGUAACGACCCAUUAGUCCCGGUUCAUGAACCGGGAGUAAAGGCCCUCACGAACCGGGACUAAUAGGUGUUUGUCUACUAGUGAUAAGCCUAUGACUUAUGAAGUUGGUGAGAAGGCUUACCUUCGGGUUACACCUUUAAAGGGAACCCAUCGAUUCGGUAUCAAGGGCAAGUUGGCCCCUUGUUACAUUGGACCCUUUUGCAUUCUUGCCAAACGAGGGGAAGUUGCCUACCAGUUGGAACUACCUCCACAUCUUUCUAGAGUUCAUGAUGUCUUCCACGUCUCUCAACUCAGGCAUUGCUUCUCGAAUCAUAUCCGCGAAGUAGACCAUGAAACGCGUGAUCUCCAAGAAAAUCUCACUUAUCGAGAAUAUCCAAUUCGCAUCCUUGAUCAAGCCGAGCGUACCACUCGACGCCAGAAUAUCAAGUUUCUCAAGGUUCAAUGGUCACACCACUCCGAUCAAGAAGCAACUUGGGAAAGGGAGGAUCAUCUACGACUUGAGUAUCCCACCUUCUUCCCGAUAGACCCUAAAUCUCGGGAUGAGAUUCUUUUGAGUGGGGGUGAGUUGUCACAACCUAGCUAGUCCAUGCAUUAGAGUGUUGCAUCAUGUCUACCUUUUAUCAGAAACUUGAAUUGGGGAAGACAGAACCCCCCCAGAACCCCUCUAAAUUCAACUAGUGCUUACUAAAAAUAUUUUCAAUGAACCUGAAAUGCCCUUCUAAAAAGUUCACCCUCUUUGUCUUGGGUUAGAACCUCUGGCAAAAUUGGUGCACAAUUUUCUAGGUCAACAGAAGGCCAUUGAAUUAAAUCAUAUCUACUUUGAGUUUGGGCAUUUAAACUAUAUAAAAUAUUUCAAAUGCUCAAAUAACUCCAAACUAAAAUGUUCCAUACUGGAUAUAUUCCAACUAGCGACCAUGUGCAGUUUGGUGAUUUUUGGAGUUGCCUAAGUAUUUUUAGAAAUGCAACAAACUUACAGAAACAAUUAAAAACAGAAACAAAUGGGGAAAAAACCCUUACCUGGCCGAACCAAGCCCCAGCCCAGCUGGCCGGCCCAGCACUGUGCUGGCCCAUGCCAGCCAGCUGCUUUGCCAUCGCCACGCAGGCACAGAGCUGACGCCAGCGAGUGUGAGCUCGCCACGGCGCCAACUGCUUGCCGCCCGCGCCACCGAGCACCUGGGUGAGCUCCACGUCGCCACCCCGACCCCGUGGACACCUCAUUCGCCCCCCUGCCUCUUCCCUCGCUCUCCCGCACCAUGGCCGACGCACCCGUCGCCGCACCGCCGACGUAGUCGCGCCCUCCAUCGUCCCCGUGCUGCACCACCGUGUCCCUUCGCUCCGUCGUCAUCAACUACAUCGAGCAGGCCGAGCCCCGAGCGCUCGUGGGCCUUGCUUCGUCUUCUUUGACCUCAUCUUCACCGAGCACCACCGCAGAUCCCCUUCGCCGUCGCCGCUGCACCAGCUCGUCCCCGACCUCGCCGACCACUCCGUUGUGACCGCCGUGAGCUCAGCCACCUCCCCAUCCUCCCCGUUUGCCUUCUCGUGCACCGUAGCAGCCGCAUGGAGCUUCAUCGCACGCACCACCGCCGAGCUCGUCGCCGACGUGCCUCCGGCCAUCCACCGUCCACACCACGGUAUCUAACAUGCUCAUUGCAUCGCGUAGAGUCUAACGCCCCACUCCACGCGCCUCGCCGUGCCCCGUAGCCACGGGUCAAUUUUCACCCGACUCCGGCGACCGUCGCGGUCGUCGCUGCCGACGUUCCUGGCCACCUCGACCUCAACCACCACCACCAAACGCCGCGGCUUGUUCCUGGCUACACGUAGAUGGUCUUCGCCGUCCAUUUGGUCGCCGGAACGUGCUAACCCACUUCCUCUGCCGCAUCUGGCCUCGCCAGCGGCUAGACGCCGGCGUGUUUGACCCGUUGACGUUGACUGGGUGGGCCAGGUUGACUCCCCUGAGUCUAUGACAAGUGGGCCCCCCCCUCUGCUAAUUAACCUAGUUUAGUUCUUACUAAAAUCAGUUAGUUUAAAUAAGUGCUGACAUGCGGGACCCACUGGUCAGUUUGACCUGAACGACCCCUUUGACCAUUGACGUCACCCUGAUGCACUGCUGACGCAAUAACCAAUUUCUGGAUUUAUUGUUAUAUAGGAAAUUCCAGAAAUUGUUGCAAACUUCAAAAAUUCAUAGAAAUUAAUCUGUAACUCCAAAUGCAAAGAUUUAUAUAUGAAUUUCGAUCAAAAAAAUUCAAUAUAUCCAUUGGUAAUGGUUUCAUGCAUGUCAGAACAAGUUAACCUUGUUGUUUAAUCAAAACAAGUUAAUGCACUAAUAUGACUAUGUUAAAUGAACUACCAUUUGCAUCUUUGAUUCAAAUGAGUUCAUACCUUUCUGUUCUAGCUUGCAUUAGGCCAGGACACAUUCAUGUUGCCAUGUCAUAGCAUGCAUCAUAUUGUUGCAUAUCGUCAUGUGUGGUUCAUGUUCGGUGUGUUUUCGUGAUAGGUUCUGCCUCCGAGGAUAACCCCGAAUAUCCGUCUGAAGGGCAGUAUCCUACUACCACUACAUCAGGCAAGCAACCCAUUGAUCAUUCUGAUACAAACCCAUGUUCUCGCCUCUGCUCUUGUUUACUGCAUUAAGAUAACGCGAUUCAAACUGUUGUGUGUUGUGGUAGUUGAACCCACUUCCUUUGCAUGACCUGUCAUUGCCACGGUAACUAGAUGAAACCCACUAGCAUGUGUAGGAGUUGAUUGAGCCAUAUCUGUGUUACCUACCAUGCUAUGCUUGCUAUGCUUAGAGUUGUGUCAGGUCUGGCUCAUCAGGAUGAUGAACUAGAGUGAAAGGUUGUGUCGGUAACGAGAGUGAAGUGUUGAACACGAUUUGGUAAAGGUAUCGAUGAGAGGCCAUGUAGGAGUACAUGGUGGGUUGUUUCAUUGAGGCCGUCCUUAAGCACUGAGAUCUGUGUGUGUGAUUUAAGAUUCAGCUACUACCACGCAUUGGGCCCAAAACCAAUGGACCCUCUCGACUUAUUAACCACUCUUGUCCUCAGUCCGGGAGUUGCAAGUAGUUUCUGGUGUUUGUAGCAUGCUGGGGGCCGCACGCAGCGCUGACCUUAGGGGUGGGUUGUGUUGCGGUAGGCACGUGGCACGGUGUAUCGAUUCGCCCGUUUGGUGUCUCGGGAACCCUGUUCACAUCGUUCGGGGCCGUUAGUGGAAACCUCGGCCGGACUCCCUGCGGAUGGAACCCAAAUAGGCGAUAAACCUGGACUAGGGACUCGUGUGUUUAGUCAGGCCAUGGCCGACACCCUUGCUGGGCUUCCGCUUGAAGGUUGCCGAGUACACGUCAUGUAGUGGCGAUAAGUGGUGAGAGCGUGUGUGAAGAAGUACACCCCUGCAGGGUACAAAACUAUUCGAAUAGCCGCGUCCACGGUAAAGGACUACUUGGUCACCUAUACAGUUCAUAGACAAGUAAAUGGAUACUUCUAAAAGCCUCAAGAUAAGUGUGAGUGCCGCGGAUGGCCCUGUCGUAGGUUGACGAGAGAGGAUCCACGGUGGAGUAUUGUGUUGGUGAGUAGUGGACUCGUGUGCGACAAAUGUUUUGCAAGUUGUGUCUAUCGUUGGAUAGCUUAGCCAAGAGUCAAAGCUGGCUUGCUGCAAUAACUCCACUACCUUCUUGAGAAUGUGCAUGUAUGAUAGGAUUCUGUUGUAAGACUUGCUGAGUACCUCUGUACUCAUGUUUGCUUAAUUAAUGUUUUCAGACGACAACACCAACCCCUCCGAUGGGUUCUACGUAGACCUCGACGUUGACGAGUGACUAGCCACCCAAGUGGUGAUCCAAGACUUGUGAAGGGCCGAUGUAGAUAGAAAGGCUUCAUCAAGCCCUCUUUCUUUCUAGUGUCUGUACUCAGACUAGUUGCUUCCGCAUGUGCUUGUAUGCUUGUAUGACUUGAGUGUCAGGUCAUGUGACCCCUAUCUGUAUGAACAUGUUAUGUAUGGCUCCUCGGAGCCACUUAAAUAAAGUACUUUGAGUUGUAGAGUUUUGUUGUGAUGCCAUGUUGUAUGUACUCAUAUCGGGCAUAUUGUGUGUAUGUUUGAAAUGCUUGGUAUGAGUGGGAUCCGACAAUCUAGUUGUUUAUCCUUGGCAGCCUCUCAUAUGGGGAAAUGUAGUCUAGUGCUUCUUGAGCGAUAGUAGUCCGCUACAGCCCGGUUCACCGGAGUCCUGCUAGCCCAGUACUACUGCUCUGGACACUUGACUGGCCGGCAUGUGUUUCACUUUGUUCCUGUGUCUGUCCCUUCGGGGAAAUGUCAAGCGGUGGCAUCCGGAGUCCUGCCUAGCCUGCUACAGCCCGGGUUACCGGAGUCCUGUUAGCCCAGCGUUACAUCCCGGAUGUAUACGUUGAUGACCAACAUGCUCGAUGUGAUUCAUGUAUGCAUGUCCCCAUAGGUUAGCGCCGCUUGGGUUCACGACUAGCCAUGUCGGCCCGGGUUCUCAGUCAUGUGGAUGCUAGCGACACUAUCAUAUACGUGAGCCAAAAGGCGCAAACGGUCUCGGGCCAUGGUAAGGCGCCACCCGUGGGAUUACCGUGCGUGAGGCCGCAAAGUGAUAUGAGGUGUUACCGGCUGGAUCAAUGUGACUUGGAAUCGGGGUCCUGACAAUUACUUGCUCCUAUCAUAUGUUUGGUUGCAACAAUGUCACUUCUUCACAUAUGCCAUGUCCCAUUGCUUGUCUCAUGCUUGACUUCAUUGCCUCACACAUGAUGAACAAUUGCUCUUUAUAUUGUGUUGAGUGUUACACUAUAUUCACUACAUCCUAUGCACGUUAUGUUUGGAUUGUCUUGCACUUGACCCAUGUGUUUAGACACUUCAUUUUAUUUGGUGUUGUGAAUCCUUCCUAUGCCUACCAUAGACCUUUCAUUGAGCAAUUUGUGAAUGCUUGCUAUGACCUCGAGGUAGAUGCUUAUGCUCUUGUCACACAUAUUUGCAUCUCUACCUCACAUUUACAUGCUUGUUCCCAUGAUAUUUUUGCUUGUGCUCGAUUGAUAUGCUUACAUGCCAUGUCACAAUCCUUUGUCACACCCUAUGCUAUGCUUGAUGACAACACUUGUUUGGUGAAUCACCUCUUGAAUGCUUGGUUUUGCACGAACGCAAACCACAUUUGUUUUUCCACGGGUUUGUUCUAUUUGCUCCUUUUGAAGGAAUCACAAGAUGGUGCGACACUGGAGAGUGCCCACUUCGAGCUACUAGACGAUGAGUGCUUGGUGAUCGACCACUUCGAUAUGGCACCGCCAUCUCUUUCCUAUGGUGAUUUGGUUUUCGAUCCGAGGUCGAAUCCUUCUCAAGGGGGAGGGGAUGAUGCGGAGCAUCCUAUGGACAUCACCAUGUCAAGAGUCCAUUCGGCAAGUGACACGUGCGACAUCUACUUCUCAUACAUAAAGGUGAAUCUUCUCCUUUACACGUGUUCACUUGACCCCUUCGAGGAUGGUAUACUACUUGACACUUCUCCCGUGUGCAUGCAUAGGUAUUGUCAGAGCUUUACGGAUGUCGAGGAGUGCAAGCGCCAAGGAACGACUACACCGUCCGCGAGGGAAGCAUGGAAGAGAAGGAGGAAGAGAACCUGGUGUUGGGGAACGUAGUAAUUUCAAAAUUUUCCUACGCACAUGCAAGAUCAUGGUGAUGAUAUAGCAACGAGGGGAGAGUGUUGUCUACGUACCCUCGUAGACCGAAGCGGAAGCGUUGACGCAGCGUAGAGGAAGUAGUCCUACGUCCUCCCGGUCCGACCGAUCCAAGCACCGUUACUCCGGCACCUCUGAGUUCUUGACACACGUACAGCUCGAUGACGCACCCUCGAUCUCCAAUCCAGUAGAGGCUCCAAGGGGGAGUUCCGUCAGCACGACGGCGUGGUGACUAUCUUGAUGUUCUCCUGUCGCAGGGCUUCGCCUAAGCACCGCUACAAUAUGACCGAGGUGUAAUAUCGUGGAGGGGGGCACCGCACACGGCUAAGGAACGAUCAAUGAUCAACUUGUGUGUUCUAGGGUGCCCCCUACCCCCGUAUAUAAAGGAGGGAGGGAGGAGGUGGCCGACCCAAGGAGGGGGCGCGCCAUGGGAGGAGGAAACCUACUCCAAGUAGGUUUCCCCUCUUUUUCCUUAUCUUAUUUGGAGGGGGAAGGAAGGAGUACUAGUAGUAGGAAGGAGUACUAGUAGUAGGAAAGGAAGAGGGGGAAGGAGAAAGGAAAGGGGGGGCCGGCCCCCCUCCCCAAUUCGGAUUGGGCUUGGGGGGGCGCGCCCCCCUCCCUUGCUCCUUCUCCCUUCCUCCUACAUGGGCCCAAUAAGGCCCAUAUACCUCCCGGGGGGGUUUCGGUAACCUCCCGGAGCUCCAAACUCUUCCGGAACCUUUCCGGUGUCCAAAUAUAUCCGUCCAAUAUAUCGAUCUUUAUGUAUCGACCAUUUCGAGACUCCUCGUCAUGUCCGUGAUCAUAUCCGGGACUCCGAACAAACUUCGGUACAUCAAAAUACAUAAACUCAUAAUAUAACUGUCAUCGAAACCUUAAGCGUGCGGACCCUACGGUUCGAGAACGAUGUAGACAUGACCGAGACAUGUCUCUGGUCAAUAACCAAUAGCGGGACCUGGAUGCCCAUAUUGGUUCCUACAUAUUCUACGAAGAUCUUUAUCGGUCAAACCGCAUAACAGCAUACGUUGUUCCCUUUGUCAUUGGUAUGUUACUUGUCCGAGAUUUGAUCGUCGGUAUCCAAUACCUAGUUCAAUCUCGUUACCGACAAGUCUCUUUACUCGUUCUGUAAUACUUCAUCUCAUAACUAACUCAUUAGUUAUAUGCUUGCAAGGCUUAUGUGAUGAGCAUUACCGAGAGGGCCCAGAGAUACCUCUCCGACAAUCGGAGUGACAAAACCUAAUCUCGAAUUAUGCUAACUCAACAUGUACCUUCGGAGACACCUGUAGUACUCCUUUAUAAUCACCCAGUUACGUUGUGACGUUUGGUAGUACCCAAAGUGUUCCUCCGAUAAACGGGAGUUACACAAUUCUCAUAGUUACAGGAACAUGUAUAAGUCAUGAAGGAAGCAAUAGCAGAAUACUAAACGAUCAAGUGCUAAGCUAACGGGAUGGGUCAUGUCAAUCACAUCAUUCUCCUAAUGAUGUGAUCCCAUUAAUCAAAUGACAACACAUGUCUAUGGUUAGGAAACAUAACCAUCUUUGACUAAUGAGCUAGUCAAGUAGAGGCAUACUAGUGACUAUAUGUUUGUCUAUGUAUUCACACAUGUAUCAUGUUUCCGGUUAAUACAAUUCUAGCAUGAAUAAUAAACAUUUAUCAUGAUAUGAGGAAAUAAAUAAUAACUUUAUUAUUGCCUCUAGGGCAUAUUUCCUUCAGUCUCCCACUUGCACUAGAGUCAAUAAUCUAGUUCACAUCGCCAUGUGAUUUAACACCAAUAUUCAUAUCUGUAUAUGAUUAACACCCAUAGUUCACAUCAUCAUGUGACCAACAUCCAAAGUGUUUACUAGAGUCAAUAAUCUAGUUCACAUCGCUAUGUGAUUAACACCCAAAGAGUACUAAGGUGUGAUCAUGUUUUGCUCGUGAGAGAAGCUCAGUCAACGGGUCUGUCACAUUCAGAGCCAUAUGUAUUUUGCAAAUAUUCUAUGUCUACAAUGCUCUGCACGGAGCUACUCUAGCUAAUCGCUCCCACUUUCAAUAUGUAUCCAGAUUGAGACUUAGAGUCAUCUGGAUCGGUGUGAAAACUUGCACCGAGAUAACUUUUACGACGGGCUCUUUUAUCACCUCCAUAAUCGAGAAAUAUUUCCUUAGUCCUCACUAAGGAUAUUCUUGACCAAUGUCCAGUGAUCUACUCCUAGAUCACUAUUGUACUCCCUUGUCAAAUACAGAGCAAGGUAUACAAUAGGUCUGGUACAUAGCAUGGCAUACUUUAUAGAACCUAUGACUGAGGCAUAGGGAAUGACUUUUCAUUCUCUUUCUAUUUUCUGCUGUGGUCGGGAUUUGAGUCUUACUCAAUUUCAUACCUUUGCAACACAGGCAAGAACUCUUUCUUUGACUGUUCCAUUUUGAACUACUUCAAAAUCUUGUCAAGGUAUGUACUCAUUGAAAAUCUUAUCAAGCGUCUUGAUCUAUCUCAAUAGAUCUUGAUGCUCAAUAUGUAUGUAGUUUUACUGAGGUCUUUCUUUGAAAAAACUCUUAUUCAAGUAUCCUUUAAUGCUUUGCAGAAUAAUUCUACAUUAUUUCCGAUCAGCAAUAUGUCAUUCACAUAUACUUAUCAGAAAUGCUGUAGUGCUCCCACUCACUUUCUUGUAAAUACAGGCUUCACCGCAAGUCUGUAUAAUACUAUAUGCUUUGAUCAACUUAUCAAAGCGUAUAUUCCAACUCUGAGAUGCUUGCACCAGUCCAUAGAUGGAUUGCUGGAGCUUGCACAUUUUGUUAGCACCUUUAGGAUUGACAAAACCUUCUGGUUGUAUCAUAUACAACUCUUCUUUAAUAAAUUCAUUAAGGAAUGUAGUUUUGACAUCCAUUUGCCAAAUUUCAUAAAAUGUGGCAAUUGCUAACAUGAUUCGGACAAACUUUUAAGCAUCGAUACGAGUAAGAAAAUCUCAUCGUAUUCAACACCUUGAACUUUGUCAAAAACCUUUUUUCGACAAGUCUAGCUUUGUAGAUAGUAACACUACUAUCAACGUCCGUCUUCCUCUUGAAGAUCCAUUUAUUCUUAAUGACUCACUGAUCAUCGGGCAAGUCAAUCAAAGUCUACACUUUGUUCUCAUACAUGGAUCAUAUCUCAGAUUUCAUGGCCCCAAGCCAUUUCGUGGAAUCUGGGCUCAUCAUCGCUUCCUCAUAGUUCGUAGGUUCAUCAUGGUCUAGUAACAUGACUUCCAGAACAUGAUUACCGUACCACUCUGGUGCGGAUCUUACUCUGGAAGACCUACGAGGUUUGGUAGCAACUUGAUCUGAAGUUUGAUGAUCAUCAUCAUUAACUUCCUCACUAAUUGGUGUAGGAAUCACUGGAACUGAUUUCUGUGAUGAACUACUUUCCAAUAAGGGAGAAGGUACAAUUACCUCAUCAAGUUUUACUCUCCUCCCACUCACUUCUUUCGAGAGAAACUCCUUCUCUGGAAAGGAUCCAUUUUAGCAACGAAUGUCUUGCCUUCGGAUCUGUGAUAGAAGGUGUACCCAACAAUUUCCUUUGGGUAUUCUAUGAAGACGCACUUCUCCGAUUUGGGUUCGAGCUUAUCAGGAUGAAACUUUUUCACAUAAGCAUCGCAGCCCCAAACUUUAAGAAACAACAGCUUAGGUUUACUGCUAAACCAUAGUUCAUACGGUGUCGUCUCAACGGAUUUAAAUGGUGCCCUAUUUUAAAACGUGAAUGCAGCUGUCUCUAAUGCAUAACCCCAAAACGAUAGUGGUAAAGAGACAUCAUAGAUCGCACCAUAUCAAAUAAAGUGCGGUUACGACGUUCGGACACACCAUAACGAUGUGGUGUUCCAGGUGGUGUGAGCUGUGAAACUAUUCCACAUUGUUUUAAUUGAAGACCAAACUCGUAACUCAAAUAUUUGUCUCCGCUAUCAGAUCGCAGAAACUUUAUUUUCUUGUUACGAUGAUUUUUCCACUUCACUCUGAAAUUCUUUGAACCUUUCAACUAUUUCAGACUUAUGUUUCAUCAAGUAGAUAUACCCAUAUCUGCUCAAAUCAUCUUGUGAAGGUCAGAAAAUAACGAUACUUGCCACGAGCCUCAACACUCAUUGGAUCGCAUACAUCGGUAUGUAUUAUUUCCAAUAAGUCAGUAGCUUGUUCCAUUAUUCCGGAGAACGGAGUUUUAGUCAUCUUGCCCAAAAGGCACGGUCCGCAAGCAUCAAAUGAUUCAUAACCAAGUGAUUCCGAAAAUCCAUCUUUAUGGAGUUUCUUCAUGCGCUUUACACCGAUAUGACCCAAACGGCAGUGCCACAAAUAAGUUGCACUAUCAUUAUUAACUUUGCAUCUUUUGGCUUCAAUAUUAUGAAUGUGUGUAUCACACGAUCGAGAUCCAACAAACCAUUUUCAUUGGGUGUAUAACCAUAGAAAGUUUUAUUCAUGAAAACAGAACAACAAUUAUUCUCUAACUUACAUGAAUAACCGUAUUGCAAUAAACAUGAUCAAAUCAUAUUCAUUCUCAACGCAAACACCAAAUAACACUUAUUUAGGUUUAACACUAAUCCCGGAAGUAUAGGGAGUGUGCGAUGAUGAUCAUAUCAAUCUUGGAACUAUUUCCAACACACAUCGUCACUACACUCUUAACUAGUCUCUGUUUAUUCUGCAACUCCCGUUUCGAGUUACUAAUCUUAGCAACCGAACAAGUAUCAAAUACUUAGGGGCUACUAUAAACACUAGUAUGGAACACAUCAAUAAUCUGUAUAUCAAAUAUACCCUUGUUCACUUUGCCAUCCUUCUUAUCAACCAAAUAUUCAGGGCAUUUCCGCUUCCAGUGACCAUUUCCUUUGCAGUGUAAACACUCAGUUUCAGGCUAUGGUCCAGCUUUGGGCUUGUCUUUCCACUUGAAGUUCCCUUUCUUUCCCUUUGCCCUUCUCUUGAAACUAGUGGUCUUGUCAAUCAUCAACACUUGAUGCUCUUUCUUGAUUUCUACCUUCGUCGAUUUCAACAUCACGAAGAGCUCGGGAAUCAUUUUUUCGUCAUCCCUUGCAUACUAUAGUUCAUCACGAAGUUCUAGUAACUUAGUGAUGGUGACUAGAGAAUUCUGUCAAUCACUAUCUUAUCUGGAAGAUUAACUCCCACUUGAUUCAAGCGAUUGAAGUACCCAGACAAUCUGAGCACAUGCUCACUAGUUGAGCGAUUCUCCUCCAUCUUUUAGCUAUAGAACUUGUUGGAGACUUCAUAUCUCUCAACUCGGGUAUUUGCUUGAAAUAUUAACUUCAAUUCCUGGAACAUCUCAUAUGGUCCAUGAUGUUCAAAACAUCUUUGAAGUCCCGAUUCUAAGCCGUUAAGCAUGGUGCACAAAACUAUCAAGUAGUCAUCAUAUUGAGCUAGCCAAACGUUCAUAACGUCUACAUUUGCUCCUGCAUUAGGUCUUUCACCUAGCGGUGCAUUAAGGACAUAAUUCUUCUGUGCAGCAAUGAGGAUAAACCUCAGAUCACGGAUCCAAUCCGCAUCAUUGCUACUAACAUCUUUCAACACAGUUUUCUCUAGGAACAUAUCAAAAUAAACAUAUGAAAGCAACAACGCGAGCUAUUGAUCUAUAACACAAUUUGCAAAAUACUACCAGGACUAAGUUCAUGAUAAAUUAAAGUUCAAUUAAUCAUAUUACUAAAGAACUCCCACUUAGACAGACAUCUCUCUAGUCAUCUAAGUGAUCACGUGAUCCAAAUCAACUAAACCAUGUCCGAUCAUCACGUGAGAUGGAGUAGUUUCAAUGGUGAACAUCGCUAUGUUGAUCAUAUCUACUAUAUGAUUCACGCUCGACCUUUCGGUCUCCGUGUUCCGAGGCCAUAUCUGUAUAUGCUAGGCUCGUCAAGUAUAACCUGAGUAUUCCGCAUGUGCAACUGUUUUGCACCCGUUGUAUUUGAACGUAGAGCCUAUCACACCCGAUCAUCACGUGGUGUCUCAGCACGAAGAACUUUCGCAACGGUGCAUACUCAGGGAGAACACUUCUUGAUAAUUAGUGAUAGAUCAUCUUAAAAUGCUACCGUCAAUCAAAGCAAGAUAAGAUGCAUAAAGGAUAAACAUCACAUGCAAUCAAUAUAAGUGAUAUGAUAUGGCCAUCAUCAUCUUGUGCUUGUGAUCUCCAUCUCCGAAGCACCGUCGUGAUCACCAUCGUCACCGGCGCGACACCUUGAUCUCCAUCGUAGCAUCGUUGUCGAUUACGCCAUCUAUUGCUUCUACGACUAUCGCUACCGCUUAGUGAUAAAGUAAAGCAAUUACAGGGCGUUUCCAUUUCAUACAAUAAAGUGACAACCAUAUGGCUCCUGCCAGUUGCCGAUAACUUCGGUUACAAAACAUGAUCAUCUCAUACAAUAAAAUAUAGCAUCACGUCUUGGCCAUAUCACAUCACAACAUGCCCUGCAAAAACAAGUUAGACGUCCUCUACUUUGUUGUUGCAAAUUUUACGUGGCUGCUACGGGCUUAGCAAGAACCGUUCUUACCUACGCAUCAAAACCACAACGAUAGUUUGUCAAAUAGACUCCGUUUUAACCUUCACAAGGACCGGGCGUAGCCACACUCGGUUCAACUAAAGUUGGAGAAACAGACACCCGCCAGUCACCUGUGUGCAAAGCAUGGCGGUAAAACCAGUCUCGCGUAAGCGUACGCGUAAUGUCGGUCCGGGCCGCUUCAUCCAACAAUACCGCUGAACCAAAGUAUAACAUGCUGGUAGGCAGUAUGACUUAUAUCGUCCACAACUCACUUGUGGUCUACUCGUGCAUAUAACAUCAACGAAUAAAACCUAGGCUCUGAUGCCACUGUUGGGGAACGUAGUAAUUUCAAAAUUUUCCUACGCACAUGCAAGAUCAUGGUGAUGAUAUAGCAACGAGGGGAGAGUGUUGUCUACGUACCCUCGUAGACCGAAGCGGAAGCGUUGACGCAACGUAGAGGAAGUAGUCGUACGUCCUCCCGGUUCGACCGAUCCAAGCACCGUUACUCCGGCACCUCCGAGUUCUUGACACACGUACAGCUCGAUGACGCACCCUCGAUCUCCAAUCCAGUAGAGGCUCCGAGGGGGAGUUCCGUCAGCACAACAGCGUGGUGACUAUAUUGAUGUUCUCCUGUCGCAGGGCUUCGCCUAAGCACCGCUACAAUAUGACCGAGGUGUAAUAUCGUGGAGGGGGGCACCGCACACGGCUAAGGAACGAUCAAUGAUCAACUUGUGUGUUCUAGGGUGCCCCCCUACCCCCGUAUAUAAAGGAGGGAGGGAGGAGGUGGCCGGCCCAAGGAGGGGGCGCGCCAUGGGAGGAGGAAACCUACUCCAAGUAGGUUUCCCCUCUUUUUCCUUAUCUUAUUUGGAGGGGGAAGGAAGGAGUACUAGUAGUAGGAAGGAGUACUAGUAGUAGGAAAGGAAGAGGGGGAAGGAGAAAGGAAAGGGGGGGCCGGCCCCCUCCCCAAUUCGGAUUGGGCUUGGGGGGGCGCGCCCCCCUCCCUUGCUCCUUCUCCCUUCCUCCUACAUGGGCCCAAUAAGGCCCAUAUACCUCCCGGGGGGUUCCGGUAACCUCCCGAAGCUCCAAACUCUUCCGGAACCUUUCCGGUGUCCAAAUAUAUCCGUCCAAUAUAUCAAUCUUUAUGUCUCGACCAUUUCGAGACUCCUCGUCAUGUCCGUGAUCACAUCCGGGACUCCGAACAAACUUUGGUACAUCAAAAUACAUAAACUCAUAAUAUAACUAUCAUCGAAAACUUAAGCGUGCGGACCCUACGGUUCGAGAACGAUGUAGACAUGACCGAGACAUGUCUCUGGUCAAUAACCAAUAGUGGGACCUGGAUGCCCAUAUUGGUUCCUACAUAUUCUACGAAGAUCUUUAUCGGUCAAACCGCAUAACAGCAUACGUUGUUCCCUUUGUCAUCGGUAUGUUACUUGUCCGAGAUUUGAUCGUCGGUAUCCAAUACCUAGUUCAAUCUCGUUACCGACAAGUCUCUUUACUCAUUCUGUAAUACUUCAUCUCAUAACUAACUCAUUAGUUAUAUGCUUGCAAGGCUUAUGUGAUGAGCAUUACCGAGAGGGCCCAGAGAUACCCCUCCGACAAUCGGAGUGACAAAACCUAAUCUCGAAUUAUGCUAACUCAACAUGUACCUUCGGAGACACCUGUAGUACUCCUUGAUAAUCACCCAGUUACGUUGUGACGUUUGGUAGUACCCAAAGUGUUCCUCCGGUAAACGGGAGUUACACAAUUCUCAUAGUUACAGGAACAUGUAUAAGUCAUGAAGGAAGCAAUAGCAGAAUACUAAACGAUCAAGUGCUAAGCUAACGGGAUGGGUCAUGUCAAUCACAUCAUUCUCCUAAUGAUGUGAUCCCAUUAAUCAAAUGACAACACAUGUCUAUGGUUAGGAAACAUAAUCAUCUUUGACUAAUGAGCUAGUCAAGUAGAGGCAUACUAGUGACUAUAUGUUUGUCUAUGUAUUCACACAUGUAUCAUGUUUCCGGUUAAUACAAUUCUAGCAUGAAUAAUAAACAUUUAUCAUGAUAUGAGGAAAUAAAUAAUAACUUUAUUAUUGCCUCUAGGGCAUAUUUCCUUCACCUGGCCGCUCCAGAACGAGCGGUACUACCGCCCACUCCAAGCGGUACUACCGCUGAGGCCACCCAAGAGGCACUACCGCCCAGCAUCCGCCCUACUACCGCUCAACCCGACAAACUCCAGUGAUCGAGCGGUAUAAGCCCGGUACUACCGCCCCUCCAAGCGGUACUACCGCUCAAGCGGUACUACCACCCAUGAGUCCGGUACUACCGCCCUGCUUGUGAGCAGCCGCGGGCCUUUGGCCUUGUAUCCCUCUCCCACUUACCCCUUCGUGGCUUAGACUAUAAAUAGACCACCUCCACCUCCUUUCUAGGGUUAGAACAGAUUGAGCUUAUUUUGAGAUAGAGCUUUACUCAUCCAUACGGAUCUACUCCUCGUGAGAGACUGCGGCCUCUUCGGAGAAGAUCGAUCUUGGAUUCAAGACCCCUCGUGGGAAGAUCCGUCUAGGAUCAUCAAGACCUCCUCUUGGAGAUGAACCUUACCUUGUAUCUUUCCCUUUGUUGUUCAUGUACCCUUGUGGAUCUUGUGUGUUUGAUUGUCUAGUGGAUGUGUGAUUGGACUUGUUCUUGAGUGUUUCCCCUUGUGAUUUCUCUCCGUUCUUCCCUGUGUUCUUCGUGUUCUUCGUGGGGAUCCACUCCAAACGUGAAAAAUCGGCCUCUAGGGUUCUACCCUACAUCAUCAUCCUUCAAAAAUAUGGAGGGCCAUUAUUGACGGAAGGGAUAUUAUAUGGCGCAAGGUAUAAUCAGACGCAUCGGGGAUGGAGCGACUACACACAUAUGGGAUCACAACUGGAUUAUGAUGGAAAGCUAUAAGAGGCCAAUAACUAAGUUAGUGCAGAACCCCCCUCAGAAACAUUUUAUGUAUACACGUUAACAUUUCCCAGAUAUAUGAUUAAUAUUUUUGGAAAACUUCUAUUUUUUAUGUGUACUUUUUUAUACAUUUUGUAAUAUCAGAAAUAGUUUUUAUAGAAGGUUUAACAUUUUUCAAAUACAUGAUUACCUUUUUGUAAACUUAUAUUGUUUGACGUUUACUUUUUUUCAUAGACAUAGUGAGGGGUUAUAUCUAAGGAAUAGGCCCAAGUACAUGUAUGGCACAACCAAAUGCCCAUGUUAAUCAAGGAUGUUCCACAAGACAAAUGGGGAAACACACCAAGGCCAAUGGAGCUACAAGGCCAAGGCAUCGGAUACAAGGGGAGAGUCAACUAUGUACAGUCGGAUUACACAGCCCUUAACAGACAAGACUCAUCAGUUGGUCCACUAUUGGAAUCAGGUCAUUUGCCGUCAGCCCAGAAUAGACGCGAAGACUUUGCCGUGAGCAAGUUGACGACAAACACAAUCAGCAAAGACUAUAUCGGCAGAGAGCUAAUUUGACGUCAACUUUUCAUCGCGCUGAUGACAAAGACUUUGCCGUCAAUUAAACUAUGUGUUUGUAGUCUGUAGAGAAAACACAAACGGCAAAGAAAUUAAAAAAAUGGUCAUUUUAAAAUAAUUUUUAGAAAUCUAUAUACUGUUUUUUAAAAUGUUUAAUAUGUACCAAGAAUUAUUUCGUAAGUAUACAAAAGAUGUAUAACGUGUAUGAAAAUUACGUAGACAUCAGAACAUAUUAUAGAAAUGUUAAUCUUGUAUUUAAAAAUUUUAAAUACACAUGCAUAAAAAUGUUUUUGAUGUACAUAAAAAAAUUGUACAUAGUGUGUGAACAAAGUAUGCAUUGAAAAAACAAAAAUCUUGUUGGAAAAAAAUCUCGUGUUGUAUACGAAAAUGUAAAAGGUGUAUGAAAAUAAUUAGAUAUAUGUUUAAUGAAAAAAGGAAAGAAGGCGCAAAAAAUCCGAUUAACACCAAGAUAGGAACAAGAAAACCUGAAGAAGACCAUUGAAAAAAAGAAAUGAAUACAAGAAAGAGGAAGAAAAACAAAAAAAAUGAAGAAGCUGAUGCAGAACAGGGAACUUAGUGAAAACGAAUAAAAAUUGAUGAAAACCGAGAAGAAAAACAAGAAAACUGAAGCAAAAAUUAAGAAAAAUAUGUAAAAAAAAUGAUGAAACAUUGCGAAACAGUGAAAUACUAUGAAAACCAAAGGAAAAAAAGACUCAAAAAUAAGAACGUACAGCAAGCGAAUGAACAACAACUGAGUGAACGAGCGAACAUGCGAGAAUACGUUAAUUGUCUGGCCCAUACUUGUGGAUUCCAGAGGCGAGCCAGAAUAGGCGAGAUAUAGCUAUGACGAUUUGAUACCCUUCAUAGCUUCACGAAUGCUAUAUCUCGCUCACAGCGAAAGUAUUUUUUGUCUGGCCUGAAGGUGAAAGAAUAGCAUCAGGUCGCUGUAAGUUUUGUGAUCCUACAAUCAGAGCUCGAUAAGAUUAAAAUUCAUGUUUCUGACAACCAGUCAUUCGCUCACUCAAUUCCACGUACUAGUUUGGUUAGGUUUUUUUUUCAUUUUUUUCUGUUUUUUAUUUCUUCACUGGCUUUCUUUGGUUUUUUUAUCGGUUUUCUUUGUUUCCUUCACGUUUUACUCUUUCUUUUCCUUUUUACUGGUUUAUCUAUUCCUUUUUUCUUUGUUUCUUUCUUGGUUUUCUUUGUUUUUUCUUUCUUUUGAUGUCAACCUUUUUACAUACACAUUCAACAAUUUUCGUAUACAUCAGAAACAUUUUAUGUAUACACGUUAACAAUUCCCAGGUACAUGAUUAAUAUUUUUGGAAAACUUCUAUUUUUUAUGUGUACUUUUUGAUACAUUUUGUAUAUAUCAGAAAUAUUUUUUAUAGAAGGUUUAACAUUUUUUAAAUACAUGAUUACCUUUUUGUAAACUUAUAUUGUUUGACGUUUACUUUUUUUCAUAGACAUAGUGAGGGGUUAUAUCUAAGGAAUAGGCCCAAGUACAUAUAUGGCCCAAGUACAUUUAAUCAAGGAUGUAGUCCACAAGACAAAUGGGGAAACAGACGGGGGCCAAUGGAGCUACAAGGCCAAAGCAUCGGAUACAAGGGGAGAAUCUACAGUCGGAUUACACAACCCUUGACAGACAAGACUCAUUAGUUGGUCCGCUAUAGGAAUCGGGUAAUUUGCCGUCAGCCGAGAACAUACUCAAAGACUUUGCCGUCAGCAAGUUGAUGACAACUUUUCAUCACGUUGAUGACAAAGACUUUGCCGUCAAUUAAACUAUGUGUUUAUCGUCUAUAGAAAAAACACAAACGGCAAAGGAAAGCACCUUUGCCAUCAGCGGCUAAUCUGCAUGUGUCUUCAACAAGACUCGUCUUGUCACUAGCCUCAAACAUCACAGAUGGAAAAGAAAUUUUUUAUUUUAAAAAAUCUGCGUCGACCACCCUACUUCGCACAUGUAGCCACCGCCUGGCCGCGCUCGCUGAUCACCCACAAGUGUAGGGGAUCUAUCGUAGUCCUUUCGAUAAGUAAGAGUGUCGAACCGAACGAGGAGUAGAAGGAAAUGACAAGCGGUUUUUAGUAAGGUAUUCUCUGCAAGCACUGAAAUUAUCGGUAACAGAUAGUUUUGUGAUAAGGUAAUUCGUAACGGGUAACAAGUAACAACAGUAAAUAAAGUGCAGCAAGGUGGCACAAUCCUUUUUGUAGCAAACGACAAGCCUGGACAAAUUCUUAUAUGAAGGAAAACGCUCCCGAGGACACAUGGGAAUUAUCGUCAAGCUAGUUUUCAUCACGCUCAUAUGAUUCACGUUCAUUACUUUGAUAAUUUAAUAUGUGGAUGGACCGGUGCUUGGAUACUGCUCUUUCUUGGAUAAGCAUCCCACUUAUGAUUAACCCCUAUUGCAAGCAUCCGCAACUCAAAAGAAAUAUUAAGGUAAACCUAAUCAUAGCAUGAAACAUUGACACGGCACAUUAUAAAGAGUUCAACCCAAAUUUUGUAGUAACACUAUUAUAUUUAAAUAGUGAUUAUUCCAACACAUGGAUAAUUAAUUAAGGCACCAGGUUGCGCUUGUGACCAGGAAAGACAAACUUAUGAACUUGCAAGCAUGACAAUCAGAUCGACAUCCACACAAUGUCAAUAUGAACAUUGUCUUGAUACAACUUUAUUUGUAUUUUAUUUCAGAAUUUAAACAACUAGUUUGGGCGGGUCACACACGACGUUGUGUGACACUUUAUUUGUCACCGCUGCAUCGACAUAUCCAUCGACUAAACAACGGUGAUCCAACUAUAUAUUACUAGAGACCUUUCCUUAUCAGUAGGCACCAACUCCAGUGCCAACGCCAAAUGGCACACUAGUGGUGGUCCUAUACAACGGCACAUUGACACGGCACAUCAUUGGCAGGGUACGGAGCGCAAUGGAAGUCAUCACCUCAAGCUGAGCUAUCUGGUGUGGCUGCAAAAAGGUACCCUGUGCCAAUUGUUGUUGUUGAGGUUGUUGCCCGAGUUGCUGCUGUGACUGCUGUUGGGGUUGGGAAACGCAUUGGCCCAACUGUUGCGGUUGCUGCUGCUGAGUUUGGAUGGAACCCCGAACCUGUUGUUGUUCUUGCAGGACGAUGGAGUAGAUGAUAGCACGGAUUGCCUCAUAGCGGGAUUGCUGGGGGAUUUGCGGCAACUGCUGGCAACAUUGUUGUUGCAUCACAUGGCAACUACUCUGCUGCAACAUUUGCGACCUAGCAAGACUUUGUGGCAUUGCCACAGGGCUGCAUUGCUGCUGGAGGAAUACCUUGCAUGGGUUCAGCUGCUGCAAGAUAGAUGGAUGAACAAAUGGUAUUUGUUGUUGCGGUAGAACUAGUUGUUGUUGUUGUUGCGAAAAUGAUGGUUGUUGUGGUAGAAUUGGUUGUUGUUGUUGUUGUUGCGAAAAUGGUGGUUGUUGCGGUAGUACUGGUUGUUGUUGUUGUGAAAACGGUGGUUGUUGUUGUGAAAAUGGUGGUAGUUGUUGCUGCGAAAAUGAUGGCUGUUGCGGUAGAACUGGUUGUUGUUGCUGCGAAAAUGGUGGUUGUUGCUGUGAAAAUGGUGGUUGUUGUUGCUGUGAAAAUGGUGGUUGUUGUUGCUGCGAUAAUGGUUGUUGUUGUUGUUGUUGUUGUUGUUGUUGUUGUUGUUGUUGUUGUUGUUGUUGUUGUUGUUGUUGUUGUUGUGAACAUGGUUGCUGUUGUGGAAAUUGUUGUGGUUGUUGUUGGAUGGGUUGUUGUGGUUGUUGGUGCGAUAAUGUUUGUUGUGGUGGUAAUGGUUGUUGCUGCGAUGGUCUCUCCAAACCAGGGAUGUGGCUAUUCUCCAUUUGUGCAAUGGCACUUGUCGCCGCAACGGCGAGGAGGGCAAAGAUGAGGAAGGUCUUCAUGGUGGACUAGUGUUAACUAGUAUUUCCUGGUUUUGAUGCUUGUGUUUGUGAUGAUCUUUAUACUUCAUGCCUAUUUAUAGUAGCCAGGGCACCACCUCUUUUCUUCUUUGCAUUAGCUUUAAUAAUUCUGUUUGGAUGCAUCUAAAAUGAUUUUUGAUACAGUGUGUUAGGUUGCACUAGCUACACGCAUACUUUUGGAUUGAUCAUCAAAGUUUCUUUUUAGUUGUGCAUAUGAUCAUACACAAAGUAUAGAAAUCCUGAUGCUUGCUAAAGAUGACUUGCCUUAUUCACUUUACAUGUCACACACUUAUCUGUAUAGUAUCACUUUUGCAACCGAGUUUGGAACCUUGUAUAGGUUGUCAGCCAUAAACAAGAAAGGCAAAACUUGUGUAGGACUAAGUUGCAAUCGUGUGUGGGCUGUUAAGAUAUGCUCGAUUGUUAAAGCCUUGCGUCUGGAGGGUUCUUCUAGACUCGGUUGCUUUUCAUAAAACUAACUUUGUAUUUUCCUCUAAGAUGAUAAGAUGAAAUGACGCCUGUAGAGCAUGACAUGACUCAUUGAAUUCCCUUUACACGUAAAGGAUGGUAAUUGCUUACAAGCUACUCCUACUAGCAUAUAUCCGGUCCUAACUCUAGACACGUCAUCACCAGUUCCAUCUUUUUUUUUUAGAUAAAUCAUCAGUUCCGUGUUUUUUUUUUUUGAGACAAUCAGUUCCAUCUAUGUUUUUUUUUGAGAGAAAUAGUUCCAUCUAUGGGUGAAGGAUUUUUUUGGGGGCAAAUGAUAGAUGGGGCUGGAACAGAGGCCCCAGCCUGGAACGAGAGAUUAGGCCCAACGUAAGCGAUGUGUGUGUUAGGGCACCAAAUUCGAACUGGGCUAUAGUUUUCGGAGGCCCCAACGUCAGAAGCCCAGCCCACACUCCGCCGAUCUGCGUCGUCUUCGUCUCCCCUUCCCCGUCCUCCUCGCCGGCCGGAUCGCUCGCCGGCGCACGACGUCUCCCGGACCCCACCGCCCGCGGCCGCUCCACGUACGCGCGCGGCGGCGGAGGCGUCGGCCUCCCUCCCACCCUCCGCAUCCGGCCCCCCACCACCACCGCCACCGCCACCGCUCGAGGUACCCACUCGUUCCCCUUCCCAUUCCUCCCUACCCUCAACCUCUCUCGUAUCCUCUUCUAACAGCUCUUUUUACUUCCGUUGCAGAUGGUCUCUGAGCUCCCCCGUCGGCUGCGCGCCGUAGGCCUCCCCUCCCGGUCGACACAAGGUAUCGAUCCUGUCCGUCCGUCUCUUCCAGCGAUUCGAUUCACAUGAAUUCGAGAGGCGUGCCCAUCUCCAUGCUAGCUGCGUGGAUCAGGAGGGUCAGGAAGCAGAAUUCAGAUGCCUGACAGUGACAUACUACUACAUUUGUGGCUUUGGAAGCUGAGCAACUCCGUGCUUUAUGUGGAUGUCACUUCAAGUAAUCAUCAAAUUUCCGCCUACGCGCGCUACCCAGGUGGAGUGGAGGAGAAGCAGUUGGCAUGGGCAUUCCGUUUCUCUCCCAUGUCUGAGAAGAAAGUUCGUCUCCGGUGCAGCGAUAUCCAAGUUAGUUACAGCAUCCAGUCAUCUAUAUAAUCUCAGUGUUUAUUCUGUUUUGUACUGUCGUAUUUCAUAUGUGCAUCAGAGCAAAUGUGCUUUCUAGAGGCAUGUUGCAGCUGGCCGAGUCCCAGAUCUCGUUUCAUGUAUAUGGCCAUAGGCAGCGAUCAAUAAAAGGGUACUGGAAUUGAUCUUCUAACGUCACUGUUGUUUCUAGCUCCCUGUCUUUGUUUUUGUUGCUUCCGUCGUAUGGUUGCAAAGUUAGGCUUCAUCUGAUUUUAGUUAGUUAAUCUGAUCUCGUUAACCUGAUAAAGAGAAUUCCACCCUGCCCUUUAUUCCGCUCUUCACUGUCUCACAAUAAGGGAACAUAUUAAGCUCACCAAAUUGUGUCCCUCAAAAAUAAAAAAUAAACUCACCAAAUUGUAUCACAGGAGAUUGUCAAGUUGUGUUUUAUCAUAUCAGUAUAGUAAGUGUAUCAUUUGUCCAUAUCAACAAGGGAUAGUCAUCUGCCAGCUUAUUAUGCUCAUCUCUGAGCUCGAUCAUGCCCUUCAAUGUUAGUUAGAGGUGUCAUUAAAACAGGACAAGAAAUUAACCACUUUCCACCGGGUCUUCUCUCUUGAGCAGGAAGCAUGUGAUGCAUUCAAGAUUCGAUGAAUUCACGAAAACCAAUAUCGUGGUCCUCCCUGUGCAGCAGGUACCUGAGAUGAAUUGUAUUUUGUAAGUGCUCUGUAUGCGUGCUGUCAGCCGGCAGUGGAGGUAAUUGUUUAAUUUGCAUUCCUGCAACUUCUUGUAUUUGUAAAGAAAAUUCUUACUAUUUGCUGAGUGCACAGCCAUUGCAUUGUCACUUUUGAAAAACCGCAUUGGAUGUACUGAGAUAAAUAAUAGUAUAAUCUCUACUUGCAUACUACGAACGAGAAAUCUUCAUUCUGACUUGCAAUAAGGGAGUUUGUUUAGCUGUGCCUUAUUAGGAAAUGAAGAUACCCCCAGCUGUUAACGUGGUAUCCAAGCUAUCCUUAUUAUAUGUCAGCUCAAAAGGAAUGCCAAGUGCCGAGCUGUUGUGAGAGUUGAUGGUUGUGAUUGGUUACCAAAAAUCAAAGUCACCCACUCAAGAGAGAAAGUCAAUGCUCACGUUGGCUUCCAUUUUUCUCACACGCAAACCAAACACAUCUUGCUCACACCAUUAUCUUCUCCAUUUUGCACUGUGCUUGUGCUAAUCUGUGUAGUAUUGUUGGCAAUUUGGGAUAUGUUGGUCUCGCCAGGAGGCCUGUGCUAAUCUGUGCUAUUUCUGAAAAUAUGCUCCCCUAAUCUCCAAUUAUAUUAUGCGUAAAACCAAAAAGGUCAGACUUCUUGAGAACAUGCCAGUGCUGAUUUGUGUUUUUCCUGCUGAUAUGCACUUUAGUAUAUCAAAAUGUACACUUAAUUAGAUGUUUUAAUUUUAAAGUCACAGUUAGAGAGAGGGACAGUGCACCAACCAGCUGGUGCAAACGAAUGACCUGUGUGACGACCUGAGCGUAUUCUUGAAAAAGAAACCCGAAAUACCACCUAGAUCCAUCCACCAUUAUUGCCAGUGUUAAAAAAAAAUACAGGCGUCUUCUGGGCUCUAAAAGCCAUUUCUGGGUCUUAUCUCUUGAAGAAGCAUUUGAUGCAUUUAAGAUUCAACCAAUUAAGAAAACCAAUGUUCUGGCCUUCCAUCCGUGGCAGGAACUCAGAGAUGAAUUGUCUUUUGCACAAGUAUGCUGACACACGUCUAGUCAGUCGAGGUAAUUUUUGGAUUUGCAUUCCUGUGACCUCUGGUAUUUGGAAAAAGUAAAUCAUAUUUGCUAAGUUCACAGCCAAUGGAGCGAAAAUUUUGAAAAACUGCUUUGGAUUUACUGGCAUAAAUAUCUAGAGAGAAUUCCUUAUUAGACACUCCCUUAAAAUCAUGUUCCUUAUUUGACACUAGAAAAAAUUUCUUCCCUAUAUGACCUAUAGUCUUAAUUUCUUUCCCUAUAUGACACUCUAGUGCAUUUUGUUCACGUGAAAAGACCAUUUUACCCAUAUGUAUAAUGUGACCGCAAAUAUGUACAAGAUAAUAGUUGUUCCAAAAAAAUCAGUCGAGUUAUCCAUAUGUGACAUCAUAUAUGCUGGUAUUGUCAUGUCAGUCGAUUUACUAUUGUGCUAAGAAAUCAUGACCGAGGCCUUCGAUGGUUCAUGUGCUAAUUGACCUCAGCUAGUUGUCUAUACGUAUUUGUGUACAUAUACGUGGCCAGCUUGCCGGCCGGAGCGUAGAUAUUUAAAUACGUACGCGCACCCUGACGAUCAAGCGAAUACAUGUAUUCUAGCUUCGUAUGACCCGGUUCAUAUACAUACGUAUGUUGGCUGCACCGAACCGGGCCUACAUUCGUGCUAGCACGCAACUUCCUUCCAUACUUGCAAAUACGUGCACAUGCACUAAUGGCAUGCACGUAGGCGAUCACGGAAGCACACACAAAAAUGCUUAAAAAAUUCAUUCAUUUUUAAGAAUGCAUUUUAGUGUUAAAGCACACGUACAAAAGUACGUCAAACAAUCACACUCACAAACCAUACCGCAUGAACUAGACCCACAGCUGAAUACGUUCUAAAUACAUUGGAUGCAUGCGCUCAGGUAUACAGAAUACACAUGCAUCCCAAAAAAGACCAACGGAGGAGAUAACAUGUUCAGCUGUGCUCACUCUUAGAAACGAUUUUUUCCUAAUUAGGCUCAAUGCUACAUAUUUCUGGUCACAUUAUGUACAGGGGCAAAAAGGUCUUUUCACGUGUACAAAAUGAACUAGAGUGUCAUAUAGGGAAAGAAAUUAAGACUAUAAGUCAUAUAGGGAAGAAAUUUUUUCCCGUGUCAAAUAAGGAACACAAUUUUAAGAGAAUGUCAAAUAAGGAAUUCUCUCAAAUAUCUAAUACAAUGACCCACUUGCAGAAUUCAGCUGCGUAGCCUGACAGUGAUGUACGUACAUUUGUGGCUUUGCUAGCUGAGUAACUCUGUGCUUUAUGUGGAUGCCACUUCAAAUAAGCAUCAAAUUUGUGCCUAUGCGUGCUAUGCAGGUGGACGAGAAGCAGUUGGCAUGGACAUUCCUUUUCUCUCUGAUGUCUGGCAAGAAAGUCCGUCUUCUGUGCAGCGAUAUCCAUGUUAGUUACAAUAUCCAAUCAUCUCUAUAAUUAUAAUCUCAGUGUUUAUUCUGUUUUGUAUUGUCGUAUUUCAUAUGUGCAUCAGAGGAAAUGUGCUUUCUAGCUAGAGGCAUGUUGCAGCUGGCCGAGUCGCAGAUCUCAUUUAUAUGGCCAUAGGCGGUGACCAAUACAAGGGCACUGGAAUUUAUCUUCGAAUGCCACUGUUGUUCUAGCUCUUUGUCUUUACUUUUGUUGCUUCUGUUGUAUGGCUGCAAAGUUAGGCUUCAUCUGAUUUUAGUUAGUCAAGCGAUCUCGUUAAGAUGAUAAAAAGAAUUCCACACGAUGACACGACCCUUUAUUCCGCUCUUCACCGUCUCACAAUAACGGAACAUAUUAAGCUCAACAAAUCGUAUCCCUCAAAAAUAAAAAAGCUCACCAAAUUGUAUCGCAUACUCAUACAUAUCUUUCAUCGUCAAAUAACAGGAGAUUGUCAAGUUGUGUUUUAUCAUAUCAGUAUAUUAAGUGUAUCUUUUGUCCAUAUGAGCAAGGGAUAAUCAUCUGCCAGCUUAUUAUAUGCUCAUCUCUGAGAUCGAUCAUACCUCUUCAAUCUUAUUAGAGGUGUCAUUAAGAAAUGACAAGAAAUUAACUACUUGCCACCGGGUCUUCUCUCUUCAGCAGGAAGCAUGUGAUGCAUUCAAGAUUCACGAAAACCAAUAUUGUGGUCCUCCCUAUGCAGCAGGUACUUGUGAUGAAUUGUAUUUUGUAAGUGCACUGUAUGUGUGCUGUCAGCCAGCAGUGGAGGUAAUUGUUUAGCUUGCAUUCCUGCAACUUCUUGUAUCUGGAAAGGACACUCUUACUAUUUGCUGAGUUCACCGCCAAUGUAUCUUCACUUUGGAAAAACUGCAUUCGAUGUACCCACAUAAAUAUAUAAUAUAAUGAUGAUCUAAUAGCAAAUUAUAUGGCCAUAGGCAGUGAUGAUCAAUAAAAGGGCACUGGAAUUUAUCUUCUAAUGUAUACGUCACUAUUUUUUUAGCUCUCUGUCUUCAUUUUUGCUUCCUCUGUUGUAUGGUUAAAAAGUUAGGUUUCAGCUGAUUUUAGUUAGUUAUAAGCGGAUCUCGUUAAGCUCUUUAUCUUUAUUUUUGCUGCCUCCGUUGUAUGGUUAAAAAUUUAGGUUACAUCUGAUUUUAGUUUGUUAGGCGGAUCGCGUUAAACUGAUAAGAACUCCGUAUAGUCCUUUAUUCUGGUCUUCACUGCCUCAAAAUAACAGAACCUAUUAAGUGUCGAAAUUGUAUCUCACAAUCAUACAUAUCUUUCAUCGUUGAAUAACACAAAUUAUCAUAUCAGUACAAAAGUAUAUAUCGUUUGUCCAUAUGCACAAGAGAUAAUCAUCUGCCAGCUGAUUAUUCUUAUCUUUGAGAUCCGAUCCUGUACUCAAUGUUAAUUAGGGGUGUCAUUAAAAAAGACAAGAAAAUAACCACUUGCCCUCGGGUCUUCUCUUGUCAGCAGAAAGCAUGUGAUGCAUUCAAGUUUCAAUGAAUUCACGAAAACCAAUAUUGUGGUCCUCGAGAUGAAUUGUAUUUUGUAGGUGUACUGUAUGUGUGCUGUCACCCGUCAGUUGAGGUAAUUGUUUAAUUUGCAUUCCUGCAACCUCUUGUAUGUAUUCGGAAAGAAAAUUCUUACUAUUUUCCGAGUUCACAGCCAAUCCAUUAUCACUUCCGAAAAACUGCAUUGGAUCUACUGACGUAAAUAUAUAAUAGAGUGAUCUACUUGCAAUAUUAAGAACGAGAAAUCUUCAUUCUGACUUGCAAUAAGAGGGGUUAGUCUAGCUUUUUCCUGCUAAUAAAUGAAGGUACCCAUUACUGUCACCAGUUAAUGUGGUAUGCUAGUUGUCCUUAUUAUAUAUCAGCCCCAAAAAAGAAUGCCCAGUGCUGAGCUAUUGCAAGAUCGGAUAGUUUGUGAUUGGUUCCCAGAAAUCAAGCUCAUGCACUUGGCUCCCAGAAAGUCAACACUCACGUUCGCUUCCAGUUUCCUGACCAGCAAGACGUGCUUCUGCUAAUGUAGGCUUGUGCUCCAAAAUUCCCCAUCAAGCUGGCUCCUGCUCCCCCGAAUCCUACCCCCACCCAUCCAAAAGCUUCAAGAUCUCACAGAAAUCUCACAACUUCCGUUCGUCGGAGUAGAGCCUUCAAACAGCCCCGCCCACACAUCCACGCGGCGGCUGCUGCCAUAACUUCACCGGAGUCGCCUUCUCCUUCCGCGCCACGUCACCGGUGCCGGCCAGGCUCUGAAUCUUCUGCUGCUGCCGCCGAUACGAUGCUGGAGCUGGCAUCGACAUGCUUGUGAGGGCCACUUCUUCCGUGCUGUUACUGUGCUGCUGGUUCUGGGUGCUGCUGAUCAGGGGCAAGCUCGUGAAGGUAACUAUGCCUGCAAGAUUGGGAUUUUACUUGUAAUUCGUUCAAGAUCUACCUAUGAACGUCUUGCUCACACCAUUCUCUUCAUUAAUUUCUGCAGUGCACCUGUGUUGGAGGAGUUUCCUCCGAGAGUUCCAAUGGCAGAGCUGGUGGUCACCAUGGCGCUCCGGCCACUGGUCGCCAUGCUCAGGGACAAGGCGUCCAGCUAUCUCCUUGACCAGUACAAUGUGAUGGAGGGAAUGGAGAAGCAGCACAUGAUUCUGAAACGCAGACUUCCUAUCGUCCUGGACGUCAUCACUGACGCCGAGGAGCAGGCGACAGCCAACAGAGAAGGGGCGAAAGCCUGGCUCCAGGAGCUCAAGAGAGUAGCCUAUGAGGCAAAUGAAGUCUUCGAUGAAUUCAAAUAUGAAGCACUUCGCCGUGAAGCCAAGAAGAAUGGACACUACAAAAAGCUUGGAUUUGAUGUGAUAAAACUCUUCCCCACUCACAACCGUGUUGUCUUCGUUCAGAGAAUGGGUAGCAAGCUUUGCAGGAUUCUGGAGGAUAUCAAUGUCCUCAUUGCAGAGAUGCAUGACUUUGGGCUGAGGCAGACAUUUUUGGUGUCUAAUCAGUUGAGGCAGACACCAGUGUCCAAGGAGUGGAGACAGACAGAUUACGUCAUCAUCGACCCACAAAAGAUUGCCAGCAGAUCCAGACAUGAAGAUAAGAAUAAUAUUGUUGGUAAACUACUUGGUGAAGCUAGCAAUGCAGAUCUCACAGUAGUUCCCAUCGUUGGAAUGGGGGGCCUUGGCAAGACCACAUUAGCGCAACUCAUAUACAAUGAACCUGAAAUUCAGAAGCAUUUUCCGUUGAAGCUCUGGGUCUGCGUCUCUGAUACCUUCGAUGUGAAUUCGGUGGCUAAGAGUAUAGUUGAAGCAUCCCCCAAGAAAAAUGAUGAUACAGACAAACCACCACUGGAUAGACUUCAGAAACUGGUCAGCGGGCAAAGGUAUCUCCUUGUAUUGGAUGAUGUCUGGAAUAGAGAGGUUCAUAAGUGGGAAAGGCUGAAGGUCUGUCUUCAGCAUGGCAGCGUGGGUAGUGCUGUGUUGACAACAACCCGUGAUAAACAAGUUGCUGAAAUUAUGGGUGCAACUAGAACCUACAAUCUCAAUGUUUUGAAGGAUGACUUCAUAAAGGAGAUUAUUUUGGAUAGAGCAUUCAGUUCAGAGAAUGAAAAGCCUCCCGAGCUACUCGAGAUGGUUGGUGAGAUUGUGAAGAGAUGCCGUGGCUCUCCUUUAGCUGCAACUGCACUGGAUCUGUACUUCGUACCAAGAUCAGCGUGGAAGAAUGGAAGGCUAUAUCAUCUAGAAGCAGUAUUUGCACUGAGGAAACUGGAAUUUUGCCAAUACUCAAGCUUAGCUACAACGAUUUGCCAGCACACAUGAAGCAGUGCUUUGCUUUCUGUGCCAUAUUCCCCAAGGAUUACAAGAUUAAUGUGCAGAGGCUUAUCCAACUAUGGAUCGCAAAUGGCUUUAUCCCUGAACACAAGGAAGAUAGUCUUGAAACCAUUGGACAACUUAUUUUUGAUGAGCUUGCUUCAAGGUCAUUCUUUCUGGAUAUAGAGAAGAGUAAAGAAGACUGGGAGUAUUAUUCCAGAAAUACAUGUAAAAUCCACGAUCUUAUGCAUGAUAUUGCAAUGUCUGUUAUGGAAAAGGAAUGUGUUGCUGUGACUAUGGAUACAAGUGAAAUUGAGUGGCUUGGAGAUACUGCUCGGCAUUUGUUUUUAUCAUGUAAAGGAACAGAAGGUAGUUUGAAUGAUUCUUUGGAGAAAAGAUCUCCUGCCAUUCAAACACUGAUAUGCCAAAGUCAUAUGCGAAGCUCAUUGAAGCAUCUGUCAAAAUAUAGCUCUUUGCACGCCUUGAAGCUCUGUAUUAGAGGCAAAGAAUCAUUUCUUCUGAAAUCAAUGUAUCUGCAUCACCUGAGGUACCUUGAUCUCUCAAACAGUUCUAUCAAAUCACUUCCUGAAGAUAUAAGUAUUCUAUAUAACCUUCAAAUGUUGGACCUUUCCUACUGUUGUUAUCUUUAUCGACUUCCAAUGCAAAUGAAGCAUAUGACUUUCCUCCGUCACCUCUACACUCAUGGAUGUCAGAAGUUGAAGAGCAUGCCUCCAGAACUAGGAAAACUCACUAACCUGCAGACGUUGACAUGGUUUGUGGCAGGAGUUCCUGGCCCUGAUUGCAGUGAUGUUGCAGAGCUGCAGCAUUUAAACCUUGGUGGUUAUCUAGAGCUACGUCAGAUAGAGAAUGUUAAAGAAGCAGAGGCAAAAGUGGCAAACCUUGGAAACAAGAAGGAUCUCAGAGAACUGUCAUUAAGAUGGACUGAGGUUGGCGACAGCAAGGUGCUCGACAAGUUCAAACCUCAUGGUGGGCUGCAGGUUCUGAAGAUAUAUUCCUAUGGAGGAGAGUGCAUGGGUAUGCUGCAAAACAUGGUUGAGAUCCAUCUUUUUCAUUGUGAAAGAUUGCAAAUUUUGUUCAGAUGCAGUGCAAUCUUCACUUUUCCAAAACUGAAGGUGCUUAUGCUAAUACAUCUGUUGGAUUUUGAGAGAUGGUGGGAAAUAGAUGAGAGGCAAGAAGAACAGACAAUAUUUCCUGUGCUUGAGAAGUUGUUUAUUAGUAAUUGUGGAAAGUUGGUAGCAUUACCUGAAGCACCAUUGCUGCAAGGACCUUGUGGUCAAGGUGGUUAUACAUUGGUUUGCUCAGCAUUUCCUGCCCUAAAGGUGCUCAAAAUGAAAAACUUGGAGAGCUUUCAGAGAUGGGCUGCAGUGGAAGAGACUCAAGGAGAACACAUACUGUUUCCUUGUCUGGAGGAACUAUCAAUUGAGAAAUGCCCAAAGUUGACGGCGUUACCUGAAGCACCAUUGCUUCAAGAACCAUGUAUUGAAGGUGGUUACAGAUUGGUACGCUCAGCGUUUCCUGCCUUAAAGGUGCUCAAAAUGGAAAACUUGGAGCGGUUUCAAAGAUGGGGUGUGGUCGAAGGGACAUUGUUUCCUCAGCUUGAGAAACUAUCAGUUCAGAAGUGCCCCAAGAUGAUAGAUUUACCAGAGGCACCAAAACUCAGUGUCUUAAAAAUUAAAGAUGGUAGGCAAGAGAUCUCCGAUUUUGCAGAUAGAUAUUUUUCUUCAUUGACCAAACUGAUAUUGAAUCUAGAAAACACAGAAACAACAUCAGAGGUUGAGUGCACUUCAAUUGUAUCUGUGGACAGCAAGGAGAAAUGGAACGAGAAAUCCCCUCUUACAGUGAUGGAGCUAAGAUGCUGCAACUCAUUCUUUGGACCAGGUGCACUAGAGCCGUGGGACUAUUUUGUACACCUUGAAAAGUUGGAAAUUGAUAGAUGUGAUGUGCUUGUCCACUGGCCAGAGAAAGUGUUCCAAAGCUUGGUAUCCUUGAGGACAUUAGUGAUUACAAGCUGCGAAAAUCUGACUGGAUAUGCACAAGCUCCUCUUGAGCCAUUGGCAUCCGAAAGGAGUCAGCACCUGAGAGUUCUGGAGUCUCUUUGCUUAGAAAACUGCCCAAGUUUAGUAGAGAUGUUCAACGUCCCGACAUCUCUCAAGAAAAUGUAUAUUAAUGGGUGCAUUAAGCUUGAGUCCAUAUUCGGCAAGCAGCAGGGCAUGGCUGAGUUAGUCCAAGGAUCUUCUAGCAGUGAGGCAAUCAUGCCUGCAGCUGUAUCAGAGUUGUCAUCCUCACCCAUGAAUCACUUUUGUCCAUGCCUAGAAUAUCUACAGUUAUCUGAUUGUGGAAGCUUACCAGCGGUUCUACAUCUGCCUCUGUCCUUAAAGACCUUAGAAAUUUAUAACUGCAGUAGUAUUCAAGUCCUAUCAUGCCAGCUGGGUGGGCUCCAGAAACCAAAAGUCACUACCUCCAUAAGCAGAAGUCCUGUCAUGCCAGAGCCACCACCACCAGCAGCAGCUGCUGCAAGAGAGCAUUUACUUCCUCCCCAUCUCGAAUCUCUAGUAAUACUGAACUGUGCUGGCAUGUUGGGUGGGACUCUCCGUCUGCGUGCACCCCUCAAGAGACUGCGCAUUAUUGGCAACAGUGGGUUGACAUCGCUGGAGUGUCUGUCAGGAGAGCACCCCCCAUUGCUGGAAGUCCUUGAUCUUCAAAAGUGCAGUACCCUAGCUUCCCUGCCGAAUGAGCCGCAAGUAUACAUGUCUCUCUGGAAUCUUGAAAUUAGAGGCUGCCCUGCUAUAAAGAAGCUCCCUAGAUGCCUGCAGCAGCAACUGGGCAGCAUUGAUGACGAGUACAAAGAACUAGAUGCCCAUUAUGAAGGUAUGCUUGGAGCACGUCCUUCUAUCUUUGCCACAUUUAAUAAACAGAUGCAGUCAUCCAUUCCAUUAAAUCUACCACGCCAGCAUGUCUGUACAAGUUUGUUCUCCAUUAUUUUACUUUCGAAUGUUACAUUAGUUUGUAUGUGUUUGUUCUGACGCCAUUUGCAAUAUGUGCAGUGAUGGCACUUAAACCGAAGACAUGGAAGGAGAUGCCAAGGCUAGUCCGUGAGCGGAGGAAGGCCGCUCGAGAAGCCAAGGAGCGCCAGCAAUCCGCCAUGCAGGAGUAAACAGGUUGGAAACCAUGUAGAAAGGGCAUGGAUUCCAAUUGCUCUGAACAAUGUACAAGAUUAUGUCGUGACUGUAAUCAAUCGGCUUUGUUGAGCUUUGGCCUCUACCUAGUUCAGAUAUUUGUAAUGCGAAUCAAAUGAAUCUGCCCGGUUCAGUAGAAGUUAGGAUAAUAUACUCACAUGUGUGUCUGUGAGCUAUCUAUCGUAUCUAUCUGUUUUUGCUUUGCUUAGUUAACUGCGAAGACACUAGCCUUUAAUUGUUCAAUAAAGUUUUUCAACUGUGGCUUUUAUCUGUCGAUUUUCGUGGUUGACAGGCCUAAUCCCUGAUUGUUGCUCUUCUCUGCUCUGCUCUGCUAGGGGAAUGAGCUGUUAUUGCUUCUGCAACUUAACUGUGCCGCAGUCCGCUCUCCGUCGAGAACUGUCAGGGCCUGCGGUGUAGGGCGGCUGCUGCUUGGCGUCGAGUGGAGCAUAUCUGAAUCAACAUCCUAGGCUGAGACCAUCUCAUCUUGAUCUGGUUUGCUGUUGUCCAGUCAAGCGAGGAAACACAGGGAAGAAACAACAUAGAAAGGGCAUGGUAGUUUAUUUUAUUUUGCUUCAGAAACUGUACCAAUUUAUGUCAUGAUUGUUACCUGCUCCGUUAAACUCUGACCUUGAUCUUGUUAUUAAAGAUUCAGACACUUGCCUCGUUUAGUAGAAGCUGGGGUACUUGUAAUGUGUGCCAUAUAUAUUUCUAGUUUCAGCCAUUUCCAUAUCAAGUACAAGCUCGGAAAGGCUUAGGUGGUCUGUGAACUUUCUGGCCCUGCUUGCUUGACGCAAGUUUUACAGACAUAUAAAACAUAAGUUUAUAUAUAUAUAAUAUACAGUUAAGCAGCAGUUUCCUCGCAUGUAAGAUGGUUAAGUAGCAGCCGCAGGUAUCAGUCAGUCCGGUACUUGUUGAAUGGGAUCGACAGUUGAAUUGCUCUGCUCUGCUGCAAAACUCUGUGUUUGCCUGUGGAGGAAUGAAUAUUUCAGUUUCAGAAUUUGUGAGCUACUCCUAUUUAGUUUCUAGUCUGGUUGUGGUACUAUCUAGUUUCAGCACUGUUUAUUUAGUUUAGAAGAAAUUUACUGUUGACCUUUUUAACGUGUUUACAACACGUGCUAUUUGAAAUAUAAUUCUUUUUUUACCUGUUUCGAUACUUGUACAGAUCAAGUAGUACAAGUUGGGAGGAAAAAACCUCAGGUCCGUGAACUGUUUGGUCCUGUCUGUCUGUACAAAAUCAAGUUUGUUCGCUGUAGCCAGUAUAGUGUUGUAGAUAUCUGAAUAACUUGGUGUCUGCUUACGAGAGCAGAGGACGUGGAUGGAUGUUUGCUGCCGGCUGAUGCUGCAGGAACCGAAAGAGCCUUCUCAGUAUGCACUUCAAUGAAGAAGCAACGGACAGAUGUUCAGAUACAUCCGUUUGAGCUGACCGCUAUUUCUGGACGGAGGGAGUAUUAUGUAAGAUUUUGUGUACUUUCCCUUUAUUACUUUUGGUGCAGCUUCAGUUGAUGGUUUGCAUGCUCUUCUUAAGGAUUUACAUUCUCUUAGUGUCUUUGUUUCGUAUGUUUCUUUAGAGCCUCCUGUAGUUAAUCAGGCACUUCUCUGCUUUUAUAGACUAGUGUUAUUAUUGGUUUAUUAUUCAUGUUACUUAGGAAUUAGGGUCAAACAAGCACCUCCUGCUCUGCUGGUAGCUAGCUUAAUUCCCAGGUUUGGUAUAUAUCUAUGUUGUGAUGCAUACUCAUGUUUGUGAGCUAGUAUAUAUCUAUUUUCAGUGUCGUUUAAUGGUUCAGAGAGUGGGCUGUAACUUGUUCAGAUACUUUGUGUUAAACUGUAGAAUUGACCUGCUGCAGUAAUUUUGACAGCUGAGGUGGGAUGAGCUGCAUAUCAUUCUCUGAUUGGGAGUAACAGGUUGUUGUUGUUUGGUUCUGAUGUUGCUAAGCUGUGGUGGUGGUCACAAUUAUCUUCCUAAUCCGGCAA